Molecule: long non-coding RNA, 191895 nt
Filed under: Populus trichocarpa (black cottonwood)
Lineage: Eukaryota; Viridiplantae; Streptophyta; Magnoliopsida; Malpighiales; Salicaceae
Description: long non-coding RNA (PTRI_LNC002074)
Source: RNAcentral
AGACUGGAUUUGAUGUGGGCGAAGAUUCUGGUAGGUCCAGAGGCAUUUUAGGGUUACAAGAUGAACGUCAUUCAUUUUCUUUCAGCUGGGGACAUGGACACCAUGCGUGAUGGGUAGUUUGAGAUUCAAUAUACUAGUUCUAUUUUUUCUUUUGUGAAUGGAGGUCUUCCUCCUAUCGCCAUUGAAAAAGGUGUCUCCUAUUUUCUUCCUCAUAGAGCUAGUUCAGCUUUAUUAAUCAAGCUGCUAUCAAAUGAUUUGUCAUUUCUGUACACUUGUCAGCAAUACCUACCUAUGUUAAUUGUAAAUUUACAACGUAAGGUUUUGGAUCGUUGAUAGAUAGAUGGUUGAGCAUACUUUUGCUGUGGAAUACUACACUAGAUGUAACAAUAUCAUCUUUUUUUGGCUGUGUGGUAUUCUAUGUUGAUGUGUAAAUCACCCUUCCAGUUGCAAUUUCUGAUCCAAAUUUUCACCUGAACAUGCUAGUUUGUGGCAUUUUCAAGUUUUUCAAUCAUCAAUACAAUUCAUGCUCUGGGGGAAAUUAUUAUGAGAUUCUUUGACAGGUAUUAAGCACAUUGCUUCUCCUCCGAGACAGCAUACUGUAUGCAACCCUGGGGUUCUUUUCAUGGCUGUCAAUCUUUUCCUGUAUAAUUUGUGUGCUCGACUGCAUGUCUAGGUCCUCCUAUUAUUCCUCGUAAUUCAUUGUGAUUACUGGUUCAUAUUCUGUCAGGUCUCGUUGCAGUUCCUGUUUUCUACCAUGCCGACACCAUGCUUGUAGUGUUGUUCUUUGUUUCUGUCUAGACACUUGGAUUCACACACUGUAUUCCUCGUAAUUCAUUGUGAUUACUGGUUCAUUUUCUGUUGGGUCUCGUUGCAGUUCCUGUUUUCUACCAUGCUUGUAGUGUUUGUAGGGUUUGUUUUUUUGGUUGCGAGAUCAUAUGAAAGAAAUUAGAUAGUCGGUCUAAUGUUGGAUUGAAACAAAAGUUGAAUUAUUUCUCUCGAUAAGUUUUUUUGCCACACGCUUCUCACGUGUAUUAUUUAAUUAUAUAUUUGAUGUUUUUGACUUAAUUUUUAUAAAUUGAUUUAAUAAUUAAUAGUUAGAAAUUAAAAAAUCAUAAAUGUAUAUUACUAACCAUAAUUAAGGUCCAUUUUGGUAAUUUCUUAAAUUGAUUUAAUAAUUAAUAUUUUUUAUUAACUUUAACAUAAAUUUAUUAUUAAAUCUUAAUUAUUGGUUUUUAUUGACUUAUUUUUAAAAUUUUCUAGAGGUUUUACAGUCAAAAUAAAGUGUUAACGAAAUACUAUAUAGGUGAGGGGUGAUAAAGAAACUUAUAUAGUAUCAUUUGUAGUUUUAUUUGAUGUACAAAUAAUAACAUUUGGAAAAACGAGAUUAAACUAUAUUUUAAGAAGUGUAUUUAUGUUUUGUUCUAUUUUCUAAUAAGAGAAGGUUUGAAUUUACAUAUUAGUAUUAGUAUUGAUAUAAAUAUUUUAUUGUCAUAUAAAAAAAUAUUUUUUUAUAUAGAGUUAAUUAUUCUUAAGACACUAUGCUUAAUAAUUAUAAAUAAAUUACUUUUAGUAUAUGUGAUGGUUGAUAAAAUUUAAGAAUAUCUUUAUCAAAUCAAAUGUUUUGCUAUGAAUUUUGCGCCUUUAUGUAUUAGUUAUGGAUUAUUAGACGAUACCCUCGUAACCAACGAAAGCUAAAUAAGUUAAUCAAUUAUUUUUAUAUUUUAAUUAAAUAGAAAAAAUAAAAAGAGAAGGGUGUUUGAAGCAACACAGUACUCCUUCUUUCUACUUUAUCCAGCGGUAUUUGUUUUUUAUACGCAUGUAUAAUAAAUAUUAAUUGUUAAACCUAAAAACAAACAAACAGAGAUAAUAUAUUUCUAUUCAUGUUCUUUGAACGGUAAGUAAGCCCAUACUUCUACGUCUCUUUCCAGAACACUCUCAAACUCGCUCUCUCAACGGUUCGCUGCAUGUCCGCGCCACGGCGAUCAACGUCGCUCAGAGACUCUUCCUCCGAUUCUGAGCGGAUGGAAGGCACAGGUAGCUGGGACGACGCUCUCGACUGGUUCAAACUCGAGGUCCAAAACAUCUCUCCCUCUCAAAUUUCAAUGAUAGGUUAAAUUAUUCAUCAUAUUUUCUCGAUUUAAAUUAUUCACCAUAUUCUCUCUUUCUUAGGUGCAGCAUCCGGCGUCGCGCUCGGUCUCGCAUCACGCUAAUUACAAGUGCUUGCUUGAGGCAGAGCGUGUUCUUGUCGAGGUAGAAUUUCUUCUUCCUUCUUUUUGAUUUCUUUAAAAUCUUGAUUUUUUUCUUGAUUUCUAAUUCCUGGUUAGAGUUUCUUUUAGGAAUUUUAGAAUUCGAAUACAUAUUACGCGUAUGGAAAAGGAAUCGAGGAAUUUGAUUCUUAGAACCAACCCUAGUUUGCUUGAUAUUAUAGUUAAAUCACCGUUAAUGGCUUAAAUGAAAUAAAACUAGAACAAUGUGCCCUUACUAAAACUGGCUAGGGUUAUUUACAUGAAUCUUUCUCCUCAAUUUCUUCAUAUUCUGCGCUUUUGGGUAAAUGGAUCAAAUCGUGAUUUCAGGGACGCGGUGUUGUUCUUAUCAAUACUGACGAGGCAGGUACCUUGAUAGUGACUAAUUUCCGUCUUAUUUUUCUGGUGAGUGGCGUGUUCUCUCGUUUUUGUCUAUUCCUCGUGAAGUUUCUUUUAUAAAAUGAUGGAAUGGUACUGAUUUCAAUUCUGCAACGUAUUUGUUGUAAUUUAUUUAAGCAUGUAUGUUAGAAGAGAUAAGGAAUUGUGGUUGCAUCACUGGAAAUGAUGUUGUGCAUGCACAACAGAAUACUGACUAUAUGUUGUUUUCUCUUCUCUUGUUCAAGAGUGAGGGAACGGAAAAUAUUAUUGCGCUUGGCACAAUUCCGCUAGCAACAAUUGAGAAGUUCAGCAAAAUGGUAAGUUAUUCUUGAACUCAUGGAUUUCUUAGCACCAAGGGAUGUUAAGUUAGAAAAGUAACAGGAGAUGAGAGAGUGACUAAUUUGUUAAUUGAGUUAUUUUAUGUAUUAUAAUGUUGUGCCAUGUGCCUCACUUUUUAUGUGAAGAUGAUCUGAUCCUUGCUCUGAAAUGUAUUCUUUACCUCUUACACGCAAACCAUGUGGUGAUGGCACACAGACAGAAAACAUGGCAAAAUAAUGUUAGGAUAAUAGGUUGUAUGCUACCUCAGUUCCAUCCGUGCAUGAAAUAUUUAGGUUGAAAAUCUUAUGCUAAUGAUCUGAAAUGAUGUCACUGUUUCAAUUCUUAUCUUUUAUCACUCAACUCAAUUUAAGCCUCAACCCCAAAUUAAUUGGGGUCAGCAACAUGGAUCCUUUUUACUAUUCUGUUUUAGCAUGUGCUAAACUUUAUCCAUGCUAGAAAAUCUUCUCCAUUACUUUUCUUUGGUUUUGAUUGGCACCUGUUCAGCUUAAUGAAUUUGGAGUUGUUUUGGCUUGGCCACCCAUAACACAUGUUAAUUGAUUAUUGUUUUUUGCUUGUCUUAUAUUUGUUACUUUGUGGAAUGUAUGAAGGUUGUAAAAAAUCAAUCAGCCCCUCGUCAUUCUGAGAAGACUCCAUCACAGCGAUUUCUCCAAGUCAUUGGUACGCCCUUUGAAGUGUUUGUUUUACUAUUUCUUAACAUUUUUUACCAGUUAUUAUUUUUUUGUGGGAUUUACAAUAGAUUUGUAGUUUGUCUUUGGAAGAUAGAACUUUGGGACAUAUUUGACAUUUGUACGGGUGAUGAUGUUACUUUUAUUUCACUUUGAUGAUUCAGAAUUCAAUCAAUAAGUUAAAUUUAUGACAGUAAUAGAGAUGGUGGCAGAUUCUGGAGGGGGUAAUGUGGUUGUUUCCUAGUGAGGGUAGUUGCCAAAGAGGAAGUUUAUAGAUGCUGGUUAGCUUGAUUGAUAAAAUUAAAGUAUGUCUGUUGCAUUAAGGCAUGAGAUUUUCAGUAUAUAUUUUUAUUUCUGAACAAGCAAGGUUUCUUUGAAGUAGGCAGUUAUCAGAACAAUGGAUCUGGGUAUUGCUGCUUGCUAAUGGUUUCUUUUGCUUUCUUUUGCUUUCUUUCUCUUGAAUAUUGUUGGUGAUUGUUAUUUUGAUGAUAUAAUUGGCCCUGGUCCUCUUUAGUGAGAAUGCUAAUGGAAUUAUUGGUUCUUGUAUUUUGCAGGGAAAGAUAUGAGAAUUGUUGUUUUUGGUUUCCGGUCCAAAACAAAGCAGGUUAACUUUAGCUGCUAUCUCUUCUUGCUUCAGCUCUUGUUUUUCCUCCAAACUAUGAUCACUUACAGAUGGAUUUUGUUUUUUCAUUUGCAAGAUUUAUGCUGUUAUAAAGAAAUAUGGAGUUCAUGAUUUUGAUUUUUGCUUGGUUGGGGGUUAAAAAGAUGUAGUUGAGAUUGAGAAUAAUCUUCUGAUCUGCCUAUGUUUUUUAUUUUUUUGUGGGCUAAGAAUCAGAAAUCAGGGAUUUUGAGGGUUUAUAUUUUAAAAUCAACUGAGGAAAGAUUUGAUUGGAUGGGUUCAAAAUGGUGGAUUGGGUCAUCACACCUGACAUGUUUUAAGUUACUUGCCUUUUCUUAUGCAGAGACGGGCCAUAUAUGAUGGGUUAUUGAGGUGCACAAAACCAUCAAGACUCUGGGAUCUUUAUGCUUUUAGCUGUGGACCGUUCAAAUUUACUAAUGCAAACCCAAAAGUACGCUUGUUGAAUGAGUAUUUCCGUCUUCUAGGAAAAGGCCUUUGUAGGGCAUCAAUGGAUAUGAUCGACAAUGGGUCAUAUACAAUGUCUAAUGAGCUGUGGAGAAUCUGUAAUGUAAAUUCCAACUACAUAAUGUGCCCAAGUUACCCUUUUGCCUUGAUUGUUCCAAAAUCAAUCAGGUAAAACAUUAAGAUUCUUACUGCAUUGUAAAAUUGGGGAAAAGAGGGGAAAGUGAAAACGUGUUCGAGACCCUUACUUCUAGUUUGACUCGAAAAUAGUUUUUGUCUGGCCUGACUCUUGCCGAAGAUUUACAGCUAAUAACCUUAUAUUUGUUACUAGUGAUGAAGAAGUGAUCCAGGCAUCCAACUUUCGUUCCAAGGGUCGUUUACCUGUAGUUUCUUGGUGUCAUCCCGGUAUGAAAAACUGAAAUUUAGUUAUUUUGUUCAUCACAAGUUGUGUUAUGAUGUCUUGAUGUGUGUGGCAUUGUAGAAACUGGAGCAGUCCUUGCACGUUCAUCCCAACCCUUAGUUGGUCUGAUGAUGAAUAUGAGGAGGUAGUUUGAUCUGCCCACUUAAUUUCCUUUCAAUGAACUUAAAACACAUUGCUAUGCAAAAAUUAUGCCUGUUGUAGAUACAGUGCUGGGAUUUUGGUCUUCAAUUGAAGUGCGUUUGUGAUUGUGGCUAUGGUGUUGCAUGCAUUUCAAAAACUUUAGUCAUAUACAAAAUAGUUAUGGCAUGAUUGAUGAUAAAUUUUAGCAAGGUGUUUUUAUUCUGCGGAUUUCAAAUAAUUUCAUUAGAGAUUUAAUUUCUAAUAUUUAACAUGAAUAGAGAUACCUUAAAAUUCAUGCAAGAUAUAUUUUAUUAUCUAAUUAGGCUGUCAAAACUCUAGCAUAUAGCAUCCUGAACGUGAUUUUAACAACAGUUUCCAAGCUAAAAGAACAAAAACAUUUGAAAUGCAAGCCCAAGACGGCUGCAAUGAUUGUAAAAUCCUUUAUGGGUAUGAUUUUCGAAUCAUGGCCCAUAAUACCAGAAAGUGCCAGACCAUUUUGAUUCUUUUACGCAACACCUGUUAUUUGUUUUUGUUCCUGGGAUCCAUUGAUAUCUUAUAUUUUGAGGUUUGGAAGGUAAGUACUUGAUUUUUCUUUUGCCAUCUGUUGCUUGAUAUAUGACUGAUUCCCAUCAAUGUAUAUGCAUGCAGCAACACAGAUGAAAAGCUUGUUGCAGAACUUUGCUCUCAACUUGGUGAUGAGAAAAAAAGGCGGAGGUAGUUUUAUUCAAAUUGAUUCCUUUUGUUUUGGCUGAGCUGUUCUCAUUGUUUGUGUUUUUCAUGUUUGCACCAUUUUCUUUUUUAUGUUCUAACUUGACUUUCUUAGUUGUUAAGAAGUAUCUACACAGACUUGCUAUGUAUUGCUCUUAAUACCUUGGGUGAUGAAUUUUUUUGAAAUGUAUAUCAAUCUACCGAGUUUUGAAACCUCAAUCAUGGUAUUACUUCUCUUUCGCUUUUUUCUUAAAAUGCAGUCCUUAUAGUGAUAGGAUUCCAGUUUUGCAUCUCAUCUGGAAAUGGCUGGAGAAUGUUUGUUUUUAGGGUACUCUAAAAUAGAUUUGGUGGAGAGACUUGGGCCCAUAGCUUUGAUGAUUAAAGCAAGUGAUUAUGCGGCAUAGUGUUUAAAUUUUUAUCACUCAUGGCUCACAGACAGGUAUGGAGGAGACAUUUCCCUUUUGAGGUGGGAAAUCCUAAUCAUUGUACUGGGGCUGAAGCCUUGAAACUUAGCUGUGAGUCUUUUAUUGAAAUAGUGUGGCCUUUAUUUUUAUUUAUGAUUUCUUGUCAAUGGUGCAAAUUUUCCAAACAGUAGGUCUGGACCAAAUGAGCACUUCUCUUGUUAGGUUCCUUGUUGUCGUGUAACUCUGAUUUCUCUUUUGAUAAAAAUGAAAUUUGUUAAUACACCUGAAUUACACUCUUAAUGUUCAUUGAUUGACAUGACAUGCAUUUUAUGCUAGGCUAUAUGCCAGUUGUUUCUUUAGAUUUCAUACGCCUGUUGUUUCUUUAGAUUUCAUGUUCUCAUUUCUUUGCUUAUUCUUUCUUGCUCCGGUUUUAGUAAAUGAAUAUUUGUUAAAAAAGUCACCUGUCUUCUUGUCCUCUCUCCUUUUUCCCCAUUUCAGGAAGUUAUAUAAUUGCUGAAGCAAAACCUCUGGAAAAUGCCAAAUCUUUGUGUUUUCUUUUCAGGAAGUUAUACAUUGCUGAUGCAAGACCUAGAAAAAAUGCUUUAGCAAAUGUCGCAAUGGGAGGUGGCUCAGAAUCAUCAUCCAACUAUUUUCAAUCUGAGGUUUGUCAGAGGUUUGAGUUGUCUAAUUAUGUAUCUCAUAGUCAUCAACUUUGCUGCCUUAUUUUCACUAAUAUCAUAUUCCUGUUUUUUAUCUGUUAUCAGGUAGUUUUCUUUGGGAUAGACAACAUACAUUCUAUGAGAGAGAGUCUUUCUCGGCUUAGGGACUACUUAGAUGCUCAUGGCACCACUUCAUCAGAUGGAACACUAUCACUCUUGGUUAGUCUAUGAACAUUAGGAAUUUAAAAACCAGCUGCUUUGCCUGUUGAAAACUAGUACAUUAACAUCAGAUGUUAUAAGCAGUUCUGUUGUUGGAUAAGGUUUAACCUAGUACUGCUUAUAUCAAUUCUCAAAAGGCAGAAAAUGAUGGCAUAUUAUUUUGUGCAACUUGAAUGUGCAUCUAUCCAUUUGUCAAGUUUUUGGUAAACAUAGUUGAGGCAUUAGAAAUUUUUCCUUGAAUAACAUCAGAUAUAGGAACACAUAGUAACAGAAGUAAUGCAUGAUGGUGUGUGGUAUGUUUCCCAAUUUUUACCAUCACUAAAUGAUUGGAAUUGCCCUCUAUGAAUGGCGCUGCUGUGUGAGUCUCUGGGUUAAAGACUAGAAUUUUCAUGUUCAGUUCCCUGUGCUGUUGUGGGUGCAUCUUCAAUAGAAAAGCAAAAAGGAAAAGCUUCACUUGUAUUCAUUUAUCUAUCUGGCAGCAACUUAUAUUUGGAGACAGCAUCCUGUUCAUUAUAUAGCUCUUAUAUAAUGCAGACAUCCUCGGGCCCUAUGUGCUUGUCCAAUGAUGCACACAAGCCAAUAUAACUAACUUAACCUUGACAUCAUUGCAUCAAUGAUUUAAUCUCUAGUCAAAAUUUAAAUAAAUAAAUCAAUCUUCUCAAAUGUGCUCCUCAUGUUUAGUUGGGAUUUUUUUCAAUUAAUUUAUAGCAUCAAUCUUUGACUGGUUACCUAAUAGCUCUAAAACACUUGCUAUGUUUCCUAGGCUUCAGCAGAAACAAUAUGUUUCCAGUGGUUGUUAAUAUCUCUAUUUGUUCAUACCAUAUUUCGCUUGCAGAGACAUGGUGGUUGGACCUGGGGUGGAGGCAAUCUCAGCAAUAUGUCUGCCUCUGUUUCAACCCUCGGUGAUAGUGGUUGGUUAAUACAUGUUCAAAGUGUCUUGGCUGGUUCAGCUUGGAUUGCUGCUCGUGUUGCUUUGGAAUCAGCAUCAGUACUUGUACAUUGCAGGUCAGAUAUCUUGACCCUGUGUCUUCUAUUAAUCUUUGUAACAACUGGAAAGAAUCAUUUCUAUUCUGUUGCCACUGUGAUGAAACCUGAAGAUUUUUAAUGUGCUGCUCACUAUAUGGCCUCUUUUUUCCCUUUUGAUUUGUAAUUUCUAUUUCAAUAUGCUGUUAGUCUAUUUUUUGUUUCUAUUCGUUGUGCUGAUAAUCUAACACAGAAUCAAAUAUUAAUUACAUACACCUGCUUCGAUUCCAAAUCAGGCUUUCUUUUGGUAGAUCUCACAUCUACCCUUCCUCACUGUGUAAUCACAUGGAUAGAGCUUCUCAGACUGAUUAGCAGAAAAAUCUUGGUAUUAUUGCCUAGCAGAUCAUGGUUUUAUAUGCGAACUUGGCAGGUCAUUUGCCUGCUACCAGACUCAUGGCCCACUGUUAUUCGACUUUAUAUCAGAGCAGAAAAAAGAAUAGCUGAAUCAUCUAGGAAGCAUUUCAGCUCAGCAAAAUUUUCCAUCAGAAAAAAGUUGCCUUUCUUUCUGUUUUCAAUUUCCUGCUUUUCUUUUAGAGCCUCUGCAUUUGCUGAGUUCUUGUCUUUCAUUCUAUUUGUCUAGUGAUGGAUGGGAUAGAACGAGUCAGCUGGUUGCACUUGCUAAUUUGUUGCUCGACCCAUACUAUCGGACAUUCACAGGGUUUCAGGUAUUUUCUUCUACUAUUGGACCCCUUUAUUGGUCGUGUAUUGUUCUUUUUAUAUGCUUAAGAUGUGACUUUACAUUUGAACAAAAAAUUCUGGAAUAUCUCAUUUCCAUCCAGGCACUCAUUGAAAAAGACUGGCUAGCAUUUGGUCAUCCAUUUGCUGAGCGUGGGGGCAUGCCAACUGUAUCUGGGAGCAGCGAAAGACCUCCUGAUUUAUGUAGGCAAUCUUCUGUUGGGAGUUUUCCAUUGCCACCCAUGUGUCAGUCAUCGGGAUCAUUUGCGCCACCAACUCCUAGUUCUUCUCAUGCACAGAACCAGCAGUCACCCAUAUUUUUGCAGGUUAAUGUUGUUUUAUGCAUGCUCUUAUUAACUUGAUUUUAGGAAUCAAGUACCAACUGGCUUUCAUGAUUAUUAUUAUUGGCAAUCCAAAUCAGUAGGGAUUACCAUAGUAGUUGUGCCUCAAGCUCCUUGCGAACAAGUUCAACAAUUGUUUGGCCCCCCUUCCUUUCUGUGUGAUGAAAGCAGCAGGAAAAAAUGAUUACUUGGGUUUAUUGUUGCAUUUAUGUGCCAAAUGCAUUAAAAAAUUUAUUGCCUUAUGCUGGGGCAUAAGCUAGAGAUGUGAGGGAAAGAGUGCAAUCAUAGGAUCUUCAGGCAAUUAUAGAGUCUACUAGAAGGAUUGGAUUGAAGGUGAGUAUGGUCGGAGUAUUGUUAAGAAAGUCUACUUAAAAACCCUAAAUAAUAGUUAUAAUAAUUACCUAGCUGUUUGAAUGCCCUCUAUUAUAUUCAGCCCAAGUAAAUUUGAGAAUUUGUUGUGUAAGAUGGUCUUUGCUAAGUUCUAUGAAUUGCCGAUGUAUUCUGCAGUGGAUUGAUUGUGUUUCUCAAUUAUUGCGGAUGUAUCCCUUUGCUUUCGAGUUCUCCUCGGUAUGUGAUUUUCUUUUCUUGUAAUGAUACUCAUUUUCUUGUUUUCAUUAGAAGUUAGUUGUUGAGACAAAAUAUGUUUCAAAGAAACUGGUUUAUCACAAACUUUUUGCUGACUAGUGUAUUGUAUGAUGACUUAGGCUUUCCUGGUGGACUUGUUGGACUGUGUCCUUUCAUGUCGUUUCGGUAACUUCUUCUGCAACAGGUGAUUCCGUUUUUCUUCUUAACUUGUACAUAUGAAUAUCUUAAAUAGAUUAAGGCCUGUGGUUUCUGCCAUGCCUUCACUUGAUCUGUCCAUGCUACAUGGAUUAGCUGCUGAUAUAUUUAUUUUGGAGCAGUCAAGAACCUUAAUUUUCAAUCUCAAUUCUAGAUUGGUUGCUAAAAAUUGUAAUAUCUGGAGACAAGCAUUGAUUCAGCAAAUCUUUGUGUAAACUAGAAACUAGGAGAAAGAAGAGCUGCUUAAUUUCCUUUUAUAUUCAAGGGUGACAGAUCAUCUGUAGUAUCAUCUCUGGACAGAAAAAAUUGAUUAAGUUAAAAAUUUAGAAAAAUUAAGAUGAAAAUGCAUCAAUGUCCUGAAAUAGGCUACAAGAAAUAUAAUCUCUUAUGCCACAAGUGACCAACCACUGUAGCAAACUCAGUGGUAAAAGGAUUGUGCCACGAAUAUUCAAUCUCGCUGGACCUAUCAACCCUUGUAGAUGCACCAUACUGAUUUAUCCUGCCAUUUAUAUCCCGCAUGAUCAAAAUGAUGUCGAAUGACAUUGUUGCAUCUUCUCACAAACACGUGAUAUAUGUGUUGUCAUUGGAUAUCUGUGGUAUGCACUAUCAGCUGUUGAAUGUUUCUCUUUGCAUUCUCUUCAUCUUCCCAAAAAUAAAGAGACGAUCUAGUAGCUUUUUGUCCGUAGCAUGUGAUGCAUUUAUGUUGGAAUGUCAUAUUCAUGGGCGUUUGGUUUUAUAACAGUUCAUUAUUCUUUUCAAAGCUCAGUUCAAGUGGUCAACUCUUCUCCCUCUUGUCAUAAAAUUGGUAGUUCCUUAGCAUAACAAGUGAUGACACACAAAUUUAUGAUCCUUGUGGGCAUGCAUGUUUUCUUGGCUACCGUUUCAUAUACUGACUGCAUCAUAAACCUCUUAGGCUGGAUUAGAACUUGGUUCCUGUUUAAGGCUGACAAAGGGACAACUUUAUGCAUAAAUGCUGAACACUAGGAUACUGUGUCUGGAGAACCCUUUCUGUUUACUCUAACCUCUCUAGCAUGUAAUGGCUCCUUUUUGUUUUACUCCAAUUGUUUUGGAAGCAUUAAAAUUCCUCUUUCUGGGUGCUUAAUCUAAAUUUUCAGUGAGAAGGAAAGGCAGCAAGUUGGUAUUUCUGAAGCUUGUGGGUGCUUGUGGGCUUAUUUGGCCGAUCUGCGUUCUUCAGAAGGAAGGUCUCAUGUGCACUGUAACCCUUUUUACAGUCCUCUGAAACAUAAUGGUCCAUUGUUACCUCCAGCAGCAGCCUUAGCCCCAACACUGUGGCCCCAAUUCCACCUUCGGUGGGCUUGUCCUUCAGAAGCCCAAGCUGGGGAGCUUGAAGCUCAAUGUCGGAUAAUGUCUAUAAAAUUCUCCAAACUACAGAAGGUAAUGAACUGCUUUCCUUCUACUGAACCAGUACAAUAUUUUCACACUAAAACAUGACCUUUUGCAGUCAUGUAGGCUGAUAUGAUUUUUCCUAGACUGUUGGGUUAUAGUAUUAUGUUCUUUCAAUCUCUCUCUUGCUGUCUUUGAGGGCAUCAUUAUGCAGAAACCUAGUGACAUAUGGCCAGCGGUGGCUUACUUUUCCUUUCAUUUUAUUUCAUGAUGUUUACAAGUCUGCUUUUUUUUAUUAAAUCCCUACUUCCUGUCAAAUUAAUAACCAGGCAAAAGAAGGGGCUGAGAAGAAAGCUAAAGAAACUGCAAUUGUUGUGGAGUCAUUGUCUGCAGAAUUACGGAAUGAGAAGCAGCUCAGUAGCUCUGCUAUGGCCUUGGCCAAGAGGGCCAGCAAGGAAACUGCAGCCAUAAAGCGAGCCAUACAAUCAUUGGGAUGCAAAGUUCAUUAUGCUAGUGGUGGUGAUACUACUGUUGAUAUCGAGACCAGCCCUGUGAAAAAUUCACAGAAAUCUGUGUUUUCUCCUUCUACAAGAGAAUCUGUUGGUAUUGUCCAACAUGAAGAUAAGUCAGAUCUAUCAGUUUCCAUUUCAGUAGCGGCAGAUGAUGUUGUUUCCAAUAAUCCAUUUGGUCGAGUGUGCGAUACUUUAUGCCCAUUACGCACAAGAGAUGGAGGCUGCAGGUGGCCAGAUGCUGGUUGUGCUCAACUAGCUAGUCAGUUUAUUGGGGUGAAGGCAGACUAUGAGGCACUCGAUAGUCUUUCUAUAUACGAAGGUUAUUUUAAGACAGUGAGUACCUUAUAACUCUAUUAUAUGCACAUUGAUUUAUCCAUCAAUUCUCCAUAUAAUUGGUUGAGGUUUUUCAUAGAUGGAAGGAGGUAAAUAGAGUUUAAAGCUUUGCCAGAAGAAGUUUGAGAUUUAUUUGAGCUCUCAAGCAACACAGGCAUAGGAUUGGUGCAGAAACCUCAGAUUUUGGUAUCGGGACUGUUCAUACAGAGAAUGUAGAGUUAGUAGCACAACAUCUUAGCAUAGUCAUUCAUUGGAAACAUAAUAAGAAAUCCCACACAAAAGAGCAUAAAAGAGCAAGCAUGAAGUGCUGCAGUGAAGGCUGAUUUAUAUCGAAGAGGUCAGCUUUUCAUCCUGCUAUUGUCAUCAUCGUAGCUAGUUUUCUCCCUCAAUAAGAACAGUUUGUUGCCCAUAUUUCAUAUAACAUGUGACUUUAUUAUGUUCAAACAAGCUGGUCAGACAUUGUUUUUAUCUAUAACCAUACAUGUACAUAGCAAGAUUCAUAUAACAUGUGAUUUUGUUCGUAAUAAAUUAAUCGCCAUGUUCUGGUGUUGCCCAUAUUUCAUUUCUUCCUUCCGACGCGUUAGAAUCCCCUCAAAACUAAGAGACCCAAAUGGAUCAUCACACUUCCACGGCUACCUCGUUGAAACUGAAACAUCUCUUCCCUUUUAACAAUCACUAUAAAUGAAUAAUCGUUAUAUACAUCAUGUGAUGCCAUCUCCCCUGCUUUGUUUAUCGUUAUGAAAAACGGAAAAAUUUACACAGGAUACAACACUAGGAAGAAAAUUAUUUGUCACAGUGAAGCAGCAUUGUGCAUUCCACGUUUAUUCACCACCUGCCCGAGUAACCAAACCCUGGUAAGAGUUGUAUAGCAAAAUCCUCCUGCCCGCCUCAUUUAUUGCAGGCAGCAGCUCUGAAUUAAUGCCAAAUGGGUUUUGCCACUGCCAGUCUCCAGUGCUUGUGAGCUGGUGCCCAUAAUUAGAUUAUAGUUAAAUGGUUUUGAUGCAUCAUUUAACUAGCAUCAAUCUUAGAGGCGUAAGCAAGAAUCCAUAUGCGUUAACUAAUCCUUCCUGCUUGAUCAAUCAAAGUGCCAACUUGGUCUCCACAUAAUGCUCUUGAGAUAUUCCCAGGCUCGAGCAAAUUAAAGAUGACCACUAUACAUGACAGGGAGAGAGCACGCAGCAUUAGCAAGGUAAGAUGUGGGAAUGGGAGAAUGCAACUAUGCGAGAGAGGCUGAUAUAGCAAGAGCAAAUGAGUAUAGGAAAAUCAUUACAUACCAGGAAUUCCAUUCUCUUCACAGUAAGUAAUUGCCAUCAUGUCCAUUGAGGUAACACCCCUGGAAACCACCUCUCUGAAUGAUAUGUGAUCCAGUAUUGCAUUGCUGUUACCAGCAUGAUUAUCAUAGACACCAUCAACAUUAGUGGUACCUUUAAGGAGCGCAUCUGCAUUAACUGAUAACCAAAAAACAUUAUAAAAAAAACACGCAUCAAGAUUUCCAGUAAACAGCAGAACACAAGAUAUAAUAAAAGCAAGCAGGAGGGGAAUACUCUCUGAAGCUCUCAGAGCUGCUGCGGUGUCAGUAGUGAAUAGUGGAUUUCCAGCACCAGCACCAGCACCAGCCCCAGCACCACCAAAUAUGACAACUCUUCCUUUCUCAAGAUGCCGGAUGGCCCGUUGCCUGCUAUAAGGUUCAGCUAACUCUGGCAUUGCGAAUGCACUUUGCACACGAGCCUGAACACCAUGCUUCUCCAAAGCUGAUUGAAGCAAUAUUGAAUUCAUAACUGUUGCCAUCAUGCUGACAUUACAUCAUAAGUUACCAUAUUGUCAAAAACUAGCAAAUAUUAAGUUUAGGAUGAAGACUGCAAAGAAAGCUAUAAGCUAUUUAUACAAGCUACUUGUAAAGGCGAACAUAGAUAAUGUUCAAGCUCUAGGAGUAUGGUGAUGCAAUACAAGCUCUAGGAGUAUGGUGAAUUACCUGAUUUGAUACGCAGUAGGCCUCUCUAAGCCAGUAGCAGAUAUCCAUGAGUCUCCACAAAAGAAAUUGCGACCUCCAAGAACAAUAGCAAUCUAUAAAAACCACAUACGAGUAAGCAAUCUUGCAAUUUGAAUUAGCGUUGCAGAAAACCAACAAGGAAAAGGAAUAGGGCAAGACCUCCAGUCCACCGCGGCUAGCUGUUGCUACUUCCCGAGCAAUCUGCAUAGCUACCUAGAAAUAAAAGAAGGCAAUUUAGCUUGCAUAUUCCCGAUAUCAUCAGUGUCCAAACAUACUAUAAUCAUCCAAAUACUGAAUCUUGCACCUUAGGAUCAAUAUUCUGGCAAUUCCCAGCCAAUGCAGAACCACUUAUUUUAAACACCACUCUCCGCCAUUUUAAAUUUGGCACUGGUUUAGUUUUGAGAGUAUUAGCAAAUGCAGCACUGCCAGAUGUAUACCUGCAUAUAAACGUUAACACAAAAGAUCAGUCAGUCGUAGCAAGAUCCUCCAGCACCAUGUCAUACCAUUCCAGAACCACCUGGCUACUUUAACCGAAAUCCAAUAAUCAAGUUUCGAAAUCUGCAUGAUCAAGCAUUGCCAAACAAACAAGAACACCUGUAAAAAUCCAAACUUUCACAACCUGAACACAAGACCGAAACAAGACACUACCUUUUAACUUGCUUAACCGCCGCAUUAACAUUCCCACCACUCCCUCCACCACCGCCACCAUCACUCUCUCCACCACCACCACUCUUCCCAUUACAUGCAUUCCCCAUAAUAGCCUCUAUAUGCUUAAACCAAUGCCAACUGCUCCCACUCCCACUAAUCCUCUGUAACUCCACUUUAUACCUCUUCUUCAAAUUAUCAAUCUUAUUCUUACACUGCUCCACACUCUUCUUAUUACUCCCUCCUCUCUCACUCACCGCUUCCGCUACUUCCUCCCAAUCCCUCCCUCUCAAAUUCCCUCUAUUCAACUGAUUAUACUUCUCCGUAUACGCCUCUAACAAACACGAUAUCGCCGCAUCGCUCCAUUCCUCUCUAUCCUUCCUGUAAUCACGGUAAUCACAAGAUUCUAUCUCCGUGAUGCUGUUUGAUUUCGAUCUCUUGUUGUUGUUGUAGUAGUGGUUUUGCUGGUUGCGUUUCGAGGACGGUGUGGCCGCGGAUUUGUCGUGAUCGGAGUAGUAGUAAUCACCGGUGGUUGUGACGGAAUAUGGGUGGCGCGUUGGAGGGUGAGGAGGUGGCUCGUCGAUGAGGGGGAAAUCGUCGGUGGCCAUUGGAAAUUAGGGUUAGGGUUAAGAUUUCGAUUUGGGGGUGAAGCAGAUGAUGUUGGGAAGACGACGUUAGAGGGACGGGUGACGGAGCGAGGGGUUAGGUUUUAGAUGGGGAUUUGAAUCACGGAUGGUGUAACGGAUCCGUUUAAACAAGAGAGUAAGUAACGUAACGUAUGUGCUUAGAGUAGAGAUUAAAUAACACUUUUAAAAGUUGUUUUUUUUAAAAUAUUUUUUAUUUAAAAGUAUAGUUAAAUUGUGAAAACUAGAAAUACAUUAAAAUGUUAAAUUAUAUGUAUAUAUGUGAGUUAUUUUAAAUCUGUUUUAAGUAGAUUUCAAUUAGACGAUGUUUAUAUUUCAAAUCUUAUCAUUAAUUUUAUAUUUAACAGUUUAAGUCUGGUUUUGAUUCUUGAUUCCAUAAUAAGACGGUACUCAUCUUUCAAAACUCAUCAUUAAUUUUAUAUUUAAUAAUUUAAAUUACAAGAGAUAAAAAGUUAAUAAAUUAAAAUUGCUUUUAUUUUUAUUAUACAGUAUAUUAUAAACUUGGGAUGAUUACAGUGAGAGAAAAUCCAUGUCUCAAAUCUAAUUACAAAUCAUCACAAUUGAAUUAAGAGGUCCAUAAAAUUAAUAGUUUCAGCAAGCUGCCCUUGUGUUUUUGAAAGCAUGACCAUGGAAAACCAAUUUCAUUUUUGAAAUAUUAGGCACUCAAAACUCCGAAAUUCCCUCACAGACAUCGUGCAAAAACUCCCCAUUUCCUUGAUACAAAUUCCCCCGUAGCUCUUUCAGCUUUCAAGUUUAAAGAAUAUUUUAGUUAAAAAUAUAUUAAAAUAAUAUCUUUUAUUUUUUAAAAAUAAUCUAAAGAUAUUAAAAAAAUAUUAAUUUAAAAUAAAUAAAAAUAUAAAUCUUUUUAAAAAAUAUUUUUAAAACACCAAAACAAAUUAUAUACAUUAAUGAUAUAAUGACAAGUGCUUGACUUCUCACCAAGAAUCCAACAUCAACAGAAAGUGAACCGACGUCUAUCAGCAUGUUUGGGGGCAGCGUUCAGCUAAGGUUUUGUAAAAUUUUGAUUUUGAUUUGUUUUAAAUUAAUUUUUUAAAUUAUUUUAUGUGAUAAUAUUAAAAAUAAAAAAUAUCAUUGGAUUUGAUUUACUUGAUUCACAGUAGAGAUCGAAGUGGGAAAAAAAAUGGUCUCGUGGCAAAGGAACAUGUUAUCAAGAUCAGCAUUGUCUCUCGUUACAAGGGAUUCGGACAAAACAAGACCCAAAGUUACCACUAUGUUUCUUUUGAAAAGAUAGGCAACUGACAAUUCUAAAACUUGCAUGAGACAACAUGAGGUGGUGUAGGUAAAGUUUUAGAUUUGUUUUUUUUAGAAGUUAUUAAUUUAAAUGUUAUAAAUUGUAGGGUCACUGAAAACUUACAUGGUCAUUAAUUUCUUGACCUUGAGGGAUUAAUUAAGGUGCGCAUAAGCUGUUAUAAACUUCAGAACCACUGAAAACUUACAUGGUCCUUAAUUUCUUGACCUCAAGAGAUUAAUCGAUAUGCGUGUAAGUUGUCCGAACAUCUAUAAUUAAAAAAAACACUUGCUUGAGACUUCUAAGUCGCAGUUCCCACAGAAGAAUAUUUACGAAAACUGCAAGGCAUUUCAAUAUUGAUAUGGCCUUUGCAAAAUAGAAAAAUGAGUGGAAUAUGGCAUCGCCGCCUGCAUUCAGAAAUUCCCUUCCUUUCAUAUGUUCUCUUCUGUAUCCUAAUACAGCAGUUACAUCACCUUCACUGCCUCUUUGAGCUAGCCUGGAAUUAAUAUUCUUUCCUAACAAGAACAAAAAAUUCAAUCAGAUCUUGUCAUACAAAUCCUGACUAACAGCUAAACGAACACUAAUUAUAUCCGUCAUUGUUUCUCAAAAUAAACAUCUUCCGAAGGCUAACAUUCACAUUCGUCAGAGUAACAGCUCAGUACUGUCAAAUAGUUUCCAUUUUUGCAUGGUGAAUGCUGAGCAUCUAGCAAGAAACCGGACAGCAGCAGCUAAUUAUCUGGAAAAUGAGUUCAACAAACCCCCCUCGUCUUCGAUGUUCCUCAAUACUCUUGCUCCUGCAUUCCCUAACAAUCCGUACUCGUAUACGACAAAGAAAUUUCCUAAUUCCCUCCCCAUUAAUGACCUCACUAUUAGAAAAUUAGAAUAAAAAAACAAUGAAAAUGCCGACGGAAAAUAUAGCAUUGUUAUUCAUCUAUGAAAAUUACGACAGAAAAUUUUUUUGUGUAAUUUUCAAUGGAAACUGUAGUGGAAUAAAAACUAAUAAAAAUUCCUUUGAUAAUUUUGUUAAAUUACUGACAGAAUUUUCACUUGUAAGUUUAAAAGAAAUCAAAACCUGACAAUUGUCUUCUCCCAUUCCUCCUUCUUAAUUCAGAAAACAACAACCUCUCUCUUCUAUUUUAAUUCUAACUACCCUCCCCCAACGAACCCAGCCACCCAACCUAUAGAUAUCAACCAGUCUCCAUCCAGAAGUGUCAGCUUUACUCCAUUGGUUUCAUUUUUUUAUUUAGCAAGCACACCUAUUUUUAUUAAUAUCAGCUCAUGGGGUGUGCUAAAUGAAAAAUAAAAAAUUUUAAAAUGUUUUUUUUAAAAUGUUAUUUUUAUAUAUCUCUUACAAAAACCAAAACUAAUAAAAUAGAGCCGACAAAAAAAAUAAAUUAAUUAUAUGCAGCUAGCCAUGUGAAAAAAAUAUCAAAUUUAUAAAAAAAAAAACAUUUAAUUUUUUCAUUUCGAUACAAUUAUAUGCUUUUUAGAUAGUUUUUUUCAUUGAAAUAUAUAUAAUAAAAAAAAUUAUAUUUAUACUAUUCAAAAUAUUAUUUUAUCAAUUUAAUUUUUUAAAAUAUAUCUCCCUGUGAAGACGAGACGCUAUAAUCAAUUUAUGUUAAAGUCGAUGGAAUAUUCUUUUCAAUGUCGACAAAAUAGAAACCCCAGUAAACAAAUUUUCGACAAUGAUAUUAGUAUUAUAAAAUGCUGAUAGAAUCUUCACUAUAUACCAAUCGAAUAUUCCAUCAACAUUUACUAUUUUCGACUUCACUCAUGUAUAUAUGUUGCUGGUUAUUUUACUCUUGUUUCAGUCGGAUAAUUAUUAUUUUUUGUGAAAAAAAUAUAUAUAUAUAUAUAUAUAUAUAAAAAAAACUUAUGCAUGCAUUUAAAUAAAUACACUGAGAACCAUUUGUGUCAAUAAAUACAAAAAAAAAAUAACAUAUUUAUUCAACUUACCUCAUUGUAAGUCGAAUGCAAAAUAUUAAAGUGUAGUUGUUAUUAAUGUAUUUUUUAUAUCGAAUAAAAAAUAUAACUGUGAAUAAAAAAGUCAAUACUAGCAUAUAAUAAAAUAUAGUAAAAAUCAUAUAUGUUAAUAAAAACACAUAAGAUCUCAAGUUAAUUUUUAACGUAGCAGGAGAAUUGAACAAUAUUGCAAUUGCUAUAGUAAAACAUUGUUCCUUUAAUUCCUGUAUGAUAGUUUUUCUAAAAAAAUUUGUAAAAAAGAAAAACAAAUUUCAAAAUAAUAAAAAUAAGAAUAAAAAAAUGAUAUAAAUAGGCAAAAUGUAGAGUGAUAAAUAUUCAAAGUAUAAAAAAUAAAAAUAAUAUUUUUUAAAAAAAAAUAUAAAGAAAAACUAAAAAAAUAAUAUAAAAAAUUAUGAUAAAUAGACAAAGUGUAAAAUGAUAAAAAUAUAAAGUAUAAAAAAAAAACUUUGUUUUCUAAAAAACCAAAAAUUAUAAUUUUUUCACAACUACAGUACACCACGGUAAAAAAUAUAUAUAUAAUUAUAUUAUUUUUAUAUAAAAACACAAUUUACUUUUAGUGUAUAUAUAAUAAAUAUCUAUGGAAAUAAAAAGAUUUUGCUGGUUGCUGGUUUCAGUUUCCGUCAUUGGUUUUUGAGAGAACCUUGGGCGUGGGAUUCUUCAGGGUUUUUGAUAGUCAAGCGGAUAAAGCAAAAUGGAGCACUUGAUGGUUGAUGGGUGAUGGAAUGAGUAUUGAGGGGGCCGCCGCCUGGGUGAAGUGGAUUGUUCAAGUAUAUCUAUAAUAAUAUAAGUCAAAAUAUUAUUCUGCAUGUACUGAAAAAAAAAAGUUUUCAUGUAACAAUGAUAUAGUUAUAACUAUCAAUUUUAUUAAUUUUUUUUAUUAUAGUAGUAUUGUAACAGUAGCAAAAUAGUAAUUUUUAGUUUUAUUUUAAUAAAAAACAAGUUUUUCUUGUAUUUUUUUUAUAAUUGAUAUUUUUUUCAUUUUAUAUUUUGCUGAUUUAUCACAAUUUUCUUUUCUUAUCUUCAUUUUUCAUGAUGCUUUUUUAGUUUUUUUUAUAUACUUUAAAUAUUUAUCAUUUUACAUUUGACCUAUUUGUAUCAUUUUUUUUUGUUUUUUUAAAAUUUUUCUUUAUAUUUUUUUUUUAAAAAAAUUAUUAUACAAAGACUAAGGAAAUGGUAUUUCAAUGUAGCAAUUACAAUAUUAUUUGAUUUUUCUACAACAUUAAAAAUAAACUUGGGAUCUUAUAUGUCUUCAUUAACGUUCAUGAUCUUUACUAUAUUUUAUUACAUGUAAGUAUUAAAUUUUUUAUUCACAAUUAUAUUUUUUACUUAUUGUCAAUACACAUAUUGUCAAUACACAUACUUAUUAUAUUUAUACGAGAAUUCAUCUGUGUUAGAAAAAAAUUAUUCGACUUGUAGUUAGGCAAGUGAAAUAAACGCUUUAACAUUUUUAUUUUUAUUUGCAUUUACGUACAAAUAGUUCUCAAAUUAUUUAAUUAAAUACAUGUAUGAGAUUUUUAUUUAUAAUUAAGAUUUUUUAAAACACGUUUGAAAAGAUUACAUAUAUAUUUUUUAAAAAAAAAUAUCCAACCCACAACAAAAUAUAUAUCAAAUAACUAGUAAUUAUCUAAAAAAAUACAUUCGUUCAUACAAGUUUAGAUAUUCAUUUAUCAAGUUUUUGUUUUAAAUGGAGCACCUGAUGGGUGAUGGAGUGAUUAUUGAGGGGCCCGCCGCCUGGGUGGAGUGGAAUUGGAUUGUUCAAGUAUAUCUAUAUACUGAAAAAAAACUUGUUUGGAAUGAUAUAAUUAUCAAUUUUUUUAUUGUAGCAAUAACAAAAUUGUAAUUUUUAGUUUAUAUAUGAAAAACAAGUUUUUCUUGUAUUUUUUUUUAUAAUUAAUAUUUUGUUCAUUUUUCAUUUUACCUAUCUAUCACCAUUUUCUUUUCUUAUCUUCAAUCUUCAUGAUGUUUUUCAUAUAAACAUCAUGAAGAUUUUUCUACAUGACUAAGAAAAUAGUGUUGUUCAUUAUCUUAUUUUCUUUUCAAAAAUUAUUAAACAAAGACUAAGAAAAUAGUGUUUCAAUGUAACAAUUGCAAUAUGGUUAGAUUUUUCUACAACAUUAAAAAUAAGUUUGGGAUCUUAUAUAUCUUUAUUAAUGUAUAUGAUCUUCACUAUAUUUUAUUACAUGUAAGCAUCCAAAUUUUGAUUCAAAGUUAUAUUUUUUACUUACUGUCAAUACACACGUUAAUAACAUUUAUACAUUAAUUCAUCUGUGUUAGAAAAAAAAAUAUUCAACUUGUAGCUAGGCGAGUGGAAUCGACGCGUUACCAUUUUGUUGCAUUUAUGUACAGAUGAUUCUUAAUUUAUUUAAUUAAAUACAUGCAUGAGCUUUUUUUUAUUUAUAAUUAGAAUUUUUUAAAUGCAUUUAAAAAACUUGCAUGUAUAUUUAAAAAAAAAAUAUCCAACCCGUAGCAAAAUAUAUAUCAAAUAACUAGUAAUUAUCUAAAACAAAUUCGUUCAUACAAGUUUAGAUAUUCAUUUAUCAAAUUUUGGUUUUAUUGUCACCCUCACCCUUUCCAGAUGGUAAUGUAAUAGCUUGUUGCAAUUAGGUUGAAUCAAUGUCCCUGUCAAAUUCAUAACUGAAUUAGAAUUUUUUUUUUAUUUGUAAUAUAUUUUAUAUAAUUGAAAAUAUGCACCUCGACUUUUUCAAGUUCAUUAUUAAAAAAGAUAAUGCUGAUUUUUUUAAUAUUUUAAUAAAUAAUAAUAAUAAAAAUAAUUACAUCACCGAAUGCAUUAGAUGAGCUUCUAGAUUGAUCAACACUAAAAUCACCUGGUUCGAAACUUGGUGAGAAACAUAUUUAAUAUAGCAGUUAAGAACUCAUUUUUUUUAAUUGUAAGUGAUAUAUUUGUUGGUAUUGAUAACAGUACAACCAAACCCAAGCUUUAUUUAUCAAUAUUGCAAAUUAAUCAAAGUAUAUAAUCUUGAUAAAAGUUUAUUUAAUAAAACCCUAAAUCGUAACAUAAUCAGCAACAACUAAAAUUCAUUAAUUUUCUCAACAAAAAAUAAAAUCAUCAACUCAAUUGAUGUAUUUCAUAGCUAAUUAAUAUAAUUUACAUUUAAUUCAAUAAAACUCCUAAUUUAACCUAUAAAAACCCUAACCUUGACCAUACCAUAAUUGAUAAUAAGCUAAAUUCAUCAAUUUUCUUCAUGAAUAAUGAAAUUAUCAACUUGAUUUAAUGUAUUUUAUAGCCAAUUAAUAUAAUUCAGACCUAAUUUAUAAAAAUUCUAAAUUACCCUAAAAACCUCAACCUUGACCCUAAAUCAAUCAAAAUAAAAAUGUAUCAUAUGUUAGCACAAAUCCUAUGCAAUUCAUGGAGGGAAAGUGUAAAAUAUACCUUAACAUGUUGAAUAUGGGUGGUGGUGGUGACGCUAAAUGACGACAGUGGUCAAGAGUUGAUGAGAAAACCGCAAGUGAGAGGAGAGAGAGACUAUCAUGUUUUGUGGUGGAGAGAGAGAGGUGAUAUCGUGGUUGUAGUAUAGGUAUUUUGUGGUGGGGGAGAGAUUGUCAGGUGGGCAGGUGGUUGCAAUGAAAGGGAAAAUGAGGGGAAAAAAUGGGUUUUGAGUUUGAGACGGUGUUUGGGAGUGUGGUUAUGGUUGUUUUUUAAAGUGUUUUUCAUUUAGAAAAGUGUGUUUAUAAUAUUUUUUUAUUUUUUAAAAUUAUUUUUGAGAUCAACACAUUAAAAUGAUUUGAAAACAUCAAAAACAUAUUACUUAAAAAAAAAUUCAAAUUUUUUCAAAAAUAUUUUUGAAAAGCACUUUCAAACAGGCUAAAAAAAAAAAAAUUUAAAUUUAAUUAGAUGACUUGCGAGUCAUAUUCAUGGCCAAAGACUCGCAAGUUCCUUAUUUCACACUACAUAAGACUCUGUAAUGAUAGACUAACAACGUAGACCAAACAAGGAAUGAUUAAAUGUUUAUACUUUAUAGAAUGAAAUCUAACAAAGAGAAUAAUUAAUCCUUGAAAAAAAAGAGAGUAAUCAACAGAGUUUUACUUGAAUCAACAUGGGAACUUACUGGUAAAACGAUCAAGGGACUCUUCAUUCCAGGCUCUUCAAAGUCCUAGGAUCAGCGAACUCUACAACAUCAGGCAGCUUCUUACUUGUAAUCUCUUCUUUCUCUUCCAAUUUAACAGGAAACUCUAUAUUUUCAAUAAGCAGAAAUAAUUUCCUUUUCCAAGAAAAAUCAGGUGUUGGUGUUCAAGAUUAAUUCCUGAGUUUUGCAUUUUCUUUCUUAAUUUUGAUGUUAUUUGGGUGCAUAAUUUCGUGAAAAAACUUUAUGGCUGCCUCCUAGAUUGUUAUUGUUGGUGUUCUUUUUAUUCUAUGAUAAAAAAUUAUCUUCGGACCACCUUUGCAAAAUCUAAUUGAGCAUAUUAAAAGAGCAAAGUUCCAAGUCAAACUUUGCAAAAUCUACUUGUUUUUUAAUGCCUCUAGUCUCUUUUCCUUUUUCCUUUUUCCUUUUUCCUUCUCUAUCUCUCUCUUUUACUCUCCUAUCUUAUCUAGAGAUAACAAUUUAAUUUGAAUUCCAUAAAUAUGAAGUAGACCUGAACAACCCUAAUGAAUAAGUAAUUUUAUGGUAUAGAUAAAUAAUAAAUAGGGUAUGAAUAUUAUCAAACCCAAUUUAAAACCCAUUUGAACCUAACUUGAAAUAUAUAUUUAUAUUAUACAAAUAUUUUAUAUAAUAUUUAGAUUUUUUUUAUAACAUGGUAUACACAUAUCUUAAUAUUGACACACACACAUAUGAAUGAUAUUUAUCAUUUAAUAUACAUAUACAUACUUCAUAUAUAUAUAUAUAUAUUAAUUAUUUUAUUUUUUAUUAAUUAAUAAAUAAUAAUAGAUAACAGGUACCAAUUAAAUAUUUAAAACCCGUUUAAUAAUUUAUGUAUAUCUAACUUUAUUACUUGAUAAACAAUAAAUAAAGUAUAAAUAAUAAUAAAAAUUCGACCAACGAGUACCAAUUAAACAAGGAACAGGAAAUCACCAUUUUAAAUUGCAUUUCAUGGUGAUCCGAUACAUAAUAACCAAAAGUGGAAAAGGAAAACAAAAUAUUUUGCUACGCUCCCCUCGUAGCCCAUUGUAACACUACUUGCAAGCUGGAAGAAAUGACGGUCGUCCAUGUCGUUUUCAAUGACACGAGAAAGAAAACCAUAAAGAAACAAGGAACAGGAAGCAGAGAAAACCAACGCAAAAAUCACGCAAUCUCUGUUAAACUCACCAUCCUCUCUCCUUCUGGAAACCCAGCUCCCUCUCUCUCUAUCUUCUUCAGAGUCUUCUCUCUUCUGAUCAAAAAAUGAACCCGCACUUGAACCUUGAAGAGAACAUGAAGUUGGCUUCAGUUCUUGAGCCAUCAAAACCUGUAAGGUGUACUCAAGCUUAUUUACUUUUGCUUUGACUUCUAAGCUCUCACUCUUUUCUUUCUGAUGGCUCAAGAAAGCUUUGUUUUCUUACCGUUCUUUCUUGUUUCUCGGUUUCUUUAGUUUCCUAUUUUAAAUUCUUUGGUUUCUUGGUUGGUUAUCAAGAACAUGCUCAAGAAAAGCAUAAAAGAAUCUUAACAAGUUUUUGGGGUUUCUACUUUCUUGAUCUUGAGUGAUUUGUCUGGUUGCUGAGAAAAUGUUAGGAACGGAGACACUGUUCUGAUUUGUCGUAUUUUUCUUUACUUUGGAGAUCAAAAGGCAAAAGAAUAAUAAAAAAGUAUUGGGGCGGAGCUAGAAUUUCUCUCUUUUAUGUACACGAGUGACAUUAUGUAGGUAUAAUAUGUUCUUUAUCGUUUUGAAUUUUGCAGAGUUUCUUUCCUGCAAUGACAAAGAUUGUCGGCACACUUGGUCCAAAAUCUCGGUCUGUCGAGAUAAUAUCUAACUGCUUGAAGGCAGGAAUGUCUGGUAUUGCUCCAUCUGAUUUUCAUUUUUAAACAUCCUAUUAUUGAAAGGUCCUUUCUCCUCUCUUUUUUUCCAAACUCUCUUUGGUUUUAGAAAAAAUGAAUUCAUUCUAUCCAGAUAAUUUAUUGUUAAAUGGCUCAGGGGCAAUUGCAGGUUUCACUUCACACUAAGAGCCACAUAUUGAAAGUAGACAAACUUUUGCGUAUCUUUAGUUAUUGAUCUUCUUUGAGACCAAGCAGGCUAUAUAACUAAAGGUUGACAUACACGGUUGGGCUUAUUCUUGGGGGCUGAUCUGAAUGAUUUUUUUUUUAAUCUUUUGUAGUGGCUCGGUUUGAUUUUUCAUGGGGUGACACUGAUUACCAUCAAGAGACAUUGGAUAAUCUGAAGAUAGCUGUCAAGAGUGCCAAGAAACUCUGUGGGGUAAGCUUAUCUUUAUUAGAUUCAGUCUAUAAGCCAGAUGACUAUCUCAUUUAGCUAUCCAACGUUGAUGCAAAGGCAUUAAUGACAAUUUGAUAAAGAGGGAUCAUGUUGUGGGUGAAGGCAAGAACUAUCAAAUGCAUUUCUAAAAUUUUGAAGUCUGGAAGUGCAUGAUAAAUAUAGAAAAUGUAUUCAAGAUUUUUUGGCACUCGAUGCAGAUACAGUUCUGUUCUCAUACUGAAGAAUCUAUUUUGAUUGCUACAUCUUUGUGCUUCAAGUCUUUCACCCAAGCGCAUUAGAUAAUAAGAAUUUUAUCCUAUUCCCUUGGUGGGUUUAUACUUCUACUAAUAGCCAAAUCUUAUGCCUUUCUUACCCUUUUAUUCUUUUGGUUUUGAUUUCAGGUUAUGCUUGAUACUGUGGGUCCAGAGUUGCAAGUGAUCAAUAAAAAGGAGAACCCGAUUUCCCUUCAGGAAGAUAGUUUUGUUGUCCUAACACCAGAUCUGGACAAAGAAGCUACUUCAUGUCUGCUACCCAUAAAUUUUACCGGGUUGUCAACGGUAAGUACCUGUUUUACAUGUUGUUUAGACUGAUUUUGAUUUCAUCUGGCAUUUGCAUCUAUGUUUUUAAAAUUUGUGCAGCUUCUCUAAAACAUUGCUGCAUGUGCCUUCCCCCCCUCUUCCAUGACAUGUAACUUUAAUUUGAUAUGGCCUUUGCAGGCGGUGAAAAAGGGAGACACCAUUUUUAUUGGUCAAUAUCUCUUUACAGGAAAUGAAACCACUUCUGUGUGGCUAGAGGUAAGUAGCUUCACUGGGGCAUGUCAUGUCACCUACUUUUCAUGCUAGGCGUGCCUUUUACAUACCAUCUGUAACUUUUAUUGCUAGCUGCCUACCCAUUUUAAUUAAAACUGUUCUUGGUACAAACAAGCCAGGGGACUUUGUAUUCAAAACAUAAUGGCCUGCGUCAACUUCAAAAAAAGAAGAAGAAGAAUGUUCUUAAAUCAAUUUCAUGAUGAUGCAGGUCACUGAAGUCAAUGGUGAAGAUGUGGUUUGCUUGGUAAAGAACUCUGCUACCUUGAGUGGACUGCUAUAUACUUUGCAUGUCUCUCAAAUCCAUAUUAAUCUGCCUACUCUCACUGAUAAAGAUAAAGAGGUAUUUGUUUCUAUUCGAUCAUAUAAUGUGUUGUUAUAAAAGCUUAUAUAGAAUCGUGUUUGGUGUUAACCUUUUCCUGUUUGACUAAUCAGUGCUGGCUUCAAUCAUUUAUACUGGAAAAAUGCCAACUAUUUCUCCUUACCCAUUAUGCUACCCCUUGGAACUAAGAUUUCAGAAUCAUAUUCUUUGUUUUUAUUAAUCACUAACUUGGGUGCCAACUAUUUGUAAGAGUGGUGACAUGCUCCCUUGGAAAUUUUGUGCUUACUGCUAUUCCGCUAUCAUUAAGUGCUUCGAUGGCAUUUUCAUGAUCAAUAUCAGGUUAUAAGUUCAUGGGGUGUUCGAAACAACAUAGACAUCCUCUCACUUUCAUACACCAGGCAUGCAGAAGAUGUUCGUCAUGUAAGGAUUUUCCAUCUAAGAGUUCUUUUCUAUUAUCUCUUUCAAUUGUAAAGUAAAUUACUUCGACUUAUCCCCUUUUCUGGGUCCUUACAAUUUUUUGCUGCAUCAAUAUAUUUCUCCCUUCCCCUUUAACAUUUCAAUUGUGGCCGGUCAUCCUUUUAUACAGGCUCGUGAAUUUCUUUCUAAACUUGGGGACCUCUCUCAGACUCAAAUUUUUGCAAAAAUUGAAAAUGUAGAGGUGAGAUUUAUAAUUCUGUUAUCAUAUGCCAUUCUCUAUCGUACCUGUGCUUAAAUUCCAUUAUAGGUUCCAGAUUCCUUAUUUCUAAUGCAUUUCUUUCAGGGAUUAGCUCAUUUUGAUGAGAUCCUACAAGAAGCAGAUGGUGUCAUCCUUUCCCGUGGAAAUUUGGGGAUAGAUCUCCCACCAGAGAAGGUUAGUUAUGAAAUCUGAUUGAUGAGCUUGCAUAUGUGUAAGUUAUCAUAAACAUGUGGAAUUAAAAUACACUGGUCCUAGAAUUGCUUGUUAACAUGUGAUAAUCAAAUAUUAGAGUUAAUACGGAUUGCAUAAUAGCAAUAUAGAGAAGAUAGAAAGGAAAUGGAGAAAGUGAUAUGCAGCAACAAUCUUUAAAUUGUUACAACCAUACAACAUUGCUGUAUCAUCAAUCUUUCUUUUGUAGGUUUUAUUUUUCGUUCACAUAUCAUACUUUAAGUGGGAUAACUUUGUGGCUUUCGGAGGCCAUUAAAAAGGUUCAAUUUCCCGUGAUCCCAAUCCUGGCAAUGAGUUCAGAUAUGAUAACCAACUGUAGGCAUUAGCAUGUUGUUCCUAUAUGCUUUGACACCAUCAGUGAACAUGCAUGUGCGUUUAGUGCUAGUUGAAUCUGGAUAUUCUACUACUACCCAUAAUCCAACUAGACUGUCUUGCUCUGUGCAUUUCGCAGGUGUUUCUGUUUCAAAAAACUGCUGUUUUUAAGUGCAACAUGGCUGGAAAACCUGCUGUGGUUACUCGUGUUGUGGAUAGUAUGACAGAGAAUUUGAGACCUACUCGUGCAGAAGCAACUGAUGUUGCCAAUGCAGUAUUGGAUGGUAAUUUUCAGUUUGAAAAGUUCCCUGUUGUAACCUUUGUUGCGUGUAUCUUUCUGUUUUGGAUAAUGAUGUGCUAGCUUCUUACAUGAGUGAGAGUAUUAUUCUCCUGCUUAUAGCUGUCUUGAUACCCCCAUUCCUCCAGUUUGGUCAGUAAGUUAGACAGUAUUAUAUGCUUCAUAAAUCCCAGACUAAUAGAAGUGUUAUACUGUGGUUUUUCUGUUGCUUCAGGGAGCGAUGCAAUUCUUCUAGGUGCAGAGACCUUGCGAGGACUGUAUCCAGUGGAGACCAUCUCUACUGUUGGGAGAAUUUGUGCCGAGGUAAUUUUUCUCAAUUAUUCCUCCAUUUUCCCUUGAUAUUUCCAUUGGACAGCAGCCCCCCCAACACACACACACACACACACCCUCUCAUGCACACACACACAAAAAAGGCCAAAGAGUUUGUUGGACUAUAGAUAAAUUUUCUUCCUUAGCUUCCAUGAAUAUAGGCAUGGUAAACUUGUCUCAACUGCACACAGACCUAGACAUGGACGAGGUAGCCUACUCAAUAAUCUGUGCUGCCUUUUCUUGGAACUGCAUUGCUUCACUUCAAAAUUCAUUUCGUAGUCAUUUUCUUUUCUAAUUUUUUUUGUUGAUUUGAUUAUAUUUCCAACUGCAGGCAGAGAAGGUUUUCAAUUAUGAUUUGUAUUACAAAAGAGCUGUCAAAUAUGCAGGAGAUUCAAUGAGCCAUCUGGAAUCUAUUACUUCCACUGCGGUAAUCUCUUAAUGUUUGAUUCAGGGUUUUUUGCUUAUUUUGAACAUUCUUUGCAUUACUGCCAUGCAAUUGUUUAUUUCCCUUAUUUUUACCCUUGCUAUUUUCGGUCAUGAAGGUCCGUGCAGCUAUCAAGGUUAAAGCUUCUGUAAUUUUAUGCUUCACUUCCACUGGAAGAGCUGCAAGGUUUUUCCUUCUUCACAAUUUUGUUUCGGGUCAUAUGUUUGUUUAAAUGCAAAUGCAAAUGCAAAUGGUUAGUAACUUGGAAGUCUAUUUUGAGAGAUUUAUGAAAUCAGAUUAUCUAAAUGUGAUUCAGAUGACCCACAAAUUUCUUGUAGAAUCUGAUUAGGACUUUCUAAGCUUUUUAUGUACCAAUGCAGGUUUAUUGCAAAGUACAAGCCCACAACACCUGUGAUAUCUGUUGUUAUCCCUCGGCUGAAGACAAAUCAACUGCGUUGGACCUUUACUGGCGCUUUUGAGGUACGUUAUUGUUUAGAUUGGUUAUAUCUUCUGGCCAGGGGAUAGGUUGACUAACUCUAGCGAUUUUGAAACAUGUGAAAACACUGUUGUAGGGGUAGCUGCUAACAAGCGUCCAACAAUUUUGUCCAUAUAGAAUGAUUUCUCAAUUUUUCAUUUACGCUCAAUUAAUAUUAAUAAUCUGUUGAAUGCGAUAUUUUCAAUAGUUUUCAUGGUUUUAUGGCAGGCACGGCAAUCACUCAUUGUGAGAGGAAUUUUUCCCAUGCUUGCUGAUGCUCGACACCAAGUAAGCAUGUGUUAUGUUACAUUAUUGCAAGUUUCCCCUUUUGUCCGUCCCACUUUUCUUCACCCUCUUUUGAGAGCGACAGGGUGAAGGUUCUGGAAUGAAUUUCCCUUUUCUGAUAUGCUAUUGAUAUUUGUCCUGAAUGUUAAAGGUUCCAUGACUGUAAUUUUAAUUUUGUGGGAAACAUACUUUAUAUCGAUAUAAAAAAUGGAAUUGUGUUGGGAGAAUUGUUAUUGAUUGUGUUUUUCUAACAUGAAAAUUCACUAUCUAUAAAGUGUUAUUAGCCCCCACUACAAGGUUAUUGUUAUUGGGUUUAAAGCAAAUACAUGUUCAGGGCUUAGAUACAAAAGACCUUCUAAGAACACUCAAAGAACUUGUUUAAUUUUGAGUACGAGGAGGAAAAUUAGGAAUAGGAAGUUGUUUUUAAACUACCAAAUGACUUUUAUUUAGUGUUGAGUGACCAAUAACUGACAUUAUACCAAAUGUCUUUUGGAUGAAAAGACAUGAAUAAAACAACACCAGAAUCGAACAUCUGGUUGAGGUUUCAACUGCAUGUUUCAAACAUGCGAUUCAAGACUCAACAUGAAGUCUGUUCAAAAUCUUUCUUUCACAACAUUCAGUGAACAUGACAACAGGAUGUUCUGAACAUCCGGUCCACAGUGCAACAUGAUGUUCGAAAAGAUACCUUUUCAAACUUCCAUUCUUUAUAUUCUAAUUAAUUUUUAAAAUUCUUCGCACUUUAAAUUCAAAAUUUUUUAUACCUUGAAUCCAACAAAUUCCCUUGGCAUUUUAGUGAAGUGCCAUUAAGGGACGAGGAGCAAAUAUGGAGUCUAGUCAUAGGAGUUUACACCAUCUUUUUUUAAUCAUGUUGUUUGUAGCAUCUUGCUAUGAUUACAAUGUGACUUCCUAGAGAAAUAACUAUAACUGGGAAAUAGGAAGAGGGUAUUCAAAAAGAAUAUCCCAAUGCAAUACGGGUUGUAGUUCUUUGGCACAUAAGUUAGGCGAUCUUGUGCCACUUGAGUUUCUACUCUUCCUCUUUCACUGGGAUAUUCAACUCUGAUUGAGAGGGGAAGGUAUUAUCAUGAAUUCUUGCUUUACUUCUUACGAAAUGGAAACAUACUUGGUUUUACAGGCUGAGCCUUUAUUUUAAGAAACGUAAACAUGCUUGGUUUUGCAGGCUGAGUCUUCAAAUUCAACAAAUGAAUCGGUUCUGAAGGUUGCUUUGGAUCAUGGCAAGGCACAUGGUUUUAUAAAGCCUCAUGACCGAGUUGUUGUUUGCCAAAAGCUUGGCGAUGCAUACGUGGUGAAGAUCCUUGAGCUUGAAGAUUAAGGUUAUUGCGCAUCUCAUUUCGCUUGAAAUCUGUGUUUGGCAGCUUCCGCCUUUAUCGUAUAAAAUAAAAGAUCUCGGACAUUUGUAAGAGUACAUAGUAUAUACAAGAGGUGGGGUUAGGUUCUUUCCGCUGUGGGCUGGCUAAGAUCAUGGACUAGCACCCACCCUGUCGGAAAAGAUAACAAAAAAUUCAUGACAUUGUUGGUCGAGUAAUUGUAUCCUUAUUUUCGUGGUCGAGUAAGGCGUUGUUGUUGUGGUGCUUCGAUGCCUUUGUUCUAUAAAUUUUGACUUGAUUCCCAAUUUUAUCUCAUCUUUAUUUAUUUCUUUUACUAAAAAUUAAAUAACAUGUGAAAAAAUCAUGCAAACACAAAUAAUGAAAAGCACACAAAUUUCAGUUAAUUUUUUAUGCGGAUUUCACAAAUACAUCUUUAUUAAAAAUCGUACAAUGUUCUUAAUUAUUAGAGAUUAAAUAGAUGAUCGUUCUUGAUUAUAAAAAAAAAUAGAUAAAACAAAAAAAUAUUAAAAAAUAUUCACUCGAGUAAAUUAUAAUUUAAUUGUUUUUUUUUUGUUGCUUUUGUAAAUUGGUCCUUUUAUUUUUCAAAAUUGGAUGUUAAUUCUUUAAUCAAAGUUGACAGUUGAUUUUUUUAAAAAAUUUCUAAAUUACCUUUUUGAAAGACUUAAUUUUGUCUAUAGGAAUAAUUUACUCUAUUUAAUUUGAUACUUUAAUUUAUUCAUACAUGUUUUCUCUUGAUCCACGUUUAUGUUUUAGGGUAAAUUACAAAAAGCUUUUUAGCGAAUUAUUUUGACAAAAAUCUUCAAAUUGUUCAAGUAAAUAUUUCAAAUAUCCUGAGGCUAAAUUCUUUUAUAUGUUUGGGAGUGGUGGCAGUUGCUUUUCUCUUGAAAAUAUAUCAAAAUAAUAUAUUUUUUUAUUUUUUAAAAAUUAUUUUUGAUAGAUCUAAAAACAUAAAAAAAUAUUAAUUUAAAAUAAAAAAAUAAAAAUUUUAAAUUGUUUAAAAACACUUUUUAAAAGCAAAAAUAAACAGGUAAACGUAUUAAGUUAAGGCUUGGAAAUCAGUAUAUGGUAUACUUCUAGUUAUAUUUUCUUUCUGUUGUUUCCUUUCAUUUUUGGCGGAGACUAUACAACAAAGUUUUUCUAUUUAUUUCUUUACAUGCCAGGAUUGAAUUUUAGGGGUGAGUGUAUUAAACUAGAGACCAAUGAUGGAACUGUAUCACUACCUUUUGUGAAUCUGCAGAUUCUGAAAAGUGGUGCUAUAGUUUUUGUAGAGCCUAUUUUGUUUAUGUCAAUUUGAAUCUAUUUGCUCUUUGCAAAAUAUAGGGAUGGUCGUCCAGCAGAGCUGCUGGAGGUGUGUUGGCUUGAUGUAAGCGGUGAAAUGCGUGUAACCAAAGGGAAGACGCAUGGAGUUAGCUUCAUGUUAUCCAUGAACACGGAGAAUUCCUUUGGCUGGGACGUUCCUGUUUUUUUGAUGGCUAGGAUAGGGGAGGAAGGAAAGUAUCAGAAUUAGGCGGGGAAGUAGAGGAAUUUCCUCCGAAGAAGUGUCGGAUUGAGUUUGAAAGUGAUUAAAAAAUCUGAAAAUAACGAGGAAUUUCCUGCGAAGAAGAGUCAGACCAAGUCUAAAAGUGAUGAAAACGCUAAAAAUAAUGAGGAAACGCUCUAUUUUCGCUUGAAUGAAGUGUGGGCUAACAAAUGGAAGGGUGGUCUACGGAUUCAUGAGGCCAUAUAUAGUUCAGGAAAGAACAGCUGGGAAUUAUGCUUCUACAUCUAAUACCCGUUCCGACGAGUCCAGAGGGAAAGAAAUAACAACUGACGAUUCUACUUCAACAACUGAAAAACCUCCGAUCGAGUCCGAAGUUCAAGAAGUAUAAGCUGAUUUAGAGCCAACCAAAAAUCCACUACCAAAGCGCACUUCCAGGUUUUUUCAGUCCAGGUUUUUUCAGUGAUUUGAUCAGCAGACCAGAUUGCAUCUAGUUAUCUGUUAUAUUUCUAUUUUCGUCAGUGUCAUAUUUCAAGUUAUUUUGAUUUUCUUAGUUAGCCCAACUAUGGCAAACUUAUAACAUGCUAAAAAGAAAUUAAUGAGGGGAUGACUGCUAUCAGUUUUGUAGGCAAGUGUAAUCUUACUGCUAAAGAGCUGGUUAUUUUGCUUGGCAAAUUAAAUAGUACAAAAUGGUUUGAACUUUGAUAUGUAUUGUUAAUUUCAAUAUAUAAGCUCAUGAACGUGCGUUCAUUUUUGAAGAUUUUAAAGUUUAGGGCAGAUAAAAAAGAACCAUCUUAAAAAAAAAAAAACAAAUUAAUGGGUUUUUAAAUGCUAUAUAUGUUCAUAUGCUUAUGAGAUAUACACACACGAAAGACAGAUCGAGGAUACACAAAUGACACUUCCUUUCCUUAUGGUACUCAUGUCAUCUUGGGUGGGUCUCAAAAUUGUCUACAUUUGAUACGCAAAAUUUGAUGUUGAUGUAGGUUCUACACAUGCAUAUUCAGGAUAAAAAACAGUAAAAUAGAUUAAAAAAAUAUCAAAUGAAUACCAUACAAAAUACCUAAACAUUCCCUAGACAUACCCAUUUCUAGGCAUCCCAGCUAGAAGGAAGAUGGGGGUUUGCAACAAAUUGACUACUUGAAAAUGGUGAUAAUGAUGAUGAUGAUGAUGAGGAGGAGUAUGCUGACAGUGAUGACAUGAUUGCAUCGAUGGACUCCAAUUGACUGGUUGCCACUUCAUGUACUGGAUACGGCCCAGAUGGGAGACUUGAAAGUCUAGCAAGUGGGUCGUGAACUGUGUUCUGUGAUUCAGAUGAAGGUGGAAUGCGGCAAACAUUUCCUUCAAUGAUCUCAAAAAGUUUUGGCAUCAUAGACACCAUCAUAGAUUGAUUGUCAUAAGACAUUGUUGCAUCAAUCGUACUCUGAUCAUGAGUAACAACUUUCUCUCCAAUAUAAUGCACUGGAAUUGCCCCAUUGCUCAAACUUUGAUGAUGAUCUUCUUGGUUUUGAUCGAGGUGUUGAGGUAGACAAGGCAACGACCACCCUGGGUCAAAUGAAGAUGAAUUAUCAUUUAGAGGGGGUGGGAUUAAGGGAGUUGCAGGUGACAAAUGAGGCAAAUCAACAUUGUAAUUAUUGGGUUGGUUGAGUUUGAAAUGUUUUUUAUCCUGAAUAUGCAUGUGUAGAAUCAAACAGUAAAAUGUUUUUUUUUUUAAAAUCAAAAAACGCAUUCCUCUCUUUAAAUCAUCUUUCCAAGGAGGCAAGGAUUGCUGAAACAGGAAAGUAAAAAAAAAUGUGUAUUAGUUUUCUCGAUUCUCAACGCAUUGGCUGGAACUCAUCACAUACAUGAAAGUUUUAGUCAUUGUUUUAAAAAGAUCAAAUCGUAAUACAACAAAGAGUUUAGAAUAUUUCUUUUCAUAUUGAAACCCGAUUAGAAGGGGUAUUUUUAAAAAAAUUAUAUUGUUUAGGAUGAAAAAUGAAGGAUUCUUUUUUUUUUUUUGUUAAAGUCUCAGGAUGAUUUUUUAUAAUUUCGCCUUCCAAAUUAAAUAAUUUUUUUUCAAUUUCUCAUUUAAUUAUCAUUUAAGAAAUAAUCAAAGAAGUUGACACAAUAUGUCAUAGUUUAUUUUUGAGUUAUUUUUCAAAUUUUACUUUUUUUUAAAAAAAUAAAAAAAUAAAAAAUAAAAAAUAAUAGCAAGAAAACUGACGAUUUAAAAAAAAGAAAAAACUAGGACGAUUUCAGAAAAAUCAAACUGCAAUUUCUUUCUUUUUUUUGCUAUAAUUUCAAUGAAAGAAAUCAAUCAAGAAGAUGUAAAGAAACGAGUUACCAUACCAGAGUGGUUUUUUGGGUUAGGGUUUUGGUUUUCAUUUUCCGACUCACCAUUAAAAGAUCCGUGCAGUAUUUUGGGAUUUGAUUUACUUUUCCUAAGAAUAGGGUUAGGGUUUCUGCGCUGUGAUCAUUUUGUCAUCAUCUUCUUCUUUCUUUUCUUAUAUGCUGAAUAAGUGCAUGAUUACUCUUAUCUACUUUAAUAAUAGUGAAUGCAUUCAAGUUUUGAGGCACUUGAUGCCGAUACAGCUCCUUCACUGAAGAAUCUAUUUUGAUAGCUCCAUCUUUGUGCUUCAAGUCUUUCUUAAUGAUUUAUUUUUUUUCGUUUUAAUUUCAGGUUAUGCUUGACACUGUUGGUCCAGAGUUGCAAGUGAUCAAUAAAACUGAGAACUCGAUUCCCCUUCAGGAAGAUAACUUCAUUGUCCUAACACCAGAUCUGGACAAAGAAGCCACUUCAAGCCUGCUGUCCAUGAAUUUUACUGAGUUGUCAACGCAUGGAGAAGAUGGGCAGUGUUUUUGAAAUUUCUUGCCAAAUAUACAACUUAGUCCUCAUUCUUUACUAAUUAUGACAAUUUGUUUUUGAAAAAAAACGACGUCAAAUACCGACUUCCCAUAUUGCCACCAUAGUAGCCGGGAGAUUAGUGCUAGAAUUUUUUACAAAUGUAAAUCUAUUUUUCAAUUUAUUUUUUAACUCUUGAUAAAUUUAUUUACGAUCUUAAAAAAAAGUCUCACACUGACUUGACUUGCUAGGCUUGUAAGCUCUUGACUUGCCCAUCUCAACGAUGUCUAGCUAUUUUUUUAAAUUGAUGUAUUUACUUAAUUUAGCCUCUUUUAAAUAACAAUUAUUUUUUUAUUUAUUUUAUAUGCAUAUAAUUUUUGAAAAAAUUACUCUAAUUCAUAUAUAAUUUGUUGGUUUCAUGUUUUAUAUAAAUUAAAAAAACAUUUAUUUUUAAAUAAUAUUUGUAACCUUACAUAAUAUUAUUUUAUUCAUCCAAUAUUAUUUGAUUAAAUAAUAUAGAUAAACAAAAUAUUGAACAGAAUUAAGUUAAUUAAGUUAAAAGCCCGUGUUGUUGUGAGGUCACACAUCAUCUUGAUGCAUAUAUGUUUCUCAGUUUUUUCAUUUUCAUCUAUAUUUAUCAUUAAUAACUUGUUUUUUUAUUUAGCAGAAUUUGUAGCUCCCAGAAAACAGGUAAUGGCCGAUAAUAAUGUAGCGGCGGCAAGGUGCGAUAGAAGAUAAGCCAGCGAACAGAAAUGUCCAUCACAGAACUCAACUCACUGAAAGCAGCAUUUUAUUGAUCUAGAUGCAUAAAAUUUCCGUGGUUUUCAUGUACAUUAUUCUUUCUGAAAGACACCUGCAACUACUGCAUCAGGGCGACUGAAAAGUUCUUAAAUUUUUGAAAGCUCACCUAGUACCAUCAAUUGGUUCCUGAACCGGUUAUAACUGCGGACAUGCCUGGUAAAAUGAAUUACAAAACUGUGCAAAAAUGAUACGGCACAACAAAUUGCAGUGGUAACAAAUACCCCGGAAAUAAAUUUGUGCAAUCCAUCGAAAAUUCCCCAACUCGCUCAAGAACAGAAAUGGAUCAUUUCUUGGACCCAUUUGUUAGUUUCGAGGGCUUAUUUCAAUAUCACAGAAGCAGCCUGCGGAUAUCACUGAAAUUAGCACGCAAAGCUGAUAGGAAUGCACCUGCAAAGAAAAUAGUUUAAGCUCAAAAGUUGUUGUGAAGUUCUGCAUAUAAAUAUGCCCCACGCAGCAGUCAAGCUGCCCAAGUAGCAUGUUCGAAAAUGUGCUACAUGAUAAGAGGUCAGGGGAAAAAAUAAACUGAAAUUACCACCCAUUAUUAAUUUCUUUUGUCCGUUAGGGACAAGGAGAAAAAUCACAAAUUCAAAAACUGGUCGUAACUAGUUGGAAAGCUCAUAGUUCUCCAAGAUUCGAUGCCUUGGGUCCCCGGAUUACAUAACAGCAUUACCUCAACGCCCUAGGAAGAACUUGUCCAAUUAGAGAUAAGGCCUUUUAGCAGUAUCCCUGCCUUUGAAGAGGUACCCUCAUUUAAAGAUACCCAUAAAGUUUCAACCUCAUUAAGGAGGCAAUCCAAUAGGAUCCAAAUCCUCAAAUAUGCUCUAUUUUGAAUUUGAAUUUGAAGAACAUUCACAGCAUUUUCAAAAUACCUUCCCUAAUGAAAGUAAAGAAAUUUGGAGAAUUACAGACCUGAAACUUGGCCAUCAAAAACACGAUGAUCAGCAGAUAAAGUCAAGUUCAUUUUGUUGAUAACUGCAGGCCUCUCAAUUCCUGGUAGAAAGAAAGUUCAAGUUAUAGCACUCAAAGAAGCUCUGGUACUUGAAACCAACAAAUAUCAGGUGGCAGAACCUACAACCAGCAGAUACUUACCAUCACUUCCAAGUAGUGGUUCAACAACUUUGUUCCCUCUACCAACAGCAAGUAUGCCAGCCUGCAAUAAAAGAGAUCUUUUAUAUACUAUACAUUUACAGGAAGCCAGCAAUGAUGGUUGUAGUGUAUCCCUGUAUUUCUUUCCGUGCCCAUUUUUGAUUUAAUCAACACCGGGACUAAUAAAAGAUCACAUGUUUAUGAUAUUGCUGUUUUAAAAAUAAAGACCACAUGUCUAUGAUAGUUCCAUUUUAAAAAUUUAACAGCAGCAAUAUUUUCCAGAAACAUGGAAGGUGUUUGUUCGACAUAAAAAAGGAAUGAUAUUUAACUAAUGAGAAUUUAAACACUAGCUACUCAUGACUCAUUUCUUCCAGUAAAGGAGAUGAAAAACAGCAGAAAUUCAAGCUAUAUGCGAUGCCUAAACCCAACAGGGCCACAGUCAUUUGAUUUUUUUCUCUCUUGAAAUAGUGACAAAUUUCUUUGCAAGGCUGAAGCCAGUCAUAUUGCCUUAAUUGAAAGAGCAUAGUUUAAUGCAUAUAUGAAUGUGUAUGUUCAGGGUUGAGUUUGAGGAAGAGGGAUGAAAAGAGAGAACCUGAGGCGGAUUUAUAAUUGCAACAAAUUGGUCCACUGGAUACAUUCCCAGGUUGGAAAUGCUGCACAAUAACAAGGAAAAAUUAGGUAUAUACAUUGUCUUUUAUUGUAUCUGUUUCAGAAAGUUCAGCCUAAUAAUAUAUGAACCUGAAAGUUCCUCCUUGAAAUUCAUUUGGUGUAAGCUUCCCGACCCGAGCUUUCUCAGCUAGUUGCUUGACCUGAAAUUCCAAGCAAACAAAAAUACAAUAAGCAAAGCAAAAUUGUGGUCUUCCCAUACAGAAAUGUAGACACUCGAUAAUUAACAGAAAACGAGGAGAAGAUACAUGAAAAGUGAUUGAAAAAUAUAGAAGGAAUGACCAAAAGUUCAUCACAAGCUUGCCCAAAAGCAGAGAGUAGGGGGUGGUGGAGAGUUCAACAGUCAUGGUUCGAUAAAAAUGAAUUUUCUUAACACAUUUCUGAAGUACGCAUAUUGUAGGUGUAACCUUUCCCUGGAUUCUUAGAAGCAAGCAUGGUCUUAGUGUAAGAGAUAAGGUCUACUAAAAUCCACUAGUGAAUCCCACCAUGGCGAAACAGAAAUAAAAUCACAUUAGUUACCUCUGAGGAGAUUGCAGAAAUGGAUUUCUGAUCUGCAUUCCUAACAAUUGGCGUCAUUAAGCCCUGCAUAAGCAAAUAAGGUAUAAUAAAUUCUCUAGGCCACAAAGGUAUAAUGUUAAAAAGCCACCAGCUAGCAAAUGCAGGGAUACAAGUUAGGGUCUUUAGAAUAGUUACUUCAUGCAUAAAUGUUGAAAAGUAUAAUAGUCUCUAGUUCUCCCUCUCACUACCUGAUUUUGGUUGAACUACAACCGGUAAGUGGCCCUUUUGGAAUCUAGUUUUUGUCCAAACUUUUCAAGAGAUUAUAAACACCAUACCUUCUCAGUAGCAACUGCAAUCGAUAUGUCAACAGAGUCGCACAAAAUGAUUUCUCCUUUCUCAACAUUCCAGUAAGCUGUCGUGCAUUGAUGUAGCAUUUUCAGUAUUAGAAAUGGAGAUAGAAACACAGCAUGGUAAAUUUUCUCCUGAAAUUUAAAAAUAUUAUGGAAUCCAAAAAAGAAUUCGUACUUCAAAGCCCAACACUCAUGAAAAGUCAGGGUAGGUUACCCUGUGGGGGCAUAGACUCUAGAUCACCCUUCGGACCCAAAAGAAAUGCAUGCAUUCUUGCAAGCACAUACAUCCGACAAAAGUAUGGCAUUAAAAAGACUUGCCAUUGUUGAAUUUAAAACACAACAUAUCCUAAAGCAGCAUCAAAUACACAAAGCGGGACAAAAUGUGUUGAGUGAUUUCUUUGGUCAAUUAUGCUCCUUAAAAAAACCAAAUCUUGGUCUGCAAUAAAUCUAUGCAAUUGAGUGUUCUGAUGCAACCAGUACUUAAAAGAAUUAUAAUAUAUCUUACCAUUAGCUUGCGGUACAUUUCUCAGAGCAAUUGCAACAGCUUUGAUGACAAUGUCAUUUACUGAAACUUUGACAUCAUGUUGCUCUGUAAAAUCAAGAAGCUCUGAUGCAUGAAUAGUCUGCCAGCUAUAAUUUCUCAGAGAAACACAAUAGUAAUAACUGAAAGUUUAUACCUUUAAGCUCCUUUCUGAAAGAAAGAAGAGGAUCCAGAAUAACAUCUGAUGAACACAUCUGACACCAUUAGAACAAAAAUUAUAUAUUGGAUAGUGAAAUAGAUCCCAUAGAGUUAUAUAUAACCUGUGGAUAAAUAUAAAUGUGGUGUCGUCUGUUUUGAUUCCAACAACCUUCUAGCUAUAACCUGCAGAUCAAUCAUUAUUUAAACAUAAGCAAUAUUGCAUUGAAAAAAUAAAAUCGCUGAUUUAGAAAAAAAAAUUUGAUGGAGAAGAAUUUGUCAAACACAAUGACACAAACAAGCGCAUAAGAAGAAUCCAAAAAUAACUCGAGAAAGAUGGGAAAAAGGAGGGGGGUCACUGGAGAAGCAAGAAUACAUAGAACAUCCAUACAAACCAAGGAAAAGGAACUAAAAAAUGUAAGUGACCUAAGCAUCCAUUAAAAUAGUUAGUAGGAAACAGAGAUUUGAUCAGAGAGUGCCUACUUCUACUCCAAUUAUCAGACAGCCACUCCAAUAACAUAACAUGUAUUGCUAUCACCAGAGUGCCAGUUAACAUGUAUGCAUAUAGGGGUAUCAAAUCUGGACUUAAACUACUAUAAGUUGAUAUGUGGUAUAUGUCUGAAAAGCCUUGCAUCAGACACAAAAACAAAUUCUGACGUCUGAUGAAGGAAGGGAGAGUAUCUUUCCUUUAUGGCGCAUAAUGGAUUUUGGAGACCGUCAUGCAUAAAGCUUUUCUCAUCUGUCCAUGUCCAUGGUGGGAACUUCUCACAGAUGCUUUGAUAUCUAAUCUAUCUUGAAUCCUACACCUCCAUCUCAGCUUACUCACAUAUUCUCAUAACUAUUAACAAAAAAUUUCAGUAUAAUCAAGGAACUUGUCAAUAACAAGGGGCAUCGGAUUUUGGAAAACCAUUCACUAGGACACCCUAACAAUCCCCAAUCUGUCUAUGAUAGCUUUCGAAACUUGACUUUCCCUCACACACCAAUGGCAUUACCUUGCGGAUUUGAGUGUUAGGCAGAUCUUCAAAAGAAUCUGACUGCUUUGGUUCCAGGGAAGGAAUGGCAGAAGGUUGGGGACUCUUUUGAGGUGGCGGAGCUCCUUUCUCCGCGGCUGAAGAUUUUUUUCCUUUCCCUGACUUAAUUGCAGCCAAAACAUCAGUCUUUAGCAGAGUACCAUAAGGCCCAGAUGCAUGUAAAGAUGAUGCAUCCAAUCCAUGUUCUGAAAUAAGCAACUUAGCAGAUGGACUGAUCCUCUUAAAAUUGCCUUUUUCUUUACUAGCUUCAGCUUUAGAACCAUGAUGAGUUGGUUUUUCUUCUUUAACCUUCUUGCCACUGCUGCUGCUAGCAGAAGUCUUUACAGCUUCGAUAUCAUUCGAGUCUUCAACCUGGAAAAACAUCCAUUAUUGCUCCAUAAAAACAUAGAACAUACAUACAUGAACAAUAACUCUGACUUACUGUUAUGGCAAUAGGUUGUCCCACAGCCACAUCCUUUGAGCCUUCUGGUGCUAGUAUCUUGGCCAAAUAUCUGCAUUCAACAUUUCACGAAAGAAUAACAAAAACUCACAGAUAGCAUAAGAUUCAAAAUCAAUUGCAGUUCAUUCAUUUCUAUGAGAAAAAAAAUAAUACAAGCAAAGUCUAAAAGUAGCUUCUAAAAGCUAGAACAUCUAAGGUAUUAAAAUAGUGCCAUUGUAUACCAAGCCAAACCACAUGUACUCAAAGUCACACACAAAGUUAAGCCAGUAGUUUGAGAUCUUUUAUAAAAGCUGCUCAUGUUUUACUAGAAAAGUAUAAAAUUCCAAAGUGGAGAGAGAGGGAGGGAGACAAAAGAGCCAUACCCUUCUUCAAGAGUUUCAAAUUCUAGAGUAGCUUUGUCUGUCUCUAUUUCACAUAUUACAUCACCCACCUCUAUCUGUUAAGCACAGAGACAUGGCAAGUGAAAAGGCAUAAUAAUUUGGUCAAUCAGCAUCACCCAAUUAGAUAGAAAGCAAUUUAGCCUAAAGAAUCCAACCUUGUCUCCUUCCUUUUUUCUCCAUUUGGCAAUGUUACCCUGAUUCUGAAGGAAUAGAUAGAAAAGAGUGUUUAGCUUAAAAGGAAAGGAGAAAAUUCAACAAAAUCAAUCCAUAUUCAUCAGCUGAUUUAUUUCGUCCUUUCCUACCAUUGUUGGGGACAAUGCUGGCAUUCCAAGAAUAACAUGAGGGGGAAGUUCUGAUGCAUUAAUAGAGCUUGUUUCUUGUGCCCCACCUUCACUUUUGACAUCCUGGUCAGUUGAUUUUUCCUCCUUAACAUCUGAUCCACUUCCAACAGUAGCAGGGACGUUUUGGAUGUCAUCUGCAUCCUCGACCUUGUGAAGACAUAAAAGGAGUGUUAAUGACCUUCUAAUGGAAUGGUUCAUACUCAGAAUGAAAAUUGCUGAGGAAGCAUAAAAGCAAAUCUCACUUAUCAAACAGUAUGAAACCAUAUUACCUAUUUAAGUGAUUAAAAUAUCCUUCAAGGAUACUCCAAUAAAGAAACAAGUGCCUAUGAUGCAUAAUCAAGUACCAAAAGGAACAGAAAGAAAAGAAAGAAGUGCACAGGAAAAUGUACAGAAAGGGAGGUUAUCUCCUUUACAGAAAGAUUGGUUUUCCUCGAUGUCAAACUUUAUAUUAUAAUUUACCGUUAUUGCAAUGGCCUGUCCUACAGGUACAUCCUUUGAACCUUCAGGUACCAAUAUCUUAGCCAAAAACCUGCAUUGGAUCGGUACUCAUCAAUGAAGAAAAAGGAAAUUUUACAAUCUGUGAUGGGGUAAAUAAACAUAGCACGCCAAUGGCAAAUGUGGAUCCAAAAAUUAAAUAUCACAAAAAAAAUAUACUAGAUAAAAAAUUAGAAAGAGCAGAAUUACCCCUCUUCAAGACAUUCAAAUUCAAGUGUAGCUUUAUCAGUCUCUAUCUCGCAGAGGACAUCACCCACUUCUAUCUGUUAGAUUGGUCCACUAGUUCAGAAACCAUAUACGGAUGAAAUCAACAAAUUGUCUCCAUUCAGUUAUGGCAGGAUUUAUUUCCAACAACCAUCUCCAAAUCACAUCAUUAUAGAAGUAAGCAAGCUGAAUUUACAAGCAUCAUCUUAUAUCAAAUCCUGCACUAACUCACCUUCUCCCCUUCUUUCUUCUUCCACUUCGCGAUAUUACCCUGAGUCUACACAAGAACAACAAGUAGAGAGACUUGAAUUCUUGCAGAAGAGUAGAAGUUCCAGCUAAAAGAGAUGAGAAACCUGCCUAUAGUAUACCAUUCCUGCAUAUCUUACCAUUGUAGGAGACAAAGCUGGCAUUCCAACAACUGUAUGUGAUGGCUCUGCAACAACAGGAGUUUAAUCAUAAAUACCAAUAUUAAUGUUCUCACAAGCAAGAUAAGGCUUCUACAAAUCACCUCUUCAUUUCAAAGAUUAAAAAAGAAGUUAAUGUCAACAUACAUGGCAGUCAUAGCAAGAUGAAAAAUUCAUAUGCUUGUGAACUGAUGAGCUUGUGAACUUGCAUUGGAAUUUGAGGCAAUGCAUGCAUGCAUGAAUUCUUAUCAAUUUCUUUUUUCUUUUAGCUUAAUUCAUAACAAUCUCUACACAGUCUUACUUCAACAGAACUCAACAUGCACUCAUACCACAGAUUAUUUAUCAAAUUUCAGCUGAAGUUCACUACCAUUGUCCCAUACGAAGUGCACGGCACAAUGAGCAAGUUGGGAAGUUUUGUAGAAUAUAGGCUAAUUUUAUUGUUAUUUCACUGGCUUAUUGAGCAGAAACCCUCUUUCCAAAUUAUGUCCUAGCACAGGAGAGAUAAACUGGUUGGUAUUUUCUUCGUAACACACUUAGCAAAAUAAAAGAUUUCAAGAGUCUUUCAUGGCACACGAAAUUAUGUUUCUGCCAGCAUUCAUCUGUAAAAAUUCAGCAUGAACACAUGCAAUUUUCAAGAAGUUGGGGAACAUGCAUGUGAGUUGUUGACUCACUUACUCUGGGAGUAGCAAAAUAAGUUAUGAACACUACAAAGCGCAAGUCCAUUGGUGAUCCUUAUUAUUUAGCCAGGUUCAUGGUUUGAACCUGCAACUCCAGAUUCACUUGGAGCUAGUAAAGUCCAUGCCACACAAUCCAUUCACAAAAUUACUUGAUGCAUAAACCCAGUGCCAACUAACAUAGAUCAGUGUUCUGAUUGUAGACUUAAAAUAAGAGCAUACUGGUUUCAUUAAUUCUACAGACAACAGAGACACACCAAACCAAGUCCCUUAACGCAACAACAGAAGAUUCCCUUAGAUACAGACAAAUAUCAGGAAUUGCAGUAAAAUGAGGUACGUACCAGAAGAUGAGAAAUGUCGAACACCAAUUUGCAUCUGUAAAGCAAUAGACAACAUCAGAAAACGGACAAGUCUAAAUUAGAACAACUCACAUAAUUCAACACUAACCUUGAGCUUCAAAGAACUAUCAUCGUGUACUCCACUGACUGUAAAUACUGAUGCAGACCUAAUGCACAUAACCAACAGUGAAAAACCAGCAAAAUUGAGCACACACAAAAAAGAAAAGGACAGCAAGAGGUUGCAAGCUAGGUGGCUCCAAAUAGAAAUAUAAAAAGAACAGAAAAAAUUAAAGAGACCAAUUCAAGGUAUGUGUAGUAAAUUAAUCAAAUUGGGCACCGAUUCUCGGUCGAAAAAAUUCAAUAAACAAAUCAACAAUCCCUGCUCAAAUUAGCUUUCACUUCGUCUAAUUCCAACUUCACCAAUUUCUUUCUUUGUUUGUUUCCUUCUUUUUUAACACUUCAGCACCGAAGCAACUGUACAACCACUAAGGAAACCAACAAACGUAAAAGGUAAAAAGAUGCAAACCUUGAGAAAGAGCCAUUGGCAUCCAAAUUAGAGCAAGAGCUGUAACAAGAAAUUAAAAAUAUCAAAAUUAAACUGAGGAUUGAGAAAAUAGAAGACAUGAUCAAUUUCCACAAUUUUUUUUUUUAAAAUCAUUCAUUCAUGUAAUUUAAAUAAAUAAAUCUGCAAUUAAUAUUGAUGAAACAGGAAAUGAUUGACUGACUGGCCGAUUGAUUGAUCAACACAAAAAUGAAAUAAACAAAUAAAUAAGCUAAACAAUUGGCACGUGCAGAUGGAGAAAAUUACAGAGCGAAGGAUCGAGAGGAAGAGAGAAAUCGAGCUUUGAAAAGAGAAGGUGCGAAGCGCGAUGUCAAUGGAUGCCUAAGUCGCGAAAGCAGCGCCAUUCUCUGUUCACUUUCUGCUGCUGCUAUCGAGAGAGAGGAAUUUGAGAAUGGUAAGUUUGUUUAUUUUGAAGAGCCGAGUUAGGGGUAUUUUUCUGUUUGGUUUUCUUUCUUUCUUUUUUUUAGUCAAAAUUCAGAUCGUAGUCGGUGAGCUAUGCGCUAUGGGUUCAUUCUGGCUGACUGGUUGCGCUGGAGGGGUGGGUGCGUUUUAAAAAUUGCUGUUUAGGUGUGGUGGGGCUACUAGCCUCAAAAGGUUGCUCUAUUUUCCUACUCUUUUCAAUGUGGUCACCGUCAAUUAAUUUUUCUUAAUACACACCUCCUUCCUGGGCUUGGUUUCGUAAUUCUGUUGGCUUUGCUGUGGUUAUAGCUGUUUUUUUUCAUUUAUUUAUUUUAAUUUAAUUAUUGUUAAUAGUAUUGUAUAUCUAAAAUUAUUACAUCAAAUUGAUGCUUCUAUAAUUAAUGGUCUGUGAGUGCUUCCAAAAAUAUCAUGAAACACUUUGGAUAUUAUGGUAAUUAUUAUCUCUUAUUUAAAUAAGUGUUUCUUUUCAAAUUAAGUUUUUAAAACUCUAAAAUAAAAAUCAUAUUUAAAACUAUUGUAUCUUGUUAGGUGAAACCAAUUAUUUAUUAUUUAUUCUUUAUCUUCUAAUUCUGGAUUAAGUUGACACAAGGUAUUUAUACAUAUAACAAAUUAAUUAUAAAAUUGUGAUAGAAAUAUAAUAAUUUAGUAAAAGAAAUGCGAUAACUUUAUUCAUUGUAUUUUUAUUAUCUUGAUCUUAUAUCAAAUGAGAGAAAUUAAGCAGCGAUACAUCAAAUCCCACUUGUAAGAACAACUAGAAUUUAGCUUGUGGAGCUAGACAAAACGACCUAUUUGAGUUUAUAUUAAGAGUUGAUGUAGAAGGACCAAAUUAAUAAAAUUAAUUGAUUGAUGAUGUAACAUAAAAAAUAAGAAAUAAGAGGGACUUGUAGCUGUGCUCUAUUUUUUUUUCUUUUUUUCCUGUUUUUUGGCUUUCGGCUUUUCUUUAGGUAAAUUUAUGGUCAGCUCCUCGAAGUUUUUGUUACUGUAGACUGCGCCUCUAAAUAAACUAAUGGAUUGUUUUUCCUUUUUCUGCUACCUGCAUCUACUUGGGCUGGAGUAGAGCCCAUACACCUGCCUUUCUGUAAGGGUUUUUUGGGUGAAAGCCCACUUUCGACAUCUAAGAAGAUUGUUACUGGGUAAAAGCCCAACAAUAGCCUCUAACACACAAAAAAUAGGCCCUGGACAAAAUGGGUUAUCCUGUCGAGAAGGGAAAAAAACUUUGUUAUAAAGUUUAUUUUAUUUAUUUUUUUCUAAUUCAAAUUCAAUUAAAGAAUUUGAAGUAUAGCUGCCAGACAAAACAGGGACAGUUGGGUCACUAAAUCAAUCCAGGAUUAUAAUUUAAACACAAUUUUAAAUGCAAACCACAAUUUAAAACCUAAAUAUUCUAGUAGAUCAUAAAUAUAAUUCAUAUAUCCAAUUUAAAGUUUGAAAUGCCAAAUAACAAUCACAAUCAGUAAUUAUAAUUGAUGUACAUAUAUUAUAACGAGGUCAGUCAGUCUCGUCCUUAAUUAAUACAAGGAGAUUCGCCAACAAAUUCAAUAUCAAGUCACAAAACCAUAUUUCAUAGAGUAAUGCUAUCCACACAGAGGAUAAGAAUUGCAAGUAUAGAGAUAUCUUGGAAACGCGUGCUAAUCUGUGUUUCUAAAAAAAUUAUAUUUUUAUUAUUAAAAAUUAAAAUUUUUAUAUAUUUUGUAUUGUUUUGAUGGGUUGAUCUCAAAAAUAAAUUUUAAAAAAUAAAAAAAAUAUGAUUUUAAUACAUUUUAAUAUAAAUAACAUUUUAAACAAUAUUUUUCUUUCUGGAUAGGCACUUCAGGUCAUGCCCGAUUUUAAUUUCUCUCCUCCUCCUCCUCCUGCUGACCAUUUCUCUCAACUGCUCUUGUGACUUCCUGGAAAACGCACAUACUCAUCAUAUUUUUUCAACAUAGCUUGUUCAAUCAAGAUGAAGUAUUUCUUAGCAUGACAUGACAUGAUUUCUAGCAAAAUGCCACCACAUGUCCCUUCUUUCUUCUCGAAUCGCAAAUUGCUAGAAAGUGACCCUUGUCUCUCUGUACACUUUGGUGAAUUUUAAUCAUAGUUAUAAACUUGAUAAUUUAUAAUUUUAGAUAAGUUAAGUUUUAUUUCAAAUUAUUUUGAUAUUGAUAUAAUCAGAUUUGAAUAAUUCGGCUGAUUGAUUGAGUUAAACAUUAAAAAAACAGAAAUAACAUAAAAAUCUAAAAUCAAUUUGAAACAAAAACUUUUUAUGAGUUUAGAUCUGAUUUUUAAAAUAAUUUCCGAGAUAAGAAAUAUUAGUUGAACUUUUUUUAUUGAAUUGAAUAGAAUAUUUUAUCAUUAAAAUUAAUUUUUUUAUUAACCAGAAUUGAUAUCAACAUCUUUUUUUUCUCUGUAACUAAAUUCAGUAUUCUUUCACUUUUAUUAAACUAGAAACUAAAAAGUCAAAGAAAUAAUUUUUUUUUUACAAAAAUUGAAUUGAAAAAAACUAUAUUUACACGACAAACUUGUAAUGAAGACUUGCUACUUGACUUGACUGUUUUCCCACACUGGAAAUUCUAGAAUAGGGCCAUCCGUUAUUCCGUCCCCAUGCAGAAGAAGGAGCUCAAAUUAUCUCCCCAGCACAAUAAUACAUAAUUAAAGAAAAAAAUCACGAACAAGGACAGGAUCUGUAUUAGCCUUCGACAUUCAUCUAAAGCAACAUGUUAGCCUAAUUUGAAUGCAGCAACACGAAAGAAAGGCAUAAAGAAAUUUAGGAACCCAUGGAGAAAACUUAAUCAAAACCCCUUUCCUGGUGGCUGUGAGGGUUGAGGAAACAAAGCUCAACAGCUUGAGCUUGGAAAGAACGAAGAAAGGGCUCCUGAUUGCUUCUAUCAGAGUUGGUGGUUGUGAGGGUCGAGUUGGAGAUUUUCAUUUUCAUUCCAGGGUGUCCAGUACGAGUAAUGAGGAUGAAAAUUAAAAAAAAAACAAAAUUCUGGAUGGCAGUGUUUAAUUCUUACAUUUUUCCCCCUCACAGUUAGACCCGUUAGGUUUGGAUUCGAUCAAGUUGGAUGAACUGAAUUUCUAAAAAAAUUAUUCGGAUUAAACGCAUUUCACAAAAUCAAAAUCUUGAACGAUUCAACUACUAACUUAGCUCGGAUUAAAUUCCAAAUAUCUGGUUUCCAAUCUCAUUUAUGGUACGUAAUCUUAAAAAUCGUUCUCUGUAUUCCAUUCUCUUGGUUCAUGAAGCCAGUACCGUGGAACUGAAUUCUAUAUUUUGGUCAAACAAACUAGAGUUCCAUAUUCCAUGCAUGCAUGCUCUAGGUUCUAUGAAGGAAGACUUGACAAAUACUUCAAGCACAGACAAUUUAUUGGCCCACCGGGAUUGAUGAAACAAAGAAAAAAAAAGGAGAGAAUUUUUAUGAUUCCACAAAUUUACUUUUUCAAAAUUUAGAAAAACAACGUCUGGACGCAUUUCCAAACCAAACCUUAAACCCUCUAAACGGGCAAAAAGACUUGCCCCAUUCAACAAGGAAGCUAAAAUGUCGAGAUUGGAAGGGAACUGCCCUGCAGGAGCGCUAUAUAAACAAGCCAGAUUAUCAAUGUCUAGCAUCCAUAAGUUCUCCUCUCGAACCCACAAGUGAAGGAGAGUCCUAGAUUUCAUGUCUACAAUGACAGCUAGAAGUUUUCCGAUUUUUGUAGCCAUUUUACUUCUUGUUGCGAUGCAAUCACGCACCAUUCAAUCAAAACCAAGUGGAGAUCCUUUUGGGUUCAUCAAACACCUGGAGGGAUGCCACAAGAAUGGAUCUGUCAAAGGGCUUCAUGAGCUCAAAAGAUAUCUUGAGAAAUUUGGAUACUUGAAGUAUGGUCAUCAAGGAAAGAAGGGCCAUAACCAUGCCAAUGACGAUGAGUUUGACGAUCUUUUAGAGUCUGCAAUCAAGGCAUAUCAGCAGAACCAUCAUUUGAACGUUACAGGAAGCCUAGACAAUAGUACAGUGCACGAAAUGAUGCAGCCUAGAUGUGGCGUGCCAGAUGUUGUCAAUGGCACAAAGCAUUACCAUACUCACAAGUCCAUCCACACACUAGCUCACUACAAUUUCAUUCCUGGAAAUCGUAGAUGGGCAAAAAGGCAAUUGACGUACACGUUUCGUUCCAGUGUCCAAGUCCCGGCUGCACAGAACAUAAGAUCCAUCUGCGCAAAAGCUUUUCGAAGAUGGGCACAGGUCACCGAAUUCACUUUUCAGGAAGUUAGCGGUAGCUCCCCUGCAGAUAUUGUAAUUGGAUUCCAUCGCGGAGACCAUAACGAUGGUAAAGCCUUUGACGGUCCUCAAGCAGUGGCGGAGCCACGUGGGUGCAAAAGGGGGCAAUUGCCCCCUUCAUUUUUUUUAAAGUAUUUUCUAUAUUAGGAUAUUAAUAUAAUAAUUUGGGGAGGAUUUGAUACACGGAAAGUGGAAAGUUGCUGUUUACUUAUAUUUUAAUAUAAUAUAUAAUAUAUAUUUUCAGUUUAUUUACUUAAACUUUUUCCUUUUUUUUUUUCGUUUUUUUCACUAAUUAAUAGAGAGUCAUUUUUCCUUUUGAAUUGUUGUCUUCCUCUCUCUUAUGCAAAUUUCUUUUAAAGUCCAGAUAACUAAGUAAUUUCUUUAGCUUUAUACUUUAAAUAAAUUUUUUUUUUAUCUUUUCUAUUUAUUUCAUUAUCUAAUUUUAGUUUUAUUUUUUUAUAAUUAGUUAUUAAAAAUAUUAGGGUUUAUGAUAAUUUAGGGGUUUUAAUAUGAAUGUGUUCAAAUAUGUUCAAAAUAAAUGUUUGAAUUUACUAAUUUAAUCAAUUAAAUGUUUUUUUUUCUUAUUAUAAAUGAAUAAAUUAAUGUUCAUGCAAAACCACUAUUCUUGACACCUCUUGUAUUGACAUAGUAGAUUAUUGGAAUUAUUUAACUAAGAUCUCUUAGUUCUAUAAUUAUGGAUUAAUUAUUUAAUUGAGGUCUCUUAAUUUACAAUGUACAUAUAUUAAUUGUCAUUUUAUAUCACAAAUUUAUUUGUAAUUAAUUGUUAACGAAAUGCUUGGAGUUAGGAGAGGGGAUGGGUUUAAAUCUUAUAAGUUACACUUUUUCUCUCUCGGUAUUUUCUCUUAUUUGAAAGUAUAGGAUAGUAUUAAAACUUGUUUCACAUAUUUGAUUUAGUGAGUUCAUACAAAUUUUUUGUGUGUGUCUAGAAAUAAUUUAAAUGUCUAAAAAUGAUUAAGUAUAAUUUAAUCAACAUACUUAUUAUAUACAUAUAGAUAUGAAUUGAAAUGAGUUUUGAUGAAUUGAUGUAUAUUUUGCUAUGAAUAUCAUAUGAAAGAUUUAGAAUUAUUGUGUAACUCAACUGACUUUAUUAUUAUGUAGUUGUGUUAAUUAUUAUGUAGACACUAAUGAUAAUAAAAAAAAUCAGUAGGUUCAUUGAUUAAAUUAACACGUCACUAUACAAGUAUUUCAAGUGUAAAUCCCUUGAGAAUAAAUAGUUAUUCAAAACUUCAAAUCAUGUAACUCAAUCAAGUUAAAAAAAAAAUUAUAUUAAAAAGUUAUAGUAUUUAUUAGUAAUUUGCCCCCUCAUCAAAAAAAUUCUGGCUCCGCCACUGUCCUCAAGGGGUCUUAGCCCAUGCUACUCCACCAGCUAGUGAUGCAAUAUUCCAUUUCGAUGCGGAUGAAAAUUGGAGUGAAAACCCAGGACCUAACCAGAUGGACCUGGAAUCUGUUGCUGUGCAUGAAAUAGGACAUCUUCUUGGUCUUGACCACAAUGAUGAUCCAAAAGCCGAUGCCAUCAUGUCUUCCGGAAUUCCUUCUGGGAUUGCGAAAAGGGAUUUGCGUGCGGAUGAUAUUCAGGGUGUACGAGCUUUAUACGGAUUCGCUAAUUGAAGCACGUACAAAAGGAGAAUGAUGCUUGCAGUUUCUAUUAUCUAAAUUAAGAAUAAAUUUCCAUCAGUUUCUAGUUACGAAUUUGUGUUUAAUUAGGCCACCCCUGAUCUUAGAGGUGGUUAGAGUCUUUAUUUGCAAAGUAUCUCCUUGCAAGCCUAAAACUAUUUUGUAAACCAUUUCUUUGAGAUCGUAAAUAAAUUAUGUUUGCAAAAUACAAAUAAUCGCGGAUUAAUUGGACGAGUCUCUUCAAGGUCUAUUUGUGCAGCCAGCCGCAUGUUGUCUGUGUCACAGAGCAUUACCGAAGGCAUAAUAAUUCCAUCCACACUGUACUCUAUAUUUUCAUCCGACGAAACCCAAGAUGUCCACCAGAGAAAAGGCAUUUAAUGUAUAGGAAUUAGGAUUGGUUCUAGUGGUCAAGUCCAUCGCACAGAUGCACACAGAGCAUAACGUCUAUCAGCUGCAAUCUGUGGACAAGCUUUUCAAAUAUAGAGACAAGUUUGCCCAAUUUGUUUUGAUAAUAAUGCACAAAUUGAAUUGCCAUAUGCAACCCCUCUCUCUCCCACAACUCGAACAAUCAUUAUUUUUUUUUUCAUUGAACACGUCCACGGAUUUUUUCUUGGCAUGGUGCAUGAACCGAAGUUCAAACCUAGCUAUCUUGCUUAUACUGAACAAGAAGACCACCUCAGCUUAACUCAAAUUCCUAAGCCGGCAUUACACAUGCAUUCCUUCGAAGAAUGGAAAGUACAUAACACACACAGGACACCACAGGCUGAUAAUUUCCUGUAGGAUUUGGUUUCUUUGUCCAAUAAUUCUCCAAUUGGAAGAAUGUUACAACUACAGGCAUGUGUUAAUGCGUUUUGAAUGAGCAUCGACACUAUGAAUUAUCCCUAUUGUAUUAUUUGGAUGUCGUUUCAAGGCACUUGAGCCAUUAAAAACGGUGAGGAUGGACCCGGCCUAUGAACUAUUUUCUUUAUUGAAAGAAAAAAAAAUCAUUACAAAAUAAUUACAUAUUCUCUCGAGGUAUUAUUUUUAAUUGCUAGGUAAACUGCAUGCUUUCAUCAUCAUUAUCUAGAAUCUGAAUUUAAAGAAAGGCUAUAAGAAAAAAAAAAACAAUCUUAUGAACAGAUAGGUAUGGAUAUGAGUGACCUGUUUUAAGAACCAAUCAAGAAAAAAAUUAAUCUCACGCAUGAAAACUUUCUCUGAUACCUGACCGAUGGAGAAAAUAAUAAUUGGCUGAUGUGGAAUGGUUUUAGGCUUUCAGCCACACAUUUGUUCCUUAAUUUACAACUAAUCACUUAUGGUUCGCUCUGUUUGAUCAUGAGAAAUAUCAUUACAUCAUAUUUAGAUGUGAAAAGGCUAAAAAAUAUCAUCACAUCACACUGUGUAUUGAUUCCAGUCUAUUCAAGUUAUGAAAGAGGAACCUUCACCAUCAACAAAUACAAAAUUUGUGGAGAAUUUUUAAAAUUAUUUUAUUAUAUUGAAAGAAACAAAAUAUUUCUGUUUUGAAGUGAAAUUUGUAUAAUUGGUCCAAUAAUAGCGAAAACCUCUACAUCACUACGUAGUUUCAAUCAAUUCAUGAAUUCAGUAUAUUUAACUUUUUGAUGCCCUUUAUUUGUUGGUAAAUUUAUCACUAAUUUUAUUAUUAAUGAAUUUAUUAACAAAUUAAAAAUCACCAAAAAUAAUUUUUUUAAUAAAUAUUUCUGUUCGUCAGUCUAUUGAUAAAAUUCGUGUCAAUAGACUGAAAGUACAAAUACUAAUAGACUAUUCUGUUAGUAAAUGUAAAAAUUCUGUUAGUGUCAGGAUGUUUAAUAAUUGAAAGAAUUCAGUCCAUACAUGACAACAUCUAUGGAAAAGUUGAAAACCAUACCUUAACAUCUCUGAUUGAAAUGUUAAAACGUCAACGACAUGUUAGCUUUCUGUCAAUUUAUGCUUGAAAAAACAUAAUAGAUACCCUUAGGAGAAUAUCUUCUGGUUGGGGCACUAUAUAUUUAUUUAUGUGGAGUUUCAUGUUCAUCCUGAAGAAGUCCUAACCAAUUGAAAGAGGCUUCCAAGUAUGGCUGAAAAAACCUUCAAAUUUCUAGUAUCCCUUUUUCUUCUCCUGGUGAUUCUGAUAAAAUUUGUCCAAUCAGAACCAACUGGGCAUCAUCCAUUCAAAUCCAUCCUGAACCUUGUGGAAAGCCAAAAAGGUCAAUCUGUUUCCAAGCUGCACCUUGUAAAACAGUAUCUGAAGAAAUUUGGAUACUUGGAUUAUGAUCUUUCAAGUAACAAGAACCUGAACCAGGUUGACGAUGACGAGUUCGAUGACCGUUUGGAGUCUGCUAUCAGAACCUAUCAGCAAAACUUUCAUUUGGAAGUCACUGGAAGGCUAGACAAACGUACUGUGAAUCAAAUGAUGAAGCCUAGAUGUGGUGUGGCUGAUAUCUUCAAUAGCACAAAGCACCACAAUAGUUCCAAGUCUUCUGAUGGGGUGGCCAAUGCUGACUAUUCGUUCUUCCCUGGAGCCCCCAGAUGGUCCAAAAAGCAUUUGAAGUACACGUUUGGCGCAACCGUCCAAGUCGCUGGUGCAGAGAGUAUAAGGUCUGUUUGCAAACAAUCCUUUCAAAAAUGGGCACAAGUUACUGACUUCACGUUCGAAGAAGUGCCUAAUUCUGCCGAUGCUGAUAUUAAAAUUGCCUUUUACCAACUAGACCACGGAGAUGAUGAGCCAUUUGAUGGCCCUGGAGGAAUCUUUGCCCAUGGUUUUAGACCAACUAUCGGGAUGCUACAUUUUGAUGCUGAUGAAACCUGGAGCAGCAAUCCUGGACGUCAAGAGCUAGACCUGGAAUCCGUCGCUGUGCAUGAAAUAGGUCACUUACUCGGACUUGGUCACAGCGAAGACCAUCCAGAUGCAAUCAUGUAUCCAUACUUUGAUUAUGGAAAGACAAAAAGGAGUUUGCAAGAGGAUGACAUCGAAGGUAUCCGUGACCUCUAUGGACUUUGAUUAAAAGCCACAUAUAACUAAAAGAUUAUUAUACCUGUUAUUGUAUUAGCAAAUAAAGGAUUUGUACGUGGAUUUUAAAAUAUGUGAAGAAGUCACUUCCACAUAAUCUUAUCUCCUUGUAAUCAUAGAACAAUUGCAAUUGAAGUUUUCCAGUCUGCAUGUUUCUUUCUAGAUAUAAUUAGUGUUCAGGAAUUUGGAGUUUGACAAAAGCCUAUUUUGCUAACCAGAUCUUAAUUUUUCGAGUUAUGCAAUCAACCAAAAGAGCAGUGGCAAUUAGAACUAAAUUCGGAAAAUUUAUCUGUAGGAAGCUGGGGGCAUUAUAUUCUCUCUUCUUCUAAAAUAAGAAUUCUAAGCCCCCCAAAUCACCUGCUAUUAUGUAGCACAGAUGGUCGAAACCCAGAUGAAAUUAGCAUGAGCGGUCCAAUAAUAUUACAAAACCUCUACAUCAGUACAGAAGUUUCAAUCAAUUCAAGCUGUCCAAUAAUUUAGCCCAUCAACAGCAUGUUAGCUUUCUGAAAACCAUACCUUAACGCCUCUUAUUGAAAUGUCAUAAUAAGCACAUCAACAGCAUGUUAGCUUUCUGUCAAUUUAUACCUGAAAAAUCAUACUGGAUACCUUUACGAGAAUAUCUCCAGGUUCAGGCACUGUAUAUUUAUGUGGAGUUUCAUGUUCAUAUACCUGAACAAGCCCUAACCAACUGAAAGAGGCAGCUAGCUCCCACCAAGUAUGGCUGAAAACAAAGUACUCGAAUAUGCUCCUUUUAUAAUAUAUAUAUAUAUAUAUAUAUAUAUAUUAUGAACUUGCACAUCACACUAAAAUGUGAUUUACUUCAAAGCUGAUACAUUAAAAAUUAAUUUCACCAAUCACAUUCUUCUCUUUCUGUAAGGGUUUUUUAGGUGAAAACCCAGUUUCAACGUCUAAAAAGAAUAAAUUUUGAAAUUUAUUUUAAAUAAAAAGAUUUACUAGAAAACAAAAUCGAUUAAAUUACUUAAAUAGUGGAAAUCAAUUCCAGCAUAAAAUUGGUUUCAAAAGGCAGCAAAGGUACAACAAUAAUUUGACUCAUCAAGCACCCCAAUGAGGUCGAGCCCCUAGAGAUGAUAAUCUCCGUUGACUCAUUAACGGUUGUUAAUUAUUACUGGAGUCUGGGCCUCUAAUUCCUUUUUCUGUUUUCUUCACCUACUUGGGCUGAAGUAGAGCCCAUACACCUGCCUUUCUGUAAGGGUUUUUUAGGUGAAAACCCAGUUUCAACGUCUAAAAAGAUUGUUACUGGAUAAAAGCCCAACUGUAGCCUCUAGCAUACAAAAGAUAGGCACCGAACAAAAUGGGUUAGCCUGUAAAGAAAGGGAAAAAAAAAAAAAAAACUUUGUUAUAAAGAAUUUGAAGUAUAGCUGCCAGACAAAAUAGGGACAGUUGGGUCACUAAAUCAAUCCAGGAAUACUACGUCAACUCAUGCAGACUAACAAAUAGAAAAAAUAAUAUUUUUUUGACAAAAAUUGAAUUGAAAAACUAUAUAUGUUUCCACGGGAAACUUGUAAUUAAUGAAGACUUGCUACUUGACUUGUCUGUUUUCCCACAGUGGAAAUUCUAGAAUAGGGCCAUCCGUCCCCAUGCAGAAGAAGGAGCUCAAAUUCUCUUCCCAACACAAUAAUACAUAAUUAAAAAAUAAAAUUGAUGAAUAAGGACAGGAUCUAUAUUAGCCUUCUACAUUCAUCUAAGCAACCAUCUCUUAGCCUAAUUUGAAUGCAACAACACGAAAGAAAGGCAUAAGGAAUCACGGAACCCAUGGAGAAAACUUAAUCAAAACCCCUUUCCUGGAUAACAAUAAUGUACUAAAUCAAGUAUAAAGACCCGGGUACAUGAAAGAUGGAUACAAGAAACUCAACAGCUUGAGCUUGGAAAGAACGAAGAAAGGGCCGCUCCGGAUUGCUUCUAUCAGAGUUGGUGGUUCUCCAGAACGAGUAAUGAGGAUAAAAAAAAAAAAAGAGUUCUAUCAAGUAUAAAGAACUCAUGAAAUCUAUAUUUUGGUCAAACAAACAAAAGUUUUAAUUCCAUAUUCCAUGCUCUAGGUUCUAUCAAGGAAGACUUGACAAAUACUACAAUCACAGACAAUUUAGUGGUCCAUCGGGAUUGAUGAAAACAAAUAAAAAAAAGGAGAGAAUUUUUAUGAUUCCACAAAUUUACUUUUUCAAAAUUUAGAAAAACAACGUCUGGACGCGUUUCCAAACCAAACCUUAAACCCUCUUAACGGGCAAAAAGACUUGCCCCAUUCAACAAGGAAGCUAAAAUGUCGAGAUUGGAAGGGAACUGCCCUGCAGGAGCGCUAUAUAAACAAGCCAGAUUAUCAAUGUCUAGCAUCCAUAAGUUCUCCUCUCGAACCCACAAGUGAAGGAGAGUCCUAGAUUUCAUGUCUACAAUGACAGCUAGAAGUUUUCCGAUUUUUGUAGCCAUUUUACUUCUUGUUGCGAUGCAAUCACGCACCAUUCAAUCAAAACCAAGUGGAGAUCCUUUUGGGUUCAUCAAACACCUGGAGGGAUGCCACAGGAAUGUAUCUGUCAAAGGGCUUCAUGAGCUCAAAAGAUAUCUUGAGAAAUUUGGAUACUUGAAGUAUGGUCAUCAAGGAAAGAAGGGCCAUAACCAUGCCAAUGACGAUGAGUUUGACGAUCUUUUAGAGUCUGCAAUCAAGGCAUAUCAGCAGAACCAUCAUUUGAACGUUACAGGAAGCCUAGACAAUAGUACAGUGCACGAAAUGAUGCAGCCUAGAUGUGGCGUGCCAGAUGUUGUCAAUGGCACAAAGCAUUACCAUACUCACAAGUCCAUCCACACACUAGCUCACUACAAUUUCUUUCCUGAAAAUCCUAGAUGGACAAAAAGGCAAUUGACGUACAAGUUUCGUUCCAGUGUCCAAGUCCCGGCUGCACAGAACAUAAGGUCCAUCUGCGCAAAAGCUUUUCAAAGAUGGGCACAGGUCACCGAAUUCACUUUUCAGGAAGUUAGCGGUAGCUCCCCUGCAGAUAUUGUAAUUGGAUUCCAUCGGCGAGACCAUAACGAUGGUUCCGCCUUUGACGGUCCUGGAGGGACCUUAGCGCAUGCUACUCCACCAGUUAGGAAUGCAAUGUUCCAUUUCGAUGCGGAUGAAAAUUGGAGUGAAAACCCAGGACCAAACCAGAUGGACCUGGAAUCUGUAGCCGUGCAUGAAAUAGGACAUCUCCUCGGUCUUGACCACAAUGAUGAUCCAAAUGCCGAUGCCAUCAUGUCUUCCAGAAUUCCUUCUGGGAUUGCGAAAAGGGAUUUGCGUGCGGAUGAUAUUCAGGGUGUACGAGCUUUAUACGGAUUCGCUAAUUGAAGCACGUACAAAAGGAGAAUGAUGCUUGCAGUUUCUAUUAUCUAAAUUAAGAAUAAAUUUCCAUCAGUUUCUAGUUACGAAUUUGUGUUUAAUUUGGCCAUCCUGAUCUUAGAGAGGCGGUUACAGUCUUUAUUUGCAAAGUAUCUCCUUGCAAGCCUAAAACUAUUUUGUAAACCAUUUCUUUGAGAUUGUAAAUAAAUUAUGUUUGCAAAAUACAAAUAAUUGUUGGGUAAUUCCCAGAACUCAAACACACACAAUUUACGUGGUUCGGCAACUUGCCUACUCCACGGAGCUACUGGUUUGUAUUAAUGAAGCUUACAAACAAUACAAACAAAGGAGGAGGAGAUAAAACUCUCUCAACUCAACUCUACUCUCUCAAGCUCUCUCUAUUCUUCUCUGUUCUCUCUUCUCUCUGUGUUUCUCACGCUGCUCUCUGUGUUCUUCAUACACAGGCACAACAGCUCUUCACUGAGCAUACAUAUAUAUUAAGCUAGGAGUGAAGGGCAUAAAUCAUGCCAUGAUUUAUGCCCACCGUUUGCCUCCACUUGUGCUAAGUGGAGAUUAGGUAUUCCCACUAAGCACAUAGUGGAGGUGGGACAUUGCUUGUCUCCAAAUAGCUAACAAUCUCCCACUUGGAGACAAACAAUGAAAAAAUAUCUUUUAUCCUUGAAGACCAACUGAAGUUUUGCACAACUUCAGUUUAUCAAGUGUAACUCCUUUGGUUAACAUGUCAGCUGGAUUCUUGCUUCCACAGACCUUUUCUAGCAUUAGUUGCUCGUCAUCCAGCAGUUGUCGGAUGAAGUGAUAUUUGAUCUGAAUAUGCUUCGUCCUGGAGUGAAAUGCUGGAUUCUUGGCAAGGAAGAUUGCACUCUGACUGUCGCUAUACAAAGUACCUUUUCCAUUCAACUUGCCCAAUUCCUUCAGGAAACUCUGCAACCAUACUAUCUCUUUUGCAGAUUCUGAGACUGCAACAUAUUCAGCUUCUGUUGUUGAAAGAGCGACAAUCUUUUGCAAGGUAGAACUCCAGGAAACAGCAGUACCUCCUAGAGUAUACACAUAUCCUGUAGUGCUCUUUCUGCUAUCAACAUCUCCUGCUAGAUCAGCGUCUACAAAACCUUCAAGUUUCAAACCACCAGCUGUGAAGGUAAGACAUGUCUCUGAUGAACCUUUUAAGUACCUCAUGAUCCAUUUGACCGCCUCCCAAUGCUGCUUUCCAGGAUUGCUCAUAUAUCGGCUUACAACUCCCACUGCAUGGGCAAUGUCUGGUCUGGUACAGACCAUAGCAUACAUCAAAGAGCCGAUAGCUGAGGCGUAUGGAAUCUUAUCCAUGUAUCCACAUUCUUGCUCAGUUUUUGGUGACUGAUCUUUGCUGAGCUUGAAAUGAUUCCCCAGUGGUGUACUUACUGGUUUAGUAUUAUCCAUACUAAACCUGCUGAGAACCUUCUUGACAUACUCUGUUUGUGAAAGCUUUAGUACGCCUUUGUCUUUAUCUCUGAAGAUUCUCAUGCCAAGUAUUUGUUUAGCAGCUCCCAGAUCCUUCAUUUCAAACUGUUUUGACAACUGCUGUUUCAGCUUAUCAAUCUCCUCAAUACUGGAUCCUGCAAUCAACAUAUCAUCUACAUAUAAUAGUAGAAUGAUGUAGGAGUUGUCAAAAUGUUUGACAUAACAACAAUGAUCAGCUUGACAUCUUGUAUAUCCCGAACUACACAUGAAGUUGUCAAACUUCUUGUACCACUGUCUUGGAGCUUGCUUCAAGCCGUAUAAGCUUUUCUUUAGCUUGCAGACUUGUUUCUCCUUUCCUUGUAUUUCAAACCCCUCUGGCUGUUGCAUGUAAAUGUCUUCCUCCAAUUCUCCAUGAAGAAAGGCUGUUUUUACAUCUAAUUGUUCAAGAUGUAAAUUCUCUGCUGCUACUAUCCCCAGAACAACUCUGAUUGUUGUGAGCUUCACAACUGGAGAAAAUAUCUCAGAGUAGUCAAUCCCUUUCUUUUGUUGAAACCCUUUUACAACAAGUCUUGCCUUGAACCGUUUACUUCCGUCAUGCUCAGUCUUCACUCUGUAAACCCACUUGUUUUGUAAAGCCUUCUUUCCUUCAGGCAGUGUGGUUAGCUCCCAAGUCUUGUUCUUCAGCAACGAACUCAUCUCAUCCUUCAUGGCUAACUCCCACUUGCUUGAGUUUCCAUCUUGUAAGGAUUCUUCAUAAGUUAGCGGUUCACCACCAUCUGUCAACAAAAUGUAAUUCAGUAAAAGUGUGAACCGUUGCGGGGGCUUUAUCGUCCUCGAAGACCUGCGAACAGCUGGUUCAAUUUGCUCCGCUUCUUCUUGUGUAGUAGCGGGUACAGAUAUGCUUGAGUCUUCUUGUAAAGGCUCUUGAUUGUUGUUCUGCUCAGUAACAUCGGGAAGGCCUUCUAAUCUUAUGAAUUCAGAUCCUUGUGGACUUGUAUCUGAAUCAGCCUUAUCCUUAUCUGUUUCUGCACUUGAUCUGUCUUUGUACAGAACUUUCUCAUUGAAGAUCACGUUCCUGCUUCUGAGAAUCUUUCUAUUCUGAUCAUCCCAGAAUCGAUAUCCAAAUUCUUCAUCUCCAUAGCCGAUGAAGAAACAUUUCUUGGAUUUGGCAUCCAACUUGUUGCGAGCAUUAGAAUCUAUAUGAACAUAGGAAACACACCCAAAUAUCUUUAAAUGAGAGAGUUGUACCUCUUUUCCUCUCCAUACUUCCUCGGGCAGUCUGAACUCCAAAGGAACUGAUGGUCCACGGUUGAUCAAGUAAACUGCAGUAUGAACUGCAUCGGCCCAAAAUGUUUGAGGUAACCCAGAAUGCAACCUCAUGCUUCUAGCUCGUUCAUUGAUGGUCCUGUUCAUCCGUUCAGCAACGCCAUUCUGUUGCGGUGUGCCUGGAACGGUCUUUUCCAUUCUGAUACCAUUGACAACACAAUACUCCUUGAAACCUCCAUCAAUGUAUUCUCCUCCAUUAUCGGAUCUCAAGCAUUUCAACUUCAGACCUGAUUCAGUCUCAACUAUAGCCUUCCAUUUCUUGAAUGUUUCAAACACAUCAGAUUUAUUUUUCAGAAAGUAGACCCAUACCUUUCUGCUGAAAUCAUCAAUGAAAGUCACGUAAUACCGAGAACCUCCAAGAGAUGCUACUGGAGACGGUCCCCAUAAAUCUGUGUGUACCAGUUCUAGCUUUCUUGGUCUUAAGGUCCUGCCAACCUUUAAGAAACUGAGUUUCUUCUGUUUUCCAAGAACACAGCUUUCACAAAUGUCUAGAUCAACAUUUUUAAGCUCUGGCAGCUUUCCCUUCGAUUGAAGUACCUUCAUCCCCUUUUGACUCAUAUGGCCGAAUCUACAGUGCCAUAGAUGUGCUUGAUUUUCUGCUUCAGUAGAGGCAAUAAUGUCUGCAAAUCUUAUGGUCAUAUACAGGGUGCCGGUUUUCUUUCCACGAGCCAAAACCAUUGCUCCCUUUGAAACCUUCCACAUACCUCCAGAAAAAAGGAUUGAAUGACCACUAUCAUCAAGUUGUCCGACCGAGAUCAGCUUCUUCUUUAGAUCAGGAACAUGCCUUACAUUUUGCAAGUUCCAUAUAGAUCCAUUCAUUGUCUUGAUUUGUACAUCUCCUAUACCCACAAUAUCCAAUGGUUGUCCAUCGGCCAGAUAGACUACACCGUGAUCUCCAGCAAUAUAGUUUUGCAUCAUUUCAUGGUGUGGUGUACAGUGAAAUGAAGCACCAGAAUCAAGAACCCAAUCAUCAACAUGACUAUGCACAGCAAGAAUCAAAGCAUCUUGUACCUCGUCUGUAGUGGCGUUUGCAGAGUCAGCUUCAGGUUUUUUCGGUUUUGUGCAAUUCCUCAUGAAAUGACCAGGUUUGCCACAAUUCCAACAUUCAACCUGCUUUCUGGGUCCGAACUUGCUUUUACUUCUGUAUCUUGAUUUGGAUCUGCCUCUGGAUAAGCCUCUAUCCUGUCUCCUCCCUCGAGUGUUAAUGUUGAGAGCUGAUCCUGAACUUGAACUUUCACCUGAGUCUUUCCUUCGCACUUCUUCAGCUAAAAUCAAGUCUCGGAUGUCAUCAUAUUUCAGUUUGGAUUUUCCAGCUGAAUUGCUCACGGCUGUCCUCAUACCUUCCCAACUGCUUGGAAGUGAAGCUAGCAAAAUGAGUGCACGGAUCUCAUCAUCAAACUCAAUCUCAACAGAUGACAAUUGAUUUGUAAUGGUAUUGAAGUUGUUGAGAUGUUGUGUCACAGAGGUGCUUUCUGUCAUCUUCAAGUUGAACAACUUCUUCAUCAGGUGCACUUUGUUAUUUGCUAAGGGCUUCUCAUACAUCCCAGACAAAGCUUCCAUUAGUCUUGCAGUGGAUCUUUCUUUUGUAACAUUGUGAGCAACUCUUCUCGAUAAGGAUAGCCGGAUAAUGCCCAAAACCUGUCUAUCAAGAAGUUGCCAAUCUUCUUCUGGCAUAUUUUCUGGUUUGCUCCCCAACAGAGGAAGAUGAAGUUUCUUCCCAUAUAAAUAGUCUUCAAUUUGCAUUUUCCAAUAUCCAAAAUCUGUUCCAUCAAAUUUUUCAAUUCCCGCAGCUUUUAUUUCAUCUGUCAUUUUAAUAUGUCUCGGAUUUAAAUCUGUCAAAUCUGACCUUACAGAUGUGUCCGGAACGGCCAAAACUAUUGGAAACGACACUGAGAUCACCCCAAUCGGACUUCGGAUGGCUCAGAUCUUAACAGUCAAAGUUUUAGGUCAACAGACGGUGCUGAUGAAGCCACGUGUCAGGCGGAAAUAGUGUCUGCGAAACACUGAAUCAAAACCCACUGUGAUGACGUGGAUAGAUGACGUGGCAUCCACGUCAGAAAUCCGGGCCCACCUUUGAUGACGUGGCAAAUGCACGCACUUUUUGGCUGACGUGGCAGGUGAUGGCGUGGCUGCUGACUGGUCUGAUGACGUGGCGGAUGACUGUGCAGAAUUGCUGGCGUGGCUGAUGACUGGCUGCUUGCGUGGCGGGUCAACCCGGUUCAGUUGCAGACAAUCGGGUGAAGACGACGCGUGGAGAGCGUGGCGCGAGUGGUCGCGCGUGGGCAGUGCUGUCGUCGGCGCGUGUUGGAGCGUGCGGUCAUGCAGGACGUCGGUUCUUCGCCGGGUUUUCACCAGUGAAUGCGUCUCUACUUCCUCUACGCGAUGGUAAUGUCAAAAACACGUUUUGAGAACUUUGAUUUUUGAGUUUGGAUCAAACACCCUCUUUUUCAAGAACCAGGCUCUGAUACCAGUUGUUGGGUAAUUCCCAGAACUCAAACACACACAAUUUACGUGGUUCGGCAACUUGCCUACUCCACGGAGCUACUGGUUUGUAUUAAUGAAGCUUACAAACAAUACAAACAAAGGAGGAGGAGAUAAAACUCUCUCAACUCAACUCUACUCUCUCAAGCUCUCUCUAUUCUUCUCUGUUCUCUCUUCUCUCUGUGUUUCUCACGCUGCUCUCUGUGUUCUUCAUACACAGGCACAACAGCUCUUCACUGAGCAUACAUAUAUAUUAAGCUAGGAGUGAAGGGCAUAAAUCAUGCCAUGAUUUAUGCCCACCGUUUGCCUCCACUUGUGCUAAGUGGAGAUUAGGUAUUCCCACUAAGCACAUAGUGGAGGUGGGACAUUGCUUGUCUCCAAAUAGCUAACAAUAAUCGGGGAUUAUUUGGACGAGUCUCUUCAAGGUCUAUUUGUGCAGGCAGCCGCAUGUUGUCUGUGUCACAGAGCAUGACCGCAGGCAUAAUAAGUCCGUCCAUACGUACAGUACCCUAUAAUUUCAUCCGACGAAACCCAAGAUGGCCACCAGAGAAAAGGCAUUUAAUUAAUGUAUAGGAAUUAGGAUCGGUUCUAGUCUCCAAGUCCAUCGCACACAGAGCAUAACGUUUAUCAGCUGUAAUUCUGUGGACAAGCUUUUCAAAUAUAGAAACAAGUUUGCCCAAUAUGUUUUGAUGAUGCACAAAUUGAACUGCCAUAUGCAACUCCUCUCCCCCCCCAUCUCUUAUCAUCAUUUGUUUUUUCAUUGAACACGUCCACGCAUGAAAACUUUCUCUUACACCUAACCGAUGGAGAAAAUAAUAUUUGACUGAUUAAUUUGAGUCAAAUUAAAAUAUUUAAUUAGGUGAGUACUUAAUUAUAUUUCUAAUUGGUCAAAUUAACUUUAUUAGAGGUAUAAUUAAGAUUUAUAAAUAUGUGAAGUCUUAGUAAGAAACGGUCCAACUUCUACAAAAAAAAAUUCCAUCCUCAAUACAUCUUAAAAUUUCCAUCGAUCACAAAACCACUUUGCUUUCACUCCUAAACCAGUUAGAGUAAUUCUAUAUAUGAGACCACGUAUAUGACUAUUUUGGAUAGAGAAAGAGUGUUGUUUUUACCAUUUAUCUCUUAUGAAAUUACUUUUUAUUUAUUUAUUGGAUUUUGUUCUUGAAAGAGAAGGCUCGUGUUUAUACCUAUUUUAAAUUCACAAUCCACUAUAAUUUAAGCUCUACACUUUACAAAAUAAACUCACGCAACAACUAAUUAAGUAAAAUAUUGUUAUAUUUAGAGAUCAUAUAAUGUUCUGGAUACACGUGGGAGGAAACGUUGUGUUUUAUGUUUUUUAAAAGCGUGUUUGAUAUAAAAAUAUAUUAAAUUAAAUUUUUUUAAUGUUUUUAAUAAUUUUGAUGUAUUGAUAUUAAAAAUAAAAAUUAAUAUAUAUAUAUAUAUAUAUAUAUAUAUUUUAAUUAAAUUUCAAACAAAAAAUAUAUUUGAAAAACAAAUACACCUCACGCAACCGUAUUUUAUUAUCCAACAAUGCAAUUCAAAGCUCAAAACUUUUAAACCUAUUUUGAAAUUUGAAUUAGCUUCUUAAUAUAAAAUUGAGUCUUAUAUCUUGUGGAGAUAAAAGAAAAUAAUAAUAGAAAAAAGAUAAAUAUCUUAGUUUAGCUGGAAAGUGCCAGGUCUUUGUAAGAGUUUCCAAAUCACAUUAAAGGUCCAGUUUCUCAAGAUAUGAUCAGCAACCAGUUUCUAAGAAGGAAAGAAUAAAUUGCGUAAAAGAAAUACGAAAGUCCAAUAAAUUUAAAUAGGGAUGCAAUAAAUCGAGCGGUGUAGAUAUUUAAUCAAUUCAAUCCCCUUCCACCUUCUUAAGGGUUGCCGCGUAGAAAUAAUUUCUUCGUAUUUUCCAAAUCUAUGAUAAUUUCGUCUUAAGAACUGGUUUAAUAAUUGAAAAAAUAUAAUCAAAUAUUUAGUUUAUCAAUUUCAACUUUUAAAUAAAAGUAAUGAAACAUAAGACUCUCAGUAGAAUCGAAGAGCCAAAACCCUUCUACAGCAGGCGAUUCAUAACAUUUUCUAUAAAAAAUGAACUUGCUCACGAGGAAAUACAUCUGCAGAUUAGGAUGGCCUAAUUAAACACGAAGUCAUUAUUAGAAAACAGAUGGGAAUAUGCUCUUAAUGAAGAUAAUAAAAGCUGCGAGCAUCAUUCUCCUUCCCUUUGGUUCUUAUUAAUUAUUAGUGAAUCCGUAUAAAGCUCGUACACCCUGAAUAUCAUCCUCACGCAUGCAAAUCCCUUCUCGCAAUCCCAGGACGAAUUCUUGAAGACAUGAUGGCAUCGGCAUUUGGAUCAUCACUCUGGUCAAGACCAAGCUAGAAGAUGUACUAUUUCAUGCAUUCCUAGUUGGUGGAGUAGCAUGGGCUAUGGUCCCUGAGGGCCGUCAAAGGCGGCACCAUCGUUAUGGUCUCCGCGAUGGAAUCCAAGCCAGAAGUAACUUCCUGAUGUAAGAGUACAAGAACAUUUAUUUAUUUUUUGUUAUUGGGGAUCUUCUAUUCUGAAUUAUCUUUACUAAUUAAUAGUGGUUGUGCCUUGAAAUAUAUCCUUUUUUUUUCUUCCACAUUUUUUCUUGAACAAAACAAGUUAAUAGCAAAUGCCAAUACUUUACAACUUUGGUGUGAUUGUUGAAGAGAGCACUAUUUCCGACGGAAUUUUUUGUUGAUAUUUAUACUCAUAGUUUGAUGGAUGAAUUUUCCCGAUCGGCUCCCUCACAAAAAUCAUUCAUCAGAAAAGCUCUCGUUUGUGAUUUAUGGUAUGUCAAUAAUAAUUUUAUCGAAGGAUUUACUGACAGACAUAACACGCAAAAAAAAAUUAACUCGCUUCAUUCCACCAAGAUCUCCAUCGAUGAAUAUAACAUAUCACCGACAUAAUCUUUUUUGUCCGUCGGUAUUUUUUUCGGUGAAUUUUAUGUAUAAUCGUCAAAUAGACCAUCAGUUAUUCCAUUAGUGAGUAAAUAGUGACGGUGGUAUUUGGAGUAAUUCUUUUCUAAUUUUCUGGAGUAUACCAAUAGUUUUAGACCAUCGAUAGCCAUGUUAGUAAUAAUUUAAAAAUAUAUAUUUUUUAAAAAACUAUUAAACAUAAAUACAAAAUAAUUAAAAUAAAAUAAAUUAAUAUAAAAAUUAAAUAUUUGUUAUAAAUUUAAACAUUUAUAAGUUUGAAUAUAAUUAAUCUAGAAUAAAGGUAACGAAGAAGGAGGAGAAGGAGGGUCAUCUGCGAGAAUAUGAGGCAAAUAAGUGGGAGCAGAUGUAUCGUCUAUCUAUGAUCUUGUUUCCAUUACAAAUCAGAGGAGUUUAACUAUUUCAGUAUUGAGUUGUUGAUAAUCAACAAGCUCACUAUGCAACUUCUAAUGGCCUAUUGGCCGCCUUCGAUGAGGGAUCAAAAACUCGGUGUGACAUUUCCGUAGAGAGAGGCAAGUAAUUUUUCAUACCGAAGAUGACUCGACUCCAUUAAUCAGGUCAGACUUUUACUCGGGAAUUUUUUUUGACAGUCAUGUAUCGAGGUUGAGUAUUUUCACUUGUGACAUGUUUUUUUUUUUCACUGCAUUCAAAGUUAGCACUGCGUCUAUAUAUCCUGAGCUCCAGAAGGAGAUUUUCAAUUUGAUAGGGAGAUUGGUUGGCAAUAUGGUACGGUCUGGUUUUGAUGGAAAAUUAAGGUUGAUGCUGAGGGGUUUUUCAGUCUGCUCCUUUUUGGGUUCGUGAAUGAGAGGCUUUGUUCGUCCUUCUCCUCUCCUUCUUGUGUUGUGCUGGUGUUUUAAAUGGAGAGGGGGCUACCAUUCUGAAAAAUCAAUUUGGGAUUGAUUUGCUAGAAAAUUGAUUGAGUACAAUCAGCUGGGAUUUUGGACCAUUAGAGAAGCUGAAUCAUGAAUUAAUUAGGGAUUAAAUGGAAUUAAUUUGACAAAAUCGUUGGAUUAAAUUGGGCUGAGUUGAAUUAAUUGAAUUCAAUUGGACUGAAUUGAGGUUAAUUGGACUGAAUUGGUUGGACUGAAAAGAAUGGGACUAAAACAAAGUUAUAUAAAGCAAAUUCAAUUGAUCCUUGGAAUUUUUCCUUCUUUUAAUUAAAGUCCUUUUAUUUGUAAUUUCUUUCAAUUCUAAUAGAAUUUGCCCUAAAUCUUCUUUUUCCUUUUCAAUUGUGUCCUAAUUGAAUUAAUUUAAACCUCCAGAUUUAGCUCUUGUUGCAAAUUCAUCCUUGGUUAUUUCUAAAUUUGACUAUUUAUUUCAAACUCAUCAUUGAACUUUCAAAUUUCUUUCCAUCCUAGCCAAAUUAAAUCAAAUUAAACUUUAUUUUUCCUCAAUUUUCUCUUCAAUUCAAACCUCAAUUACAAGCCAAAAAUCCUCAAACUUUAUUUUUGUCUUUGAUACUCAAUUAUUGGUACAAUUUCCAUCCUAACUGUGAUUUUUUAUAUGUAUUUUUUUUAUUUUCUUAUCUUCUAGAUAUUUUUAUUUGUUUUUUUAUGAUUUAUUUUUAACACACAAAGAUUUAAAAAAUAAUGAAAAUAACAAAAUGAUUAAAAUUAACUAAAUUUAAUGAAAAGAUAUAUAUAUAUAUAUAUUUUUGUUUUUUUCUAAUAUAUACAAAAAAUAAGGUCACAAUGGGUUAAGACAAUUAUUAUUGUUGUUGUUGUUGUUUGAUGUAUAGCACUCUGUUUUGGCAGAAUAGCGGAGGUUCGAUAAAAAUAUCAGACAGGGGUGAUUUGAUGUCUGGAACAAAUGAUAGGCAUGGGAAUGGAUUUUGAGUGAAUCAGUUUACUGCUAAAAAUGUGUUUUGAAGAGGCGAGGGUUUUAAUUCUGUUGUUUUCUGUACUCUUUGGCAGGAAAAUUACAAUCACAGAGGGCCAUCCAUGCAGCUGAGGACACGAUAAUGCGGAAGGUAUCCUAAGCUUCUGAGAGGGAGGCAGGUUAGCCUUUGACCAUGAUCUGAACUAUUUUUUGUUGCAAAUUUCUCCGUGGACCUUGCAAUUUCCUAAUUUAUUUGGUGUUUCUCGAAUUUGGUAAGCAGAAACUGUGAUGGAAGGAGAAACAAGGAAGGUAAAUUCUUCAGUAUAGAAAGUAUAGGAAAUUCUUCACAGGGUGCAAUUUUCUGUUUCUGGAAACAGUUGUUGGAUUAGGCUCUGUUGGCUUGUCUUAAUAUUAGAUGUAACCAUGUUUAUCUUCUUGAUACAAUUAUUAGUAACUUUUAAACUAACACAUGUUUUACGUCUGAGCUGUGCUUUCAAAGGAUACUUUGCCAUAGCUAAAAUGGAAAUUUGCCGAAAUAUUUCCUUCUGAAUCUUGUUUAGUUAAUCCUCAUCUUGACAUUUCAGAUUUUGUAAUCUCUUUCUUAUAAAUGGGCAAUAAAUCCAGGAGUGCAGGAAAUAAUAUAUAGCUUGUCUUGUGACUGGAAGCAUCGAAUGCUGAUGCAGGAUGUGGUUGUCAUUCUAUAUCACUUUUACGUUUCUGAUUCGAAGAAUGGCCAUUUUAUGAAAUACUAAAAGGAAAUUCUUUGGUUGUAAAGCUCACUUUUUGCAACUUCUAAUGGCCUUUUAGCCGAUUUCGGUGAGGGAUGAAAAACUCUAGUGUGACAUUUCCAUAGAGAGAGGAAGUAAUUUUUCAUACCAAAUUAAGAUGCCUCGACUUCAUUAACCAGGUCAGAUUUUUACUCGGAAAUUCUUUUUGACAGUCAUAUAUCGAGGUUGAGUAUUUUUACUUGUGACAUGGUUUUUUUUACUGCAUUGAAAGUUAUCACUGCGUCUAUCCUGAGCUCCAGAAGAAGAUUUACAAUUUUAGAAGGUACAAGCUCUUUUCUUUUAAUUUUUUUUUUUUUUUUUUUUUUUGUGAUGAGAUCUAAUUGUUCUUAUGGAAACGAAACAUGCGCAUUUGAUUUGGUUUUGCGGAGAGAUUAUCUAUAAAAUAUAUUCUUAGAGUAAAAUGUGUUCUUUUAUUUAUAGCAUUUGGAAAAGUGACUUUAUCGAUCGAUAGGGAUACACACAUGCAUAGUUGAAAUCACUCGCCAACAUGCUAUGUGUGAGCUCCUGCAAUUUUAUUUCAGAAUACAAAAGAAAAGGUAUCCUCUGUGUUCAUGGCAAGCUUUUAAUUACCUUUCCCUCCUCCAUAUCCAGAGCCAUAACCAGACCCGCUUCCAUAACCUGAGCCAGAGCCAGAGCCAGUUCCUCCUCCUCCACCCCCACCUCCUCCUUCUCCUCCUCCUCCUCCACUUCCAUUCCCACCCUUGCCACCACCGCUUCCGCUUCCACUUCCACUUCCAUAGCCUGACCCACUUCCUGAUCCAGAGCCUUGACCUCCACCACCACCACCACCACCUCCACUGCCACCACCACCACCACCACCUUUGCCGCCACCUAUCCCACUACCAGAACCAUAGCCUGAGCCGCUACCAGACCCAUAGCCAGAACCUGACCCGUUGCCUCCGCCACUGCCACCACCUCCACCUCCGCCACUGCCCCCGCCCCCGCCUCCUCCACGACCACCAGCACCAUAUCCUUCACCGCUCCCGGAUCCAGAACCAGAACCAUAACCUGACCCAAGUCCUGAUCCAGAUCCACCACCACCACCUCCUCCCUGCCCUCCACCUCCGCCUCCACUAAUUGACUGCAGUGUCCUAGCAGCAAAGGCGAUGUCUACAAUAAGCAAGACCAGGAAAGCAGUCCCUAACGCUCUUGGGCUUGCCAUUUCCAGAUUAUACUCUCACGGCUCAACGUAUCUGUAUGUUUAUGCGUGUCACUCGCUAUAUGAGAAACCAGUAUGUUUUGUUGACUGGAAAUGCUUGAAGUGGCAACCCUAUAUAUAGGCAUUGUGAAGGUAACAAGACAAGGUUUUUGAAAAGUAUGGCAUGAAUUGUAAAGGUAACGAGACACGGUUUUUGAAAGGUUUCUUAAAUUCCUAGUACCUCUCACUUGGUAAUUAAUCUUACCUAUUAUAGAAAGGAACGCGUGUUUUGGGUUUCUGUUUCUGUUUCUGUGGAGGGUGUUGGUACAGUGGAGGACUGUCUGUCUCUGUCUACAUGCAAUAGAAUACAAGCUUUAUCCCCACCUUUUCUUUUCUUCUUGUUUUUUUUUUCACUAAGAACUGUCUUAUAAUAUUUGACUUCGGAAAGGGGACCAAUACCAUGCACUUCCCACUCUUUAUCAUUCUGUUGAUAUUUUAACUCUCAGGACACCUAUAAAUCAAUUUAUUAAUAUAAAAAACUUCAAAAACAAUUCUAAAACGUGAAACCGAAACAGGUUGGAUUUUUCUUUCUAGACUUGGAUCCACCGUUUUUAGAUGAUAUUGAGAUUUCAAACUAUCACCGAUGAACUAUUUUUUUAAAAUGAAACUUGUGGAUACCGAGACAAACCAAUUUAGCGGUAAGAAUAUGCGAAAAUCAUAACUUUUAUUUUUUAAACUGGAAUUCGACGAAACUUUAUCUCUCCUUCACAAACAUAGAAACUUGAAAAUAAUAAAGAUAAAGUUAUAUACCAAAAUUGGAUUUAUAAAAACGUAAGGGACCGGACAAUUCAAAAUUUUAAAAUGAAAGACUGGGUUGUACUUUUCACGCCAACUUUAAACACUCCACCUACUUUCAGCGUCUUUUCUAUGUUGUUCCUCCUUUCAAUUUUAACUCUAGCCAACAAAAUACAAAGUAAUUGGCUAUUAACUUUGUAAUUAAAUGGCUCCAUUGAUGAAAACAAAAGUUAAGGGACCGAAAUGGAAAAAAAUAAAAAACACACUUCUCUAAUCCACCCUCCAUUGUGAGUACGUUAACAUGUUUAACACUGCUCGACACCCCCAAAAUGUUUUAGUAUAUUUGUUAUUUGAAGUCCACUUUGACGGCGUACUUGGAAUUUUCCUACACUAGCGCUUGUCUAGUGAUUUGUUUAUCUUAACAUUUGUCUCCUAGAGCAUAUGUUCAUCAACUACUACUAGGAUUUAUGUACACAGAUAUCUUUCUACUCUGCGUGUAUGCUAACAAUGGGCAAAAGUACUUGCACAACAAACUGGGUUGUUCAGUCAAUGUUUCUUCUUGCUGUUACAGUACUUAUGAAUUAAUAGAUUUAAAUUUCUUUUCCCACAAUAUCAUAGACACUUUGCAUCAUUGAAUAUAAAUAGAUCUGUACUUAGAAACCGUGUUCGAAUGUCUGACUUGUAAUUAAAAACCUUGGUGCCUGUUCUGGGGUGUUAAAGCACACCAUCCUUGCAUCACUGCGAGGGGAAUGUUAGGCCAUCUGCAUGGUUGAUAUACUGAACAGUCUUCUAUUCUUGCACAAAUUGAAUUUCAGUUCCAUACUCACAGAGCAUCACUUCCUUUGAUGCCAUGGUUUUUUAAGUCUGUGUAAGAGUGAUCUGCUAUUCUGAAUUACUGGUGACCAGCAUGCUGUAUAUACAUUAGAAGUGGGCAUGGAAUUUCAGAUUCCUUGGUGAAUGUCAUAACUCAAUUCUGGAUUAUUCCCCAAAGAUUCAUUUUUUUUUUCAAAAUAAAAAUAAAAAAAUAAAACAAAGACCGGCAACGUGGAGAAAGCAGACCGAGGAAUCAAGCUGUAUUUUUUUGGAGGAAAUUCAAGGCCUAAUUGUACCCUAUUAUGCCCCAAAAUAGAGAGAAGAUGCAAAUUCAAGGAUUAUUGGAUGAAUUUGCAUAAACAUUAAGUUCAAGGACAUAAUUAAAUUUUUAAUAGGCCAAAUUGAUUUAAUCAUGUGCCAAAUUGAAUUUUAAUUAUGUUCAAGAAUUAAUUUGGGAUUUAAUUAAGUGCAAGUACUUAAUUAUACUUUAAAUGGGUCAAAUUAAUUUUAUUUGGGGCUUAAUUGGUGCAAAAUUAAGUUUGGAAGCCUAAUUUGGACUUAAUUGAGAAGAUUGAAAUUUUAAGAGAUCAAAUUUAAUUUUUACCAUGUUAAUAUAUUGAAAUCAGGGGCAAAAUUACAAGAAAAUUGAACUUUUGGGGUCAAUUAGAGGCUAAAUUAAAGAAAUCCGAGACCAAAGACUAUAUCGCAAUAGGCACGUAACUUCGGGGCUCCAAUUAAAGUUCAUUAGGGGCUUAAUUGCAAAGGUUUAGGGUCAAUGAGAGGUUCAAUUGAAAGCAAUUGAAAGAUGAAGAACUGAAAUGAACUUUGGCCAAAAUCAGAACUUUGGAACUGUUCAUCUUCUUCUUUAAAUCUCUGAAAUAUCUGCUCAGGUUAUCUACUUUGUAGGUGAAUUUAAUGCACCUAAAGUCCACCAAAUUUAACCAAACUUGCACGAAAAUGAUUCUCUACAGUUCAUCUACAGUUUCAUAUCAAUAGUUCAGUCUGAAUGAUAAUUAAUCGGCGCCGGAGCCGGCCUAAACAUGCCAACUCAUGCAGCUUUUUCUGCAGAUUUGACAGUGCACCGUGCCUACUUUAAGCCAACGGUUGGGAUCCUUCCCAACCGAAUCAAGGGCUGAAAAGUUUUUUCCUGUGUAGAAAAGAUUUCCCUCUUCCACCGCCUAUAAAUAGAGGUGGAUUUCAUGGCCUGAGGGAGGAUAAAAUCGGGUCCAAAAUAAGCUAAAAAAUCAACCUCUUCCCGGUUUCUGCCACUUUCUCUAUGUUUUCCUCUUUUUUCAUUCUCUCUACACCGUGUCUUCAGCCACCACCACGUCAUCACCGGUCUUCCCACCAUCAGCUCCACCAUAGGAAGCCAACGCAACCACCAGCAGACCACCAAGAGCCACCGUUGGUUUCUCUCUCCUCUCUGCAGCCCCUCCCGCACGUUUUUUUUCUUUCUUCUUCUUUUGCUUCCUCUGCCGCAGGCCACCAUCUCUGUCACAGCCUCAACCACCUUUUCUACCACCAAUCGGCCACCAAGAAGCCACCGCGACUCUCUCCCUCUUCCUCCCAUAGCCGACCCCGGCCUCCACCGCUGCAACCACCGGCAGCACACCGUCAUCCUCGGCCAGACCACCGCCACGCCAGGUUGUCCGCCCUCUCUCCCUUUCCCCUUCUUCUUCUUCUUCGCUGCCUUUGUUCACUGAGUGAACAGUGGACGUGAAUUAUAAUUCACGUCCUACUGUUCACACAUGAACAGUGGGCGUGAAUUAUAAUUCAUGUCCACUAUUCAUGCAGUGGACUAUAUCUUUUUUUUUAAUCCAAAAAUUUUCAAAAAAAUCAUUUCAAAGAAAAUUAUGAUUUUCUGGCAUAUUUUUCUACCAAUUUUGCAUAAUAUUAGGUUGUAUAUUUACACUGUAAAAUACAAAUCCGGUAUUAAAAUACUCGAUUUUCUUUAAAAUAUUUCAAAAAGUAAAAAAAUAAAAAAAUUUCAAAAUAUUUUCAAAAAGAAAAAAAAAUAUUUUGUUGCAUUAGACCAAAUCCUGAAAUUUUUCCAAGCAUAUUUUUCAUAAAAAAACAAAAUUUGCAUCUUUUCAUGUUUAAAAAAAUAAAAAAUAGAUAUCGUAACCAGUUUAUGAUUAUCUAUUAGGAUUUGGCCAAAAUAUCAAAAAAAAUUCCAAUCCUUUUUUUAUGAUCCAAAUGUAGACUUUAAUAUUUGUGGAGUGUAAAAUUACACGAUAAAGUACACCCUCAAGUAUUAAAGAUACAAGGUGUAAAAAUGCAAUGCUAAAAUUCAGAUUUUAAAACGGUUAGGAUUUAACCUGAUAAGGUAGAGACUCUCUUAUGAAGAGAGAUCUGCCUUGAGCAUUAGAAAAGACCAACGAAUAGAAACUCGACUUAGAAAAAACAAUCAAACAACAAUGCAGCUUACCUUAGGUAGGGUGCACUGGGGGUGAUGCGUCUUCCCCUUGCACAAUCAGUCCCUUACUCAGACUCUCGCACAGUAUAGGUUCCUAUUGACCAUAAUACUAAGAGACGACUCCUAAACCUUAAUCAUAAUUUUAUGAUUAAAUUCAAAAACUCUUUCCAACACACAACACCCCUUAUCAGGAGGCACGCCAGGAGCCUUCGCCGUCGCCAGACAACGUCGCCCCAAGAUAACAGUCAGUAUAUUAGAACCACUAGAAGAGCUGUACAUCUAACAGUGGCUCAAGUGAAGCCAACAAUUAAAAUAUACAUAAAGAAAAGAGAACAAGAGAGAAAAAUCUCACCUAUAAAGAAGGCAAGCAAAGUUCACAACGCAGCCCCUCAUCUCUAGAUCAGUCCAUUCGAGAAUGUCAAACUUGGCAUCAAGGCUCUCUUUUUAUGCCAGAAAACACCGAAGAAGCAGAGACCAAUACACAAACAUUGUAUAAAAUCUUAAUAUGCAAUAUAUAUGAAUGCAAUACGAGGAAAAAAAGAAAGAAAGAUCAAAUAUCACAAAUAACAUAUAACAGUCUUUAAUUUGUUGUUGUAUUUAAAGAACGUUACCUUCCUGAGAAAAAAGAUACUACAAGCAAAAGCAACACGUCUCUCUGCAAAAAUCUUGGAACUUAAAAUGGAGAAGAGUGAGAAAUCGUUAAAAGGAUGUGUUCCAACAGGAACACAGGCCCAGACAGUACUUCUAAUCCUCUUAGCAAAGUUUUCAUGUACUGUUUAAAAGAAUCAGAGAAGAAUGGUGUACUCCUCUGAAUCCAAUUCAGUACUGUCCACUUUGCCUUAUCAGCAACACAAGGAAUGGUUUCAGUAGUAUUGAACAACCUAUGUUUCUCCCUUGAGUCCUUAAUGUACGUCUCCAAAAGCAAACUUGUAUAAUUGGUCCAAUAAUAGCGAAAACCUCUACAUCACUACGUAGUUUCAAUCAAUUCAUGAAUUCAGUAUAUUUAACUUUUUGAUGCCCUUUAUUUGUUGGUAAAUUUAUCACUAAUUUUAUUAUUAAUGAAUUUAUUAACAAAUUAAAAAUCACCAAAAAUAAUUUUUUUAAUAAAAUAUUUCUGUUCGUCAGUCUAUUGAUAAAAUUCGUGUCAAUAGACUGAAAGUACAAAUACUAAUAGACUAUUCUGUUAGUAAAUGUAAAAAUUCUGUUAGUGUCAGGAUGUUUAAUAAUUGAAAGAAUUCAGUCCAUACAUGACAACAUCUAUGGAAAAGUUGAAAACCAUACCUUAACAUCUCUGAUUGAAAUGUUAAAACGUCAACGACAUGUUAGCUUUCUGUCAAUUUAUGCUUGAAAAAACAUAAUGGAUACCCUUAGGAGAAUAUCUUCUGGUUGGGGCACUAUAUAUUUAUUUAUGUGGAGUUUCAUGUUCAUCCUGAAGAAGUCCUAACCAAUUGAAAGAGGCUUCCAAGUAUGGCUGAAAAAACCUUCAAAUUUCUAGUAUCCCUUUUUCUUCUCCUGAUUAUUCUGAUAAAAUUUGUCCAAUCAGAACCAACUGGGCAUCAUCCAUUCAAAUCCAUCCUGAACCUUGUGGAAAGCCAAAAAGGUCAAUCUGUUUCCAAGCUGCACCUUGUAAAACAGUAUCUGAAGAAAUUUGGAUACUUGGAUUAUGAUCUUUCAAGUAACAAGAACCUGAACCAGGUUGACGAUGAGAUGACCAUUUGGAGUCUGCUAUCAGAACCUAUCAGCAAAACUUUCAUUUGGAAGUCACUGGAAGGCUAGACAAACGUACUGUGAAUCAAAUGAUGAAGCCUAGAUGUGGUGUGGCUGAUAUCUUCAAUAGCACAAAGCACCACAAUAGUUCCAAGUCUUCUGAUGGGGUGGCCAAUGCUGACUAUUCGUUCUUCCCUGGAGCCCCCAGAUGGUCCUCAAAGCAUUUGAAGUACACGUUUGGCGCAACCGUCCAAGUCGCUGGUGCAGAGAGUAUAAGGUCUGUUUGCAAACAAUCCUUUCAAAAAUGGGCACAAGUUACUGACUUCACGUUCGAAGAAGUGCCUAAUUCUGCCGAUGCUGAUAUUAAAAUUGCCUUUUACCAACUAGACCACGGAGAUGAUGAGCCAUUUGAUGGCCCUGGAGGAAUCUUUGCCCAUGGUUUUAGACCAACUAUCGGGAUGCUACAUUUUGAUGCUGAUGAAACUUGGAGCAGCAAUCCUGGAAGUCUAGAGCUAGACCUGGAAUCCGUCGCUGUGCAUGAAAUAGGUCACUUACCCGAACUUGGUCACAGCGGAGACCAUCCAGAUGCAAUCAUGUAUCCAUACUUUGAUUAUGGAAAGACAAAAAGGAGUCUGCAAGAGGAUGACAUCGAAGGUAUCCGUGACCUCUAUGGACUUUGAUUAAAAGCCACAUAUAACUAAAAGGUUAUUAUACCUGUUAUUGUAUUAGCAAAUAAAGGAUUUGUACGUGGAUUUUAAAAUAUGUGAAGAAGUCACUUCCACAUAAUCUUAAUUAUCUCCUUGUAAUCAUAGAACAAUUGCAAUUGAAGUUUUCCAGUCUGCAUGUUUCUUUCUAGAUAUAAUUAGUGUUCAGGAAUUUGGAGUUUGACAAAAGCCUAUUUUGCUAACCAGAUCUUAAUUUUUCGAGUUAUGCAAUCAACCAAAAGAGCAGUGGCAAUUAGAACUAAAUUCGGAAAAUUUAUCUGUAGGAAGCUGGGGGCAUUAUAUUCUCUCUUCUUCUAAAAUAAGAAUUCUAAGCCCCCCAAAUCACCUGCUAUUAUGCAGCACAGAUGGUCGAAACCCAGCUGAAAUUAGCAUGAGCGAUCCAAUAAUAUUAUAAAACCUCUACAUCAGUACAGAAGUUUCAAUCAAUUCAAGCUGUCCAAUAAUUUAGCCCAUGAAUGACAAAACCUACGGCAAAACUGAAAACCAUACCUUAACGCCUCUUAUUGAAAUGUAAUAAGAACAUCAACAACAUGUUAGCUUUCUGUCAAUUUAUGCCUGAAAAAUCAUAAUGGAUACCUUUACGAGAAUAUCUCCUGGUUCAGGCACUGUAUAUUUAUGUGGAGUUUCAUGUUCAUACCUGAACAAGCCCUAACCAACUGAAAGAGGCUAGCUCCCAAGUAUGGCUGAAAACAAAGUACUCGAAUAUGCUCCUUUUAUAAUAUAUAUAUAUAUAUUAUGAACUUGCACAUCACACUAAAAUGUGAUUUACUUCAAAGCUGAUACAUUAAAAAUUAAUUUCACCAAUCACAUUCUUCUCUUUCUGUAAGGGUUUUUUAGGUGAAAACCCAGUUUCAACGUCUAAAAAGAUUGUUACUGGAUAAAUGCCCAACUGUAGCCUCUAGCAUACAAAAGAUAGGCACCGAACAAAAUGGGUUAGGCUGUAAAGAAAGGGAAAAAAAAAAAAAAAAAACUUUGUUAUAAAGAAUUUGAAGUAUAGCUGCCAGACAAAAUAGGGACAGUUGGGUCACUAAAUCAAUCCAGGAAUACUACGUCAACUCAUGCAGACUAACAAAUAGAAAAAAUAAUAUUUUUUUGACAAAAAUUGAAUUGAAAAACUAUAUAUGUUUCCACGGGAAACUUGUAAUUAAUGAAGACUUGCUACUUGACUUGUCUGUUUUCCCACAGUGGAAAUUCUAGAAUAGGGCCAUCCGUCCCCAUGCAGAAGAAGGAGCUCAAAUUCUCUUCCCAACACAAUAAUACAUAAUUAAAAAAUAAAAUUGAUGAAUAAGGACAGGAUCUAUAUUAGCCUUCUACAUUCAUCUAAGCAACCAUCUCUUAGCCUAAUUUGAAUGCAACAACACGAAAGAAAGGCAUAAGGAAUCACGGAACCCAUGGAGAAAACUUAAUCAAAACCCCUUUCCUGGAUAACAAUAAUGUACUAAAUCAAGUAUAAAGACCCGGGUACAUGAAAGAUGGAUACAAGAAACUCAACAGCUUGAGCUUGGAAAGAACGAAGAAAGGGCCGCUCCGGAUUGCUUCUAUCAGAGUUGGUGGUUCUCCAGAACGAGUAAUGAGGAUAAAAAAAAAAAAAAGAGUUCUAUCAAGUAUAAAGAACUCAUGAAAUCUAUAUUUUGGUCAAACAAACAAAAGUUUUAAUUCCAUAUUCUAGCUCUAGGUUCUAUCAAGGAAGACUUGACAAAUACUACAAUCACAGACAAUUUAGUGGUCCAUCGGGAUUGAUGAAAACAAAUAAAAAAAAGGAGAGAAUUUUUAUGAUUCCACAAAUUUACUUUUUCAAAAUUUAGAAAAACAACGUCUGGACGCGUUUCCAAACCAAACCUUAAACCCUCUUAACGGGCAAAAAGACUUGCCCCAUUCAACAAGGAAGCUAAAAUGUCGAGAUUGGAAGGGAACUGCCCGGCAGGAGCGCUAUAUAAACAACCCAGAUUAUCAAUGUCUAGCAUCCAUAAGUUCUCCUCUCGAACCCACAAGUGAAGGAGAGUCCUAGAUUUCAUGUCUACAAUGACAGCUAGAAGUUUUCCGAUUUUUGUAGCCAUUUUACUUCUUGUUGCGAUGCAAUCACGCACCAUUCAAUCAAAACCAAGUGGAGAUCCUUUUGGGUUCAUCAAACACCUGGAGGGAUGCCACAGGAAUGUAUCUGUCAAAGGGCUUCAUGAGCUCAAAAGAUAUCUUGAGAAAUUUGGAUACUUGAAGUAUGGUCAUCAAGGAAAGAAGGGCCAUAACCAUGCCAAUGACGAUGAGUUUGACGAUCUUUUAGAGUCUGCAAUCAAGGCAUAUCAGCAGAACCAUCAUUUGAACGUUACAGGAAGCCUAGACAAUAGUACAGUGCACGAAAUGAUGCAGCCUAGAUGUGGCGUGCCAGAUGUUGUCAAUGGCACAAAGCAUUACCAUACUCACAAGUCCAUCCACACACUAGCUCACUACAAUUUCUUUCCUGAAAAUCCUAGAUGGACAAAAAGGCAAUUGACGUACAAGUUUCGUUCCAGUGUCCAAGUCCCGGCUGCACAGAACAUAAGGUCCAUCUGCGCAAAAGCUUUUCAAAGAUGGGCACAGGUCACCGAAUUCACUUUUCAGGAAGUUAGCGUUAGCUCCCCUGCAGAUAUUGUAAUUGGAUUCCAUCGGCGAGACCAUAACGAUGGUUCCGCCUUUGACGGUCCUGGAGGGACCUUAGCGCAUGCUACUCCACCAGUUAGGAAUGCAAUGUUCCAUUUCGAUGCGGAUGAAAAUUGGAGUGAAAACCCAGGACCAAACCAGAUGGACCUGGAAUCUGUAGCCGUGCAUGAAAUAGGACAUCUCCUCGGUCUUGACCACAAUGAUGAUCCAAAUGCCGAUGCCAUCAUGUCUUCCAGAAUUCCUUCUGGGAUUGCGAAAAGGGAUUUGCGUGCGGAUGAUAUUCAGGGUGUACGAGCUUUAUACGGAUUCGCUAAUUGAAGCACGUACAAAAGGAGAAUGAUGCUUGCAGUUUCUAUUAUCUAAAUUAAGAAUAAAUUUCCAUCAGUUUCUAGUUACGAAUUUGUGUUUAAUUUGGCCAUCCUGAUCUUAGAGAGGCGGUUACAGUCUUUAUUUGCAAAGUAUCUCCUUGCAAGCCUAAAACUAUUUUGUAAACCAUUUCUUUGAGAUUGUAAAUAAAUUAUGUUGGCAAAAUACAAAUAAUCGGGGAUUAUUUGGACGAGUCUCUUCAAGUUCUAUUUGUGCAGCCAGCCGCAUGUUGUCUGUGUCACAGAGCAUGACCGCAGGCAUAAUAAGUCCGUCCAUACGUACAGUACCCUAUAAUUUCAUCCGACGAAACCCAAGAUGGCCACCAGAGAAAAGGCAUUUAAUUAAUGUAUAGGAAUUAGGAUCGGUUCUAGUCUCCAAGUCCAUCGCACACAGAGCAUAACUUUUAUCAGCUGUAAUUCUGUGGACAAGCUUUUCAAAUAUAGAAACAAGUUUGCCCAAUAUGUUUUGAUGAUGCAUGCUCAAAUUGAACUGCCAUAUGCAACUCCUCUCUCCCCCACAUCUCUUAUCAUCAUUUGUUUUUUCAUUGAACACGUCCACGCAUGAAAACUUUCUCUUAUACCUAACCGAUGGAGAAAAUAAUAUUUGACUGAUUAAUUUAAGUCAAAUUAAAAUAUUUAAUUAGAUGUCAGGACUUAAUUAUAUUUUUGAUUGGUCAAAUUAACUUUAUUAAGGGUAUAAUUAGUGAAAAAUUAAGUUUGAAAGUUUAAUUCGGGUUUAAUUGAGAAGAUUGAAAUUUUAGAUUUAAUUUUUCAAGCUCAAUUAGGUGAAAUUAGGGACAUAAUUAAAAAAAAUUAAAGUUUGGGGUCAAUUAAGUACCAAAUUGAAGAAAUUCAAGAUCAUGAACCUUUUCACAAAAAUUGCAUGAAUCUAGAAUCAAAUUUGGUUGAAAACAGGGGAAAAAUUAAAAAAAAUUAGAAGAGGUCAGUUAAAAACAAAUUUUAAAAUAUCUAAAAUCAAUGAUCAAAUUUAAAAACAUGCUGAAAUUAGGGGGCUUUUGAAACUUGAUAGGGAUGAAGUUGAAUUGAUUUUUAAAAUUAAGAUUUAAUUAAGAAUUAAAUUAAAUAAAUUAAAAGGUUAAACGCUAAAAUUAAAAAAGAAAUUUUAAACCUAAUUUAAACUCAAAGAGCUAAAAUAACAUUGUCUAAACAAUGCAUUUUAUAUAAAACACCGUAGUUUUGUUAAUUAAAAAUGUGGGCAUUCUCUCUUCUUCUAAAAUAAGAAUUUUAAUACGUAGCCAUAGAUUUAAUUUCUUCUGAAUUAUAUAUAUAUAAAUACACAUAAAGAGAGAGAGAGAAUUAUGACCUAAAUACAAGGAGGAAAGGAAUUACAAGGUUUUGCUUGCUUGUCUGCCAAGGUAAAAAAGGAAAAAGAACCGAUGGACCUCUAAAGUAAUUACAUUCCGUUAUUUGAAGUCUUCGUAAGAAACGGUCCAACUUCUAUAAAAAAAAUUCCAUCUUAAAAUUUCCAUCACAAAACCACUUUGCUUUCACUCCUAAACCAGUUAGAGUAAUUCUAUAUAUGAGACCAUAUAUAUGACUAUUUUGGAUAGAGAAAGAGUGUUGUUUUUACCAUUUAUCUCUUAUGAAAUUACUUUUUAUUUAUUUAUUGGAUUUUGUUCUUGAAAUAGAAGGGUCGUGUUUAUACCUAUUUUAAAUUCACAAUCCACUAUAAUUUAAGCUCUACACUUUACAAAAUAAACACAAGCAACAACUAAUCAAGUAAAAUAUUGUUAUAUUUAGAGAUCAUAUAAUGUUCUGGAUACACGUGCUAGGAAGCUAGCGUUGUGUUUUAUGUUUUUUAAAAGCAUGUUUGAUAUAAAAAUAUAUUAAAUUAAUUUUUUUAUGUUUUUAAUAAUUUUGAUGUAUUGUAUUAAAAACUAAAAUUAAUAUAUAUAUAUAUAUAUAUAUAUAUAUUUUAAUUAAAUUUCAAACAAAAAAUAUAUUUGAAAAACAAAUACACCUCACGCAACCGUAUUUUAUUAUCCAACAAUGCAAUUCAAAGCUCAAAACUUUUAAACCUAUUUUGAAAUUUGAAUUAGCUUCUUAAUAUAAAAUUGAGUCUUAUAUCUUGUGGAGAUAAAAGAAAAUAAUAAUAGAAAAAAGAUAAAUAUCUUAGUUUAGCUGGAAAGUGCCAGGUCUUUGUAAGAGUUUCCAAAUCACAUUAAAGGUCCAGUUUCUCAAGAUGUGAUCAGCAACCAGUUUCUAAGAAGGAAAGAAUAAAUUGCGUAAAAGAAAUACGAAAGUCCAAUAAAUUUAAAUAGGGAUGCAAUAAAUCGAGCGGUGUAGAUAUUUAAUCAAUUCAAUCCCCUUCCACCUUCUUAAGGGUUGCCGCGUAGAAAUAAUUUCUUCGUAUUUUCCAAAUCUAUGAUAAUUUCGUCUUAAGAACUGGUUUAAUAAUUGAAAAAAUAUAAUCAAAUAUUUAGUUUAUCAAUUUCAACUUUUAAAUAAAAGUAAUGAAACAUAAGACUCUCAGUAGAAUCGAAGAGCCAAAACCCUUCUACAGCAGGCGAUUCAUAACAUUUUCUAUAAAAAAUGAACUUGCUCACGAGGAAAUACAUCUGCAGAUUAGGAUGGCCUAAUUAAACACGAAGUCAUUAUUAGAAAACAGAUGGGAAUAUGCUCUUAAUGAAGAUAAUAAAAGCUGCGAGCAUCAUUCUCCUUCCCUUUGGUUCUUAUUAAUUAUUAGUGAAUCCGUAUAAAGCUCGUACACCCUGAAUAUCAUCCUCACGCAUGCAAAUCCCUUCUCGCAAUCCCAGGACGAAUUCUUGAAGACAUGAUGGCAUCGGCAUUUGGAUCAUCACUCUGGUCAAGACCAAGCUAGAAGAUGUACUAUUUCAUGCAUUCCUAGUUGGUGGAGUAGCAUGGGCUAUGGUCCCUGAGGGCCGUCAAAGGCGGCACCAUCGUUAUGGUCUCCGCGAUGGAAUCCAAGCCAGAAGUAACUUCCUGAUGUAAGAGUACAAGAACAUUUAUUUAUUUUUUGUUAUUGGGGAUCUUCUAUUCUGAAUUAUCUUUACUAAUUAAUAGUGGUUGUGCCUUGAAAUAUAUCCUUUUUUUUUCUUCCACAUUUUUUCUUGAACAAAACAAGUUAAUAGCAAAUGCCAAUACUUUACAACUUUGGUGUGAUUGUUGAAGAGAGCACUAUUUCCGACGGAAUUUUUUGUUGAUAUUUAUACUCAUAGUUUGAUGGAUGAAUUUUCCCGAUCGGCUCCCUGACAAAAAUCAUUCAUCAGAAAAGCUCUCGUUUGUGAUUUAUGGUAUGUCAAUAAUAAUUUUAUCGAAGGAUUUACUGACAGACAUAACACGCAAAAAAAAAUUAACUCGCUUCAUUCCACCAAGAUCUCCAUCGAUGAAUAUAACAUAUCACCGACAUAAUCUUUUUUGUCCGUCGGUAUUUUUUUCGGUGAAUUUUAUGUAUAAUCGUCAAAUAGACCAUCAGUUAUUCCAUUAGUGAGUAAAUAGUGGCGGUGGUAUUUGGAGUAAUUCUUUUCUAAUUUUCUGGAGUAUACCAAUAGUUUUAGACCAUCGAUCGCCAUGUUAGUAAUAAUUUAAAAAUAUAUAUUUUUUAAAAAACUAUUAAACAUAAAUACAAAAUAAUUAAAAUAAAAUAAAUUAAUAUAAAAAUUAAAUAUUUGUUAUAAAUUUAAACAUUUAUAAGUUUGAAUAUAAUUAAUCUAGAAUAAAGGUAAUGAAGAAGGAGGAGAAGGAGGGUCAUCUGCGAGAAUAUGAGGCAAAUAAGUGGGAGCAGAUGUAUUGUCUAUCUAUGAUCUUGUUUCCAUUACAAAUCAGAGGAGUUUAACUAUUUCAGUAUUGAGUUGUUGAUAAUCAACAAGCUCACUAUGCAACUUCUAAUGGCCUAUUGGCCGCCUUCGAUGAGGGAUUAAAAACUCGGUGUGACAUUUCCGUAGAGAGAGGCAAGUAAUUUUUCAUACCGAAGAUGACUCGACAAGUAGAGUCAUUAAAACUGUUGCAUUAAAACUUCUAACUUACAUCAGAUGAACAAGUAGAGGAAAGGAAAGCAUUAAAACUGUUGCAUGAAACAAGGGAGAGCAACAAAAUGGGAACAAAACAAAACCUAAGAAACCAACUUCUCCCGACUAAACCUUCUCUUAAUUAAGGUCUAAAGAGUUGGAAUCAAGCCUCAGCCAUAAAGCAAUACUUUGACGCACCAUGGAGAAACAAAUUUGAAGGUUAGGCUAUUAUCUUUGUAGCCUUUUUUUUUAAUAAAAUUUCGACUAUUAAAAAAAAAAAAAAAAAAAAAAAAAAGAUGACUCGACUCCAUUAAUCAGGUCAGACUUUUACUCGGGAAUUUUUUUUGACAGUCAUGUAUCGAGGUUGAGUAUUUUCACUUGUGACAUGUUUUUUUUUUUCACUGCAUUCAAAGUUAGCACUGCGUCUAUAUAUCCUGAGCUCCAGAAGGAGAUUUUCAAUUUGAUAGGGAGAUUGGUUGGCAAUAUGGUACGGUCUGGUUUUGAUGGAAAAUUAAGGUUGAUGCUGAGGGGUUUUUCAGUCUGCUCCUUUUUGGGUUCGUGAAUGAGAGGCUUUGUUCGUCCUUCUCCUCUCCUUCUUGUGUUGUGCUGGUGUUUUAAAUGGAGAGGGGGCUACCAUUCUGAAAAAUCAAUUUGGGAUUGAUUUGCUAGAAAAUUGAUUGAGUACAAUCAGCUGGGAUUUUGGACCAUUAGAGAAGCUGAAUCAUGAAUUAAUUAGGGAUUAAAUGGAAUUAAUUUGACAAAAUCGUUGGAUUAAAUUGGGCUGAGUUGAAUUAAUUGAAUUCAAUUGGACUGAAUUGAGGUUAAUUGGACUGAAUUGGUUGGACUGAAAAGAAUGGGACUAAAACAAAGUUAUAUAAAGCAAAUUCAAUUGAUCCUUGGAAUUUUUCCUUCUUUUAAUUAAAGUCCUUUUAUUUGUAAUUUCUUUCAAUUCUAAUAGAAUUUGCCCUAAAUCUUCUUUUUCCUUUUCAAUUGUGUCCUAAUUGAAUUAAUUUAAACCUCCAGAUUUAGCUCUUGUUGCAAAUUCAUCCUUGGUUAUUUCUAAAUUUGACUAUUUAUUUCAAACUCAUCAUUGAACUUUCAAAUUUCUUUCCAUCCUAGCCAAAUUAAAUCAAAUUAAACUUUAUUUUUCCUCAAUUUUCUCUUCAAUUCAAACCUCAAUUACAAGCCAAAAAUCCUCAAACUUUAUUUUUGUCUUUGAUACUCAAUUAUUGGUACAAUUUCCAUCCUAACUGUGAUUUUUUAUAUGUAUUUUCUUAUUUUCUUAUCUUCUAGAUUUUUUUAUUUGUUUUUUUAUGAUUUAUUUUUAACACACAAAGAUUUAAAAAAUAAUGAAAAUAACAAAAUGAUUAAAAUUAACUAAAUUUAAUGAAAAGAUAUAUAUAUAUUUUUUUGUUUUUUUCUAAUAUAUACAAAAAAUAAGGUCAAAAUGGGUUAAGACAAUUAUUAUUGUUGUUGUUGUUUGAUGUAUAGCACUCUGUUUUGGCAGAAUAGCGGAGGUUCGAUAAAAAUAUCAGACAGGGGUGAUUUGAUGUCUGGAACAAAUGAUAGGCAUGGGAAUGGAUUUUGAGUGAAUCAGUUUACUGCUAAAAAUGUGUUUUGAAGAGGCGAGGGUUUUAAUUCUGUUGUUUUCUGUACUCUUUGGCAGGAAAAUUACAAUCACAGAGGGCCAUCCAUGCAGCUGAGGACACGAUAAUGCGGAAGGUAUCCUAAGCUUCUGAGAGGGAGGCAGGUUAGCCUUUGACCAUGAUCUGAACUAUUUUUUGUUGCAAAUUUCUCCGUGGACCUUGCAAUUUCCUAAUUUAUUUGGUGUUUCUCGAAUUUGGUAAGCAGAAGCUGUGAUGGAAGGAGAAACAAGGAAGGUAAAUUCUUCAGUAUAGAAAGUAUAGGAAAUUCUUCACAGGGUGCAAUUUUCUGUUUCUGGAAACAGUUGUUGGAUUAGGCUCUGUUGGCUUGUCUUAAUAUUAGAUGUAACCAUGUUUAUCUUCUUGAUACAAUUAUUAAUAACUUUUAAACUAACACAUGUUUUACGUCUGAGCUAUGCUUUCAAAGGAUACUUUGCCAUAGCUAAAAUGGAAAUUUGCCGAAAUAUUUCCUUCUGAAUCUUGUUUAGUUAAUCCUCAUCUUGACAUUUCAGAUUUUGUAAUCUCUUUCUUAUAAAUGGGCAAUAAAUCCAGGAGUGCAGGAAAUAAUAUAUAGCUUGUCUUGUGACUGGAAGCAUCGAAUGCUGAUGCAGGAUGUGGUUGUCAUUCUAUAUCACUUUUACGUUUCUGAUUCGAAGAAUGGCCUUUUCAUGCAAUACUACUAGGACUUGUCUACAGGUGGUUCUUUGGUUGUAAAGCUCACUUUUUGCAACUUCUAAUGGCCUUUUAGCCGAUUUCGGUGAGGGAUGAAAAACUCUAGUGUGACAUUUCCAUAGAGAGAGGAAGUAAUUUUUCAUACCAAAUUAAGAUGCCUCGACUUCAUUAACCAGGUCAGAUUUUUACUCGGAAAUUCUUUUUGACAGUCAUAUAUCGAGGUUGAGUAUUUUUACUUGUGACAUGGUUUUUUUUACUGCAUUGAAAGUUAUCACUGCGUCUAUCCUGAGCUCCAGAAGAAGAUUUACAAUUUUAGAAGGUACAAGCUCUUUUCUUUUAAUUUUUUUUUUUUUUUUUUUUAUGUGAUGAGAUCUAAUUGUUCUUAUGGAAACGAAACAUGCGCAUUUGAUUUGGUUUUGCGGAGAGAUUAUCUAUAAAAUAUAUUCUUAGAGUAAAAUGUGUUCUUUUAUUUAUAGCAUUUGGAAAAGUGACUUUAUCGAUCGAUAGGGAUACACACAUGCAUAGUUGAAAUCACUCGCCAACAUGCUAUGUGUGAGCUCCUGCAAUUUUAUUUCAGAAUACAAAAGAAAAGGUAUCCUCUGUGUUCAUGGCAAGCUUUUAAUUACCUUUCCCUCCUCCAUAUCCAGAGCCAUAACCAGACCCGCUUCCAUAACCUGAGCCAGAGCCAGAGCCAGUUCCUCCUCCUCCACCCCCACCACCUCCUUCUCCUCCUCCUCCUCCACUUCCAUUCCCACCCUUGCCACCACCGCUUCCGCUUCCACUUCCACUUCCAUAGCCUGACCCACUUCCUGAUCCAGAGCCUUGACCUCCACCACCACCACCACCACCUCCACUGCCACCACCACCACCACCACCUUUGCCGCCACCUAUCCCACUACCAGAACCAUAGCCUGAGCCGCUACCAGACCCAUAGCCAGAACCUGACCCGUUGCCUCCGCCACUGCCACCACCUCCUCCUCCGCCACUGCCCCCGCCCCCGCCUCCUCCACGACCACCAGCACCAUAUCCUUCACCGCUCCCGGAUCCAGACCCAGAACCAUAACCUGACCCAAGUCCUGAUCCAGAUCCACCACCACCACCUCCUCCCUGCCCUCCACCUCCACUAAUUGACUGCAGUGUCCUAGCAGCGAAGGCGAUGUCUACAAUAAGCAAGACCAGGAAAGCAGUCCCUAACACUCUUGGGCUUCCCAUUUCCAGAUUAUACUCUCACGGCUCAACGUAUCUGUAUGUUUAUGCGUGUCACUCGCUAUAUGAGAAACCAGUAUGUUUUGUUGACUGGAAAUGCUUGAAGUGGCAACCCUAUAUAUAGGCAUUGUGAAGGUAACAAGACAAGGUUUUUGAAAAGUAUGGCAUGAAUUGUAAAGGUAACGAGACACGGUUUUUGAAAGCUUUCUUAAAUUCCCAGUACCUCUCACUUGGUAAUCUUACCUAUUAUAGAAAGGAACGCGUGUUUUGGGUUUCUGUUUCUGUGGAGGGUGGCGGUACUGUGGAGGACUCAAUUGAUGAAAACAAAAGUUAAGGGUUCGAAAUGGAAAAAAAAGAAAACACACUUCUCUAAUCCACCCUCCAUUGUGAGCACGUGAACAUGUUUAACACUGCUCAACACCCCCAAAAUGUUUUAGUAUAUUUGUUAUUUGAAGUCCACUUUGACGGCGCACUUGGAAUUUUCUUACACUAGCGCUUGUUUAGUGAUUUGUUCAUCUUAACAUUUGUCUCCUUGAGCAUAUAUGUUCAUCAACUACUACUAGGAUUUAUGUACACAGAUAUCUUUCUACUCUGCGUGUCUAUAUGCUAACAAUGGGCAAAACUUGCACACCAAACUGGGUUGUUCAGUCAAUAUUUCUUAUUGCUGUUACACUUUGAAUUAAUAGAUUUGAAUUUCUUUUUCCCACAAUAUCAUAGACACUUUGCAUCAUUGAAUAUAAAUAGAUCUGUACUUAGAAACCGUGUUCGAAUGUCUGACUUGUAAUUAAAAACCUUGGUGCCUGUUCUGGGGUGUUAAAUUAAGCACACCAUCCUUGCAUCACUGCGAGUGGAAUGUUAGGCCAUCUGCAUGGAUGAUAUACUGAACAGUCUUCUAUUCUUGCCAAAUUGAAUUUCAGUUCCAUACUCACAGAGCAUCACUUCCUUUUAUGCCAUGCUUUUUUAAGCCUGUGUAAGAGUGAUCUGCUAUUCUGAAUUACUGGUGACCAGCAUACUGUAUAUACAUUAGAAGUGGACAUGGAAUUUCAGAUUCCUUGGUGAAGAUAGCAGUCAGUAUAUUAGAACCACUAGAAGCAUCUAACAGUGGCUCAGGUAUUGAAGCCAACAAUUAAAAUAUACAUAAAGAAAAGAGAACAAGAGAGAAAAAUCUCACCUAUAAAGAAGGCAUGCAAAUUUCACAACGCAGCCCCUCAUCUCUAGAUCAGUCCAUUCGAGAAUGUCAAACUUGGCAUCAAGGCUCUCUUUUUAUGCCAGAAAACACCGCAGAAGCAGAGACCAACAAUACACAAACAUUGUAUAAAAUCUUAAUAUGCAAUAUAUAUGAAUGCAAUACGAGGAAAAAAGAAAGAAAGAUCCAAUAUCACAAAUAACAUAUAACAGUCUUUUGUUGUUGUAUUUAAAGAACGUUACCUUCCUGAGAAAAAAGAUACUGCAAGCAAAAGCAACACGUCUCUCUGCAAAAAUCUUGGAACUUAAAAUGGAGAAGAGUGAGAAAUCGUUAAAAGGAUGUGUUCCAACAGGAACACAGGCCCAGACAGUACUUCUAAUCCUCUUAGCAAAGUUUUCAUGUACUGUUUAAAAGAAUCAGAGAAGAAUGGUGUACUCCUCUGAAUCCAAUUCAGUACUGUCCACUUUGCCUUAUCAGCAACACAACACAAGGAAUGGUUUCAGUAGUAUUGAACAACCUAUGUUUCUCCCUUGAGUCCUUAAUGUACGUCUCCAAAAGCAAACUAUACAUCUCUGAAGGUGAGAAGCAAAAAUUUCCCAAAUCAAGAGAUUUGUAAUGCACCAUAAGAGAAAAAGUGUACCAACUUCACUCACAAAGCUCUACCAGGAUGGAUGUUCUGCAUUGCCAUUUGAAAUCCAUAUAGUGCCCGGGCCUGAGACAAUGAAAAUGCCUUUUGGUCCCUCUUCAAAACCUCCAAAAUGUAAUUUUAACUUUAUUUUCAUAAAUAAAAUAAAUUUGUAGUAUGAUAAUGAAAACCAGGUCGAACACAAGGCAAAUUUCAUUCAAUCUUCCUACAACAUACUAAAAUAAAAAAAGAACGGGGAUUUGAAUAAAAAAUUAAAGAAACAAAAUUCUGAAAAUAAAAAUACAAAAUUAAUAUGGCGUUGGCUUAGUUCAAAGGUCUAGACAUUCAUUCCCAUAAAUUUAUUGAUCAUCGAAGUAAAAUAAAUAUCCUUUCAAUUCAAGAAAAUGAAUUUGAUGCCCUUUUAAAGCUAAGGGGAAUCGAGGAGAUUAUGAGUAAAUUAAUUAGAUAAAGCUUUCUAAUCAAUUUCUUUCCAUCAAGCAAAUUUAAUAUUGAAAAGCAACUUUAAUUCACUCAGCAGUAGCCUUAGGAGAAAAAUCUGUAAAAUUUAUUCGAAGCAAUCGUUCAAAAGCUUGAGCAAUUUAACUUAGUGUACCCCUCCCUAAUAAAUUAAAGUGAUAGUUCUAGCAAUCAAGUUAACUCCUUUGUUUCUUCUUAUUCUAGUCCCCGACAACAAUUAAGAAUUGAAAGAAACUAGAAAGCACAUAUAUAUCAUCUCAAAACAAUUCAAUAAGCAUGAACAGAAAUCAAUAGCAUAAUUAUGAAAUAAAGAUAAAUAAGUACUUGAAUAUGAAAGAAUUACAAUGAGAAGAACGUUACUUCUCACAACUUAAUAAUGGGGAUGGUGUCUAUUCCUCUUGAACCGAAAGCCAAAGUUCAGUUCAUAGUUGCUGGAAAAUUAACAAAUAAAGAGAAAAGCACAUUGUAGAGAAGAAGAAGAGAGUAUUCUGACGUGAUUUGCUUCCUUUAUUCCCUCCCUCAGCUGCUCUCUUUCAUUAGGAUUCUUCUCCUGAUCAGGAGUCCUUAAUAUUACUUAUUCCUUCUUCUUUAUCUCGCCAUUAAGAUUGGUUAAAUCCCUCAGAAUUUGUGUUGAAAACUAACUCUGCUGCUGUAAUAAUUCUGCUGCAAUUUAGACUCUAAUGCCACUUAGAUGUUGUUUUCUAACAUGAUUUCUUGUAAUAUCCGGCCAUUCCAGCUGUAUUCUUUCAUUCAUGAAAUGUUAGAGACUUGAUUUGCACUUUUCUUGGGUCCUAUGGCUUAUCGUUUCUAUAUUAGACUCUCAAUCAUAGUGGGAUGCUCCUCACCGUUAGUUUCCUCAUCAAAUCAGGAGACCAAUCUUGUCCUUUAGCUUGUGCCUAAAUGUUUGCCUUCAAAGUUGUAUAUCUGGAUGUGUAGAUGAUUUUGAGCUUUAGAAUCGCAUGAUUUUAAUAUACAUAGCUCUAGAUAUGCUCAUUUGAAUCUGUAGUGUGGAAACAGAGAAUCCUGCUGCAAGUAGGAUAUCGACCUGAUUUUGCAAGUCUGAUUAGAGGUCCAAAUGAACUCGAAUUUCUGCCCAUGAUACCUUCCUAGAAAGCUUUAUAUGUGUACUUUAACUUUUAUACAUCAAAUGCUCACAUUUUAAAAUUAUAACGAUGAAAAACCUGCUACAAGAAGCAAGGUCUGAAACAUAAAAUGCAGAAAUUCUUAUUUUUUAGCAAUUAAUUCACAAAAUCUCUUAGGCACGCCAAACUCGUAAGAACAACUUCCAAUAAGGUCAAAUAUAUUAAAAAGCAUAGUGUAAAAGAAAUAAAAACAUAUGUAUAUUUAUCUUUAUAUUACAAAGACAAAUUGAAAAAACAAGAAGCUGAGUGCUCAAAAUAAGCAUCAUGUCUACGUCGAUACCACAAAGAAUCAGUUUAAAAUGAACAUGUAGCGGUCACAAACUGUCAGAAGCAGUAUUGGGUGCUUGAAUUCGACACUCGAUGGACACUUUGAAGCAAAUAUGAUACCUAAAAUGAGAUACAAAUACAGAUAGAGCAUGAAUACACCUGUAAAUGAACUUUGAGAAGGUAACAAAAGCUUCUUAGGAGCUUAGCCAAGAAAUUCACCUCCAGAAUUUUCACAUAUUUAUAAAAUCUCACAGCCAAAUCUUCCAAAAACAAUCCCUUCAGAUGCAGCGAAAAAUGCUAGCACAUGGCUUACAAAGAGUUUCUUCCAAAACAAUCUGCACUUGGUUUUGAUUGAAUAGUGUGUGAUUGCAUCACAACAAGAUGAAAAAUGGCUACAAAAAUUGGAAAGGUUGUAGCUGUCAUACAUAGAAUUGAGGACUCCCCUUCAUUUGUCGGGUUUGAGGGGAGAACCUACCCCUUUUUUUAUUAUUUACAAUGCACAUGAAAAUCCAUGAAUAAAGUUCAUAGUCGAAGUAAUACAUAUUUCCACUGAUUACCAAACUUGAAAUCAAUAAAUUUCGGUCACAAAUUUACAAUGUGAUGAUUGCUAGCUACUUUUAUAUCGAUUAACAUUAAGCUAUGAAAUCAUUUCAGGAUUGAAACAUUCUACGAAAAAAAGUUUACAAGAAUUCUGAUUCGUAAUUACUUGACCAUGGAGUAAACUAAACUUGAAAUCAAAAAUCAAAAUGAGAUAGACCCGUACGUGUUAUAAAUUGUCGUGUUAUAAAUUGAUUGGAGAACAGACAUGUAUUCUGGAUAAAUUAAAAGCAACUAGAUUAGCAAUAACAAAUUAGAGACUGAAGACAAGGACAAGGUGAGGUGAUUCCCGAAAAUAGGUGUUAGGUUCUUCUUAUGUGGAUCGUUAAAUUUGGAAUUCUUUUCCACCCAUAUAUUUUCUCAAGGCUUCAGGAAUCUCGACACCAUUGUCCGUCGGAUUGUUCUCAAGACAGACAUUUUCAAAAUUUCAAGCUCAUUUCUUUUAAUUUUAUUUGAAGUUCUUUGUUUGUGAUGAAAUCCUGUUUUUAUGGAAAUGAUAUAUUCACUUUUUUAUUAGGGUUUGCGGAGAGAUUAUCUAUAAAAUAUACUUUUAGAGUAAAAUGUGCUCUAAAAGUGACUUUAUUAAGAGAUUUAUAUGUAGACAUACAUGCACAGUUGCAGUUGCUCGCCAACAGACAAUAUGCACGCAUGUGUGAGCUCCUGCAAUUUUAUUUCAGAAUACAAAAGAAAAGGCAACCUCUGUGUUCAUGGCAAGCUUUUACCUUUCCCUCCUCCAUAUCCAGAGCCAUAACCAGACCCGCUUCCAUAACCUGAGCCUGAGCCUGAGCCAGAUCCUCCUCCUCCACCCCCACCCCCACCACCUCCUCCUCCUCCUCCUCCUCCUCCACCACUUCCUUUCCCACCCUUGCCACCGCCACUUCCGCUUCCACUUCCACUUCCAUAGCCUGACCCACUUCCUGAUCCAGAGCCUUGACCUCCACCACCACCACCACCACUGCCGCCGCCACCACCACCACCUUUGCCACCACCUAUCCCACUACCAGAACCAUAGCCUGAGCCGCUACCGGACCCAUAGCCAGAACCUGACCCGUUGCCUCCGCCACUGCCACCACCUCCACCUCCGCCACUGCCCCCGCCCCCGCCUCCUCCACGACCACCAGCACCAUAUCCUUCACCGCUCCCGGAUCCAGACCCAGAACCAUAACCUGACCCAAGUCCUGAUCCAGAUCCACCACCUCCUCCCUGCCCUCCACCUCCACCUCCACUAAUUGACUGCAGUGUCCUGGCAGCAAAGGUGAGGUCUACAAUAAGCAAGACCAGGAAAGCAGUCCCUAACACUCUUGGACUUGCCAUUUCCAGAUUAUUCUCUCACGUACGGCUCAAUGUAUAUGUUUAAUAUGCGUGUCACUCAGUGUAUGAGAAACAAGUAUGCUUUGUUGACUGGAAAUGCUUGAAGUGGUAACCCUAUAUAUAGGCAUUGUAAAGGUAACAAGACAAGAUUUUUGAAAAGUUUGGCGUUAAUUGUAAAGGUGACUAGACAUGGUUUUUGAAAAGUUUGUUAAAUUUCUAGUGCCUCUCAUUUGUUAAUCUUGACUUUUACAGGAGGGCGUCGGUGGUGGGGUGGCGGUACUGUGGAGGACCGUCUGUUUCUGUCUUUAUGCAAUAGAAUACAAGCUUUAUCCCCACCUUUUCUUUUUUGACUUAGAAGUGUCAUGUAAUAUUUGACUUCGGCAAUGGGACCAAUAGCAUGCAUUUCCCACUCUUUAUCAUUCUGUUCAUAUUUGAGCUCCACUUUUGAGUACACGUAUUUGUUUUCCAUGUACUGGUAGCUGUCCUGCGGUGAUUUAGGCUAACGAUGGUCUCCUUGAGCAUAAGUUGACCCGCUAACGGUAGAUAUCUUUCUACUCUGCGUGUAUGCUAACAAUGGGCUAAGCUUGCACAAAAAACUGGGUGGUUCAGUCAAUAUUUCUUAUUUCUGUUACACUUGGAAUUAAAUUUCUUUUCCCACAAUAUCAUAGACAUAUUCCAACACUGAAUAUAAAUAGAUCUGUGCUUAAAAACCGCGUUUGAAUGUCUGACUUAUAAUUAAAAACCUUGGUGCCUGUUCUGGUGUAUGAAAGCACACCAUCCUUGCAUCACUGCUAGCAGAAUGUUAGGCCAUCUGCGUGGUUGAUAUACUGAACAGUCUUCUAUUCUUGCACAGAUUGGAUUUCAGUUCCAUAUAUAUGCACAGAUCAUCACAUCCUUUAAUGGCAUGCUUUAAUAAGUCUAUGUAAGAGUACAAGAACAUUUAUUUAUUUUUUGUUAUUGGGGAUUUUCUAUUCUGAAUUAUCUUUACUAAUUAAUAGUGGUUGUGCCUUGAAACAUAUCUUUUUUUUUCUUCCACAUUUUUUUCUUGAACAAAACAUGUUAAUAGCAAAUGCCAAUACUUUUCAACUUUGGUGCGAUUGUUGAAGAGAGCACUAUCUCCGACAGAAUUUUCUGUUGAUAUUUAUAUUUAUAGUUUGACAGGAUGAAUUUUCCAGAUCAGCUCAUUGACAGAAAUCAUUCAUUAGAAAAACUCUCGUUUGUGAUUUGCGGUAUGUCGGUAAUAAUUUUACCAAUGGAUUUACUGACAGACAAAGCAUCAAAAAAAAAAUUACCCGCUUCAUUCCACCAAGAUCUCCAUCGAUGAAUAUAACAUAUCACUAACAUAAUCUUUUUUGUCCAUCGGUAUUUUCUUCGAUGAAUUUGAUAUAUAAUCGCCAAAUAGACCAUCUGUUAUUCCAUUGGUGAGUAAAUAGUGGUGGUGCCAUUUGGAGUAAUUCUUUUCUAAUUUUCUGGAGUAUACCAAUAGUCUGAGACCAUCGAUAGCCCUGUUAGUAAUAAAUUAAAAAUAUAUUUUUAAAAAAACUAUUAAACAGAAAUAGAAAAUAAUUAAAAUAAAAUAAAAUAAUAUAAAAAUCAAAUAUUUGUUAUAAAUUUAAAUAUUUAUAAGUUUAAAUACAAUUAAUCUAGAAUAGAGGUACUGGAGAAGGAGGAGAAGACGGGUCAUCUCCGGGAAUGUGGGGCAAAUAAGUGGGAGUUGAUGUAUCGUCUAUCUAUGAUCUUGUUUCCAUUACAAAUCAGUGGAGUUUAACCAAUUUAAUACUGAGUUGUUCAUAAUCAAUAGCAUGAUGGGUCGUCCAAGCUUAAACUUGCUUGUCUAAAAUCGCCUCGAACUCCGGAAUUUGAGUGCUUGAAACCUAUUGCAAGUAUCCAAUGAUUGAAACAUUGUUGGCCGUCCGCAAGCCCUCGACUGUAGUAUUAGAGAGAUCAUAUACCUGAUUUCUAUAGGGUUCACCAGACAAUUCUGCAUCCAACCAUAAAUCCGGAUCGAGAUCUGGAUGGGUUGAAGGAUUGUCAUUAUAUCUCCUUCAACUAGUGUUAUAUAUAUCCUAGAAAAAAAGUCAGGAAAUUUCAAAAAAUAAUAACUUGAGAAUAAUUGUCUGAAAACAACAUACCACAAAGUGUUGAGACCAGUUGUCCACGAGUUGUUGCACCCCUUUUUUACUGUCAUCAAUUCACAAAAAUGUGUCCAUAUAAAGCUCUAUUAGGCUUGGUCCGCUUCCAAGAACUAUGGCUAGUGAGAUAAAUUUGUUGUUAGUUAAAUAUAUUUAUAGAAAAAACAACCAAUAAAAAAAAUGGAUGUAAUUAAAAAAAAUCUUACCACCUGUUUUGCAAGCGAAACGAACGGAAUUGAGCUGCUGGGUAAAUGGAUCCUGUUGUGAAGGGACCCCCUCUCGACGUGGUGGCAUCACACUCGUGAGUGGAUGCCUGUGUCUUAGGUUCCUAUUCUUGGGCGACACCUAACGACUCAUAGUCGUCUGAAUCAAUGCUAGAAAAACUUGUAGCGGUCAUGUCCAUACGACGUGCUAUUGACUUUUUCCUAGACAUCUACACAAAUUAAAAGAUUAAGGUGUUGUAAAUCAUUCCUAUUUAAAACAAAUCGGCAACUUGUCCCCUAUACGAGAGACUACCCAAAAAUUUUAAACUUGCAAAUACAUAACAAUUUAAAUUGGAUUGCCACAAACUAGUUGAUUUUAUUUCAAUCUAUGUCAAUCAAAUAAUUUCAAUUAUAUUUAUUUAGCCAAAUCUUCAAUUAACUUUGCUACGACCAUUUGCGAAUUGAUCAUAAUAGGUAAAUAUAAACACAUUAAAAGAUUUGUAGUAUCAAUAUUUCACAUUAAAAUCUAUUCAUUUAUCAUAACUAUUAUCUUAGUUAUUAUUAUAUUUUUUUUUUUUGUUUAUGAUGGCUACUAUUUUUUAAAAAAUAAUUUUUAUUUUUCAUGACAUAAAAAACUAUUCGUUAUCACCAACAAAUCAAUUAGCUAACCAUAGUGAUUAUAUGGGUCUUGUAUAUAAAAUCAUAAUCUAAUGAUAUUCAAUGAGAGAUAAGAAUAGAAAAAAAAUUAAAAAAUUAAAAAAUUCCAACAUUUAUGCAAUCAUUAAAGAACAAAAAAAUAAAAAUAAAAGUAAAAAAAAAUUAUAACAACAUUUAUACAAUCAUUAAAUAACAUAAAAAUUAAAAAGAUUCCAGCAAUUAUACAACCAUUAUAUAAUAGAAAAAUAAAAUAAAAAUAAUUCCAACAACAUUUAUACAAUCAUUAAAGAAUAUAAAAUUAAAAAAAAUUAAAAAACUCUAAUAAUAUUUAUACAACCAUUAAAGAGCACAAAAAUUAAAAAAAUCCCAACAACAUUCAUAGAAUCAAUAAAAAAAAGAAAAAUUAAAAAAAUUCCAACAAAAUUUAUACAAUUAUUAAGAACAUAAAAAAAAACACAAAACAAAUAAGGAAAAAGAAGAAUCUUACCUUAAUGUUGUUGUGAGUUUUCCCGAUCCUGAGAAGAGAAACAAAAUAAAAAAUUAUGUUAAAUAACAAGAGAAAGAGAGAGGAGAAGACAUACCUGCACAUGGAGAAGAAGAGAAGGGAAUAUGUGGAGGAGAGAAGGAGAGGGAGAAGAGACAGACAGAAAGAUGAAGAUUUGGGAGGAAGAGAGAAUAAGAGAAAUGUGCUUUUAAAUUGGAUCUUCUUUACCCACAGAGUUUUUGAGGACCAAUUAAAUAUUAAUAUUUUAAUUGUUUCUGUCAGUGUAUCUGUUGGUAAAGUCUAAUUGAAAAUUUUAAUUUAAUUAAAUAUUUUCAGAAACAUGCCAAGCAUUAACAAUAUCUUUAAUUACCAUUAGAGAACUAAAAAUUAAUAUUUUAAUUUUUCUAUUCGUGCUUUUGUUUGUAACAUCUAAUUGAAAUUUUCAAUUAAAUUGAAAAUUUUCAGAAACCCACCAACUAUCAUUGACUACUUUUAAGUCUGUCAAUGAUCUUGUAUGCAUUGAACAAUAAUAAAUAGUCUAAUUGAGAAGUGAACAAUUCCUUAGCUCUUGAAAAAAUACCAACGUACAUUACCCGUUGGUGAUCCCGUAUGCACUAAAAAGUAAUAAAAAGUGCAAGAGAAAAGUGAACAACACCUUAUCUCUAAGGAAAUACCGAUGUGCAUUAACCGUUGGUGAUCUCGUAUGUAUUGAGCUUUAAUAUACAAGGCAAGUGAGAAUUGAACACUACCUUAGCUCUUAGAAAAAUACCAGCGGAUAUUUUUUGUCAGUGAUCCCGUAUAUAUUGAACACAAUUAACAAUACAAUUGAGAGGUGAAAAGUUACAAUACUCUCUGAAAUAUACCGACAACCUUAAUUCAUCGGUGUAGCUAUUGGUAUUUUGAAACCUGUCGGUAUUUUUAUUGGUGUAAAUGACAAGUCAUCGUACUUUUCAUCUUUUUUUUUUCAUUCCUUCUUUUCCAACUAUAAUCCACUCGGUAUAUACCAAUAAGAUAUUUUUAUCGGUGCUUACUGAUAGAUAUUGCAAAGGCACAUUCAACUGGGGAAAUUCACUGCAAUUGACCGAUAGAAAUAUUUCAUCGAUGUGUAUUUGUCAAUUUUCUGGUAGUGUCUAUGCUAUCAAAAUUAGCAGCAUGCUUCACAUGUUUUCCUAAAAAAUAAGAUAUAAAUUAAUGUCAAUAAAUUGUUGUAGUAUCACACGUAUCUAGCUUCCAAUGUACUUCUCAAUCCCAUAUUCUACUCUCCAGAAUAUCCGGAAAAUCUCAGGCCACAAACACACCCUCUAACUCACCAUCCAAAAUUGUCCAAUUGCAUAGCAUGCUUGCUUUCAAUAAUAGCUACCUGGCCAUCAUAUCCUCGACCAAAAUAGAAAUGGCCUAUCGUCGAUUUCUGACUAUCAAGUAACGUGAAUGAACCGCAACUUCUAAGCACUUGUGCAUUUGAAAUGCACAAAUAGAUUAGGUGUAUAAUGCGUUAUUUAUUACGGCGACAUUUGUCAACAAUAGCUGAAGGUGCUCUCGAAUGUUCCUCUCCAAUAGCAGAUUGGAUGUUAGAGAAUACUUGUUCAACGCACCACUAGGGAGAUAAAAUUGGUCUGGUAGAGUUUUGAUGAUAUGGAAGAAGUGGAAGUCAUUAUCAUGUUAUUAGUGGCAACCAUUAUGUGCAUGUGCUCUUCACCUCUUGAUUACCUAGUCGUUUUAUUUUACCCUCUCCAACAACGAAUGUGAUCUGGAGAUUCUCUUCAUGGAUAUGCACAAAUUAUUUAUAGUAUCGUCAGCCACGAUUAAUUUCCCAUUGAUCAAGGAUUGGCAAUUGACAUAGGGGGAGAGUAAUAGGGUAGCGUACAAUAAACAUGCAUUAGCAGCUAGCAGGUUAUCUGCUGUUGGUUAUAAGACUCAGUGUUGACCAUUUCCUUUUUUCCCAGAAAAGAAACAAAGAAGAAAAUAUAUAGAAAAAAGACUUGUUUUAGUUUAAUGCAUCAUCAACCGCUCAUUGCAACGUAAAAGCUCUUACAUUUGGGAGCUUACGUUGCUACAACAAAAAAAUACAAAAUUUAAGAAUGGCACUUGUUAAGGAUUUUUUAACUACAUAACCAGCAAUAUGUCAAACAAUGGCUUCAGUCCAACAAUCAAUUCGAUGCCUUACGUCCACAUAUUCAAUCUGUUCUACCAAAAUCCUGUUAUCCGAUCAGUUUCAUAGCUUGCUCAGCAAGCUUGGAUCAGUAAUUCUCUAGAUCCAGCUUGAGAGAAAGUCUUGAAAAUUACAUAAUAGUUGUAGAUCCUUACAGAUAUUAUAAAUAAUAAAAAUUAAGUAUGCAAAUACUACAAAUAUUAUUGUUUAAUGGAGCAAAUACUACAAUAUUUGAAGGCAUAUAUAUUAUAUUAUAUAUGCAGUGUAUAUUGAUAAACAGUGAUAUUUAUAUAUAAAUGAAACAGAAAUGAAGAAAGAGCAGAGAGUAGAAAGGAAGAAGAACAGAGAAUGAAUCUGUUUAUACAGAAAAGCAGAAGACGAAAUUCAUGCACUGUUACAUUAUUGCUUUUGCUUGACUGUUUACAUUACUAUUUCUCACUUUAUAUAUGCAGUAUUGGAAGAUACUACACGGAGAAUAUGCUUUCUUUUACACUCAAUAUAAUGCUAACAGAUUCUCUUUUACUAACAAACACUACUAACAGAAUGCUAACAAUAUUAAUUGCUAAUCUUCUGACACUUGGCAUCAUUAGGACCGUUGAUAUCUUUAUAUGCCCCCUCAAUCGCAGGCUGGGAGGAGCCAAGCAUGAGAUUGGAGCAAAGAUGCUGAAACAAAGAAAUGAAAAGACCUUUAGUGAGGAUAUAUCAGUAGAGGAGACAUGCUGGACCAGUAAAUCAUCCAUGAUAACCCGUUCCCUAACAAAAUGAUAAUCGAUCUGGAGAUGUUUCAUCCUGGAAUGGAACACUAGAUUGGAAGCAAGGGAGAUAGCAGAGAUAUUUUGAAAAGCUAGCAAGAAACGUCACAGAGAGGAACAUAGAAGUGAAUAGAAUUAGAGGGAGAUACUGCAAUAGAGAUGAAGAAAAGCAGAGAAUAGAGAUGAAGAGAAGUAGAGAGAAAUUCUGCAGUGCAGAGGAAGAAGAAAACGUUUAUGUGUAUAUUAGAAUAGAGAUGAAGAGAAGCAGAGAGAGAUUCUGCAGUGCAGGGGAAAAAGAAAACGUUUAUGUGUAUAUUCUCUUAUUAGAGUUGAACAAUCUGAAGUUAAGAAGUAGUCGCUAUUUUUAGAGUGCAAGAGAUAGAAAAGAAGAGAAUCAAAGAUUGAGAAGGGGAAGAAUCUUGCAGAAAGUUGAAGAUUUGAAGAAGAAGUUUCAGUUUGACAAUAUAUCAAACAGAUAAUAGACACACUAGCGAACACAGAAGAAUUUCAUUAAUAAGAUGAGAAAGAAGCCAGAAUCAGAAACAAGAGUAAAAAAAAAAUAAAAAUAAAAAAUAAAAAUCAUAGAGUGCAGAAGUUUCUCCAGGUUUCCCUCUCUCUCUGCUGAAAAAGAAGCAACAGAGUCUCAAAUCGAUUUCAGCAGGUGCACGCAGUAACACUAAGAUCUUGAAGAGAUCAUGGCCAAGCAUCAUCCUGAUUUGAUUAUGUGUCGGAAGCAGCCAGGAAUUGCUAUUGGACGCCUUUGUGAGAAGUGUGAUGGAAAAUGUGUAAUCUGCGAUUCCUAUGUACAUCCUUGCACACUUGUGCGAGUUUGUGAUGAGUGCAACUACGGAUCCUUCCAAGGUUGAUGUGUUAUUUGCGGAGGAGUGGGAGGCUCUGAUACCAUGAUAGACAGUGAUAUUUAUAUAUAAAUGAAACAGAAAUGAAGAAAGAGCAGAGAGUAGAAAGGAAGAAGAACAGAGAAUGAAUCUGUUUAUACAGAAAAGCAGAAGACGAAAUUCAUGCACUGUUACAUUAUUGCUUUUGCUUGACUGUUUACAUUACUAUUUAUCACUUUAUAUAUGCAGUAUUGGAAGAUACUACACGGAGAAUAUGCUUUCUUUUACACUCAAUAUAAUGCUAACAGAUUCUCUUUUACUAACAAACACUACUAACAGAAUGCUAACAAUAUUAAUUGCUAAUCUUCUGACACUUGGCAUCAUUAGGACCGUUGAUAUCUUUAUAUAUAUUAUCUAGUUUAAAUAAUCAUGUAAUUAUUAUUUAUUUUCUUGUUACUAAGGACACAAUCAAAUCUCGUAAAUACCAUAUUAGGAAAUGAUUCUAGUUCAUAUAUACUUGUCAAUAAUGUUAAUGUUAUGAUUGAAAGAUUAUACCUACACGAUCUAACUGCUAGGGAAAACAAAGCUGAAGAUUUCCACCUGCUUACAAGUUCAAUGCCAAAAAGUGCCUUAAUUAAUCCACUCUGGCAUAGCACCUCGUUUCGUUACAUCUUCUUGAUUGAUUUCCUUCAUUGGAAUUAUUGCAAAAGAGAAUUUUUCGGGUUUUUCUUUCUGCUUUCAGUUUGGGUGCCGAAGACCCAAAAUCUUGCAAAUUGAAUUGCUGAUAAUUUCAAAACAAGUCCACAGCAUCAAAACCCUAAUCUUUAAUACAACAAAAACAGAGAGAAUAGUAAGGAGGUCGUUUGGUGCCGUUCGGUAGGCGUUAAGAGAGAGAGGAGGGAAGGUUUUGUUUUGUAUUGUCGCUGGUAUUGUUCGACUAGAGCCCGCGCGCCAGCCCGUAUUCCUAGACCGGAAUUUCCUAACCCAGGGCAAACUGCCAUAAAACAAAGAUGAAGCCAUUGUUCACUUUUUGAUGUACUGAAUAAAAUUUACGAAGUAGGAUACAUUUUCAACCCCCAUUCUUGGGCCUUUCGUUUUCUGGUUUAUUCUUCUUAGCUUCUUAUUUCUAAUACUUUUAUGUUUUAAAUUAUUUUUGUCCUGCAUAAACUUAAGUUUUAAAUUGAUGUGGUGUAUGAAAGCACACCAUCAUCUGCAUAUGGUUGAUAUAUUCAUGAACUGUCUUCUAUUCUUGCACAAACUGAAUUUCGGUUCCAUCCAUGCACAUAUUAUCACUUCCUUAAUUUGAUGCCAUACUUUAAUAAGUCUAUGUAAGAGUGCAAUAAGUGCACUUAACUUUUUUGGUUAUUGGGGAUCUGCGAUUCUGAAUUAUCUUUACUAAUUACUAGAUCAGUAGUUGUGCCUUGAAACAUAUCCUCUCUCUUCUUCUUUUCUCCCAUAAUAUUAAUAGCAAAUGCCAAUAGUUUUCUUGAAAUAAUUAUAGCUUUUCAGAAUAUUUGUUGAGCGGACCUACUGGUGGUCCUUUGGACAUAAAAUUCACUUUGCGGCUUCUAAAGGCCUUUUGGCCGCCUUUGGUGAGGCAUAAAAAAACUCUGGGUGACAUUGUGGUAGGAGAGUUAAGUAGUUUUCAAUACCGAAGAUGACUGGACUCCAUUGACCAACUAAGACUUUUACAUAGGUAUUCUUUUUGGCAGUCGUAAGCUAUUUUCACUUGUGACAUGGUUUUGUUUACUGCAUGCAAAGUCAACACUGAAAGUCUUAGGUUGUGGGAGAAAAUUUUCAAUUUUCAAAACUUCAAGCUCAUUUCUUUUAAUUUUAUUUGAAUAAGUUCUUUUUUGUGAUGAAAUCCUGUUUUUAUGGAAAUGAUAUAUCCACUUUUUAUUAGGGUUUGCAAGAGAUUAUAUACUUUUAGAGUAAAAUGUGCUCUAAAAAGUGACUUUAUUAAGAGAUUUAUAUGUAGACAUACAUGCACAGUUGCAGUUGCUCGCCAACAUACUAUGUGCAUGCAUGUGUGAGCUCUUGCAAUUUUAUUUCAGAAAACAGAAGAAAAGGUAAUCUCUGUGUUCAUGGCAAGCUUUUACCUUUCCCUCCUCCAUAUCCCUCCCCAUAACCAGACCCGCUACCAUAACCUGAUCCAGAGCCAGAGCCAGAUCCUCCUCCUCCACCACCACCUCCUCCUCCUCCUCCUCCACUUCCUUUCCCACCCUUGCCACCGCCACUUCCGCUUCCACUUCCACUUCCAUAGCCUGACCCACUUCCAGAUCCAGAGCCUUGACCACCACCACCACCACCUCCACUGCCGCCGCCGCCACCACCACCUUCACCACCACCUAUCCCACUACCUGAACCAUAGCCUGAGCCGCUACCGGACCCAUAGCCAGAACCUGACCCUUUGCCUCCACCACUGCCACCGCCUCCGCCUCCGCCUCUGCCUCCACCUCCUCCAUGACCACCAGCACCAUAUCCUUCACCGCUCCCGGAUCCAGACCCAGAACCAUAACCUGACCCAAGUCCUGAUCCAGAACCACCACCUCCUCCCUGCCCUCCACCUCCACCUCCACUGAUUGCCUGCAGUGUCCUAGCAGCAAAGGUGAGGUCUACAAUAAGCAAGACCAGGAAAGCAGUCACUAACACUCUUGGACUUGCCAUUUCCAGAUUAUACUCUCACGGCUCAAUGUAUCUGUAUGUUUAUGCGUGUCAGUUGUCACUCGCUAUAUGAGAAACCAGGAUGCUUUGUUGACUGGAAAUGCUUGAAGUGGUAACCCUAUAUAUAGGCAUUGUAAAGGUAACAAGACAAGGUUUGUAAAGGUAACGAGACACGGUUUUUGAAUGUUUCUUAAAUUCCUAGUACCUCUCACUUGGUGAUCUUGACUAUUAUAGAAAGGAACGUGUGCUUUGGGUUUCUGUUUUAGUGGAGGGCGUCGGUGGUGGGGUGUUGGUACUGUGGAGGACUGUCUGUUUCUGUCUAUAUGCAAUAGAAUACAAGCUUUAUCCCCACCUUUUCUUUUUUUUACUUAGCCGUAUCUUGUAAUAUUUGACUUUGGCAAUGGGACUAAUAGCAUGCAUUUCCCACUCUUUAUCAUUCUGUUCAUAUUUGAACUCCACUUUUGAGUACACGUAUUAAUUUUCCAUGUACUGGCUGGUAGCUGUCCUGCGGUGAUUUAUGCUAACGAUUGUCUCCUGAAGCAUAAGUUUAUCCGCUAACGGUAGUGAUUUAUGUACACAGAUAUCUUUCUACUCUGCGUGUAUGCUAACAAUGGGCUAAACUUGCACAACAAACUGGUUGUUCAGUCAAUAUUUCUUAUUUCGGUUGCACUUUCCGUCAUUGAAUAUAAAUAGAUUUGUCCUUAAUUAAAAACCGCGUUCGAAUGUCUGGCUUCUAUUUUAAAACCUUGGUGCCUGUUCCGGUGUAUGAAAGCACACCAUCCUUGCAUCACUGCUAGCAGAAUGGUAGGCCAUCUGCGUGGUUGAUAUACUGAACAGUCUUCUACUCUUGUACAGAUUGAUUUUCAGUUCCAUAUGCACAGAUCAUCACUUCCUUCAAUGGCAUGCAUGCUUUAAUAAGUCUAUGUAGGAGUUCAAGAACUUUUUUUUUUUUUUUGUUAUUGGGGUUCUUCUAUUCUGAAUUAUCUUUACUAAUUAAUAGAGUGGUUGUGCUUUCAAACAUAUCCUCUGAUCUCUUUUUUCUUCCACGUUUUUUCUUGAACAAAACAUGUUAAUAGCAAAUGACAAUAGCAUUCAACUUUGGUGCGCUUGUUGAUGAGAGCACUAUCUCACUACCAAAAAAUUUAGAUUUAGCAACGGAAUUUUUUGUUGAUAUUUAUAUUCACAGUCUAUUCACGAAUUUUCUAACCGGCUAACAAACAGAAAUCAUUCAUCAGAAAACUCUCGUUGGUGAUUUGUGGUAUGUCGGUGAGUCUGUCAAUAAUAUUUUUACUGAUGGAUUAACUGACAGACAAAGCAUGCAAAAAAAAUUUUUAUCAACUUCAUUCCAUUAGGAUUUCCAUCGAUGAAUAUAAUAUAUCACCGACAUAAAAUCCGUAUGUCAUUCUAUCGGUGAGUUUUUUUGCCUGUCAGUAUUUCCUUCAGUGAAUUUGACAUAUAACCGUCAAAUAGACCGUCUGUUAUUCUGUCAGUUAGUAAACAGUAGCAGUGAUAUUUGCAGUAAUUCUUUUUCAAUUCCCUGAAAUAUACCAACAAAAUUAGACCGUCGGUAACUCCGUUAGUAAUAAUUUAAAAAAUAUAUUAAACACAAAUAGAAAAUAAAUUAAAUUAAUAUAAAAAACAAAUAUUUGUUAUAAAUUUAAUCAUUUAUAAGUUCAAAUACAAUUAAUAUAGAAUAGAGGCGUUGAAGGAGGAGGAGAAGAAGGGUCUUUGCUGGGACCGUGGGGCAAAUAAGAUAGAGCACAUGUGAUCUCGUCUCCAUUUAUAAAAUCAUUAAGGAAUAGAAAAAAAAAUUAAAAAAUUAAAAAAAAAAAUCCAACAACAUUCAUACAAUCAAUAAAGAAAAGAAAAAUUAAAAAAAUUCCAACAACAUUCAUACAAUUAUUAAGAACAGAAAAAUAUAAAAAAUGCAAACAAAAAAUACACAAAAAAAAGAGAAGGAAAAAAGAAUAAUCUUACCUUAAUGUCAUAAUGAGUUUUCCCAAACCUUGAGAAGAGAAAAAAAUAGAAAAUUAUGUUAAAUAACAAGAGAAGAAGAGAGGGAGAAGAGAGGAGAAGACAUACCUGCAUGUGGAGGAGAAGAGAAUAGGUGGAGGAGAGAAGCAGAGAGAGAAAUGAAAGAAAGAUGAAGAUUUGGGAGGAGGAGAGAAGAAGUUGUUGGGGAAGAGAUAAGAAGAGAAAUGUGCUUUUAAUUUAGAUCUUUUACCAACGGUGUUUCUGACGACCAAUUAAAUAUUAAAAUUUUUAAUUUUUUUGUCGAUGUAUCUAUCUGUAAAGUCUAAUUCAAAAUUUCAAUUUAAUCAAAUAUUUUAAGAAACACGCCAAGCAUUAACGAUGUCUUUACCGUCAGAAAAUUAAAAAUUAAUAUUUUAAUUUUUAUGUCAGUGUUUCUGUCUGUAAUGUCUAAUUGACAUUUUCAAUUUAAUUGAAAAUUUUCAGAAACCCGCCAACUAUCACCGACCACUUUUAAGUCUGCCAAUGAUCUUGUGUGCACUGAACAGUAAUAAACAGUGCAAGUGAGAAGUGAACAGUAUCUUAGCUCUCGGGAAAAUAUCGACAUACAUUACCUAUCGAUGAUCCCGUAUGUACUAAACAGUAAUAAAAGGUGCAAGAGAAAAGUGAACAACACCUUAUCUCUCAGGAAAAUAUUGGAGUACAUUAACCGUUGGUGAUCCCGUACAUACUAAACAAUAAUAUACAACGCAAGUGAGAAGUGAACACUACCUUAGCUCUCGGAAAAAUACCACAUGCUAUUUUCUGUCGGUGAUCCUAUAUGUAUUGAACACAAUUAGCAGUACAAUUGAGAGGUGAAAAGCUCCAAUGCUCUCUGCAAUAUACCAACGAUCUUAAUUUGUCACUGUAUAUGUUGGUAUUUUGAAGUUUGUCGGUAUUUUUAUCAGUGUAAAUGACAUAUCAUCGUACUUUUUGUUUUUUUUUUCAUUCUAUCUUUUCCCACUAUAAUUUAUUCAGUAUAUAUCGAUGGAAUAUUUUCAUCGAAGUUUACUGAUGGAUACUGCAAAGACACAUUCAGUCGGAAAAAUUCACUGCAAGUGACCAACAUAAAUAUUUUGUUGGUGUGUCCAUUUGCCAAUUUUCUGGUAGUGUCUAUGAUAUCAAAAUUAGCAGCAUGCUUCACAUGUUUUCCUAAAAAAUAAGAUAUAAAUUAAUGUCAAUAAAUUGUUGUAGUAUCACACUUAUCUAGCUUACAAUGUACUUCUCAAUCCCAUAUUCUACUCUCCAGAAUAUCUGGAAAAUCUUAGGCCACAAACACCCGCUAACUCACCAUCCAAAAUUGUCCAAUAUUUGCAUAGCAUGCUUGCUUUCAAUAAUAGCUACCUAGCCAUCAUAUCCUCGACCAAAAUAGAAAUGGGCUAUCGUCAAUUUCUGACUAUCAAGUAAUGUGAAUGAACCGCAACUUCUAAGCACUUGUGCAUUUGGAAUUCACAAAUAGAUUGGGUGUAUAAUUCGUUAUUUAUUAUGGCGACAUUUGUCAACAAUGGCUGGCUGAAGGUGCUCUCGAAUGUUCCUCUCCAAUAUCAGAUUGGAUGUUAUAGAAUACUUGUUCAACGCACUACUAGGGAGAUAAAAUUGGUAUGGUGGAGUUUUGGCCGGUGAUAUGGAAGAACUGGAAGUCAUUAUCAUGUUAUUAGUGGCAAACAUUAUGUGCAUGUGCUCUUCAGCUCUUGGUUACCUGGUCAUUUAUAUUUUACCCACUCCAAUAACGAAUGUGAUCUGGAAAUUCUCUUCAUGGAUAUGCACAAAUUAUUUAUAGUAUCAUCAGCCACAAUUAAUUUCCCAUUGAUCAAGGAUUGGCAAUUGACAUAGGGGGAGAGUAAUAGGGUAGCGUACAAUAAACAUACAUUACCAGCUAGCAGGUUAUCUGCUGUUGGUUAUAAGACUCCGUGUUGGCCAUUUCCUUUUUUUCGCAGAAAGAAACAAAGAAGAAAAUAGAAAAAAGACUUGUUUUAGUUUAAUGCAUCAUCAACCGUUCAUUGCAACGUAAAAGCUCUUACAUUUGGGAGCUGACGUUGCUACAACAAAAAAAUACAAAAUUUAAGAAUGGCACUUGUUAAGGAUUUUUAACUACAUAACCAGCAGUAUGUCAAACAAUGGCUUCAGUCCAACAAUCAAUUUGAUGCCUUACGUUCAAAUAUUCAAUUUGUUCUACCAAAAUCCUGUGUCUUUUCAGUUUGAUCGUUUACUCAGCAAGUUUGGAUCAGUUAAUCCACUGGAUCCAGCUUGAGAGGAAGUCUUGAAGAUUACAAAGCAGUUGUAGAUCCUUACUGAUACUGAAAAUUAAUGGUGUAAAUACUAUGAUUAAUGGAGCAGAUACUGCAGUAUUUGAAGGAAAUAUUCAAGAUUCUGUAGUAAUUACAUUACCUUAUAUAUGUUGUGUAUAUUAUCUAGUUUAGAUGAUCAUGUAAUUAUUAUUUAUUUUCCAUGUUAGAAACUAAUUUUAGUGCAUAUAUAUACUUGUAACUCUGUCGUUAGUAAUGUUAUGAUUGAGAGAUUAUACCUUUCUAAAUUUCUACACAAUCCAAUAGGGAAAACAAAGCUGAAGAUAUCCACCUGCUUACAAGUUCAAUGCCAAAAAGUGCCUUAAUUAAUCCACUCUGGCAUAGCACCUCGUUUCGUUACAUCUUCUUGAUUGAUUUCCUUCAUUGGAAUUAUUGCAAAAGAGAAUUUUUCGGGUUUUUCUUUCUGCUUUCAGUUUGGGUGCCGAAGACCCAAAAUCUUGCAAAUUGAAUUGCUGAUAAUUUCAAAACAAGUCCACAGCAUCAAAACCCUAAUCUUUAAUACAACAAAAACAGAGAGAAUAGUAAGGAGGUCGUUUGGUGCCGUUCGGUAGGCGUUAAGAGAGAGAGGAGGGAAGGUUUUGUUUUGUAUUGUCGCUGGUAUUGUUCGACUAGAGCCCGCGCGCCAGCCCGUAUUCUUAGACCGGAAUUUCCUAACCCAGGGCAAACUGCCAUAAAACAAAACAAAGGAAAACGGAAGGGGAGAGAGAGAGAGAGAGAGAGAGAGAGUGUUGGGAGAUUUCAGUGGAAAGUCAAGAUAUUUCGUAUAUCUAUUAUAACGGUAAGGAAGUCACGCGUGAUUGUUAAGCUGACGCGGGCGGGGAUUUUAUUUAAUUUAUAAUUGGGCUUAAUGGGCCAGUUUUAAACUUUAAGUGGGCUCGUGUGUAUUAAUUAACUCCAAGCCCGUAUUUGUAAGCCCUUUAAAGUCUCUACGGUGUGCGCCCUCUCAUAAAAGCAAAAAAAACUUUAACGAUGUUCGAGUCCUGUGGUUGUUCAUAUAAUGACCACUGGAAGCUUACAUGGUCGUUAACUUUAGGGCCCGUGGAAUUAGUCGAGGUGCACGCAAGCUGGCCCGGACACCCACAUUAAACUAAAAAAAACAAAAAAACUUUAACGAUAAAUUUCGAUCACAGAUUUACAAUGUGAUGAUUGCUACUUUUAUAACAAUUAACAUUAAGCUAUGAAAUCAUUUCAGGAUUGUAACAUUCUAUGGAAAAAAAAUGUUUACAAGAAUUCUGAUCAGUAAUUACGCCGUUAUUUACCUAUCAAAAUGAGAUAGACCCUUGCUAUAAAUUGAUUGGAGAACAUUCAUGUAUUCUGGGUAAAUUAAAAGCAACUAGAUUAGCAAUAACAAAUUAGUGACUGAAGACAAGGACAAGGUGAGGUGAUUCCCAAAAAUAGGUGUUAGGUUCUUCUUAUGUGGAUCGUUAAAUUUGGAAAGGGAGGAAUAAGAGCUUGCAAGAGGCUUUUUCAAGACUUGAAUGCUCUUAUGGUAAUUUCUUUUAUCGUUUUUUUUUCAGAAAGUUUAUAGCUUGUGGAGAUUUUUAGUUCUAUUUAAGAAUAGCAGUUGAGGUAACUUGACAUGAACUUUUAUGUCCACAGGCUGUUGCACUGGUUAGAUUAUGUGAGAAGUGAAUAUUUGACUGAAUGUCUGGCUUUGUAACAGGACUGCAAAAGUUAUGUUUUGAUUUGUGUAUAGUGUGUUGAGUUAAGCUGUUGUUGUUUUAUCGCUCUCGUUUUGGCUGCGGCUUUAUGUUCUGAGGUGUAACGAGGCUAAAGAGUUAUGGUCAUGCUAGCAGAGAAGGUGAGGCAGAGGCUUUUGCCGGGCUCGAGCUCUCAAAGUAGUUAUGGGGAUGAUGAGGAAAUGGAUUCCAAAGAAGAGAUGAAAGAUUGGCUGUUGAGUGUUGGUAUCAUAUCUCCAGUAACAAAAGAGUCUGCAGGUGCCAUGUAUCAUCAACAACUGUCCUGUAAGGUCAAGUCUGUUUUGUUGACUCUCUGUGUAUUUCUCAUGGCUAAUUGUUUGAUAAGAGAGAUUUAGAUGGAUAUUCUUAGUAUUACUUGCUUUUGUAUGCUGAGUAAAUUCUCAUGUUAAAUGGAUCCUCUUUUACUUAAUUUUCUUCCCUCGAAGAGAAUCUCAAUCUCUCUUUGUUUUUGCUCAGUUGGCAGAUUUUGUCAGAUUUCCUCUAAAGAAAGCUGGAGGAGUGAUCAAUCAAUCUUGUAUGGACUCCCCAACCGUGCUCGCACAGGUUUGUUUGAUGUCAUGAGCAUUCCUCGUUUUACUGAGUAUUACUUCAAUCCAUAUUGAACUUUUGAUUCCUUGGCAGCUCUCACUGGUAUUACGUGUUCUGCAUACAGUUGAUCUCACCUGAGGAUUGGUUGCGAGCACGUUCUCUUUGGGAGAAGUUUGAUGUGUAUGCAUGAUACUAUCUUCAACUAAUCUGGAAUUAUGAUUGUUUGUCUUGAGAUCCAAAAGAUGGAUUAUCUUUGCGACUUUCAAUUUAUUCAUAAGAUUGUACUUGAGCUGCUAUAGACAAAUAUAUCACGCAAGUCACUACCAACUGGCAAUAAAAUAAACUGAUUGUUGGUUUUAUUGAUGGGUAUAAGAUAUGUUCUUUGUGGAAGAACUUGUAGUGUUGUAACACAUUAUAUAAGAGAGCUAGUUGAUGAUUAGUAUUAAGACAGAUAUCCGAUAAAUUUGACAACAGCUUGGGCAGCAUUGCGAGCUGCUAAGGGUCCAAAUGUCUGGAUUGCAUUCUGUCCGGUCUGUCCUCCAGCUAAAUCUGAUAGCCCUCUGAUGACAAUCACAGGAUACCCGUUUGACAAGCUUGUCUGGGAAACCACCAUAAGUUGUUAGAAUAUUUUGAAGAGCAAAAUACAAUUGUCGACUGUAAGAGUCAGGUUUGAAAAUGCAAGCAUCUUAGACAAUUUAAUAAACUUCAACAAUGUCAGGCCACUCAAAUUGGGUAGAUUCAAUCCUCCAAAACCUAAAUCUUUCAUUGCAUUUCUAAGGCCCUAAUCGCUUGCUAUUAUGCAGCACAGUUGGUCUGAACACAAGUUGAGAAGGUGCUCUCAUAAUGCAUAUUAUGUUCUUUGCCUCAUGUAGACAUCGGAAUGCAAGGAGAUAGAGACACAGAAAAGAGAAGAAAAAUGAACUAUUAAAACUGAAGAGCAAGCCGAGGAAUCUUACCAUAACUACAGCAGAACUCUCCAUAUCCACUGAUGAAACAGCAUAAGUUUGAUAAAGGAAAUCCCUGUAAGCUGCGUUGUCCACAAAAAUAUUGGCUGUUGAACCCCUGAGGCCAACAACUAGCUUAGGCUUUCGAGAAAGGCACACACUUGAAUUCACACACCUUUCCAGUUCCAUCCCCUGGAGUAUAUCAGGAUUGAAAAAUUCAUCAAAACUGGAAAAUAUAUAUAUAUAUAUAGAAAAGGAAGCAACAUUCACAAAUCAAGAUAAUUAACCUCCAAGCCAGCGGCAAGCUGAAGCCAUUGUUCGCUUAUUUGUGCCCAAAAUAGUGGUAUGGCAGUAUUAGGCUUCCCUGACUCAGAAAAGAACUGCUCAUAACUAUAUCCAAUCUUUCCCAACAGAUUCAUCCCAUCUCCUUUUGGUACGUUGUAGCUUCCAAAGUCCAAUUCAGCAAUAUCAUUGGUGGGCAAUGUUCCAUUAGGAUUCUGUCAAGGGUAUACUUUUUUUAUAAAGAACAAAAUAACAUGAAAAAGAUGGAGAACAGGCAUGGACGAAUUUGUACCAGCCAAUCCCAAAUGCCAGUGUGAGCAAACUGUUUGGGGAUCGUAACAUCUCCAAUGGACAUGGAAUUGUUUACGUUUCCAGCAAUGCCAAAAUGGACUAUUCCUGUUAUAUCAAACAUGUCCAGCAUUUGUUGUGUUGCUGCAGCUGCAUUGACCUAAAAGAGCCAAAAAAAACCUUGAUUAAAUAAGCUUGAAAAUUCAUGUUAGAGGAAGAAUGGCAUUUCCUGAUCAUAUUCAAAAUCUCCCCUUCUAGGACCCUACAUCAGAUUAUGUGAAAAAGAUAGGAAAAGCUUUUAUUACCCACUGAUCUGUGUGAAUUUAAACUGGAAUGAUUUUAAGGACAAGUGGUUCGUGUUAUGACUAACUUGCUUUCCCCUAAUAAGAUUUAAGAAGCUCUAUGAUGCUAUUUUGACAUAUCAGCCCCAGAAGUUUUCACCUAAAAUAUAUGCAUCAGAAGUAAUUAGUAUCUUUGCUUACCAUUCCAACCCCACAUCGCACGUAGAGAACUUUCUUCCCCUGAACCUUUCCGACCCGGAACCGCCGUCCUGCAACAAACAACCACAAUUAAUUUGCUAUACAAGCUUGAAGAGCUCAACUGUCUACAGGCAUCUAAUGUCCAAUGAGAUCGCAUCACAGACAUCACCUGAGAGAUCCACAAAAGGAUGCUUCCCAUCAGGCUUAAAGGCCUUAGAUGCAAAAAAGGCAUUCUCCUCCGGUGGAUAAACAGUAAUUAUGCCAACGUAAGGCCCUUUUCUGUUCACUUCUUUGAUGAUAUUCAAAGACUUUAAUCUGUUUGAUGGAAUAGCUGAUGCAUUUACAAAUAUUAAAACCAGGGUCAGAAAUAGUAGCGCAACUAAUUGUUCUGCAGCCAUGUUUGUGGUUCAUCAGCUUAUGGGAAAAACCAUACUUGUAACCCCAACUGGUCACACAUCCAGCCAGCAGAUUUUUAAAUAUAAGUUCAGUUAGUCAGAGAGGCCGGCUUAAAUAAUAUAUUAAAGAUUCCUGUUAUGACGAUACUGGCUUUCUUGCAUGACAAUCCAUGGCCAGUCUUUCAUGUGGACUUUGAGUGGCCAAUAAGAUAACGUGGAGCAGGAAAAAGAAAUUUAAUUGCUAAUCAAGAAUCCGUUUAUGAUAUUCAUUUUUCUAAUUAAGUUGAAGAAUGACGAUCCUUUCAGAUUUAGAAUAAGUCAACGAUUUCGACGAACGAAAGGAGUGAUAAUUAUUUAAUUACAGGCUGACUCACUCACUCACUUAACUAUUUGUUCAAAAAUUCCACAGCUUACCUUAAGCAUCCGUUUACUUUCGAAAAUAUUUCAUUUUCAGCUGGUAUUAAGUAAAGGGCUAAGUUCCAGGAAAUUUCCCUCUUGGGUAUAUGUUGUUUUUAAUUUUCAACCUGCAUUAUUUCUGCAGACACGGCACAGAAAUGAGAGCUUCCAGGAACCAUAGCAUUCUCCAAAUUAAUAUAACAGGAAAAAAGAACAUCCUGAUCUACGCAAUUGUGAAAAGCAUCAUUCUUUGUCCUUCCAAACCAGUAUUUAAUAAUGUAGAGACAUUAUGCUCAAAAAAAAAUCCAGUGCCAGAUCCUUUCAUCCUUGGCAGGAGGUUAUAUAAAUUAUGGAGGAGGAGGGUCUAGCCCGACUGUCCAUAUCAGGCCUUGAUAAGACAGAAAAAAAAACACGAACUGUUUAUCACAAAAUAAAAUGGCUUGCAUCCUCAAUCAUACAUUACAAGAUGUGAGAAUACUGUAAUUAUCGUGAACCCUUUAUUUAAGAGUUCUUACAGCUUUGCAUCACUGAUUGACAUCAAAAUCUUUCCUUUUCAGAUAUGUUUCCAAGGAAGUUUAUUCUGCUGCACUAAAUCAGCUAGGAUAUGCUGGAGAACUUCUAAGAAAGACAGUUAUUUAACUUGUCACUCAUAUUUCUUAUUAUUGCAACUGACCAAUGCGAAACAAUGCUUUAAAGCAUAACUCUAUCGAGAAUUAUAUCCCGGUAGCUUGCUGAUAAAUUUAAGAACAGCCUUGGCAGUAUUCAGAGCUGCAAGCGAACCAUAUGUGUCCAUUGCAUUCUCUCCUGAUUGUCCUCCAGCUAAAUCUGACAUCCCUCUGAUGACAAUCACAGGGAUACCAUUUGACAAGCAAGUCUGGAAUAGCAAUAGUAUUAGUUUCUUCAGUUGAUAAUGAAACAACCUGUUGGAUCUUGUAAUUUCAGAAUAGAUAGCCAGGAUUUGAACAAGGUUCAAAUUCAAUACAAUGAAUAUGUUUAUGCUGAUGCUGAUGCUUAUCAACCUAAUCAAAACUUGCUACAUUCAACACCGAAUGGAAAAAUAAAGAACAUAUUAAUUAAUUAAGAUCAAAGGGAAGAAAAACUUGCCAUCACUACAGCAGAGCUCUCCAUAUCAGCUGAUGAAACCCCAAAAGCCUUAUAAAGGAAAUCCCUGUAAGCUGCGUUGUCCACGAAAAUGUCUGCGGUUGAGCCCUUGAGCCCAACAACUAGCUUGGGCUUUUGUGGAAGGCACAAGCUUGAAUUAACACACUUCUCCAGUUCCAUCCCCUGAAGAAGAUUGAACGAUACAUUGAAACUAAUCUGUAAGAGAGGCUUUUGUAGGAAAUUGUGUAUCAAAUAGCAAAGAGUAGCCUGCAUUUUAUCUUAGCUAUAACUUUGAGGAAAGAAAUAUUAGCAAAUUGGAAAAAUCUGAGAGACGGGAUAUGUAUGUCUAACCUCCAAACUAGAAGCGAGCUUAAGCCAAUGCUGACUCACUCCUGCCCAAAACAGGGUCGUAGCAUCAUUAGGCUCCCUUGACACUGAAAAUAACUGCUCGGGACUGUAACUGAGUUUUCCUAACAGAUUCACACCAUCUCCUUUAGGCACAUUAUAUUUUCCAACCUCUAAUUGAGCGACAUCAUCAGGGUCCACAGUUCCUUUUGGGUUCUACAAAUCACAAAAUUCUGUAUACGUGAAGUUGAAAAUAUGAUUGAAAGAGGUCAAAACUACAGCGUAAGAAUAUUUAUGAAUUCACACCAGCCAAUUCCAAAGGCCAGUAUUAGCAAACUGUUUGGGGAUGCUAACAUCUCCAAUGGACAUAGAAUUGUUGAUAUUGCCAGAAAUCCCAAAAUGGACAAUCCCGGCUACAUCAAACAGAUCCAGCAUUUGUUGUGUCACCGCAGCAGCAUUGACCUGAUUGAACCAGCAGCACAUUUAAAUCAGCUCGAGGGUGCCAACGUGUUCAGUAAACAUUGCCAUGUUUCUUCUGCAGCUAUGAAUUUUCUAGUCUAACAAGCUCUCCUGUACUAUACUGAAUUUUUUUUUUUCUUUUGGAGACGUGCCAUAUAACUUCAAACUUGAUGCAUUAAUUGGAGUGAAUAAAAGAAAAUGAUUUACCAUUCCAAUCCCACAUCUCACAUAGAUGACUUUCUUCCCGUAGAUUGUUCCGACUCGAUAUCUUCGCCCUUCAGUACCACAUUGUCAUUCUAACUUGCAGAACAAAUGUAUUCCAUCAACAAUGCAUUUAUAUAAGAAAAGAACCCACAUACCUGACAGGUUCACGAAAGGGUGCUCAGGAUUAGGCUUGAAAUCCGCAGUCCCUAAAAAGGCAUUCUCUUCUGGUGGAAACACAGUGAGGAGACCAAUAUAAGGCCCUUUGCUGUUAACUUGCUUUAUUAGUUUCAAAGAAUUUAUCUUCUUUGAUGGUAUAGCUGACACAGAUACAACCAACAAACAAGUCAAGACUACCGAUGCAAAAUAUGGUAGUGUUACAAGUUUUGCUGCCAUGGUUGAGUUUAGCUUGUAAGCCUUAUAUGUGAAUUGCCUAUAUAUAGGCUGCUUAAUUAAGUUUAAAAUUUUGAAAUUUUUUUUAAAUAAUAUUUUUUUUAGUAUUUUUAGAUAGUUCCGAUGCAUUGAUAUCAAAAAUAAUUUUUAAAAAAUAUAAAAAAUAUUAUUUUGAUAUAUUUCUAAAUAAAAAGCAAUACUAACUACACUCUCAAACACAAAAUUACUUAAUUACAUAUUGUUUUAGUGAUUCAAAGUGUGUAUAUAGUUUUAGUGAUUUUUUUUAAAGUGUUUUUUAUUUGAAAAUAUAUUAAAAUAAUAUAUUUUUAUCUUUUAAAUUUUAAUUUUGACAUCAUAACGUUACGACUAUCUGAAAAUAUUUAAAAAAUUAAUUUAAAAUAAAAAAUUAUAAAUUUUUAAAAACACUUUUAAAACACUAAAACAAACAAAAAAAAUUGAUCUGCAUCUAAAUCAUAUAAAUUUUUUUUUGAAAAAAAGUGGUUCAGAGCUGACAACAAAAGUGAAAAAAGAAAAGGACAAGGUAAAUUGUAGCUAUUAGACAUGAUCGGAAUAAAAUCUUGAAUAUGUAGAUUUCUGAUAUGACUAAGGGCUAAUAACUGGUUGGCAUUUUAAUCGCAUUAAGCUUUAUAGAAAAAAGAGUGGUUCACGUAGAGUUGACAGCAAAAGUGAAAAGAUAAAUUUACAAGGCAAAUCAUAUUUAUCAAGAUGAUCCAAAUAAAUGUUUCGUAUUUUAAUCACAUGAUUUUUUUUAUAUAUAAAAAAACGGUCCGCAUGGUAAACAACAGUUAAAAAAAAUUACUAGACAAAUCAUAGUUAUAAUAUAUGAUUUAAAUGAGAUUCUAAAUAUGUGGACUACUAAUAUGAUUAAGAGCCGAUAAUUAGUCCCUAUUUUAAUCCCAAGGAGUUUUUUAGAAAAGGUUGGUUCAGCAAAAAUGGGAAAAAAAAUUGACAAAGAAGAGCCAUUUAUUUUUGUAUUUUAAAUGUAAUUUUAAAAAAAAUUACUUUUUUUAAUUUUUUUAUUUUAAAUAAAUUUUUUUAUAUUUUUAGAUUAUUUUCAUGUGUUAAUGUAAAAAAAAUAUUUUUUUAAUAUUUCUUUAAAGAAAAUAUUUUGUAAACUAACUACUCACCGCUGUGUUUAAGAUUACUCGUGAUCAAAUUGAUUUUUACAGGGUGGAUAAGAAUCUGGGUAGUUAAGGUUUCACUAUCUUAUUACUUAUUCUAAUGUCUCUUUCUUCUUUAAAUGCAGUUUUAAAAGAGAUUGAAUGAGGGGCUUAAACUGGAGUUCAUGAUAUUAAAGUUUUACCUAACGGCUUCAAGACACUGCGAUGGAUAUUAAAGUUUACUUUACAUAGAUUAUGAGUUUGGCUAUGUUAUCAAUGAAAUAUUUUAAAAAUAUAUUUAAAAAAUAUUAAAUCAAAUUUUAUUUUUAUCAGUUUGAAUCAAUCCAUACAUGGUUUAAUUUUUUUACUAGAAAAACAUCUGCAAUACUUGAAUUUUUUUUUUUACUUCAAAAUAUAUUUAAUUCAACCUCAGCAUAACAUAGGCUAUACAUCUAAUUAUUUACCUAAUAUUUAUUUUUAGUUUUCACGAAAAAUAUCCGGCUAGUGCAUCAACUUUUAAAAAAAAUUUCAAUCAAUUGUUGCAAGCAAAUUACUUCUUCCAUUUCUGAAUCAUUGAUUGAUAUAAAAAUCUGGGCUUGUAGAAUGUGUCCCAGAUGAAGUUUGUUCCUGCUGCUUCAAAUCUGCUGAAGAACCCCUAAAGAUGUCUCCUUUGUCUAUUAGUUGUUAAAACUCUAAUUUCAUGGUAUGAUGACACAUUAAUGAGAAACUACAUGUAAUGCUGCUGCAAUGGAGAGUUGUAUCCUGGUAGCUUGCUGAUAAAUUCAAGAACAGCUUUAGCAGCAUUGAGGGCUGCAAGUGAACCAAAUGUGUGGAUUGCAUUGUCUCCUGAUUCUGCUCCAGCUAAAUCUGACAGCCCUCGGAUGACAAUCACAGGAAAGCCAUUUGACAAGCAUGUCUGAAAAAGCAAGUUCCGUCAGUAUGAUCUUUGUUGAUCAUGAAAUUAAUUGUUCGAAUCUUAGCACCUUCAGAAGCUUUGGAUCUUAAUUACAAUGUGAAAAAGAAAAGUACAAGUCCAUUUAACUGUGCUGGUUAUCAGAAGGAGGAUUCAGAUAAGUUAACUUGCCAUUACUACAGCAGAACUUUCCAUGUCUGAUGAUGAAACCUCAAAAGUUUGAAAGAGGAAAUCUCUGUAAGCUGCAUUGUCCAAAAAGAUGUUGGACGUCGCGCCCUUGAGCCCAACAACUAGCUUAGGCUUCUCUGGAAGGCACAAGCUUGAAUUAACACACUUCUCCAGUUCCAUCCCCUGAAGAGUUAUAAAUUGCAAGUGUAAUCUACUACAGAAGAGGCUUCUGUAGGAAAUUGUGAAAGAAGCAUUAAAGAGCAGCCAGCAAAUUUCCUUAAUAGUGACUUUCAAGAAAGUAAAAUUAGCAGAUGGUGAAAACUGAGGGGCUGGAUUUGAAUGUCUAACCUCAAGGCUCCUAGCAAGUUGAAGCCAUUGCUGACUUACUUCCAUCCACCACAAUGAAACAGCAGUGUUAGGCUCCCUUGACACAGAAAAGAGCUGCUCAGUGCUGUAUCCAAUCUGCCCCAGUAGAUUCACGCCAUCACCUUCAGGUACAUUGUAGCUUCCAACCUCCAAGUAAGCCACAUCGGCCGGGUCCAUAGUUCCAUUCGGGUUCUAUCAAUCGCAAAGGUCUGUGUGCGUAAGCUGCAAUUGGAUAGGGACAACAGAAAUAACAACACAUUAAAGAUUGAAAGUUUUCAAAAUUUUUGAACUUGUACCAGCCAGUUCCAAAGGCCAGUGUGAGCAAAUUGUUUGGGAAUGGUAACAUCCCCAAUCGACAUAGAAUCAUUCACAUUGCCAGAAAUUCCAAAAUGAACAAUCCCAGUUACGUCAAACAGAUCCAGCAUUUGUUGUGUUACCGCAGCAGCGUUUGUCUGAUCGAGUCAGAACCAAACUUAAAUCAGUUUGUGAAGGGAAAUACAGUUAUGAAUCUUCAGUCUAAGAGUACACAAAAAACAGAACUCAAAGCAUCAAGUGGGGUGAAAAGAUAAUAUUGGCUUACCAUUCCAACCCCACAUCUCACGAAAACGACUUUCUUCCCAUUGAUUUUUCCCACUCGAUACCUUCGCCCUUCAACAUCAUAAUUACUGUCAUUUAACAGAACAAACUACAAUCAACUGUAAUCAAAGUAUCUAGCAUCCAUUCCUAAGAAAGAAUACCUGCCUGAGAGAUCCACAAAAGGGUGUUUAGCAUCUGGCUUAAACGCCCCAGAUCUGAAAAAUGCCUCUUCUUCUGGUGAAUACACAGUUAUGAGACCAAUAAAAGGCCCUUUGCGGUUGAGUUGUUUGAUUGUGCUAAAAGAACCUCUCCUCCUCUUUGAUGGUAUGGCUGACACAGACAUAACCAGAAAAGAAACAAAAACCAGCACUACAAAACACCGUGCAGCCAUGGUUGAGUUCAUUACUAUUUGCUUGAAUGAAAAGACGUAUAUAUAUGCUCGGUCAACGCUUCCAUCGAUCUGGUAGAUAUAUUUUUUUUAUUUCUUGCCUCGUGAUUCAUUUUCUGGUGUUCCAUAUUGAUUGAUUGAUUGAUUUAUUUAUUUAGAAAAGAAAGAAAUGUAAAUUCACAUGAAGUUGACAGCCCAAGUGGGAGCUUUUAAAAAUAGACAAGAUCAGGGUCCUAUCUCUUGACAGGACCAGAGAGGCAGAGAAGACAAUAAUUAGCAUAAUAUCCUAUUAUUAAAUGUUUUUGAGCUUAAAUUCUCCUCUUCAUGUAUGGAUCUGCAUGCCAUCUUCUUGUUGUUGCUAUAUUUUAUCUGCAAAAAAUGUUAAUUAAUGUAAAACAACGAAAAUAAUCUGACUUCUUGUUUCGCCUGAGAGUAAAUCGGAGACUUCAAGUGAUUUCGAGCUGCCGACGAUGCAUAUCUGGCAGUUACUUAUCAUAAACAGAACAAGACAAGGCUUAAGCUCUUAAAAGCUAUGUUCUGUAAAUAUUUUCUUACUGCAAUGCAUCUGCACCAAAAUAAUUACCGGCAAUGUAAUAAUCACUGUUAUUAAAUCCAGUCCCACCAUGUACCUAAACAAUUGACUUCACGUGUUAAUUCAUAAACUAGUCAAAAUCUUCUUCUUUUUUCCAAAACAACAGCCUUGGCCUCUGUAGUGUAGAGUGACCUGUUCUGUUCAACAUCUAGGUAUCAUUUAACAUACCUUGACCUUCUUUCAAAUAUAGAACAAAUAAUUAUUUAAUCCGUGUGUUCUAACAAAAUAAUUAAUUAAUUCUAGUUAUUUGAAAAAUAUAACAUUGCAUCCUUAUAUUUUUAUUUUCGAUCAAGUACAUUAAUAAUGUUAUAUUUCCUAUAAUAAUGUUUUAUUUGCUCAAAUUACAUUAAUUUCAAGUAUUUUUAGAUUUAAAAAAAAAAAAUUGGACUUGCUUCCAUGACUCUAUCAGCACAAAGCAGUAUCUAUGCAACAGUAACAGAAAAUAAUUGGGAUAUAUCUUCACCUGUAAAUAUUUCAUUCAAGGAAAGAACUUUUCAUUAAUGGCUUGGAACUUUAAAUGUAGUAAAUAAGUAGUGAACCCUAGCCCUCCUCUACAAACCCAGCAAUCAAGACUUGCGUUGUACACGACUUUCAUUAAAAGCAUAACAUACAGAAAGGCCCCGUUGCAAAGUCAGUUUGGAGCGGGAGGGAAAGUGAGCUUGAUGGGGCAGCUUUGCACCUUGAAGAAGCCAAACUUGCAACAAAAUAAAUAAUUGUUGGGGGUGUCGACUGUUUUAGGAAUCCCCAAGUUCCUCUAUGUAUCAAUGCAUCAAAGAAUGUUCGGCACAUCCAUUAACAGAUUUUCACUGGUUUUGAAGACUCUCAAUGGCCUUUUUCCACUGCCACGCUCUCUGCUUAACAUCUUCAAAUGACCUUACCUUCUUCGGCUGAAAGAGCACAUAAUUAAAUCAGGAAAAUGAAGGGAAAAUGCAGAGGGGUGAGGGAUGGAGAGAGUGAAGAGAUAUAAACUGGAGAAUAAUCCUCUAUAGCUGGAAUUUUUAAUAAGAAAAAAAUCACUGUAUAAUGAAGAGGAUCGAAGGGCUAUAUAGCAUGGUGCAGCAUAAGUCUUUGAACUCCUACUAUCAAACUAUUUAUGCAUUUUCUACAUUUCACGAGUCCAAGGUUUGAUGAGGUAUCCCAAAAGAUUGGAAAUGACACUAGUUUAGAAUGAAAAAGCCGCCAAUGAUUUCAUCAGGGAGAUGAUUUGGCAAAAGAAGCAUACCGUACAGAUCUUAAAAUGUGAAGGACUUGUAACUUGGACACUCAGGUCAUCAGAAUUGUCAGACCAAAUUAUAUUUCCCUUCACUAUUAACUUCGAAGGGUCCACGUAGAUCAACUUUGGCUUGUUAGUAAGGAUAAGCUGCACCUUCUUGCUCGUCAGUUUCUGUAAUUUCUUCACCAUCGAGAUCAUUACAACAGAUUCCCCUGGAUCCAAAAACUGUUGCCUGGUAACAUGGAUAUCCUACAUGUUAGACAUACUUCCAAAUAGUCUGAAAACAAAGGAGGAAAAAGACAAACCAACACUUAAAUUUCUCCAUUAAAAUAACUUCAUAGUGGCAUUCUUUUGAAGCUUUAAGAAGAAUGAGGGAAAACAACCAACACAAGUCAUCCUAAUAAUGCCAACUAAAGAUCUUCUCCAGCCCCAGGACUACUCGUUUAGAUUGCUUCCAAGAAGCAACCUGUACCAGCUUUUUAGUAAUGUUAAAUGGUCAACUUCCUUGAGGUAAAACUGGAAAAAUGUGCUCAACUCUUAUGUAAACCGUUACAGUCAACACAAAAAAAAAUUCAAAUGAAUCCAGUAUCUCAAGGCAUGUCCUCGGUGAGUUCAAAAGAAGGUCAAUCUUCCUCGAACAAUUCCGAGCACAAGCUUGGAGGUUACAUAAAUCUAAGCAACUGAGUAGGUGCACGAGACAAGGAAUGCAAGGAACUUAAAUCAAACAGUAGUUCUAACUGGUUGGAUGGCGGUUAAGAAGAACCAUAUCCUCUGCACAUUCUUCAAUUCCCAAUAGCCAUGUGAGGCAACAACAAGAAUCUCAAAAAAUAUAUUGCAACAGGUUUACACCGAGAAAUUUUGCAAAGCAAAGAAUCAGACUUAUUGAGAGAAGCAGAAAAGGGACAUAUAUAAAGGCAGAUAAUGUGCAUAAAGCAAAAGGUGUAAAGCCAAUACCAUUUAGAAUCAAAGGAGUCAAUUGAAGCAAGUCUAGCUAUGUGUGAAGUUGCUUCAGCAGAUGAUGAGACUCCAACAUUCGCAUCAUUUUGUGUCAUUGAACUGUCACCAAUGUGUGUGGGGUUAAAUGGAGACCCAGGGUCAUGGUCAUUGUCACCGGAUUGCGCCUGGUACAUGAAUAACAAAAGAGAUAAAAAAAUCCAAAGAUUAUUCGCAUGAAGACAAAAAAAACAAAGGAAAUUUGAAAUCCUUCAGCACAUAAUAUUUUAAAGCAGUGUUGUCGUACCAUUGGUUCCAAAACAAGUUUUGGAGGGGUUUCUCCUCUUAAAUUCUUCCAGUCAACUCCCUCAAAGAAUGGAUGAUUCUUGAGCACAGCAUAACCACCACGUCCAGCACCCGGUCUUCUGCUGGGAUCUAUAUCCUACAUGGUUGUAACAUUGAAGAUCAAAGACAUGAAUCACAAACUUCAUAAGAGAAUAUUCGUAUCGUUUGUAAUACUUGGGGCAAAGGGGCAAACGUUGGCUUCAUGAUAAUAUCCAAAUUCAGAGAUUAUGUUUAUAAUGUUCCCGGCCCAAGUCUUAAGGAUGGUAGAAUAGACAACCAAAGGAAAGCAUGUGUGCUUUUCCUAUCAAGCAAGGUUAAGGUUCUAUAAAUUUUGCUUUUCAUUCCAAGAGAGAUCAGCCAACGUGAGUCACCAUAAAAUGACCUGUCCUUUGUCACUAGUCAUGUGCCUCAAAACUGGAAUGCGAAAGUAUAGCAAGGUUAACAUCCAGGCACUCAGUGUUAACCCGAACAAAUAGAUAUUGUAGAUGGUAACAACUAAAAGCUUUUUCACUUAGAGGAGCCAAGGUAAAAUCUUCUUGAAAGUAAAAGGCUAAAUUACAAUCUCUUAAGGGGGAAGGAAGGUAACUUUGCCCCAGCCCCCCUUGGAUCCAUACGUGCACUCAACAAAGAUUGUGCAUCCCUGCAUCUUUAAGCUUGUUCCCACUCGUCUAGAUCAUCCUGAAACCAACCAUAUAAGAUAUAGCUGGCUGUACUAAAUAGGUUUCCUUGUCAUUGUUACUGUGUGAUUUUAAAGAUUUAAUGGCCACACUUAAUUAUAGUCAUGGUAUGAACUGAAAAAUUGAAUCUGCACAUGUUUGUAGUGCAAGUGUAAACUCUUACCAUUGACCAAGUAGCAAUAUUUUUAUACGUACAUAUAGAAGAAUAGAACAAAAAAGACAAAGGAGAAAGCAGGAACAUUCAAAAAACAGCAAGCUAGUACAGAAACAAAAGUUCAACGUAUGAAAGCUUUGUAGCUUACUAAUAAGUGAUCAAUGAGGUCUCUCGCUUCUUCUGAAAAAUAAUCUGGAAAUCUUAAAUCCCGAGCAAUAAUUCUUUGAAAUAUAAGCCAUUCACUUGCAUCUUUGAAAGGAGAAGUCCCUGAAAGCAUCUGGUACAAAGUGCAGCCAAGUGCCCACAGGUCAUUUCUGUUUGAAUGUGGUCAAAAGAGCAAAAAGGUUAUCCCCCAUACACAAGAAAUUAUAUAAAAGAAAAGGACCUGGAAAUAAGCUCAAACAUGAAAAAACACUGUCAAAAACCUAAAACUUAUUCCAAUUAUAACAUUAAUAUGGAUUGAUUCAUGGGAGUCACUUACCCGAAAGUUGCAGGAGAAGAGUUAAGGACUUCUGGAGGGACAUAUGCAGCUGUUCCCACAAAUGUGCAAGCCUUAUCGUCUGAGCAGAGGAUCAAAAGAAAAAAAUUAACCUGCAUCUUAAAAAAAACAUAAUGAACAGUUGUAUAUGAUAAGUUCUAGUAUUACCUGAAGCUGCAUUCGGAAGGACAGUGAUGCAACUAUCCUGCAUGGGCUUCACACUUCCAAAAUCAGCAAUUUUAAUGUGUCCGUCUGCAGCAAAUAACAAGUUCUCUGGCUGCCAUUUAGAAGAGCUUUAGCUUUUCUUGAUUUCCAAAUAAAAAGAAGAGCAAUGAAUUAAAAAAUUACCUUUAUAUCCCGAUGAAUUAAUCCCAUACUAUGUAUGUAUUCAAGAGCAUCCACAACUUCUGCAGCAUAAAAGCGAGCUUCAUCCUCUGAUAGACGGCCUUUCUGCACAUACAAUUAAAUGGCAUAGUAUACAAUGACAGAGUAGCUAACAUGAUAAAACACUUACAGGGUAAAAAGUUUGAAGUCCAGAAGAUUCUGCUGAGUAUUAUGUGAAUACAGAAAUGCACAGGGCAUUAUGCAAUUGCUCUAAAGUGUUUCAAAUGCAACUUUUUUUAAUAAAAGCUAUAUAAAAGAUUAAAGGCAUAGCUUAAUUUAUAUAUUUAUCCAGAAUGGUCUAAAGUUCAUAAAUAAUAUAAGAAAGCAGAAUAAUUUAUGAUAUAAGAUGAAUUUUACGAGAAUUCUUCAAAAAGUUAUACUAUUGGGUUUCAUGAUUUCUGAAAAGUUUCGUAUUAGGAAAAGCCACGACAAAUCAUAGGAGUUACUUUUCCAAAAAUUAAUAGUUAAUAGCAAGGAGUUUUUAAUAGGUACUCACUCUGGUUAUUUGAUCAAAAAGUUCUCCUCCUUCACAGGAUUCAAGUGCCAUGUCUGCACAGUAGAAUCAAAAUAGAUCGAUGUCAUAUGAUAAACCCACUUAAGCAAACUAAUCAUAGCCACUGUGGUUGCAAAAGAAAAAAUAUAAAACACGGAGAACAAAAACAGAGAAAUUUGGAUAGGCUGCUACCCAGAUACCUACACAGAGAAUAAUUAUCCUGAAAAGUAAAAAAUAGACGCACGAUUCCUGGAUGAUCCAAUUGAUCAAGCACUAUGCGUUCUAGCUUCACAUAAGCUGUUUUAUUUUCUUUGGUGAUGAAUUUUUUGUCCAUGAUCUUCAAGGCAUAUACAAUUCCCGUGUCCUUCUUCUUUGCUCUCACUACCUGAUAAGUCCAUUAGUACGAUACUCAGCAUUCAUCACAAGAAGCUCAAAGGCCAACAAUUAUAAGCAAGAAUGGGCUCCUGGGAUAUAAGUGUUGGAUAAUAAACACAACAAUAUUCAUUUUCCGAUUGAACAUUUGUCAAAAAUUCUCACAAUAUGGCAUUCAAGAGAGGGUGAGUGUUCGCUCAUUAUAUGGUGUAACUAAGAAGUCGCCAUGCCCUGUAUCUCUUCUCCACAUCCCAUACACUCAUUGAAACAAUGAUGAAUACACGUAUCUGACAGCAAAUAAACAUUGUAUUGUCACAAAGUAAAUACCUAACACUAUUACCAGAAAACGCCCAAAAUUAACAAUUCACAAUUGCUUGAUUUCCUACUCUAUAACCAUAGCUUAAGAUUAUGUCCUGAAGAAAAAGGUAUGAAGAAGGAUAUUGCUUCACCAUCUCCUCUACUCUGUCACAACAUUGUGAAGCUCUCUUCAAUCACCUAUAGCAUAAGCUAAACCAACCAUCCUGCCAACUAGGAGGCACUACUUAUGCCUACAACAGUAGACUGCUGCUCCCAGAGGGAAUGAAGUGAACCUCUGAAACUUCUAAUUUUCCAUUUGGCCGCUGAGAAAAGAAAGGAUAUCAGCACCAAAACGAACCUAGCGCUAAAAUUGUACAUUUGUAUUUGGUUUUCGUUUUCUCGAUAGUGAAGACAGAAUCAAGGGUAAGUUACAAAAAAAAAAUUGCUUAUCUUCAUUCAACUUCCCCGGGAAUCAAACAAAGGAAAUUCAAUUUCACAGAAUCUGUCAUCCUUCAAAUGAAAUUUCUCCCCUGGACCAGAACCAAAAAAUUAAACCCAUACAACUCAAAAAUAUACAUGUGUUGCUCGUAAAUAUAAGCUUUAGAUUACGAGCUGGAAUCAGAUAAUGAUAAUACAAACAUAGGCUUAUAAAUCAAAGAAAUUGAAACGUUGAAUAAGAGAUACAAACUUUAAUCGUAAUGAUGACCACAACCCACCAAUCUUCAAUAACAAAGAAGCAAACCGACAGAGAGCCCACGCGAGAAAAAACCAAAAAAGAAAUAUCAAACCUUUGAAUAAGAUCCAACGCCAUAGAUCUUGCCAAGCUCAAAAUCCUGAAUAGUGAAAUUCUCUUGCGGAGCUCUAAAUGCAAAGCUUUUAGAUCUCUGCACAUUCCCAUUAUUGUUAUUAGAUGAUGAAGAAGGUGAAUUGCUGUUUUGAAUCCUCGACUUUGAAUCAGGAUCCCUCUCCAUUUCCAACAUUUCUCACUCUAUCAAAUUAUCUCCACAUAAUAGUAACAGUAACAAUAAUUAAAUAAAAUAAAAUAGCCCACUCUCUCUCUCUCAACAGAAACCAAUAUUUCUCUCUCUAAAAAUCUUGGAGGUGGGUUUUCAAGUCAAGAGAGAGCCCAUCAGAAUCAGAGGGCAAGUUUGAGCCUUUAUAUUCUCUCUGAUAAAGAAAAGUGAAUGAUGUAUUUGUAUAAGAUUAAUUUGAAUCAUAGAAAUACGUGAUUAUAUUUUCUUGCAAUAUGUGUGUGCGCGCACGCAUUACAGUUGUGAGCUUUAAGGUUGUUGGGGCGAUGCAAAAAUCUCAAAACACUAAAAAGUUAAUGUUGUUAUAAUUGAAGGAAAGAGGAGAAGUAAGGAUUUGUAUCAUUGUGUGUGGAAUUUGAUGGGGGGAGAGGGAGGCAUGGGGAUUGAAGAGAGAAGAACAGAGGCACAAAGGAUUGAAUGAUUCUUCUUUUCUUUCUUUUUUUUUCUCUUUUUCUAUCUAUAAAGAGUCUAGGUUUCUUUUUUUUCUUUUUCUUUUUUUGUAUAUAUAGAGUCUUUAUUUUUAUUUAUUUUUUAUUAAUAUGAAUCCAGAUCAGUUUAUGUGUAUCUCGAUUAAUCUUAUAAACCUUAAGAUUAACAACAAUAUAAAUUUUUAAUAGCUCAAAUAAUAAUUUUUAAAAAAUAAAUUUAAAACAUAAAUAGUUAAAUUAUAUCUCUAUUUCUUACAAAAAUUAUAUAUUUUGUUAGGUAGUCGCAGUGUGCAAGAAUGAAAACGGGUUGUCACAUCAUCAUCAUGUGAAAUUUGGGACAUGGGCUUCGAUGAAUUUGCUGAAAUAUUGUUGCUUCUAUGGGUAAGGUAUUAUUUACAAAGAUUAAAUUAAAGUUUUGGAUACAUUAUAUAUUUUUAUAUUAAUAUAAUGAUAGGUAGCCUUUUCUUGUUCUUAAUGAUAACCUGAGGUUACAAGUUAUUUAAACUCGUGCCUGUAUAUUUAUAAACAUAUUUUAUGAUAAGAUAAUAGUUUGAAUAGCAAAUCUACUACGGGUUAUUGCUUUAAUAAAAUAUAAAAUAUUGGGCAAGCCUAGCUUUUCAAUAAGGCAAUGGCAUGGGAUGUCCAGCAACGAAUUGGAGGAGAGUUUUUUUAGUGACAGAGCAAAGGACAGGAACUAGAGAGGUAUUUUCAAAUAAUUAUUUUAAUUUAAAAAUUUAAGUUAUCAAUUUAUAUUAUUUUUUAAUAUGAAAUUUUUUGAGCUUAAAACUUGUAUGAAUUCAUAUUAUUUUUUACAUAAUUUUUAUUAAAUAAAUAAAAAUAAAUUUAAACCCGCAAUUGUUUAGUUAUCAAAACUGUGAUAUCAUAUAAAAGAAAUAUCUUAAUCUAAAAAUUUAAAUUAUUAAUUAAUAUUUUAAAAUAUAAUUUAUAUUAUUUUCUAAUAAAAAUAUAUCUUUUUCUUCUUGUUUGUCAGUUUUAAUAUGAAUCAUUUGUGACAGAGAGGAGUAAAAAUGUUUUUUCUUCCUUCUUAUAUAUUAUUAUCACACAUAGAGUUAAAACUAUUUAUGUUCCCGUGCUGGUUUGAAAAAUUGGACAGGGAGGAUCACACUUUCUUUCCUUCCCCCGUUGACAAGACCGAGGACAGAAUACAACAAACUAGAGGAGAAAAUAACUAGAUAACAUGGUCACUUCAUCAACAAUAUAUAUAUAUAUAUAUAUAUAUAUAUAUAUAUAUAUAUAUAUAUAUAUAUAUAUAUUGGUUCAUGAUAGCUUUUGAUUUUAAAAAAUUAUUUGUUUAGGUUUUUUAAAUUAUUUUGAUAUGAUAAUAUCAAAAAUAAAAUAAAAAAAUUAAAAAAUAUAUUUUUAAUUAAAAAAUACUUUUUAAAAAUAUUAUCUGUAAUACCAAACAUUCACGAAGGAAUUGUCUUCGGACCAGACAAUGUUCAGUUUUCUUGUACAAGUCAAAGGGAAUGAUCAUUAAUUUGUAGUUAGAAAUAGACAAGUAAAUGGCCACGAAUAUCCUUACCAGCCUAGAUGUUUUAUAUUAUUAUUUUUUAAUGUAACAGAGAUUAUUUUUAAAAAUAUGUUUUAUUUAAAAAUAUAUUAAAAUAAUAUUAUAUAUUUUUAAAAAUAUAUAUGUUUUGCGACACAUUAACAUCAUUUGUAACUUGUGAGACAAUUCCUAGUUUGGUCAAUGUGCUAGGAGAAACACAAGAAAAUUAACAACACUAAAUAAUUAAAGACUCCCAGCUGGGGCUUGGGGGCAGGAGACAGCUCAUAAAACAAGAUUACUGCUACGAGAAAUACAUGGAUUAAGACAUAGAAUUGUCAUAGUUUUAUAAUUGAUUAUUGUUAAUAUUAUCGAAAAUCCUCCUCAAAUAAUUUCUUAAAAAUCUCAACCAUAGAACAUGUAGAUCCCACCAGUGAUAUUCACUUGUUCAAUGGAUAAGAAUUUCCAGAAAGUGAUUUUAAAAUAAAAUCUCUAUGAAAUUAGCAAAUCUUUUUAAUUCAAGAGGAGUAUCAAGCAUGGGUGUCGCUUUUUUGGAGAAAAAAAUCAUGUGCGAAAAUAGCUGUGCUGUGUUCCCUGUCACAGAUACAUAUUUGUGUUGUUGAAAUAAUCCUAGAUUUGUUUUCAAUGGAUUUUCAUUCUUGUUUACUGAAUCUUUAUCCACGCCCCAAAUUCCCUAAUAAAUAACGAAACAAGCAUGUCUAAAACAUUUAAUUUUCUUGCUGUAUGUGCGUGCGCAGAUGCAUGCAUACAUGUAUUAAUGGUACAAGUUUUUUUUGUUGGCCGACGAGCCUUGGUGGCUCGGUGCACCCAUGCCUCUUUCAGUCUCUCUGAGAGUAUCUGAUUCGAGGCCCUUUGGGAUGAUUUGGGACUUGUCAUCAAUCUGGAAGCAAUGAUAAUUUUGGAUAAAGCUGGUCUAAUCAUGUCACACCCAGCUAGCCAUUUGACUGGAUACCUUUACAUCAUCAAUUUGACCAGGACGGGCAAGGAUGUGCCAGUAAAUUGGAAAGUGCAAGGCAAGCUGUGCAUAAAUGGUAGGCCCCAAACGCGUGCAAGCUGCCCAUUUUUGUGUGAGUUGUGGUCUUGGUUUAAGGGCUGCUUAUGAGAGUGGUUGCAGUGGUGGUUCAUUUUGGUCUUGUGGGCUCACCAAUUGUAUCAGACAGAGACUUUAGCCCAUGUUUGUCCUGGUGGUCGAUGACAUGCAUAUUCCCUCGAUCACACCAUGCAUGUCAUUUUCAUCUCCAGAUGAGGAAAAUGAUGUACUAAGCUAUCAAUCAUAUUGCCCAUGCAUGCACGUGGACAUGAGACACCAGCAUGAAUACCAGGCGAAUGAUUCACUUCUGCUAGUUUCCUUUUUUUGUUUCCUUUUUGAAAGUUCGAGGAAAGAGUCUUGGUUCUUGUCACGUACGUGGUUUGUAAACAGCUCAUGAAAUGAUCUUGGCACAAAGAAUAAACUGUGGUUGAUAUUCUGUAUGUGUACUCGACGAAUUCCGGGGAUCAAUUCAAGACCACUGAAAUUCGCACCCAUGACCAGAUCAAUGGCCUAUCAUACAUAAUGGAAACCACAUGUGUUUGAUGGACUGGAUAAUCACGCCAAUGGUCUGAAUCUGGACAAUUACACAAACCCAACUGCAAAUGGUAUUUCUACUGACACAGUUCGAAGCUUGAUACUGGUUAUGAUGGUCAUACUUUUGAGAAAAGUUAUUGUCUGAAGAUUUCAUUAAACCAGUGUCACGUAUACUCACCCCAACCAGUUGAUUGAUCAUUCCCACCAAUUCAAGCUCCACUGCAAGGAUUGGGACAUGACCACCACCUUUUUUUUUGGCGUUCCAUAAGAAGCCUGUGUUAUUCAAAAGCAGCAUUGGAUCUGAAAGGCUUUAGCAAUAUUUUGGCAUAACUUCCAACUUCAAGCACCAUUCUUGACGGGUCACGGGCCCUACAUGUACCUUGCCUGACGAAAAUCCCUGAUGCCCUGAACCACUGUUUCGCAUCUGAGAAGGGUUCUCGGGGGUGAAGCUCUGUUGCUUUUGGCCCUGAGUUGUCUUUGCCUCUGCAAUUUAUCCCUGUGAGAAAAACAUGAGCCCUUCAAAGUGCAUCGCCAGUCCAAGGUAAUCAAUUAACCCCUUUCAGUUUGAGACUUUCAGUUGAACCUUCAAAAGACCAACAUCUCCAGUCCAGUAUCACUGAAUGGUAAUCGAUUACCAUGUCUUCAUCUGACCAAUGAUCUUCAGUUUGCAGUGGUUGGGGCUUACCUUUCACGUGUAUCUUUUUCCCUUGGAUAAAUGGAAAAUAUAAGGACAAUUCUCAAAGAGAAAAAUCUGAGACAGAAGGGAAGAGUUUCAUGUUUGCCAAGAAGUAUAUAUCUGAUAACUUUCAUUAAGAACUCAAGGAAGAAAAAACUGGAUGACACUAAUGUACAAAUCCCAAAACAACUCUGGUGAAAAGGUAAUAACACGAUAAACUAAAAUUUACAUCCUGCCAAACAAAGAUAUCGAAGCUAAAAGUUCCCCAACAGAAAAAUCUUCACAGGAGGGGUGAGACCUAGAGAUUGCGAAGACAAGAAUUUACCAUAAGAGCAAGAGAUGAUGAACAGAGAUUGAAGAAAAUGCAAGCGAGCUGCUAUCACGUUUAGGUAUCACUAUAAAUCCCAACCAUCCUUACGCCCAUCAAAUUCCCACUUUCGGCCAGCUAUACUUCCAUAGAUCUCUGAAAAUUUCAGGAGACAAUUACUUCUUAUCUUGUAAUGCACAUUUGUAUUCCUGCUAAUUGCAACCCCAGAGAAUUUUGAUGUGUCUAUUGCCCAUGCUGGUCUCACGUACUCAACAGUCUGGGAGGAGCUUGCAUUUGCAUACAAGUAAUUCAAAAGCACAUCCUCACAGUUAAAGUAUCUAUCUACUAGUUCCCUUCCUGCCUUAGCUUCUUUGCUCCAGUACCUCUCAAAAGCUACUGUAUGGUCCAUGAAAGCUGCCCCCGUAAGAAUCAUGUUAUAACCUUUAUGAUGUCGGGCAUACUUCUCACCCCUAUACUUCAAUGGACUACCACUAAUGAGUCGAGGAUAGAAGCCAACAAUUCGAUCCGGGUGUUGACGCCACACAUUGAAUCCCCGUUCAAUAUCAUCACAAGUCAUCAUGAUAUCAUCAUCAAGCUCAAGAACAGCUCGGGUUUUAAGCAUUGGAUCUCUCUUGAACCGAUUGUUCAGUGAGUUUUGGUCUUCUACUCUGAUCCAAACAGGCACUGCUGAGUCUAGAUCACUUGAUCUGGGAGGUCUGCCCUUGUUCCAAACCACGAUAAUCUCUUUAACUGAAGAACACCUUGAAUAAUGUUUCACAUACAUUUUCAAAUUCCAGAGCCGCGCAUCAUAGGUCAUCGUCAAUAAAGUGAACUGAGAGUAGUGACCAUUUAAUGGAUAAGCUUCUUCAGCAUCGUUGCCUCCAUAGAAAUAUUUAACACCUGUGCACAUUAAUGCAACUCCAACCACAAUAGUUACAGCUAACACCAAUUUUCCAGCCCAAGUAUUAGGUUUUAUUUUUCCUCGAACAGACAAGGGAACUCUGUUCAGUCGGCUGCAAAACCGUCUCACCUUUGAAGAAAACAAAUUUGACCUUUCCCGACCCAAGAGAGCAUUAUUUCUCUUCCCCGAGUAGUGAGCACACCAGCUGAGAGGAAUAAUGCACUUAACCGCUCCAAGUAGCACACCCAAUACUACAGCAACAACAGUGACAGCUGCAAGUGAAGCCGAGCCAAGAAUAAAGCGAUGGACAGGAUCUCCUGAAGGCACACGAUCUCCAUCCAUGACAGCUAUCCAUUUACCAGAGCUUAGAUGCUGCACGUCUAGAUGAUGAUAGCGUGCACCAUUCCAAGCAUUGCGUCCCUUAUUGGGCUCUUCAAAUCCCAGGGGAACUUCAACUUCUUUGUAAUCAUCCAUGGUAAGAACUUCAACCUUGAAGAUACGAACUCGUCGCCCAUAUGUUUCACCACAGUCUUGACCAACACGAUAAAGGUUUCCAUCAUACACAAAUGGUCUGCCUCCAUUUCUAGCUCCCACACUCUUGUCAACAUUAUAAAUGGGGUUCUUCUUGUGUGGUUUCCAAGGACCAAGUGGUGAGCUACUAUACCAAAUUUCCAGCUGCCCAUUCCUCCUGGUUCCAAAACCACUGUGAUCUGAACCAAAAAGCCAAUAUAUUCCAGCAUGAUUAAUGAUAAAAGAAUCGACUAGGGGCUUUUUUAUAAGAACCUUCUCCAGUGUCCACUGCAAUGGAAAAUUAAGUGCUCGAUAAAGGCGAAGUUCCCCUUUCUGGCUGCUCUCAGGCAUCAUAUAUAUCUGCAAGAAACAGUAAUAAAGGAAACGAUUCAAGCUGCAAGCCAACAGUAACAGCAGUUAGAAUUUUUUUUUUUCUUUCCAGCUAAUCAAAUUGUUAAUGAUUACCCAGCUAGUUUUCCAAGUUAGUUUGCAAGUAUUGGUUGGUCCAGUAUUCAUGUUAAGUACAGGACCUCCAGGAUAAACAGUUUACAAGUGACCAGUUGUAGGUGUAUGAUUGCUUGCAAAGAAAUAGUUAUCUUACUUGACCAAGGUAGUUGAAUACAUAGGGAUAAGAUAGAUGCCAGUCCUCAUCCAAGGCAAUGCCCAAUUGUUGCCAUGUCGCUCCCUUGUCCAUACUCUUUGCAACUGCAAUAUCUCCUUGCAUGGUAAUUGAAUUCUUUGUUUCAUAGAAUAGGAAAAGCGUAUCCCCCUGCUCAAUUCAAUAUAAGUAGACAUACAAGAUUGAUUUCAAGAUAGGGAGCUACCAUGAUAAAAGAACUUCUGACACUUAACAGAUUAUUUCAAGAACAGCAUGCUAGAAAGUAAAGAAUUUGGUCUUGGGUGAAAUACAAAGUUCUUAGACAGGCAUGUGCAUGCGUGUGUGCACAGAAACACAGCCCAUACCAUACGAGAGCACUAAACAGUGUUGGAGACUUACAAUUUGAAUCCUGCAGUUUGAUGCUUGAAAUCAGACUGACCACAGCAAAAUAUAUCUAAAGAGUUAAAAUCUAAGCUAAAACUUUUGCUUUUGGUGGAUUUCCUUGCAAUUUUGCUUCAAAAUGGAAAAUAGCCCAAAUAAAAUAAAAUAAAAAAUAGUCAAAAUCCCCUGCUUCAUAAAUACCCAUACUUCAAGCUAAAUUUACGAUGCUAAAGGUAUACAGUGAUCUCAUCCUUGCAUGUAACAGUUAGAAAAAUCUGAAGCAACAAAGCAGCUAAAGUGCACUGUAACUUCUCUCCAGAAAAAAAAAAUCCCUGCACCCACUCCUCCCAAGAAAAUAAAUCAUGUUGGUCCCAAAUCACCUAGAAAUAUCUUAGAUUUCAGCAGUAAUUAUUUUUGAAAAUAAAACCACGAGAAUAAAACCACGAGAUAUAACAUUAACUAAUCUCCAGCAUAAAACAAUUAACACUAUGUUCACCAUAAGUCAUAUCCACAUGCAAGAAGCACCCAUAAGGCAGAGAUGGAACAAUUAUUAGGUAUUGAUACUGUUCACAAAAUGCUUUCUGCCUGCAUCUGCAGAUUUCUAUAAAGGGCUUCCCCUGACCACAAAAUUCAUCUUUAUCUAUCCUCAUCUUUUCUUACAAAUGCUUAUCCUCAGAGCUUUCAUCAAGCCAUUUAACUAGGAUUUAGAAAACAUGACAUGGAAAAUAUAAAGAUGAACGCUUGUACCAGAGUCUGGAUUACAGCAUUGAGCUCCCUAUCUCUAACCAUGGGGUUGCUUGAGAUAACUAAAAUAACAGUAAACCCACAAGUUAUUGGCCCUUAAGACAUCAGAGCAGUGGCACAGGUUUGGUCUCUUUCACCAAUUUGCAAAAUGCAUUACUGACUUUUCUGUCACAGGCCCCUGACUAUUUACAUGCUCAAUGACCAAUGAUAAGCAUAUUCAUAACACACACACACACACACACACCCUCCUUGCAUUUGCAGAUUGGAGAAGCAAUAACUUGCAGCUCUCAUUCCAGACAUGAAAACACCAAAUGCCAGAUAGAAAAGGACAAAGAUAAGAUUUAAAUAUAGUUUUCAUUGGUACUAUUGCCAAGUUCCUAAAUGCAAUAACUGAACAUUUAGACAUUCGAUAAAAAAGCAAACAAAACAAUAACAAAAGUUAUACACACAAAACCAGAAGAGAUUUCUGAAAAAGUAUCAAAAUGAAUCCAGUUAAUAAAAUAAUUACCUGAACAUAAAGAAAAGGAUCGGCAACAAAAUUGCUGGGGAAAUUAGCAUCGGAAAGCGAAGCACAAGUGACAACAGGGUUAGCAACGGGCCAUGCCACACCCUCAUCUCUCCAUUCAUUCAUCUGUUGCCCAUUUCCACCAAUGAAUCAGAAUCACCGCAAGUUGAUGAUACAACUCAAUAUAUGCAUAUGGAAGAAAAAAAUAAAAAAAUUCACCUUCAUCCCACGAGCAAGAAAUGAACAAAAAAUAAUUAAACUGAAAGAAUUAAAAAAUUAUUCAAGAACAGUAAAUAAACCAAUAAAUUCUAACAUGAAUGAGAAAGAGUAUAAAAGCAAAAAAAUUGCAAUUUCGAAACAGCCAUUGAUAAAAAAAGAAAAAGAAAAAAAAUACUUGACUGAAAAAAAAAAGCAACAAAUCAAGACAACAUGCAACUUGAUGACAUCCACUGGACGAAAAAGUAAGAAAUUAGCCACCAAAACCCACUUUACAAAAGGCAAAGACUAGACCCAAACAUCAAUCAAAACCCCAUAAACACAGGUGAAAAUACAAUCACAGUCAUUCUCUGCUAAUACAUAAAUGUGAACAAAACAGGAAAAAAAAAACUUAAAAAAUAAAAAUAAAAUAAUGGUGUAUGGAAAAAAAAAACUUACAGCUUCAAUUGGUUUGAGAGAGAAAGGAGAAUCACCGUAAAAAACACCAAUAGACCAAGAACCCUCGUUGUCUUCUUGACAACCAAGUGAGUUUAACCCAACACCAACAUUUGUGCUACGUGAAUAAGGUUUACUAAACACGAGCCAACCAUAAAACAUACCAAUAGAUCCAUACAAGACCAAACACCCCAAAAAGAACAUAAAACCGGAGGAAAAUACAAGAGAAACCAAUCUUUGGUGCAACAAAUUGUGAUGAUUUUGUUGCGGCUGCUGCUGUUGUUGAUGAUUCCCCCAUUUCCAUCUACACCAACACCUCAAGCUCAUGUCACAACAGUUACAAGUUGUUGCUGUUGUUGUUCCAUUGGAGCCAUUCCCACCAGCCUCGUAAACACCCAUAAUUGAAUGAUUAUUUGCAAGUUUAGGCAAACCCCAGGUGGAAAAAUUGAAACUUUAGAAUCAUAACAUUGGUUUUCUUCUUUAAAGAAAAGCUUGUGGCUUUGCAACAGAAGGAAGUUACCCUUUUUAUGGGGUUUUGUGGGUAAUGUUUUUCUUUUCUUUUCUUUUCUUUUCUUUUUUUCUUUUUGGUUUUUAUAAUGUUGUUGUUUUAGACUUUUAGUGCUUUCGUUCUUGGGAUUGUCGUGCGUGCACUUAUUUUAGAGAGAGAGAGAGGAGGUAGUGGUGGUGGGAGAAGUUUUUUUUUUUGUUUAGAACUUGGGGUUCGGAAUUUGUGUUGUGUGCAUGGAAAGUGUAACAAAGGCUUCUUUAUAGACAGUGUAUGUACAUGUAGAGGAAUAGGAGACUUUGUUGUCCUUCUAGAGAGUGGAAAUUUCACCGGGUUCGUUCAGUGAUAAAGGAUAUGCGUGGUUGCGAAUUUUGGAGAGUUGAGUCCACUCGCGGCUUUUGGUGACAAGUGUGAGGGUUAAGAUUUGGCAUGUGGAAAGUUAUUGAGAUGUAAAAGGUGAUUACUUCCUUGUAAGCUAAGGAAAAACUGUCACAACAGGGUAAAGGUUAAAACUUUAUGAGACUAAAAAGAAAUUCGUAUGAAUAUUAAAAAAGAAAUCUCUACUUUUUUAGCAUUUUCUUGAAAAAGAAAUUCCAUGAUGAGAGGAGAACUUGAUCGAGAUAAUAGCUAGAAUUUAUAUAAAUAUUAAAGCUUUUACCUUUGGUAAGAGUAGAGUAUAAAUUAAUUAAAAUUAAGUUUUUUAUUUGGUAUCUUUUUUAUAAAAAAAAAAAAAAAACCGUGAAUCAAAACUAUAUUCCUUCGUUGAUGCACUCCAGAGCUUCCACGCUAUCCGAUUCCAUAAUAAUCUGAUUAAAAAUCCAUAUCCAAAGCCAAAGGGGAGUCCUUGCCAGAUGCCACUUGAUUCAGCCAUCGUCUUAGCGGUGAAAACCAGUUUCCAAAGGAAUCCCGGAUAAUUAAGAUCACCACGGCCUGAUUUACCAGGUCACCCGUGCCUGAGUCAGCCGGUUGAUUUGGGAAAUCCUCGACGUGAGCAUGAAGUCGAGUUUUAAAUUGAAAAAAAAUAGAUGAACAUACAAUAGAUUUCGGUUGAUUUCAUACGAUAAUUUAUGAUCUAGUUUAUCCAAUUUACGAAAAAAAAAUAGAUUUCAUGCGAUACACCCAGCAGCUGCACUUGACAGUGAAGGGGCUGUUACUGGUUUUCCAUGUUGUUCAGCAUGAACAAACAAUCCAAAGCUCAAUCUCACUGGGCUUACAAUUAACCAUCAGCCGCAUGUGAAUUUGAAUGACGAGACCUGAGAGUGUAAGGAUAACAUUGCAUAAAUGAUUUUUUUAUUAUUAAUUUUGAUAUCCAUACCAGUUUACGCGUAUCUCAACUAAUUUCACGGGUCAUAAAUAUAAAUUAUUUUUAAUAUUAUAGCUGCUUACAUUUUUUAUUUAGAUUUUAUACCCCAAAUCAAAUCUUUUAUCUUGAUUUAAGCAAGAAUGAUACGUGAACUUAAUUUAUUUAUUUUUCUUAGCAAGGGUAGAAAUUUCAUUUGAUUGAAAAAUGAUGAAAGAGAAUUCUUCAGCAAUAGUUAGUUUUGGUGGUGUAAAAUAUUUUUUAAAAAAUUAAAUAUUUUUAAAAUUAUUUUAUUUUUAUUUUAAAAUUAUUUUGAUAUGUUGGUAUUAAAAAUAAAAUUUUUAAAAAUAUAUAUUAUUUUAAUAUAUUUUUAAGUAUUUAAAAAGCGAUCGUUAAUAUAAAUAUUAAAUGAAAUCUUUAUAUACAGAUAAUCAAAACGGAUUUACAUACCAUAUUAAAAACAUCUAAUAAAUAUAUGAUAAAAAUAAACGCUUUCAGCAAUCCACUAAUAGCUCACUGUCACUGAUUAAUCACCUGAUGCCCAGUUUUUCAUAUAAAAAACUGAAGGAUGAUUGGUUAGCAAAAAAUUACAUGAGAUUUUUAUGGCAACAAAAGAAAUUCUUGAAAAGGAAGGGAAAAAAGAAACAAAGAAAAAUACGAUACGAAAACACCACAAAACAUCACAUGUAGUAAUAAAGAUACUAUAUUAGGGAAGAAAAUAUAUAAAAAUGAAAUAGAAGGAAGAAAAAAAUACCAUUGGAUGUGAACUUAAAUCGACGGGACACAAAGUAGUAGUUUCAACUUUCAAACUUUUUUUUUUUAAUUUAAUGUAGGUGUCCGGGCUAGUUUGCACGUAUCUCGACUAAUCCCACGGGUCCUAAAGUUAACGACCAUAUAAGCUUCCAAUGAUCAUCAUAUUAGCAACCACAGGACUCGAACCUGAAACCACAGAGAAAAUAAAUAUUUUGAUCCCACGUAGAUAGUAGUUUCAACUUUCAAACUUGAAUUGUUGAGAGCAGGUCCUUCUUGUCAAUUGCAAAAUGGAUUCAUGGGAUCAGUUUCUUUCAUUGAAAAAUACAGCUGGAGCACGUCCACCAUUGUUCAAAUUCAAAUUUUCUUCCUUCUUCUGUUACAGUACUGUGCAAAUUGACUCUUCUUUACUUUUUGUUUAGAUGGGCAGCCUUCUUUUGGCAUUGUGUCUAUACGUUACUGUUUGUUUUUAUAUUUUAAAAUUAUUUUUUAAAAAAAAAAUUUUUUUAAUUUUUUUUCUUAUUUAAAAUUAUUUUUUUUCUUAUUUAAAAUUAUUUUAAUAUAUUAAUUUUAAAAAUAACUUUUAAAAAAUAAAUAAAAAAUACUUUAAAAACAAGUAUAACCAUUUCAAAAAAAUUUCAAAUAUAUAUAAAAAUAAACAGAGGAGUGUAAAGAGAAAAUGGCACGAGAAAGGGGCAGGCGGUUUCGGAGAUUCUACGGGCUUUUGCACUCGCGGAGAUUAGGUAUUAAUAACUACUCGCAUGGUUUGGAUGACACGUUUGCCAGGUGGACCCGAGAAGGACAGCGGGUGAGCUCAGCUACGCGUGGAUUUGGUCGUGGUCUGAUGUUUUGAAGUGCACAGGGGCUUGUUCGGAUGACGAUGAACGUGUUUGGUAAAGAAGGGAUUGGAAGGAAUUAAAUUCGUAGGUGGAACUUUAGGGAUUAGAGUUAGUUAUAGGGGUUUAGGGCUGAAUUUAACGUGGGGCCCACGGUGUUAAUUAAUUUGCACUUCUAGAAAAAGGGAAGCAGCAAAGUUGAUAAUGUAUACUCAUUGCUGUGAUUUUCUCCCAUUAAACAUGCAUAAUUCGGUGUUAUUUAUGUGCUCUACUCCAAAAAAAUUGUGAUCAAUUAAGCUCUUGCAAAUUAAAAUUAAGUUUGAAAAUAAGUCCCGAUCAUCAGAUUGAGGAGCCAAAAACAAAGCCUUUCGAUUUUAUUUUUUCUCAAGAGAGCUGAGAGCUGAGAGAUGAGAGCCUGAGAGGAAAGAUCACGACUUUCUUUUAUUUAAUGGUUAGAAAUACUAUCGUAUAUAUUCGAAUCAGUACUGUACUGGUUUGACUAGUUAAGAACCCUAAACUAUGUUCCUUGUCGCCUGGGGAAGUGCCUUCUUUGGCGCGGCCAAUUUUGAAUCCAGCCUCCUCUCCAGCUUUCGACCACCUGAGUUCUUGCUUUUUUUUUCCCUUUAUUUAUUAUCCAGUUGGGUUCAUUGGAAACGGCUUUUGAUAUAUAAAAAAAAUGGUGGGGUGGGGUGGGGUGGGGUGGACUGGUGGAGGAUGCUUAACUUUUCUUGCCCGUCAGUACUGUACUGGUUUGACUAGAUCUCAUGCUUUAAAGUUUUUCUUCCCGCUGGAAGAAGAGGAGAUCAACGGCAUUUUCUUUUAAUAAGUCCGAUCAGGAGAUUUUUUUAUUUGAAAAAUUGAAUUGUGUAACAACUAAAGCGAGGAGUACGAAAGAUUAAAGGAGUGAAUUGUCUCCUUCCCAAUACCUAACUAGCUCCACCAUUGCUGAUAAAGGAGAUCGAGGACGUUUCUGAACUAACAUUAAUUGGUACUUACGAAGAGAUUAAAGAGAGAAAUUUCCCAGAAAUUUACUCUGUCAAAUGUAGUUCAGAAGCUUGAAAGAGCCGGUGGACGUUUCAAGAUUACGGUGGGGGCAUGAACCAAUCUGUUCGCAUCUAGUGAAGGAAGAUACAAAAAGUCCUCCCUCCUUCACUGUCACAGGCGAUUAUGUGAAAGAUAAUAUUUGGAUUUAGGGUUCUAUAUUGGCAUAUCCAGUUGACGAGCCAUCAAAACAUUUGUACGUAGGUCCCACCUCUACAAAACUACAACAUGUGUUGCGCAUGGGAUGCGGUAAUUAGACGACGUGCUGAUACGUGUUGAGUGACUCUCCAAGUGUUUUUGAAGUUUCGCAUGAGUUGAAGAGAUAUAAAAUUAGUUAUUCAUACUUUUUUUUUUUUUAAAAUAAGAUUUUAAUGGGUAAUUUGAUAAUUAACAUAGCAUUUUUUUUUUAUAGAUUCUAAUAUUAUGAGGAUUUAGUCUAAUUAACAUGUAAGCUUAUCUGGUAAUAUAUUUUUUAUAUAUAAAUAAAGGUUUUGAAUGAAUGAAAUAAACAGCUCAAAUAAUCAUAUUAUAAGUAAAAAAAAAAUCCUCAAUUAAUCAAACAUCACCAGUAAAAAUAACAAAUCUAACAUAAUUAACCAAUUUUCAUAACACACCUCGGCAAUACAUGUAAAAAAAAAGUAUUUAGAAAUAAUUUGAAAUAAUAUAUUUUUAUUUUUUAAAAUUUAUUUUUAACACAAACAUGUUAAAAUAAUUAAAAUAAUAAUAAAUAUUUUUUAAAAAAAUUAAAACACAAAAACAACCAACUAUCAACAUCUUUCCCCUCAAAGAAAUGACCGAUAAAUAAAUAAACAAAGUAUAUCUCAAAUGAAUAAAUAAAUAAAAGAAAUCUAUAAAGGUACCAGCUUUUAGGUAUUGAAAUAUUUUAAUCAGCCAAUGAAGUAUUCUGGAUGUGAUGGAUAAGACCGGGAGUGACCUAUCUUUUAAGUAUUAAAUUAUUUAAUUACAUGAUAGAAAAAUCAUAAAUCUAAUCACAUUCAUACAAAAGUCUAUUAAAUUUAUUAUAAUAUGGGCAGGGGCGGAAUUAAUGGGCUGGCAGGUACCGGACCCUACAAUUUUUUUAUUUCCAGCUUUUUCUUUAACAAAUUAGGUUUUUAACUCUAAAAAAAACUUACAAAAUCCCCCCUCCCCCCUAAAAAUUUAUUUCGGACUAAAAUUCCUAAUUUAUGGUGUCAUAAAAUAAUUAUAGUCAAUAAAUAAUGUGUCCAGCUAAUCUUCCAAUCACCAAAUUAAAGAGGCAAUUUAAUUUAAUCCUAGUGGAUUAUUCUCUCCAUGAUUGCCACAGUGGCAUCUCAUCCCUUCGUGUUCGCAACAACGCUACAGGGCAAAAGUCAGCGGACAAUAUAUAUAUAUAUAUAUAAUUAAAAAAUAAUUAAUCAUUGUUAAAUCAAAAUAAUAAUUUAAAAGAACCAUAACUUUUUAAUUUGAUCAUUAAAUUAUGCUAAAAUUUUUACAAUAGUUUUUGGAAGCUGUUUUUAUUAUAAUAGCAUGAAAUCUUUACUUCAAUUGUUUGAUCUUUGGAUUUGUUUGAUCUUUGGAUUUUGAAAAUGUUUCCUGUUUUUGUGAUUUUUUUUAUUAUUUUUGAAUUUCAUAUUUAUUUUUUUAAAAAUUUUAUAUUUUUAUUUUGUUUUCUAAUUGAGGUGGAAUUUCUAAUUUAUUUAAUGCUUUGUAAACUUCCUGAAGAAUUAUUAUUCAUGAGAAGAUAAAACCUCGAACUUGGGAUUCAUAUCAUCAAUUCCUUUUGCUCAUUAAAAUUCUUAUAUUUUUUUUUAUUUGUUGUUAUUUUAAGUUUAUGCUGCAUCACAACCUAUCUUUGUAUUUUUAGAGGAAAUUAUAAUAUUUUUAAAAAUAUUUUUUCUUUAUCUUUUAAUAUCUAUUUAUCUCUUAUGAAUUAAUAAAUAAUAAAGAUACUCGUAAUUCUAUGAUAAGCAUAAGAAAAUAUCACCCAAAAAAACCCUCCCAGGACUAGCACGUACAAGACAUUGCAUUGAGCCAUCAACUCGUAAUUCUAUGAGAGCAAUGUUGAAUUAUAUUUUUCAUCGACAGCUAGCUUUAUCCGAGAUAUUGCCAUCGUAUUGGGUUUGGUUCCAAUAUCAGAAUUCUUUUCUUUUAAAUAACAACUACUCCUCUUCUAUACAACAAUAAAAAGGAUUUAACUAUUGAAUGGAAGUGGCUCUGGCCUCUCGAAUCAUCAUGCCGAGGUUUCCAAAAAAAAGAACAAAAAAAAGGUUAGGUCGGGGUCCUCGGGGAGGUCUCUUCGAGGGUGGGGCCUGCCUGGGGGACUAUAAAUUAAUCCUGUUGGAUCAUGGAUGGAAGACCUUAUACUUCUUCAAAGUUGGAACAAUCAGGCAAUCAUGCCAAACGUAAGAAUUUUGACUUGUUAAGGGGGAAAAAAAGAAGAAAACUUAACCUCGUGAAGGGGUUUAGACAAAUCUUUUCUAAAUGAAUAUUGUCAGAAUAAGAAAUCAUCGUUAAAUCAUUAUUUCUUAGAGUAUACCUUGAAACAUUCCUCUGAAAAUGAAUCUUCUAGUUGUGAAUUAAACUUAUGUUCAAGAUCUUUGCUGCAAACAAAUUUAUUUAAAGUAAUUUUUUUUUAAUUUUUUGUUCUAUAUAAAGCAUAUUCCGUGGGAUGUUUGAAUUCAGAGUGCAUUCGGCAGGCUUGGAUUGUAAAUGCUGAUCAUAUACAAUUUUGACUGGAAUUUUCACUUGUUCUGGGCCAAGAAAAGCAAAGUUCAAGGUUGGAGGCAUCUUGAACAUUCCAUGGAGAACUAUAAAUUAGUAAAGGAAUCGGGCGUGUGGGGUUUCUGUAUUGGAAUAACAGUUGCCAAAUAGAAAUUAAUCUAAAAUUAGGCGAGACAUGGAAUUGUCGAGAGACGUACGUGUGGAAGCAGGAAGAAAGUAAAAGGAAAAGGAAAAAACAAUAACGAAACUUCUUAGGAAGAUUUUCUUUAAAGAAAUUAUAAUUUUUUUAUUUGAAGCUAUUAUAUAAGGAAUUUAUUCUUUCUAAUAUAUACAAGAUCUGUAACACCUCAUCCCACUAGUAAGAUAUUGUCCGCUUAACCAUCUAGGUGGUGGCCCAGUGGUAAGAGCCCGGGACCAAGAGGUUUGCUCCCUUUGUGGUCUCAGGUUCGAGCCCUGUGGUUGCUCAUAUGAUGGUCACUGGAGGCUUACAUGGUCGUUAACUUCAGGGCCCGUGGGAUUAGUCGAGGUGCGCGCAAGCUGGCCCGGACACCCACGUUAAACUAAAAAAAAAAGAUAUUGUCCGCUUUGGGCCUCCCAGUCCACCCAUGUCCAGGGCUUCCACCCAGGUCCCCCUCACGAGUUUGUUAUUGGCAGCCACGCAUGGCCCCAAAACGCGUCUUACUAGUCAAGGUGAGCAUGCACUUAUAAGGCCCUGGCUCUGGACGCUCGCUUCCGAUGUGGGAUUUUACAAUCCCCCCACCUUAAGACGAGACAUUCUCGGCUCUGAUACCAAAUGUAACACCCCACCCCACUAGCAAGAUAUUGUCCGCUUUGGACCUCCCAGUCCACCCAUGUCCAGAGCUUCCACCCAGGUCCCCCUCACGGGUUUGUUCUUGGCAGCCACGUAUGGCUCCAAAACGUGUCUUACUAGUCAAGGUGAGCAUGCACUUAUAAGACCCUGGCUCUGGACGCUCGCUUCCGAUGUAGGAUCUUACAAGAUCGAUGUGAGAUAUAUAUUAAUAAGUAAUAAUAUUAUAAUAACAAUGAAAAGUGGAAACCUGGCGCUUGUGUUGCCCUUACACCACGUGGCACUUGAGCAACCCUAGCACCACGUCGCGUUAGGACUGUCAUAGCCAAUCGGGCCUUUGCCUAGACCCAAGCGCUAGGUAGCGCUUGGGUUUGCCUCGUGCAUUGGAGCGACCUAAGCGUCACGUGGCGCUCGGGUCUGCCCUAGCGACACGUGGCAUUGAGGCUGCCAUAGCUAAUCAGGCCUUUGCUAAGACCCAAGCGCCAGGUGGCACUUGGGUCUGCCCCGCGCAUUGAAGCCACCUGAGCGCCUGGGUCAUCCCCGCGCAAGGGCAGGCCCGCCCAUGCACCAUGUGGCGCUCGGGUCUACCCCUGUAAGGGUCGGGUAGCCCAAGCAUCAGGUGUCCUUGCGUGGGUAGCGCCAACGCCAAGUGUCCGCUCCCCAUGGCUUGCAGCCCCACCAAAACUUGUGCUGGUAAUUUUCUUCCCAACCAUCCCUUCAAGGCAAAAUGCACUCCAUCAAAAAGACAAUCUCACCCUUUCCCCGCCGCCCUUGCAACUCUUUGUGUCAAGAGUUGAGUUGUCAUUACACUGCUUCAAUUCAUAGUGCUUUGUGUCUAUGUAAACAGUAAUAGAAAUACUGAGCCAUUUUAAUAUAUUGUGCAAUAUACAAUUUUGACUGGAAUUCAGGUGAAUUUUCACUUGUUCUGGGCCGAGAAAAGCAAAGUUCAAGGUUGGAGGCAUCUUGAACAUUCCAUGGAGAACUAUAAAUUAAUAAAGGAAUCGGGCGUGUGGGGUUUCUGUAUUGGAAAAACAGUUGCCAAUUAGAAAUUAAUCUCAAAUUAGGCGAGACAUGGAAUUGUCGAGAGACGUGUGGAAGCGGGAAGAAAAUAAAAGGAAAAAGAAAAAACAAUAACGAAACUUCUUAGGAAGAUUUUCUUUAAAGAAAUUAUAAAUUUUUUAUUUGAAGCUAUUAUAUAAGAAAUUUAUUCUUUUUUAUAUAUACAAGAUCGAUGUGAGAUAUAUAUUAAUAAUGUUUUUAAACAAAAUUCGAAACUUCUCAGGAAGAUUUUUUUUAAUUUUUGUAAAUUUUAAUUUGAAGGUAUUAUAUUAGGGAAUUUAUUCUCUUAAAUAUAUAAGAUGGAUGUGAAUAUAUACUAUUAAAAAAAUUUUAAAUGAAAUUUAAUUUGAAUUAACGUAUAAUUAAACUAAUUUAAAGAACCCUUCCUUCUUAUAUCGGAGACAGAACCCUUUGUCUCCAGCUAGUCACUAUCCCUGGAUGAAGGAUCGGUGUUGUAUUUUGCUCUCUAUAAAAUAAAGAUUCAUUCACAACUUUCUCGACGCAAAAUGAUUUAUAUAGCCGACCGCAGUCAAAGCUUUGAUUGUUAUUAUUGUAGUCAUGUGAUGAAUUAUCCAAACGCUAUCUCUAUGGAGGGCAAUGGCGGCAUGCAUGCCUCUAUAGUCCCUUCAAUCAACCGAUCGAUUUGGAGAUUCUACAGCAGCUUUCCUCGUGGUGCUUCGAAGAUAUAGCUCUGCGCAGCAACUAGAACUCACUGACUAGGUUAACACGACGGAAAUGAUGAAUGAUAUUAUAAUUGAAUAUAAUACAUUAAGUGAAAAAAAUAUUUUUUGUUUAAAAAUAUAUUAAAAUAAUAUAUUUUUUAUUUUUUUAAAAUUAUUUUUUUAUAUUACGACAUCAAAAUAAUUUAAAAAUAUAAAAAAAUUAUUUUUUUUAAAAAAUAAAUUUUUAAAAAAUGUAUCUAAGCUGAUCAUCAAGAAUAUUGCGAGCGGCUGUCGUUCUGUGCAUUGCUUCGAACAAAAAGCCUGGAUGACUCGUUAAAUCAUGUCGGGUUUAAUAACUUGCUUCGUACAUAUGCGGACAUAGCUUAACCUAUCGGAAGCACAAAUGACUACAAAUAUUGUUAGUGGCACUGUUAAACAGGGUUUAAGUCAUCACAUGCAGGGACAGAGCCUCCUCGGACUAAGUUUUGAUUCUAAGAUUUUAAAUUAUUAAAAAUAAAUAAACUUUGUUUUUUACGGGUCUCCUGCCAGCCUCCUCGGCUCCGUCCCUGGAGUCACAUGAUCCUAAUUGACUGGACUUAUUGACGACUGAUAAAGAAAUGAAUGAAAUUGUUUCUUUUGCUUAUUGUGGGCAUCACCAACACCUUUUCUGGUCACUAGGUUGAGUAGACGUCAACUGCCGAAUUUUCUUUUGCUUCCCUCGAUAGUCAAUGCUAAGCGCUAAGAGCAUCUUCAAUGUAAAAUGCUAUUUUAAAAAGCUAUAUUGAUAAAAUAGCACUUUGAAUAGUGUAAAUAUAGCUUUUUUUACCAUAUCUAUUCUAAUGGAAAAAAGCCAUUUGAAGAGUCAUUUAUAUUGGAGUGGAAGAAACAAGUGUCUUAUUAUUUCUUAAUAAAUUUGAUGUUAUUUUUUUUUCCACAUGUCUACAUUUAAUUGGUUUAUUUUUUUAGUGGCCUCACUUUGUUGGUUUUGGCUCUUUGAAGAGAUAUGUAGGAAUAGCAUUUGUGGGAGAGAAAAGCCAUUUUAUCAUUUUGUUUGGCUUUUCCCUUGAAAUGUGCAAAACAAUCAAAGAAAAGCUAAAAUAUUAGUUGAAUUUUCUUUUGCUUCCCUCGAUAGUCAAUGCUAAGCGCUAAGAAUGGAUUUUGCUUGGCAGCUCACCUACAGUCAUUUACUGGCUGCUUUAGCAAUAAAUAUACAUAAAAAGGUAUUUUACAACGUUUAGGUCGUCAAAAGUAAUUCUUUUAAUUAGAGCUACGACUGAAAAUAUAUGCUCGUCGGCGGUCGGUCAAAAUUAGGAUUUAAAGCAUCUCCAUAUAUAAUUGCCCCAUCAAAAACCUGUUGGUUGCUCGACUAUGAAAGGGAGGUAGUCUAUCUUGGAUAAUUUAAAAGAAAUCCGAAGUGGAGUUGGUCUUUUUAUAUAUAUAAUGACGGUCACUAUGACAUUUAUAACCUAACUAUUUCCUUGUCUUGUAGAUAGAUAUUGAUGGUUUUUGGCUGCCCUAUCUAGGCCGUAUGGAACUUGAAUAUGGAUAAUUAAUUAUUUUUCAUAGUUAAUUGCCUUUGUUAUAGUCAACAUAGAAUUUAAUUAAUAGGUUUUGGAUUAUUUUUAAAUUUCAAUGGUUUUGAAUCAAAAUAUUGUUUAUUCAUGAUGUGGGUUUAUUAUAUGCUAAAAUAUAUGAUAUUGCAGUACAGUUCUUUAUAUCACCAGAAAUGCUAUUAUCACCAUGUAGAACUCCCCCUAAUGCUCUUUGCCCAGGUAAAAUCGAGUAAAAUCCUAUUCCACUCUGUACCGGUUUGUCCUCCGGUACUUCAAUUCAUUGUAAUUGAUAAGAAGAAGAAGAAGAAGAAGAAGAAGAAGAAGAAGAAGAAGAAGAAGAAGAAGAAGUCCUAACAGGGAAAAGAAAUCACAGAUUUAUUUGUAUAGAUUUUUUUCUCUUUUCAUGAAUUGUUUUUCGUCCCAUUUUUUCUCUUUUCAUGAAUAGUUUUUCAUCCCAUCUACUUGAUGGGAUGAUUUUUUAUUCUUAAUUGUGUGUAUAUCUUAUCCAGCACUAUCUACUUGGAGCUUACUUAGUGUUAGUAUUGUAUUAGUGAUUGUUUUUUAUAUUUUUAUUUAAAAAUAUAUUAAGAUAAUAUUUUUUUAUUUUUUAAAAUUUAUUUUUAACAUUAAUACAUUAAAAAGAUAUAAUAAUAUCAAAAAACAUAAAUUUAAAAUAAAAAAAAAAUUAAAAAAAAAUAAUUUUUAAACAAAGAUGUGUAUCUCCACGAGAUAUCAAUAAAAAAGUAAUAAUAUUUCAUGAUCAUAUAUAUUUUUAAAAAUAUAUUUGUACCGAAAAUCAUCAAACUUUACGUGUAUUUUAACAUGGUAUGUCAAAAACACAAAAGAAAACCCUAUAAACCAUCGAAUUUAAUGUUUUUAAGUACAGAUAUAUUUUUAAAAAAACACCAACAUCACAUAGUUGAUGUGAUGCAAUUGCCAAAGCACGUUCCAAAUGGUCCUUCGAGCUUCUUUCGACCAAUUCAGUCGGACUGCGCUCAUUCGAUACUCUUAUUCCCUCCUUGCUGUGCGCAGAUAGAGAUAUUGAAGAGGUAGCAUUGUGCCAAGAGGCAAUCAGAGCCGUCUCUCAAAAUUAACAGCACUGGAAUCACAAUUAAAGGCUCAAAUCUGAUCAGUUGCAGCCUUGCAGGCCCAUUUUCUAGACCAAUAAUAGUGAUUUGCUAUAUGCAGAUCACAUCCCAGUGCUGGACCAUGGGGCAAGAGGCAUCUCUCAGGCUAAACAUUUAGAAGCUCAGAUUCAAACUAGUAUCGAGACCAGUUAACAGACAAGCAGCCAAUUAUUGUCUUCCAGAGAGAUUAUUUUCGGUUUUGGGUAAAAAAACUGACCAAACUAAAAUUUAUAUUUUUUAAAAUUAUGAAUUGAAUCAACCAACCAGUUCAAAUCAACUAAUUUCAUUUGUUUUUUUAUUUAAAAACCAGUUAGAUACAUGUCUAUUUAAUUAGUUUUUUGGGCCUUUUUAUAAUGCAUCUGAGUUUUUCUAAGCUUAUAAUUUUGAGUUUUAUUUCAUGAUGUACCUAAAGUGUUUCUUGAUAACGGGCCAACAAAGGCAAUAAGUACGUUGUCAUCUACUGUCGGCAGGGACUCCACAAUAAUCUACGUUGUCAUCCCCACCACGCACCAUAGCCAUUGAGAUCACCCCAGUUGGAGACUGGCCAGAAAACAAUGGCACAUAAGAUCAAUGUCAGCAUAAUACAGAGGUCAUCUUAGCAACUCCCUGCAAAGAGAAAAAAAACAGCAUAAGAUGAGCUUUACUUGCUCAAACGAUGAGGGGUAAAAUUACAGCCACAAGAAAACAAUGAGAUAAUGAGAGGAUUUACUGUGGAUCUCCUUCUCGAGUGACAGAUUUAAUGAGCCCUUCAUUAGUAACCAAAGAGAAGCCAUGUAUAACCAGCCUCAAGCAAUUCACGAGAGGUACCUCAGGAGCAAAGUAGCGAGCCUGUGUUGUUGUGCUAUUCUAGGAUCAAACAUUAUGAAAAGCUGAGGUACAGGCCGUUAAAACAAGAAAAACUCAAAAUUCAAAUCACAAGAUAAUACCAAGAUUAAAUUUUCUGGAGGUUUUUAAAGAAUCCCUCUAAGGAUUGGUGCCUGAAAAUUGGCCAAAAAACAGCAAAAUCAAAUAAAUCCCAUCAAAGAUUUAUUCAUGCCUGAAAAUUGACCAACAAGCAGCAAAAAGCGAGCCUGAAAUUAUAUGAGCUAAUUUUCUGCUGAGACUUUGUUGAAUCAAGUUUCGCUGAGUGACAGUAUCAAAAGUCAGAACGAGACCGUAAGCUCCAGCUAGGAGUGAAGGAUAAGAGUGCCAUGAUUCCUUUGUUUUUUAUUUUUCCUGGUAAAAAGGGUAGUGGUGAUUUUGCUUUUCAGGCAUGGGAAGCCUAAAGGUACCUUUCUUAAGUUGAUGCCAUUAUCAUCUGCCCUCCACGAGGCCGUCCUGUGCGUAAUCGAAAGGACAAGCCAUUUAUUCAUCCUCCUGUGGGAAAACUAACAGAACCUACAGAAAGCUGAAAGAGCAAAUGCUAAGUAAGAGCCUUUUACGCAAAGGGUUAAGAACCUCGAAAAAUCCAUAUUCUACUGCGAAUGUUUACUGACUGAAAUAGGUAUACAAUUAUCUUCAGUUCUGAUGUAUAAUCAAGAAGAGAAAAGCUAGCUGCACUCCCAUACAUGACAGGACAAAGAGCACAGCAGUAAUCCACAGAUACAGGUUGAAGUGAAACCUCUUCUUCUUAAAGAGUAUCAAUCAAACUUCACACUAUAACAUGUCGUAUGAUCCAAAGAGAGGAACAUACAAUAGCCCAUGUUAACCCAAGUUUCGAUGAUACAAAAUAAUGCAACCACCAAAAUUUCAGAAUACUUUUCUAGUGAUAAUAAAACAUGAUAUAUUUUUAACUAAUGAUAGGGGUAUUCAAGAAACCAAUCAACAAAGAAAAAAAACUGAAAAAAACAAAUCAAGAAAAAGAACUGAAAAAACUUAUUUAAAAACUAGAAAAAUUACUUGAUGUAGUUCGGUUUUGAUUUCAGGAAGCUGAAAAUAAUUGAACCAUUUGACAAGACAAAACAAAAAUACAAAUAGAAACUUAACUUAAUCCUAAAACAUUUUUUCCCCUUGCAGUUUUGUUUCAACUGCACCUCCCCCUAGGGCCCCUACCCUCUUUCUUUCUCUCCUGUGAUUCACAGCUAACCUAAUUAUGGGUGUCGUCGUCAUUGUGAAUCAGCCUGGCUACAUCAUAAUUCCUCUUGAAUUUUGUAUAGACAAGUUACUCUCCCUUUCUUUGAUAGAUGUUGUUACUAAAACCAGUUUGGUCUAUUAAUAACUUUAAACUAAAUUUUUUUUAAAUAUGUAUUAAAAUAAUAUUUUUAUAUUUUUUAAAAUUUAUUUUUAACUUAUUUAAAGUAAAAAAAAAAUAAAUUAAACCACAAUACCAGACAUGAGCCUUGACGUGUUUCCUCAUCACAGGACAGGACAUCUAUUACUUGUCAAAUCCUCAUACCAGCAAAACGGGUGGCUUGCCUUUUCAUUUCCAAUCAAGAAACUUCGUUACUUGACUGACCAUUCUUAAGAACCAGAAGCUGGAAUUCGCUUUUAUUUCUGGGAUUUUUUUCACUUUUUCUUUCUUGAAAUGUUGUUUGAAACGGGAACUUCCAAGUUAUAUGCAAUUUUUGUUUUCUUGUUCGUAUCUUUGAUUCUUUUCCCUCUGCAUUCCUUGUACUAGACCAAGUUAUCUUCUCCCUAUAACUUUGUCUGAGGUCAAAGCAAAAAAACCAACCAAAAAAACCGAACCAGUUUGGUUUGAACCAGUUUUUGGUUCAGUCUGGGUCAAAUUUUUCAGAAAUUACAACUCCCAGUUUGGUUUGGUUUUUGACCGUGACACCCCUAACUAAUGGUAUGACAAAAUUUGGAGGAAGGGGAAAAAAAAAAAAGCGGGGGAAACACAGUAGCUUGAGAGGGGCUCUGAAUGAGCAGCUAAUAAAGUACAAUCAUGCCGUUGCUUUCUUACGGGCAAAUCUUUGCAAAGCCGUAGGUAAUGAAAUUUCCUCACUGAUUUUCUGCUUCUUCUUAGCCACGUUUUCUUCCUCCAUUUGUUUCUCCAAGAAAGGUCUCUUGGCUCUUUCAACAAUCUUCUUUUUCUUUACCGCUAUUUUGCUUGGCUUAUUUUUCCCCUUUGUUUUCUUCCUAAUGGCAGUUCCCUUUGCUGCUUCAACAACAGCUUCCAUCUCCGCCUCCUUCUCCUUCUUUGUUGGUUUAUCUUUCUUCUUUGCCGACUUCACUGUACCGAUCUUUGAAGGGUCCAGCAUGAUGGUCUCGGGUGGGAGCUUGUCAAGAAGAGAGUGGAUUUCCUUCUCUCUUCGUUGUUUAGAUGUUUCAAAUGGGUUUGCUAACCAUGUGUCGAAGUUUGGUUCCCCUGAACCUGGGAUAAGAAUUGAAGACCAUCCCAUGGAGUGCCCUAUACCUAGAACAUCUUCAUAUGGUCGAAAUGCCACUUUCCCUAUCUGGUAACCUUUCACAAUGUAAUGUCCCAUAUAUCUACUAUAGAUCCGUGAUCCUGAGAAAUCUCCUAGAAUCUGAACAUACGAUCCAGUUCCAGCAGCUAGUAAACCUUUUUGACUGAAGUCUAAGGUUUUUGCAUGGCCUGGUAUAAUUUGGAGAACCUCGAAUUUCCUCAAGUCCCAAAUCUUAAUUUUCUUUUCUUUUCCAGAAGUGGCCAUGAGAUUGCCAUUAGGAUGAAAUGCCAUUGCUGUGAUAGGUCCAGGAUGACACAGCAUCUUGACAAGGGGAACCGCACUGGUGGGCUUCCACAUGCUUACUGUACCACCUGAAUGACCCAAAGCAACAACCCCGUUGAGAGGGUUGGCCAGCAUCACAUCAGUACGGCCUAAACCUGUCCGGAAAUUGCUUAUCAUCUCACCCAUUGUAACAUCUUGGUAUCGCAGCUGCCCAAAUUUGUUUAUUGACACCAAAAGAAAGUGGUUUUUCAAAAACUGAAGCCUUGUCACCGCGCCAUGUUCCUGUAAGCCACCAAAAUAACGCAACUUAAUCCCAUACUUCUGUAUUCAUAUAAACAUUUGGCAUGGUGGAAAGUAACAAUGAAUUAAACUUGAAAUUUGCAUCAAACAUCAAGAAGUCUAUAGCCAUGCAGUACAAUGAGCAAUGAAAUUCAAAGGAAACGUACUGUGUUGCAGGAUGGAGAACAAUCUUGUGACAGUGCAAAGACAGCCAAUGCAAGCAAAAUAAAUUAGUUUAGGAACUGGUUUACAGAAAGUAGGCCUAAUACUUUAUAACUGAGAAGAAAAAUCAUUCAAGUUCAUUUAUACACAAGAAAGAUACUGCAAACUUGUAUUUUAUAAGGUUCCCAAUAAAUGAAAAGGUCUUGCUGCAGCUUAAAACAAUAUAAAAUUCAUCAAUAGACAAUGCACUGACCUUUAAACAAUGAAGUUCGACACCAUCUCUGUUAUAAAUGUACGGGUACCUAUCAUAACUCGAAAUUAUUAGCUAUAAAGAGCUACACAAAAAAUUGACCAAAAGUAUACUACAACGUUCACAUUUGUUCAGGCAAGUAGUCACACUAUAUGUUCUUUUAUCUAUUUUCUGGGAAAAAGCCAUACUUUUUCUGGGCAGCAGCAAAGAACAGCUCAUUGUGCAAAAACACGAUAUCUCGCACUGUUUCUCUAACCUGAAAGAAUAAAAUUAAUUAGUACACCAGUCUAAUUUCCAGUAAAGGCCUGGUAAAGAUAAAUGCCAGUAAAAGAUGCAAAGUAAUGCUGGCAUAUAAAUAUCCAUUUUGUCAAUUUAUAUAAAAGGUCUCAACUAGAACCCAGUCGCGUCUCAGUAAGGGUCAGAUCAACCUGGCAACCCCAGGACAUACCUGCAUCUCUUUUAUUAAGCUCAUGUUCUUCAUGUCAACAACCGCCAAGUGGCCCUUGCGACCAGCAGCUGCCAUGUAUCGACCACUUGAGGUGAAAUCCAGAGUGUAUGGACCAAAAUCUGCACAUUUCAGUGAAAAAAGGCCUCAGAAGUUUCCUCAGGCCAUUAGCCAAAGGAUUACAUCCAGGCAAGAAUAUGACAUAGCAUUACAGUUAAAGAAAAAGUUUUUUUUUUUUUUUUGAAGCAGACUUAAUUAAGGAGGCAAAGAUGUUCAUGAAUUUAGAAACGUAAUUUUGCACUCCUGGAAUAAGCAUAGUUUCAGGCUAUUUUAUAGUUCAUGAGAAAGGCCUAGCACAACAUAGAUAAGAAUAUAUAUGCAAUGUUUUCCCAAAAAAUAUUUAGUAAAACAGAUCCAUGAUGUUCAGCAUUUCUCUCUGCUUGUUUUCUCAGGUAAAUCAAAAUUGAUAUGGGAAAUGACAGACUCAAACCCAAACAACAUACAUUGCUAAGUUAUUCAAGAAGAGAACCUGGAAAAUGGCUACAAAAUUGUCUUUGUAAACAUUCUGGCUAAAAAACAUUUUGAUUGCAAAAAACCCAUUAGAAAGGAAUCACACAGCAGACAAGAACCUGGCAAGACUAUAUCAUAUUGAUUCUUUGCGCUUGAGAUAUCAACUUCAUGAUUGAUUGCGUCCUGUUUGAUCCUCCAUGUCUUCUCUAUACCCUCAGCCUCCAGAUAGCCUCCCUUGCUUGGCAUAAGCCACUGAUUAAAAAGAACACAUGUUAUAAAGUAUUCAAACGAGUGAAAUGCUUUGUAUAUUUUCUGCCAGAAAACAGUGGGAGGAAUGACAAGCAAAAUCUAGUAGACAUGGAACUAUACAAAAUUAGUAUCUCAGACCACACAUAAAUCAAUUGAAAAAACAAAGAUAGUCCCCAUUAAUAUGUAACUCACAAAACAUUACUCAUGAAAGAGAUUUUCCCUUUAAUUUUUUUAGAACUAGAGAAGUGAAAAAGAAAAAAAAAGAAAAAAGGGAGAGGAUUUGCUAUUAUCCACCUUUUCAGCCUUGGCAGCAGCUUUUGCAGAUAUUCCAUAUAAAUCUUCCCUAACAGAAAGUUGACCCUUAAGCUUUUUGUCUUUUAAAACCUGCAGAUGGAGAGAAUUAAAUCAAAAUGCAAUAAAAAAACUCCUCCAAAGAAAUAAAAGUUUUUCGACUGGAAAUGUUGGACACCAAUUUCUGACCUCCAAAUUAGCCCCUUCUCCUCUAAGAUACUUCUUUACUUUCGUAUCCAACUCGUGAGACAAUUCCUGCAAACAAAAACUAGCCACUAUCAUCCUAUUGCCUUUAACAAACAUGUGCAGCAAAUAAUGUUUAUGAUGAUCAAGUAACAAUAAAGUCGAAUAAUCACAUUACAAACAACCUUUUUCUACAUCCAAAGCAAGGUCAUUUCCUUGUAAAUCAAAGAAUCGAAUUACCUGCUCAAUAGGAGGUAAAAUAUUCUCAGGAUCACCAUUUUCUUGUUUCGCACCCAUCUGGCCACUUAGAAUUUAUGUGCCUAAACUGCAGGAUAAAGAUAAUUACCAAUAAAACCCCUCAUUAUUCAUUAAUCAUGUAUUUACCAAAAUUGCCAAAAAAACCAUCUAGCAAAUUGCAUGAAUUCAAAAUCAAACAAGCAUACAAAGAACAAGCGAACCCAUAAUUUUCUACUUAAUUGAUCCAAAAAAAAAUCCUCAUUAAAACCUUCAAUUUCAAAACUUCGGAACUUGAAAGCAAAAAAAUUCACAGAAUAAAAACUACAUAGAUAAAACGCAGAUGAGCUAAACAGCAGACACAACUAAUUGGAUGACUGUCUCAAAUUUUCUCAAAAAAAAACAACAAAAGGGUACUCAAAAAGUUAAACAAUACUUGCCUAAGAAAUAAACUUUAUGCUGAAUUUGCGCUAACUUCUUGUCAGACAAGAGUUGUACAACUUGUAUAACACAUCACACAAAACCCAAGUUUUGCAAACAGGUAUAAAACAAGACAAGAAACAUACAAGUUAUUGGCAUAAGUUAAUGAACAAACGGAUGUCAGGGUUAGUUUUAAUGCCUGUGUGUAUUACUGUGUUCUUUCAAGAGUAGCAGAGACAACUUGGAGUGGAGAUGUUUUUAGGUUUUUUGUUAAAAGAAAGCAAAUGAAAAUCUCUUUAUGGUUGAAGUUUAGUAUUGUUUUCUUGCUGGUAACAAAGUUUAAGAAAAUUACAGUGUUUGUCUAUGCCUGAGUCGAUGCUUGAUCUGCUGUGACGGAAGUUUUUUAGGGUUUUUGCAGUGUUCAGUUUGGCUGAGUUUUGAAAUUUGUAAGAACCAAAAUAAAAUAAUUCUGGGCUUUUCUUUGCUUUCUUGGGCCAUUUAUUGAGCUGUUUACUGUGCUUAUUUGGGCCUCCUGCUCUGGUUUGCUCAUUGAGCCCAGCUCAAGAUGUAAAAUACUUUUAUAAGCCUGCGAGCCCAGUAAAAAAUGGAGAUUUAUUUAUUUAUUUAUUUUAUUGUACUAAUUUGUCUAGUUGCCGUGGUGUAAGGUGAGGUAUUUGAGGAUAAUUUUAUUGAUGGUAAAGAUGAAAUUGAAAAAUUAUCGUGGGUUUGGUUGCAAGAAGAAAAGUUUUUUUUUGCCAUAAAAGUUUCAUUGUUUUAAAUAAAAUUUAAAAAAUAUAUAAAAUUUAUAUUUUAUUCCAGUUUAGUUAAAUUAAUUUAAAUAUAAAUUAAUUUAUCAAAUCAUUUAAAUUUAAACUGAAUCAAUCUCCAAACUAUUUAAAAAUAAAACUUUCUCAAAGUUUAUUGAUAAAAUACUUAUUUAAAAUACUUUAUAUAGCAUUUAAUUUCAAAAGAUUAUCACUGGAAAAAUAAUUUAAAAAAGUGAAAGGACACUUGUAUAAAAAUCAUGAGUUUGGAUGGAUUUAUUUUAUUAAGAAAAUGCAUCAAUAUGAUAUUUAUAUAAAUUAAUAUCCUUCGGAUUGAAAUGGGUUUUGUUUGAUAUUUAACAUAAUGCAUGCAAAAAUCCUUGACGCAAGCUGUGCAAUACAUCUCGUUUUUGUUUUUUUUUCACUACGGUUUAUGCACUUGCCUGUGUUAGCAUCUUAUUUCCUCCAUCAACCACAUUUAUCAUAUAGCUGUUAUUCGGUCAACUCUCAAAUGUAAAGGUCAUUGGAUUAAUUAUUUGUACAACGAUUUUUUUUAUUCUAUAUAUAUAUAUAUAUAUAUUAUUUCUAUCCAGCAAGGUUUUAAUCAAGCUAGAUAAAUAAUUAAAAUCAACAAAAUCUGAUUAAUUGGAAUCGAAUAGCUGUGUUUUAGCUUAAAAAAGACAAAAAAAAAAAUGAACAAUGCCAAUGUGGCACUAUAAAAAUAUUAAAAACCGUCUUUCCCCGCGGAAUUUAACAGAAUAUCCACUGACACACCAAAAUAUCCACCAACACUCCUAAGCGUUGACUUUUCAAUAGUUUUCCACUCUCUUGCAAACGUGUAAGGUAGGCUCCACACACACACACACAAAAAAACCCAGCAUCCUGGACAUCACGGUGUCAUCGUUCGCAAGUUGCUGGACUCCAAAUAUUGUCCAAUAUAUCCAGAAUUUUUCGGAGGAAAAGUUCUCUCUGCCUCUGCCUCUGCCUCUGCCUUCUCUGCCUCUGUUUCUUUUCCUGUUUCCAUAAAUAGAAAGGAAAAGGAAUCCAACAAAACAGCAACAAAGACAAACCCUUUCUUGUGUUUAUCAAUGGAGUCAGGACAGGGAACUGUGACAUGCGGGUCAUGGAUCCGGAGACCCGAGAACUUGAAUCUUGCUGUGCUUGGCAGGUCAUCGAAGAAGAAAAAUUCUGCCUCUCCUUCUGUUCUCGAGAUCUUCUCUUUUGACACCGAGACAACUUCUCUCUCAACCUCUCCUCAGGUUUGUUUCUCCGAUACCCUUAACGACAUGUCGUUUAAGUUGUCUCUGUUCCGGCAAAGGGAGACCCUUUUUUGUUUCUAUAUUUUUGGUGCCUGAAUGGGUUUAUAUAUAUAUUGAUCGUGGGUUGUUUAGGUAACUUAUGUGUUUGAAGAAACAGAAGGUGAACUGGUGACAAUUGCAGUGCAUCCAAGUGGAGAUGAUCUUGUGUGUUCUUCAACUAAAGGUGGAUGCAAGUGAGUUUCUUGAUUAAUAAUUUUUCAAAUUUAAUUCUCUACAAAUUAAUGCAUCGAAGAAUUUUUUAAAAGAAAAUCAUGGCUCUGCUGUUUUUCUGACAUUCAAAAGAUUGUGACUUGGAAGUUAAAAAUGCUUGUUUGAAUUCCCUCAUCUAUCGGAAAGAUAAUUUCUUUUUAAGUUGAAUGAGUUCAAAGAGAUUCUAAUUUGUGUGUGACUUGAAUGUGUAUUUGUCUGUUGAACAAGUUUUUGUAACAUUGGGUUGGUUUGUGUUGUGACAUGCAGAUUGUUUGAGUUGCAGUGUCAAGAAACAAAUUUAAAGUUGCUAGCCAAAGAUUUACCUCCUCUCCAAGAUGUUGGUCCACAGACAUGCAUGGCUUUCAGUGUUGAUGGGUCUAAGUUUGCCACUGGUGGGGUGGUAAGCUAUAAUUUGUGAUUUAAACAAUGGUUAGCACCAGCUUGCUUUUGGUUGUGUUCCAAACGUCUGUGUGUACAGCUGAUAUGUAGUAUGGUGUCUUUUAUUUGAUCAAUUACAGGAUGGGCGUUUAAGAAUUUUGGAGUGGCCAAGUUUGCGCAUCAUUUUGGAUGAACCAAAAGCACACAAAUCUGUCAGGGAUAUGGAUUUUAGGUUAGUGUUUCUUUCCUACUUGCGUCCUAUGUAAUAAUUUUCUAUGUGCUGUGUGAAUGCAUAUGUUGAUAAAUGAGAAAUACAAUGCAUCCAAAUGCCUGUCAGUGUAUCAGUAACAAAGGUCAAUGGUGUCCCCUCCAGUUUCCCAUCGUGAGAUGUGCUUUUUAAGAAAUAAACAAAGGCUUAGCCUGUUUUUGGAGGUUUUGUAGAAGAAUCUUGGGCCAUUAAAGGGUUAUUUUUUCUCCUUAAAUCCUAGCUACUGAAACGCAUGCCUUUGUUUGUUUAUCAUAUUCUAGCCUGGAUUCAGAGUUCCUAGCGUCAACAUCUACUGAUGGUUCAGCAAGAAUAUGGAAAGCAGAAGAUGGUUCACCUGUGGUUUCUUUGACUCGCAACUCAGUAUGUUUUAUUUAGUGUAGGGAUUUUUCAUGUUGGGUUUCAGAUUUUGGUUGGAUCUUGUUGCCAAUAUGGUCUAUAUUUGCCUGCAGGAUGAAAAGAUUGAAUUGUGCCGCUUCUCCAAGGAUGGGACAAAACCAUUUUUAUUUUGUGCUGUGCAGAAAGGUGUCCUCAUUAGUAUCAAUGUAGCUUGUUAUUUUAUUUAGCCAUAUAAAAAAUCAUUCUUAACUUGUGAAUAUUGUUGAUUCAGGUGAUAAAGCUGUCACUGCAGUUUAUGACAUAAGUACAUGGAAUAAAAUUGGGUAUAAGAGGCUACUUAGAAAGCCUGCUUCCAUCAUGUCUAUCAGCCUGGACGGGAAAUAUCUUGCUUUGUAAGCACUCUCCAUUUACCCUUUGGACAUUUGCAAUCAAUUAUCUAGGUUUCUGCAGUCACUGAACUCAUUUAUUUUUAUCCUUGUUUAUCGUUCAGCAGACACAAAUCAAUUUCAUUUUAUCUUUUUUCAAAUCUUUAGCCCGAAAUCCAUCAGUAGUGACCCAAUACCUUCCCUCUUCAUUGUGAAAUGGCUUUGCACAGCUCAUUCUCUUAGUGAAAAAGAGAAUUCAACUUGAUGUUCAAAUAUGUUUAGGAUAGGAGUGCAAGGUUGUCGAAAUCCUGCUCUCUUGCUGACUGCAAUGACGCUAUUGAGAAAAUUUGUGGCAAGCUGGCAGUAUAGAUUGCUUGCAAAACUGUGAGGACCAGUUACAUUAACAUGUGUUUUUUUCUUUUAAUUCUAGAGGAAGCAAGGAUGGAGACGUGUGUGUAGCGGAAGUUAAGAAAAUGGAGGUUUCCCACUUGAGUAAGAGGCUGCACCUGGGUACAUGUAUCACGUCACUAGAGUUCUGUCCCGGUCAAAGGUAAGGUUCAUCCACGCCUUUUGCUCUGUAAUUAUAGAUGAUCAGCUUCAUGGUACAAGGACCCUUUAAAUGUUUCUUCUAGCUCACAAACUUUAUUUUCACCUUUUCUUAAUCCUUUUAAUCCUGCAAGUAUAGUUUUCUUCCUUGGCAUCUUUGAAGCACAAGUGUCCCAGUCACCAUUUUGUGAUUCCAAUUUGUAUUAUUUAAAUUGCAAACUAUAGGAGAUUGUUUAUUCACCUCUGGGUUUUUCUGCGCAGGGUUGUGCUCACUACUUCCGAUGAAUGGGGAGCAGUGGUGACUAAGUUGAAUGUUCCUGCAGAUUGGAAAGGUCUUUUCUCUCACUCCCUCACUCACACACACACGCACACACUAUUUACGUUGUGGAUGCACGCAUCCUUAAGAGACUGAUCCUUCCUCUCUCUCCUGUGCAGAGUGGCAGAUAUAUUUACUGCUAGUAGUACUAUUUUUGGCAUCUGCUGUUGCAUUUUACAUUUUCUUUCAGAAGUCUGAUUCAUUUUGGAACGUUCCACCUGGAAGAGAUCAACCUGGGAAACAGUUCGAAAUUUUAGAUCCACAGUACUCUGAAGAUGCAUUUGGGCCUGUAGAUAUGUGAACAAUUUUUAGACACGGUCACCAGAAGUCAUGGGUUGUAUCAUCAUCAUGUUACAAAAUAAACACUCAGUGAAGUAGUUUAAGAUUCUUCAUUUGAUCCAUUGCAACUUUCAACUUAAUCUAUUUUUGGAGAACGUUGCGCAGUUGAGGCUGGUUCUCUUUUACUCGAGUAUCUACAAGAAAAUGCCCCCCCGGGCUUGAAUUUAGUAAACUAGCAGAAAUUUAAACAGGAAAAUAAAACUCAGCCUUGUUUUGGGACAUUGAAAUAUUUUCACGAGCGGUUCCUUCAAAUAAUCAAAACCCAUCUCUAUUUCUGAAUGAAAAAGGCUGACAUCCAUGCGGCAGAAAGAAAGAGGUUUGAAGGAGGGGGGCGAGUGGGGGCUCUGAUUUCUGACAACGAAUAAAUAUUAUUAAUGAAGAAUUUUCAAGCACGUCUAGAUAGUACUUCAGGAUCCAUCAGCUAAUGAUCUCGAUUUCUAUGCAAUGUGAAGGUGCUCGUUGCAUGAACAUGAAUUACCUUAGGUGUAUAUACUGCCAGUAUGCUAUCUGAUAUGUUCCAGCCUACAAAACAUUUAACUUGUGACGUCAUAUAUGCCAGAGUAAAGGCUUGAAAGAUUCAGAAAAAAAAAACAACAUUGAAUGUAGAUGACCCCCCCGCUGCAAGGAUCGCGGAGGCCAUUGGAGAAGAUAAUGUUGCUGCCAAACCUCCCGAGCACCUCUUUAAAAUGCUGCAAUUUCACAUUGCCGAAAAAAAAAACAAAAAAAAAAACCGAAUGGAGCUCAUAUCAGCCUUUAAAUCGCUACUAUGAAAAUGCAUAAAAUCAACUGAAAUUUCACACACAGUUUGAACAACACAUGACCGCCAUAGAAAGUUGUUAUCCAAAGAGGCCUAGGGGGGGACUCCAAAUUUGCUUUUGCAUUCCUCAAUGUACUCCUUCAGAUCAAAUGGUCUGCUAGAAGCCUAGAAACAUGGUAUCAUUGUUACCACGACCAAUCGGCAUCACAAGUUCGCUACAUGUCUAUCAAACACCAGCAGAAGAAUUAACUGGUAUUAAUUAUGUGAUUAAUUUAUUAUAAUGCUGGAUGUUAUAAUUGCAGAAUUAAAAUAAACUUACCCGCCAAGUCCAGCCAUCCAGUGUUUCUGCUGAAAAGAAUGCGUCCAGAUUAUAGCAAGGCUUUUCUCGGAAGUAAGCAACGAUUCCAGAAAAUAUCUUGUCGAGUACAUCACUUCCUUCUGGAGCUGAAUCAAUACCUUUGCAAACAGGGUCAACUGGGUAUCUUGGAGGUCUAUCAUAUUGAGCUGCUACUGAAAAGAAACUGUCCAAAAAGUUUUUCAACUCUUCAGCAGCAUCCAGUGGUCUGUUAGCCAUAGUUAGAGGGAGUUAUGGGUUAAUCGAUCGGAAACUAGCAUAACGAAUUGAGUUAGCAAUUAAAAGCCAUGAGAAGUGAAAGACUUGGACGGUUAAAUACAUGCAAGUAUUGAGCUUGUUUUGAAGGAUAGCAAGACCAUUUGCUUUAGCAGCAACUUCAUCAAUUUCAGACCAUGACUGUUUUAUGGUUUCUUAGCACCUCUCACUCGAAUCCUUCAUGUGGUCAGAAAAUCAGACUCAACAAUUCAAAACAUUCUCUGGGGUAGAAAUUUAGAGAGGAAUACGAGGAUAUUAUGUAAAAUAAAGAACUCGGGCGGAAGACGCUAGUGCCCCUGGUGCGAUGUGAGGAUGUUUCAGCCGAAACCAAGCAGCAAGCACUAUAGCAAAAACAAAUGGUGAUCAAAUUGUGUUUCUAUAUUGAUUACGAGUACUGAAUUUAGUGGAUAUUCAAAAUAAUUUACUUCCUCAAUCCUCCGUAUGAUCCUCCAAAAACCAUAACUGGGGUGGAAUCGGCCGGAUAUUUUUUCUUAAUGUGUAGGAGCACUUCAGCGUAAUCUGGUAAAGCUUGAGCAGAGCUGCAGUAUCCGCGGAGAUUUUUGGCUUUUAGUGCUUCGGGGAUUGAUUCUCCGUAGAGACGAUGCUGCAUUGGAAAUUAUAGGUGAAAACGAAGCAUUAAUGUUCAACCUUUAAUCUCGGUGUGCGAAAGCCGACUAAUUAAAAUAAAAAACAAAAUAAUAAUAAUAAUAUUUUAGCCGAAAGGAAAGAUGGAUUUCUCUGAGAAUUUUUCUACUCACCUCUAUGUACACUUGUAAAGCACCAAAUCGAGCUACAUUAUCAGAGAGGAUUCCUAUAGAACCAAGAUCAUCAUUCAAAGAGGAUUCCUCUCCGAGAUAGGCAAAUAUUGGAGCCAUUUUAUUGGCACUCCUCCGAUGCUAGAAGCUCACUACAUAUCUAGGCCGAAAGCCUUGUAACUUUCAGGCCUUAAUCGAAGUGAUCAAGUGUUUAGUUAUAAUAAAAUGUUUUAAACACCUGAUCCGAUGAGGCCAGAGAAUCAACCUUCACUUUUCCAUGGUGAUUUCUUGCACCAGAAGGCCCUUGCACUCCAAGUCUUGGUAUUUUUUAUGGUGAAACACAAAACACACUUGUUGGGAAGAAAAGAAAAUCAGUCAUGGUGAAGCACAGAACAUUUUGUAGUUUAGUUAACGUUGUUCUUUGAUCCGAAUCUUGAUUGAUUAAGAUGACCCUGUCCAUGUUAGACAACGCAGCUUUCACGUAACUGUUGCCAUGAGCAAUGGCUCGAAGGCGAAAAUACAGCUUGGACUGUUCAAAGUCAGCUCGAGUAAGGUUUCAGUGGGUUAUCUUGUUAGAUCCAAUUUUGAAGCUCAGGCCAUUACUGUUUUUUUUUUAAUCAAUUUAAACUCAUAAAAAAAUAAAAAAUCAUAUUUUCUUAAUUACCAUCCAAACUCUUGAUAGUUCUUGGAAUUAGUCUACCUGAACACGUCAUUAUUGAUUACGAACUUAUAAAUCCAAUCAAAUAUAUCUAUACAGAUAUUAUCAAGAAAAAUUUACUUUUCAGAAUAAUAAUAAUUUUUUAUUUAAGAUCCAGGUGUAUUUUCAAAAUAAUCUUCAUGGAUCAGCAAGGGUAAACCUAUAUCUUUAAUAUAUUAAAAAAAUAUAUCAUUCAUGAUAUUCACGAAUAUUAUCAUAAAACUUGAUUUAGAAUAAAUCAAAUAUCCACGGCCUUAAAAUUUUAACAUAAAUGGGCUACAGUUUAAGCCCAGUUAGGCCAUCUGAGCUUCGAUCAAAAUUACCUUCUUUUCCCAUGUUGUAGGGCCAGUUAUAAAUACUAGAAGUAUUUAAAAAAAUCAAUCAACCAAUUAAACCAUAAAAACUAAAAAAAUAUUAAUGAAAAAAACCAAAUUGAGAAAAAAAAUUGAUCAAACUGAUUUAAAAAUCAUAAAAUCAACUUAAUUUGGUUCGAUUUCGGUUUUAAAAACUGAAAUCAAGUAAUCAAGCCAUACUCAAUAUAAAUUGUAAAUCCAAGGGUAUAAAUAAAAAACUAAUCGGCAUAAUUUCAUUAACCCUAGAAAUCCCCCACUCCUUUCCUGUUGAAAAUAACCGUCAAAUGUUUAUUUCUCUCGUUCCAUCUCUUUCCUUUAUUAUCUCCUCUAUUGAAACUUGAGAGGUUGUCACAUAUAACCUCUAUCUUUCCUAUUUUGGUAUUCAUUUACUCUGUUGUGUUUAUUUGUUGGUUAUUAGCCUUGGUUAAUGUUUGUUUUUCUUCUCUAAUGUGUUGUUUUCUUUUCCAAUUGUAUAGAUUAUUCACACUCUUAUUUUGUGUUUAUUAGCUGUAUAGAAAAUAAAAAGUCUUUAAUGCGUGCCAACUAUUAUGUUUUGACAGGUUUGUUAUUGCUGAAAUUAGGUUGAGAUUAUCCCUUAUUAUGAUCACUAACCUGUUUAUUUUUAUGUUUUAAAGGUUUUUUUAAUAAAAAUUUAAAUUUUUUUAUUUUAAAUUAAUUUUUUUUUUGUGUUAUCAAAUUAUUUUGAUGUGCUGAUCUUAAAAAUAAUUUUUAAAAAAUAAAAAAAAUAUUAUUUUGAUAUAUUUUCAAGAAAAAAAUAUUUUGAAAAACAACCGUAAUCACAUUCUCAAACAUCUCUACUUCUUAAAUAUAUGCUUGCAUGUUUCCAUUAAAAAUUGUUGAUGUGACUUUGUGUUUUCACCUUUUAUUUUUAUUUUGUUUGUUGGCCAUUGUAUUUUAGUGUGAUGCUCAUAUUACUUUUUUUUUUUUGAAAAUAUAAAAUAUUUAGAUAAAUAACUAACACCUUCCUUAAUAAUAAUAAUAAAAAGUUAAUAAUAAAUGAUGUAGCUUAACUAGUAAAGUCCCAGGUUUACUCUCCAGAUAUUACCAGUUCAAGUCACAAAUCUCAGGGUCACUGGAGACUUACAUGAUAAUUAACUUCAGGAUCCGUGAGAUUAGUCGAAGUGCGCACAAAAUGGUCCGAACACCUACGUUAAUCUUAAAAAAAAAUUAAAUAAAAGAGUGACUAAGAGAUUAUAUUUUCCGGUCACAAAAAAAAAUAAUUGGGAUUGACUGAACCAAACCGAUUCCCAGUUUAGUUUAAUCCAUUUUCCUAAAAAAACUCAUCUCCCGAUUCGGUUGGAAUUUCAAACUUAACCCCAACCAAACCAGAUGAUGAACACCCCUAAUAAACACUGUCACGGAGAAGAAAAUUUAAUGGCUAUCUUGGAGAGUCUUUCAAAAAGCGAUCCCCUUUUCAUUCCAACCCAAGUAAAACGAGGUAAUAGUGCAUUUGGUCCCUUUAUUCUCAAUUUUCUUCAUCUUAAUCCUUCUAUUGUCUUUAGUAUGAUCCCUGGUCCAUUAUUCUUCUCUUCAAAUUAGUUGGCUAAUCAUAGCCAUUCGGUUUCCAUAGGUAUUUCUUAUGUUCACGAGCCUCCCCUAGGCUGUCUUGAGCUGCUAUUGUGUGGCAUUCUCCUGGGGCAUCACCCUCCUUUUGUUUGAAAAAAUUAUGGCAAUUAUAAUUUUAAAAAUAGUUUAACUGAUUAAAUUUUAAAUGUGUUUUCUAGUGGUCACAAGUUUAAGUUCUCUCAUGAUCACUAAAGAAUUAUAUAGUCGUUAACUUCAGGAAUCAUGAAAUUAAUUAAGGUACGUGUAAAUUGAUCCAGACAUCCGCGUUAAUAAAAAAAUAACAUCGUAUCCAUGGUAUUAGAUCAAGUAAUUAUUUGCUCGAGAAAUUUUUAUUGUAUACCAAUAUCAUUAUUUAUGCAAUAGUAACAUAACAUGUCGUUCACAACAGUUAGGAAAUAUCAAAUAAUUAUGAGAUAAAAAGAUAUCAAAUAAUUAUGAGAUAAAAAGUUUGAAGGAUAUUGAGAUAAAAAAAUAUCACAAGAUUCAAAAUAAAAUAAAAUAAAAUUAUAGAGGACAAGAUUCACCACCAACAUGUCAAACCCGGGCUAGAAAACCAAUAAAAAAAAUCUAGUAACUAAAUCAAUUAUUUUAUUAAAAUUAUUUUGUUUUAAUAACUUUUUUUAAAUUUUUUUAUAGUUAAUCUUGUCAAGUUUCGUAUACUCAAUCUAUUCGGUUUUGAUUCUACUUAAAUUUAAAGGUAAUAUUUUUUAGAUUAUUUUUAUUUUUAAUAUUAAUUUAUCAAAACCAUAAAAAAUACUCAAAGUAUCAAUUUAAUAUAAUAUCUAAAAAUACUAACAAAAGCCGUGCCAUAUACGCCUUCGAGUAGUGAAUUUCUUAGUUCAGCCCGCUGGGUUGGGACCUGUCUAAUAACUAUCAACUCAGAUACGAAGUCCGCUCUCACUUCACUCCACUCUCUCUCGCACGGAUAUUUUUUCUUUCUGCUUCUAAUGAACUGCCGUCACUGUCUCCCAAGGUCUAUCUACACACAACCUCUGAACAUUUCUUUCUUUCUUUUCCUCAUUUUCUAGAAUCCCUUUUCUUAAUUUCUUGUUUGGUUUGCAGAUCAUCCUCUGCCUUGCCUUUGCAAGGCUUCAAUUUUUACCAAAGAAGACCAUCUUCACCAUCAUUAUUCUCUCUUAACAUGGCAGUACAUUCUCCUCCUUUAGCAUAAUUCUCGCUCUUUUUUUUUUAGUUUUUCUUAUUCUCAUUAUAUAUGAAUUUCUUGAUGCAGGGAACCAAGAAUUCUAGUGAUUUGCGGUUACGUGUAUCUGUGAAGGUAACUAAAAAGCAGCUUCCGAUUCGGUUUUUUACAUGAAGUUAAAGCUUCUUCAAUCUCUUUGCUUUGCUCUACGGCUUACUAUUUAUUACUUCAACCUUUUCUUUUUGGUUCAUUUCUUUUAAUUUUCCAAUCUUUUUUUAUAGUUGUCUGUUAGAAAUUCUGAAUAACGUAAUGCUAGUUUUAUCGAAAAUCUUUCUUGAAAGAUCUCGAGGGAGAGUCUCAACCAUUAGAUUCGUGGGACCUACUAGUGGGACCCACGAUGAGAUAUUCAUUGUGGGAUUUUUCUGUGAAUUUUUUUUUCCCGGGAAGAAACUUUCUGUAGAAUCUUGUAUUACUGACAAGAAUUCACAUAUUAGAUAUUUUGGAGUUUAAGGGUUUUUUUGGUACGUGUUUAGGAGAUAUUUUUGAACUUAGUAUUGAUUAAUAUUCCUUGUCCUUCUUUUUGUCCUUUCUUAUAAAGUUUGCGUUUCUUAAUGAUAUAAUUUUUGUUUUUUGAUUGUGACGUUGAAUAAUUCCUAGAGCAAAUUAAAGUGAUCCCAUGAAUCAAGAGGCGGGAAUUGAUUCGUGUUGCACCUUUUGCUGUGUGCGUGGUUUGACAGCCAAAAGCUAAUAUAAUCAGUAGUUUCGAUGAUAACUAAAUGAUUCGGGCGAUAAUUGAUUAAUUGUUUUGUUUCUGAUAAUGAAUGCGUUCUUCUGAGUGGUUCAUCUGCUGCAGUUUGUUGAGUUUCAAAAUUAAAAUCUUUUCUAAUAGAUGAUUGUUAUUUGAUGCUGUUGCCUGUAGGCAAUUCCCAGCUCACCAUCCAGUGCUGAGAUGAGCGGUGCUGAUGCUGAGGAAGAAGAGGAGAAAUCUGAGAUAUACAGUCAUGACAUGACUGAAGCUAUGGGGGCUGGUAAGUUUGAUGCUGCUUGUGGUUGGAGAAUCGGGUUGUGAUGUUUUCUAUUUGAAAAGACUGUGUAAUUGUUUGGAUUUUUAAAGUGUUUAAAGUGCUUUAAGAGCUAACUUUAGUUCCAUAUGAGCAAAUUUGAUUGAGCUAAAUGUUUGUUCUAAUAUAUUUUUAGUACAGUUUUGACCUAUAGGCACGAACUAGGAAUGAACUAUAACUUCAUUCGUCCAGAUUUGAUUGUCGGAUCAUGCCUACAGGUGAUUCUCAUUUGUUAGCUUCGUCUAUGAAGGGAUUCUAUUCCCUCUGAAAUGCUCUCUGAUUUUUUGUUUCCCAUAUUGUUUUCUAAUUACUCUUUUCAAAUUUCUAGACUCCUGAAGAUGUUGACAAGCUUCGAAAAAUUGGAGUCAAAACCAUAUUUUGCUUACAGCAAGAUCCAGACUUGGAGUAUCCUAAAUAACUUUGUCUUCAUGAUCUGAUGGAAGCUUGAUUAUUAUUGCUUACAUGUUAUAAAUAUGGUCAUCGGUUACCAGAUGCAACUGUUGAGCAUUUGAGAUCAAGCAAAAAGAAGUGUAUGAAACACAUUGUAAUUCUUUCACUACAAUUCCAGAUAUUUCGGGGUAGAUAUUAGUGCCAUUCAAGACUAUGCCAAGGCAUGUGGUGACAUUCAGCAUUUGCGGGCACAGAUAAGGUUAGUCAUGUCAUGGAGAAAUCACAGUGUUAACUUACCAAACCAUAACAAAUAAACAAUUGGAAAAAGAAACCUGUUGGUUAACAUUUGACUACUUGCAUCUGAAAAAACAACAUUGGAGAAUUACAUUGUAUCAAUGUUUUCAUCUAUUUUGGACUGCUAUAUUCUCACUUUCUACUCUCUAGAACUUCAAUUGUUGUCAGAAGAAGUUACUUAACUUUCUCAGCCAGGGAUUCAUUUGUUAUAGUGCAAACUUAUUCUUCUGGGUCACUUUCUGUACCAGUUGAAUUUCUGCUCGCUUCACAGUUUCUAUUGUUAGAACAUAAAAGAUGUUGUGUGUUGAAGGUGCAGCAGUAUCUAAAGUCUACAGUUAUAUAUGCUGCUGUUUUUCUUUUGAUACAGCAGCUAACAUAUCAUGUGACAGGGAUUUUGAUGCAUUUGAUUUACGGAAAAGGAUUCCAGCUGUCGUCAGCAAAUUAUACAAAGCCAUAAAUCGAAAUGGAGGUGUGGCAUAUAUACAUUGCACUGCCGGACUGGGCAGAGCACCUGCUGUUGCGGUAUGCAUGUGAUCUUAUUCUGUUUAACUUUUCUGUUGACACCUUAUGAUAUGUUGCUGUACACCUCAGUUUCCCUGCAUACACCCUCUCCCUAUCUUCUCAGGAAGCCUUCUUUCAUGGUUUUCCUUACCUUGUGCUUUUGUGAGGCACUACAAAGUUAGGUUUCUUCUAAUUCCACACUUCAGUAAUUAGAUUGAGUUAAAUGAGGGUUUUCCGUGAAUAUUUCACAUUUUCAGUCAUAAUUUCAUGGGGAUAGUUUUUCAAAACUCUUCACCAUUUAACUGAGCGUUUUUCAAUGAAUUACAGAUGGCAUACAUGUUCUGGUUUCAGGGCUACAAGCUCAGUGAUGCCUGUGAUUUGCUCCUGGUAAUUUUUUAUUUGAUUCCUUUUGUCCUCCAUAAACAAAAGUUAUGUGUUGAUAAUGCUUUCCCUAAAAUCAUUGUGAAAGAUCCAUGGCUCCAUGCAUGACAGGUUUUCAAAUAAAUAUCAUUAAGAUGUUGAUGAAUUGUCAAUUUAAUAUGUUUUUCCUAACUUGAAGAAGUUUUAGGGGUCAAGUUCACGGAGCUGUACAUUUAGUGCAUGACUACAUAUACCUGGGUGACUUUGCAGCAUGAAGAGCAUGAUUGCAGGACUCGGAUCACCCCCAAUUUUUUCUUGUCAAAUUGUAAACUAGCCAGUAUAAAACAAUGGGUCAUCUUUGGUAAUGGACAGCUUAUUUAGGGAUAUAAAAUUGCCUAUCUAUUCUACUUUUCUAGCAUUGUAAUUGACAGAUCAGUUUAAGUAUCCUUCCGACAAGAUUUUGAGCUAUACAGUGGACUGUCAAUGGAUUUACUUGAUGCAGUUUUUAGUGCUAGCAGUGACAGGCUCAACACUUGAUGGGGACCAUUGUGCAUUUUGAGAUUCAUUGUUGAAAUCAUGCAUUUGGUAAUUUUGAGAUUUACUUGGUUUGCGACAAAUAGGAUUCCAAUUUAAAAUAGCUGAUUAGUGCCAUGUUUUGGUGACUGGGAAAUUAGCUUGACUCCCUUUUAGGGAGUCGAGUCUCACAACCUCUCACUCAAAGGAGCAUUGGUUCCAAUGGUGCUAGAGCCGUAUUGGUAGCUGAUUAGUAACUUUGUAGCAUCUCAUUGUUUCUUGUCAUGCAGAGCAAACGCUCGUGCUUCCCAAAUCUGGAUGCUAUCAAAAAUUCAACCGCAGAUAUAGUGAGUCAUUUCCCCUUUGCAUGUACUAUAUGCAUAAUUGCUCAUGGAGCCUUUACCACGGGUUUUCUUUCUGCAUAUUGCUUUUUUCUUUUUGACUCGGUCUUUUUUUCUUAAUGACUUGCAUGUUUAGAUGCCCAUGUUUGUGAAGAUGAAAUUUGAAUUUGCAUGGUAUAUAAGGAUGCUUCCUGAAGUGCAAUACCAAUUUUUGGUGUAUCAACUUUUCAAACUACCUGUAAUAUAAAAAUUGCUGCCUGAAUUCACCAGUAACACUAGCUCAUAAACACUACUCCCUAAGAGUUCAUUUCUCAGUAGUAGAGUUUGCUGGCAUUUAAAUAUAAGAAAAGGAAUCAAUGUGAAAAUAAGGAUGGUUACAGAGGCCUAGUUUCUUCAUGUGAUCACUAAAUUAAUAUAUUUUGUCUAUCAUUUGUUAAGUAUUGACAAAUUACUGCAAACUAUUUAUUUUUCUCUUAUCUGAAAGCUUACAGGCCUUAGAAAGAAGCUUGUCACUUUGAAAUGGAAAGAUGACAAGUGUUGCACAGUGGAAAUUUCUGGGCUUGACAUUGGAUGGGGCCAGGUACGUGAUGUAAUAGUUGAUUUAAAAGCUCCUGCAUAGUGAUGAUCAUUAUAUACUGUCUUGAGAUGCACUAACAGCCAUUUCACCUAUACUUUCCGGGAGUUGGAAAGAAUAAAACAUCUAGAUUUAAUUCGUUCAGCUUUCUGGGCUUGCUUUCGGUAGUUGAGGAUUGAUUUGCUGGCUGUGACCUGAUUUCCACAUUUAUGGAGAUGCGAAUUUUAAUGUCUUAAACAUUGUUAUGCAAAUGAAGCAAGUCUUGAUGACAAGUUAAUACAAUGGAUACAGCAGUUUUUGCAUUAUGCUUAAGCCAUUCCAACCUUUUUACCUGGUAUUUAUUUCUCUUUCUUUCUCCAGAGGAUACCCUUAGAAUUAGAUGAGGAGCAGGGUUUUUGGAUUCUCAAGAGGGAAUUGCUGGUAAGUUUUUACUUUCUCUGGUAGUUAAACUUCAAAUUCUCUGGAAGAAAUUGGCAUCAGCUUUUUUUUUCUUGCCUGCAUGCCUCUUGUCUCUAGUUUACUGUCGAAAACUUUCCUGCACUUUUGUUGACAUGUGGCAACAUGCUAGUUCGGGAUUUAAAUAAUGAUUGGAUUAUGAUGUUAAAUUGUUGUGCUGAAGAAAAGCAUCUUGAAUAACAUCUGUGCUAUGAGCCAGCCCCUACUACAUCGUGGUCCCAGUCCCUAAUAUUUGUGAAUCUUGAGAGUUCAUUUCUUCAAAAAUUCAAAAUCUAUGCUACUCUUAGAGAUAAACUGCUAUUAGCUUUAAAGGUGCCCUAAAAUCAACCCAGCAUAGAUGAGGAAGGAUACUGUCCAUUCUCACUGUGCACAGCAAGGCACAGCUAGUUACUGAAAUGGGUGCAGAUACAAUAUGUCUAUUUCAAAUUAAAAUCAGAAUUUUGUGACCAUUCUUUCUUCAACAGGAGGGACGCUAUGAAUACAAGUACAUUGUUGAUGGUGAGUGGACCAUCAACAAACAUGAGCUAGUUACCACUCAGAACAAAGAUGGCCAUGUCAACAAUUAUGUUCAGGUAAGUAAAAGCUCUCCAGAUUUUGUUCUAUUGUCAUCAUUUUCUUUUGCUUGGGGGAGAUGGGAGAAGGGAAUGUUAAAGUGCAAUGGUGUUUUGAUUUUUCUUUGUGGAAGGUCUUUCCCCCGAUAAAAUAUAAUAUUCUAGGAUAAUUUGGUUUAUAAAGAUUCUUUAUCAUGAUUCCAUGAUAUUAUUUAUGGCAACCUUCAAACAUUGGUGCCGUUUUCAAUUAUUGUUCAGGUUCUUGAUGAUGAUACAGACAGUGCUAACGCUGCACUACAGAAGAGUUUAACCGGUGAUGAUCCAAAUCUAACAGGAGACGAACGGUUGAGAAUUAGAAGGUUUCUGGAAGCUCUUCCUGAAGAUGAAGGGUGAACUGGAAAUAAAGCCUGUAGAAGCGGUCAGCAUAUAUGAAGAUAUAGUGAAUACUUCCAAUAGCAACGGAUGCUUGUAUCCUUUAUCAGUUUAUUGUACAGUUUUUAUCGAAUUAAUAAACUAUCAAUAAAGCUGCCGCUAUCCAUUUGCUCUCUCCUGAUUUUACAGGGGUGAGUGCUGUCAGUAAGCUAAAUACCAACUAAUUUUGCAGGAUCUCAGUUCUGCAUUUUCAAGAAAUUAUUCAAUAUUUUCAGAACUUAAUCUUUUAAUUUUUUUUCUUGCCUUGCUUUCAUGUAGGGCCUCCUACCCUGAAAUGUAAACUCUCCUACCCUCCCUUUUUGUACUUGCAUCAAUCAAUUAGUGCAAACGGAAAUUGAGUAGCCAUUGAAGUGUAGUGUAGGGAUAAGGAUUUGGAUUUGGAAAGCUGGGGUCCAAAAUGCCUUGGUGCCUUGGUGAUGUCUGUCCUGGGAUAGGUCGGUUUGGUUCAUUUGGGCAGGCUAUAUUUUUUUUUUUAAAAAAAUAAAAAUAUCUGUAAAAUAAUAUUGUUUUAAGGUUUUUUUUCAAAAAAAAAAAACAAUCUUAUUUAAAAAAGAUAAGAGAAAUUUUUUGGUAAUUCAGUUAGGUAAUUAGGUUUAAGCCUCAAGUUUAGGUUGUUUUUUAAAAUAUUUUAUAUUUAAAAAUAUAUUAAAAUAAUAUUUUUUUUAUUUUUAAAAAAUUAUUUUUAAUAUCAACACAUUAAAAUAUAAAAAAAAUUAAUUUUAAAUAAAAAAAAUCAAAAUUUAUUCAGCUUUUAUUUGAAACACAAUACUAAAAUAGGAUUUCUUCUAGUGAACUAGGACACGGAAACUAUGAUUCCAAAAAUUUUUUUUUUUUUUUAAUUUUUGCUAAAAAUGAAUUUUUUUAUAUGUUUUGGAUCGUUUUGAUGCGCUGAUCUUAAAAAUAAUUUUUAAAAAAUAAAAAAACAUCAUUUUAAUGCAUUUCGGCAUGAAAAGCACUUUGAAAAGCAACAGCAACCACACUUUCAAAUAGACUUCUACAUGAGGCCGGAUCAAUAACUAUCUCUCAGGUCACCGACCCAGAGGGAGCAACACCGCAUGAUUUUGGGAUUUGGGAUCUAAUUACCUGCCAGGUUGUCCUGGCUACCCGCACCAUCAUCAACAUUCAACAUGAGUGAAUAGGCAUAUGCAUAGUUUUGAAACCCGAUUCGGCUCGGCGGGUCGACUCGGGGCUAAAAUUGAGCCGAGUUGAAGAAAAAAUAGGAAAAGUUAUGACACGGUGUGACCCGGCCGACCCGGCGGGUUGACCCGAUAAAAUCCGGUUGCAACCCGUUGACUUUUUUUUUACUAAAACGACGUCGUUUUGAAUUUUUUUAAAAUGAGAAUUGACCUGGUGACGCGGCCAAAAUCCAGAACCCGGAAUUUGGACCGGGCCGGUUUUAAAAACUAUGAUGGUCUUUCUUCUUAUAUAUCAGGAGUGACUAUUGAAUCUAGACUAAAUAUUAAAUAAUAAAUGGAGAUGGUAUCACGACUCGGGAUUUCCGUUCGAGGAGGUCGAGGAAAAAAUCCUCAGCACGGCCACAGAAGUGAUGUUUGUCUGUUACUAGAUUCGAUAAAGGACCCGUUUGGCUUUUGUUCCCCUGCUUUUGUUUCAAUUUGACUCCGAUGAUGUUGAGAUAUUGAUUUUGUAAGGUGGGCUGUGAACAGAAGUUGGCAUGGUACGAUGUUUCAUCGAUUAAUACAAAAUAUUUUAUGAUAUUUACUUAUGAGAUUAGAUUUACCUUUAUUGAGAGACUUAUAUUUCAUUACUUUUAUUUAAAAUUUGAAAUUGAUAAACUAAAUAUUUAAUUAUAUUUUUCCAAUUAUGAAACCAGUUCUUAAGUAGACUGAUAUGCCCAUAGAUUUGGAAAAUACGAAGAAAUUAUUUUUACGUGCCAACCCUUAUGAAGGUGGAAGGGGAUUGGAUUGAUUAAAUAUUAUUUUUAUAUUAAUACAUGAAAAUUAUAUAGAAAUAAAAAAAAAAUUAAAACUAAAAAAAAUUAAAAAAAUGCAAAAUUAAACUCCGCCUAAGCCGAGCUUGGAUCACAUGCCAGGGCACCACCCAUUUAUGUGAUGGUAAGUCCCUGCUGGUUGCUGAUCUUAUCUUGAGAAACUGGACCUUUUGAUGUGAUUGGAAACUUUUACAAAGACCUGGCACUUUCCAACUAAACUGGAAUCUUUCUCUUUUUUCUAUUAUUAUUAUUAUUAUUAUCUUUUAUCUACAAGAUAUAAAAGUCAAUUUUAGUUCAAAAUAGGUUUAAAUAAUGUUUAAAAGUUUUGAGCUUUGAAUUGCAUUGUUGGAUAACAAAAUAUGGUUGUGUGUGGUACAUAUGAUUUUCAAAUAUAUAUAUUUUGUAAAAUUUAAUUAAAAUAUUUUUAUAUUUUUUUUAAUUUCUAAUAUUAGUAUAUCCAAAUCAUAAAAAAUACUAAAAAUCAAUUUAAUAUAUUUUAACAUCAAAAAUACUUUUUAAGAAACAUAAACUACUAUAGUUCUGGACACCAUAAAUAAAUGGUAGCCAUGUUUUUUUGUCAACAAGAUGUAUCCAGUGAUCUUUAAAAAUAAAAAGGUUUUACUUAAUUAAUUGUCACGUGUACUCAUAAUGGAGUUUAUUUUGUCAAGUGUGGAGCUUGUAUUGCAGUGUAUUGUGAAUUUAAAAUAGAUAUUAAUCACAAGCUUUUUAUUUUACAAACAAAAUCCAAUAAAAAAUAAUAAUUUGAUAAGAAGUAAAGGGCAGAAACAACAACAAUACUCUUACUCUGUUCAAAAUAACUGAUGACAUUAAUUAUUCUAGAUAGAAAAUUAAAAUAAUUGAUGAUUUUUAUUUUGUAUUUCAUGACACAAUCAAAUGUCAUGAUAUAUUAACUAAUAAUUAAAAUUAAAAUUAAAAUUUAUAGGAUAUUACCGGUUAUAACUCACAAUAAAAAAUUUCUCUUUAUCCACCCACAGUGGAUUAUCCAUAAUAUCAGACAUCAACUUAAUUCGUCUACGCAAGAUCGCUAGAUUAGGUUUUUUUAUUUUUUUUGGGCGUGGUACCUUGCGUUUGAAAUAUGGGUCCGAGAAAAUACAAAUAAUAAAAACAAAACUGUUUAUUUAUAUUUAUAAUCUCAGAUUCACGUUGACAAAAACAUAUACUGCCAACAGCACACAACAGAGAGAAGUUUAAAAAAAAAACCAGCCUCUCAGAGAAAAUGCAACUCUACACGAUCUUUCCUCGCUGAAAAAAAUCUUCUCCUCACUUUCCCGAGAAAGAAAAAAACAAGGGAAAAGGAAAAUCCAAUCCUUCAUGAUCCGAAACCACCAUUCUCCACCCGAACUACCGGUCUCCGCUAUCAAUGGAGGUUCCGACGGUGGCUCCGAUCAAAGUUCCAACUCGAUUCGAGACCGUUCUCUUUUCAAACGAAACCCUAACUACAACACUAACACUCCAGACAAAUCAAGUAAAUCACCUCUUGAUCGGUCUGAUCGCCGCAGCCGAUGGCACCCCUAUACAAACAGAAGCUACAACCGCAAGGGGUGGUUGCUCCCUUGCUUUCCAUUUCGCGGCGUUUAUUUAUUCUACUGUUUGAUUUUUUUCGCUGUUUUAGCUUUCGUUUUGGCGUCUAUUUUGUUGCAGAGUUCGAUUACCGGUAUGGCUGUGUUUCGUAGAGGGUGGAUUGAUCAUUGGAGACCGAUCAAAGAAGAUUUGAAAUCAGGUGCUAUGUUGAAAUUCGUGCCCGUGUUAAAAUCACGGUUGCCUUUGGAAGGUCACGGGCUCGAUCAUGUCAGAUUGCUAGCUAAUAGAGUUGGCCUCAGGCCUCCAAGACUCGCCGUUGUAAGUUUCCGAGUCUGUUUAAAUUUAUUUUUUGCUGUAGAUGAGAAAUGCUAUUUUAGGAGAAAAAUAUUAAGAAUAGAUUGCAAGAAUUAGACAAUAGGAUUAGUGCGAAGCCCAUUGGCGGGUCCCGUUAAUCUCUUGGCAAUGCAUGGGUCAAUAACAAGGAAGAAUAGUGAUUGAAUUGAAGUAUGGAGAUGGAGGAGGAAGAAAGGUCAAUUAGAAAUGAUUCGUGGAGAAGAAUGAACGCUGUGUCACACAUAAUUUAAAGAAAGUUUAGCUCUAAGGGAAGUGAAUGGAGGAAGUCAAUUCAAGCAGCCAGCCCAACUAGUUCGGGACCGAGAAAUCCUUUUAAUGUCACAAUUACAAGUUUAUUGUUAGAAUAUAUGCAGUUGAAGGUAUGGAAGUAGUUUAGACUUUUUUUAAGAAUUUAUGAAGCAGGAGGAGCUUAGGUCAUGCGCGGGUUGCAUUGUUUUGCGUUGGUUUUCUUCUUUAUCCUUUUGUUAGACAUGUGGACUAGAUAAAUACAUUUUUCUGACGUGCACUUCUAGAUAAAGUUCUGUUUUAUUUUUUUCUCCAAAGACUUCAUCUACGUGUUUUUUUGUACUGACCUUGUGCGAGUGUGUUUUAUUUUAAUGGUACUUUGUUCUGAUGAUAUUCAGAUCUUAGGAAACAUGAAGAAGGGCCCACAGUCAUUGAUGUUGAUUAGUGUGGUGAUGAAUCUGCGGAAACUUGGUUAUGCACUUAAGGUGAUUUGUUUUGGCUGUUCUUGUAUAACUUCCCUGACAUUUCUAUGUAGAUUUUGGCAUUUCUUGCUGCUAUUACCAAAUGCUUUGUUAGGCUAUGCAACUGCAUGUAAAUGUCACACCAUCUCUUUAACAGGUUAAUGUAGUUUGGCUCGUGGAGGGAGCCUCAAUACAAGUUUAUGCGUCUCCCUGUUCAAAAUAAGCAUGGCAUAUAUGUUGAUGUGGAGGCUGCAUGUUCUACUUUGGUCUUCAACAAAAUGGUUUAUGCGCCUAACAACACCUUUUUGACAGAUAUAUGCAGUGGAUAAUGGUGUGACACGAUCAGUGUGGGAGGAAAUAGGAGGCCGGAUAUCAAUUUUAGGACCAGAGCAAUAUGACCAUAUUGAUUGGUCCAUGUACAAUUCUUUCUCUUAAUAUUGCAGCUUCACUUAAAUUUGUUUUCUAUUUAUGGUUUUUGUUUUGGAUAGUGAUUAUUACAGCUAGGAACUUUCUGUUUCUAUUUGUUUUUUCAGCAAGUUAAUUGGUAUUGCUAAUAUACAUGUAUUUUUCUACAGUUUUGAAGCUGUUAUUGUCGAUUCACUUGAAGCCAAAGGGGCAGUUUCAAGGUGCCUGCGUUUGCUUACUUAAUCCUUUAAGAAAUCACUGAAGUUUAUAAUUUUGCUCUAGUGUUUCAGUGAUUGUUCAUUGCCUGGGUGGAUUGUGCUGUGAAUGCAUGCAUGUGGAAUUAAACACAAACAUCUACUCUGUUGGACAUUUUGCAAACAAAAUAUGCCUUUGUCAUAGUGGAAUGCAUUUGCUACACACAUGACAUUAGACACAAUGUAACAUUUGUAUAAGUGUAUAACAGAUAUGGGAGGAAAUUAAAUUUGAAGUGACCAACAAGAUUGUUUGUAUCGUUUUAUCAUCUUCAUGAAAUUUUAUAAACAUGAGACGUUGCACUUAUCUGCAAUAUGCAGGAAUUUAGAUUAAGGUUUUAAUCUAGAUGUGGCUUUGUUCUUGGGUGUUGGAAACUUCAAUAUAUGUACCGGGAAUGGAUUAUAGUAUUUUAGACAUGAAGAGGAAGUUGAGUGUAUUAGGAGCUCUCUUGGUCAUUUUUGAAGUUAUUUGUAAGUAUAUGAUAAGAACUCUUUUGUGCAAACGUACUUGUGUUGUGAAUACAGAGGUGAUUCUGUGGAUAAUAAAAGUGAUAGUUAUAUGGAUAGAAUUACCUAAAGUGCAUGUUUAGAAUUCUCUGUAUCUGUAUUUGCAAGUGUGAAGAUCUGGAUAUCUGGUUGCCUUUGUUUGAGAUGCUAUGAUCAUUUACUUCUAUAUCUAUGCAGCCUCACACAGGAGCCAUUCCAGUCAAUACCGCUUGUAUGGAUAAUCCAAGAAGAUACCCUUGCGAAUCGUCUUCCAUUGUAUCAGGAAAUGGGCUGGCAGCAUUUGCUGUCUCAUUGGAGAAGUAUUUUUAACAGGGCUAAUGUUGUUGUAUUUCCAGACUUCACUUUGCCGGUAAAAAUGCCACCUCUGUAUGUAAUUGCAUCUCAUUUCUUGCCAGUCAUGUAUAGAAAAUCUUAUGCUAUUUUUUACAGCCCACUUCUAGCCAGCCUUGUAUAGAAAAUCUUAUGCUGUUUUUCAAUUUAUAUUCCUCUCUGUAUCAGAUGUUAUAUACUGUGCUUGACACUGGAAACUUCUUUGUGAUUCCUGGAUCACCAGUAGAUGUGUGGGCUGCUGAAAGCUACAGUAAGACCCACGCUAAGCAUCAGUUAAGGGUGGACCAUGGAUUCAGCAAAGAUGAUUUGGUGGUUCUAGUUGUUGGUAGUUCUUUCUUCUAUGAUGAGCUAUCAUGGGAUUAUGCUGUGGCAGUGCACACCCUAGGACCUCUACUAGCCAAAUAUGCAAGGACCAAAGAUGCUGAAGGAUCAUUUAAAUUAAUUUUCUUAGGCGGUAAUUCCACUGAUGAUAAUGCUUUACAGGUAGUCAACUUCUCAUUGGUUGUAGCUUAUUACUUCUGUUGUGAUGUUAUGUUUAUCUUCUUGUAUCCCUGCUACUUGAUAUAGUGUUUUCAUAUAUUAAGUGAAAACUUUUAUAAUGGUACACUUUUGACUAAGCUAGUCUUCUAAUGUCUAUUUGAUCACUUGACUGCAUAGGAAUGGGGUUGACUAGAAGAAUGACCAGGGAAAUAUAUACAUGAUCUGACCUUGAUAUUUCAUCAAGUUUUCUUUUUGUGUCUUAUUUUAAACAAUGCUAUCAAAGUAUUGUCAAUGUAUUUAUUUUAAUACUCCAUGCAACUAAAUUGAUUUUCUUGUUCAAUACUUCCUUUUUGGCCACUUAUAUUAUGUGUGGUCACUACCUCAGAAGAGCCUUUUCUUUCCUAAUAAUUGGAACAUACCAGUUGAUAGUUCUUGCUGUUUAGUAUCUUCUCAAAGGAGAGACUUUUGUUUCUUUUGGGAAGAAACAACAGUGAGAGAUGGGGUGAUGUUUGUUUUUAAAAUUUAAUAUCAUGCUCUGUUCAAUUUUAUGCCUUGCUUAAGCUAGAGUUUUUUUUUGUUCUUUUCAUGUAGGAAGUUGUUUCUGGUCUGGGACUUCAUCAUGGCUCUGUGUGGCAUUAUGGCCUGCAUGGUGAUGUCAACAGUGUGUUAUUAAUGGCAGAUGUUGUUCUUUAUGGUUCUUCCCAAAAUGAACAGGGUUUUCCUCCUUUACUUAUCCGAGCCAUGACCUUUGGAACCCCUGUCAUUGCACCCGAUAUUCCUAUCUUGAAAAAAUACGUGAGUGUAUUCAAGUUUUUGUGGACUUGAUUCCUUCUUUGGUAAAUUAUGUGUAGCACCUAUCUCCAUUUGUUUCUUCAUUUGAAGAGAUUGACAAAUAAAUUUCUUAAAAUAACAGGUUGAUGAUGGAGCCCAUGGGAUAUUGUUCUCAAAAUAUAGCCCUGAAGCAUUGACAAGGGCUCUCUCUCUUUUGAUAUCAAAUGGAAAACUUUCUAAAUUUGCUCAAACUCUUGCUUUCUCUGGAAGACUGCUUGCUAAGAACAUGCUUGCAUCAGAAUGUAUAAUUGGUUAUGCAAGGCUUUUGGAGAAUUUGAUUAGUUUUCCAUCAGAUACCUUGUUGCCUGGUCCUGUGUCUAACCUUCAACGGAGGGAAUGGGAAUGGAACUUGUUCAGCAAGGAACUAGAACAGGAAAUUGAUGAUUUGUUAAGCAUGGCUGAGGGCGAUUUUUCUUUCAGAGAAACCAGUGCUGUUUAUUCCCUUGAGAAAGAAUGGAGCAAUCAUGUUAAUUCAACUAGCAUCUCUGGGAAUGGAACUGAAAUUCUAGUACCAGAUAUCCCAACAGAAUCAGAUUGGGAUGUUUUGAGUGAAAUAGAAAGCUUUGAAGAAUAUGAGAGGGUGGAAACAGAGGAGGUAUGCUAUUCCUUUUGAGGGCCAUGCCUCACACAACAUCUACUUUUUCAUUGCUCCAGUUGUCUUAGUUAUUUUUCAGUCUUCAUGUUGUGAAAUUUUCUUCAAAAGACAGCUGAAAUGGAGAAUUAUUUCCUAUUUAGCUUCAAGAAAGAAUGGAUAAGAGUCAUGGUCCGUGGGAUGAGAUUUAUCAUGAUGCUCGAAAAUCUGAAAAGCUAAAGUUUGAAGCAAAUGAGAGGGAUGAAGGUGAGCUAGAAAGGACUGGCCAGCCAGUAUGCAUUUAUGAAAUAUAUGAUGGAGCUGGGGCCUGGCCAUUUUUGAAUCAUGGAUCUUUAUACCGUGGCUUAAGUCUUGUAAGUUUCUUCCAGCCAUAUCUGGAACUUAUAUUUUUUGGUAUUUAUAAAGAAAUUAUAUUUCUUUUUAGUACUUACAACAUUUCUUUCUUUCUUUCCUUUUUUUUUGGUUGCUUUCUAGGAUAUUUGCUUUCUUUUCUUGUUUUUUUUUUUUUUUAAAAAAAAUAAAUUGGCGUGCACACACACAUGCCAUUUUCUGGAGAUAAUAGUUAGGGCAUUUGAGCUUUCUGCAACUGGUUUUGUUGCUUCCUGAAAUGACAAAUGAUUAAAUAUUGGUAACAGAACUGUAUGUUGCAUCCGCAUUCGAGCCAUAAUUUCUCUUUUGUUUUUUGUCCUAUAACAUUCAAUUAAUGGUUCUUUACUAAGAUUUGAACUGUAUAUUGCUUUGUUUGGAGAUGCUGUGAUGUCCAAGUGUUUUAUUCCAAUAUAAAGAAACCUUAUAAUUGGUGUUUGAAUUUUUUAAGAUAUGCUCCUGUAUGAGCAGUCAUGCUUUAAGUAGUUUUGAUUUCUUAAUCAUGCUACAUUUAUCUCUUAGUCUACAAAAGCGCGGAGGUCAAGAUCUGAUGAUGUGGAUGCAGUUGCCCGGCUUCCCCUCCUGAACGACAGUUACUAUCAGAAUAUAUUAUGUGAUAUAGGAGGAAUGUUUUCUAUUGCAAACAGGGUGGAUGACAUUCACAAGAGACCUUGGAUUGGGUUUCAAUCAUGGCAUGCUGCUGGUAGUAAGGUAUCUUUUAUGCCAGUGAUAUUAUAGUUUAAACUUUCAAAAUUGCAGGAUUAGAUACAUCAAAUUUAAGGUCAUUAUUUUUCCAAGUUGCAAUCAGCUUCUUGGAAAAAUUGCAGAAUUUGAUAUUCGCACAAACCAGUUAGCAUAUUUCUGGUGAAACUGACAUUCUCUGUUUAAAAUAAUUUAUUUUCAGAAGUGCAAUUAUUGACUGUUCCCUUUCUUGAUUCAGGUUUCAUUAACAUUUAAAGCUGAACAAGUUCUAGAAGAAAAGGUGCAAGAAGAAAAUAAAGAUGUAAUGUACUACUGGGCUCGCCUAGAUAUGGAUGGUGGAGUUACAGGAAGCAACGAUGAACUCACUUUCUGGUCCAUGUGUGACAUCUUAAAUGGAGGACACUGCAGGUAUCUUUGCUUCAAGUAGGGGGUGUUCAUGGUCAGGUCAUUUUGCGCAAUGUUUAAAAAUGUCAGAUUGUCCAUCUAUCCUGUGGUAUCUGUGGGUCCCUUAUUACACAUACCAUACAAAUUUUGCUAUUCUUUUCAUUCUUCUGUCUUUAGCUGAACAAAUCUGUUAUUUUUUAGCCAAAUAAAUGGGAAAACUGUUUUUGGAUGCCACUGGCAUUUGCUCUUAUACUACUGCUGAAUCACUUGUGGAAAAGGCAGGUUUGACCAUCUUCAGUUUAGCUUUAAACAGGGCCAAAAAGAAGAUGGGUAAAGGCUAAUCGUACAUGCCCCAUUGUAAUUGCACUCUGUAGAUUGUUAUUACACAGAUGUGAGCAUUUGCCUUUUCAAAGCCAGAAUUUUAACUUCUGGCUUUUGAAUGCAUGCAGAAUUGCUUUUGAAGAUGCCUUCCGCCAUAUGUAUGGCUUGCCAUCAAAUCUUGAAGUUCUUCCUCCGAUGCCAGAAGAUGGAGGUCACUGGUCUGCCCUGCAUAGCUGGGUCAUGCCAACCCCUUCCUUUCUGGAGUUCAUUAUGUUUUCACGGUAAUUUACGAAGGAUGCUAUUUUUCGCCCAAGCCAGUUUCCAGUUACAUAGAUGAAAUGUUAUGUCCGAGGCAUUAUUGGUAGUUGCAAGUCCAUCAAUAGUUAAUGUUUUGUAAAAUCAAAUUGCAGAAUGUUUGUUGAUUCUCUUGAUGCUCUGCAAUCCAACUCUAGCCAAAUGACCAAGUGUCUGUUGAGUUCCUCGGAGCUACAGGUAAGAUACAUAGAUACUAGACUGCCUGCUUCAUAUGUUUAGGAGAGAUUAUAGUACUACCAUUAAUGAAUAUAUUUAUCUAAUGGUAUGCAGGAAAAGCAUUGUUAUUGUCGAAUAUUGGAAGUCCUUGUUAAUGUUUGGGCUUAUCAUAGUGCACGAAGGAUGGUUUACAUAGAUCCACACACUGGUUCUGUAGAAGAACAGCACCCUGUUGAGCAAAGAAAGGGAAUAAUGUGGGAAAAGUACUUUAAGCUUAUGGUGUUGAAGAGCAUGGACGAAGAUCUUGCUGAGGCUGCAGAUGAUGGAGAUCAUCCAAGGGAGAGGUGGCUGUGGCCACUAACAGGAGAAGUGCAUUGGCAAGGGAUUUAUGAAAGGGAGAGGGAAGAAAAAUAUAGAGUAAAAAUGGACAAGAAGCGGAAAACAAAAGAGAAACUAUUUGAAAGAUUGAAGUCUGGAUACAAACAGAAACCACUUAGGAAAUAUAGGAAGUUGAGAUUCUGAAACUCUCAAGGGCUAAUUCUGACUAUGCUUGACUCCCAAGUCCUAAUAUGGCUGCUGAAUAUAUUCUUCUCAACUUCAGAGAUGGACAGGGAUCUUGCGGAGAAGAUGAGAAGCUUCAUUUUUUUGUCUUUUUGUAACAGCUUCAGCACAGAUUUUGCUCGUCUUUUCAUUUUCACCAAACACACACUCAUGGGGCAAAGGGGACAAGAAAACUGGCUUCCCUUUGACUUCAGCUCACAACUCGGGGCAUGUUUGCACGAAACUCCGACUGGCCCCGACUAUACCAGGAUUUUGAGCAGUACCACGCAUGAGUUGAAAUUCUUUUUAACCAUUCAAAUUACUUGUAGUCGAGGGACUGAACCACAUAAUUCGUUUAUCAUUGCAUAUUCUUUUGGUAAUGUAGAUGCAAUUUUGUUACAAAGAAAGACUGACUUGUUUUGUUUCCUGUUCUGACUUUCAUUUUCGCUUCUUCGGAGGAACUGCAGAUGACCAAAUCGUUGCUUGUACUGAAACUAACCUUCGCUUUGCUAGAGAGGAACUGCGUCUAAGUUUUGGAGUCGUUCUUGCCAUAUGAAGCGUUUGUUCGCAGCUUGGUUGAAUAAGAAAACGAAGUAUGCCCCAUAAAUAGAUUGGAUAAUUUGUCCUCUAAUACACUCAUCUUAUAUUUCCUAUUGACUUGAGAUUCCAUUCGCAUAUGUGACUUUUGCAACUUUUAACCUUUACUCAUAAAUUUUUUUUUAAAUAUGUUGAAUCAACUUUUACUUAAAUUAAAAAAAAAUUACUAUAUAUUUUAAUCAAAAUCUUACUUCAAUCAGAAGUUCAAUUUUUUUAUUUUUUAAUCUUAGUGCAUCUUUCUUCUCUUAAAAAAAUUACAUAAAAUCUAUUUUUAUCAAACAAACUUUUAAUUUAACUUAUUUUCAUCAUAAUUUAUUUAUAAAAACAACUCUUAAAUUAUGAUUGAAAACAAAAGAUUACUUUCUAAAAAUCAUACCAGAACAUAUAUUCAAAAACUCCGGUUUAUGGACCAUUUGCCACCUUAAACCUCCUUUCUCUGCUUUUUUUUUUUUGAAUUUGAACCUACAAUCCAUGUUAAAGCAGAAGUCUCUUAGCAAAAUCCGACGGUACUAAUUGAGCCAAUCGGGCCGGCUGCUCCCAUGAACUCUCAUGGCCCUUCUGUAAAUCUAAAAAAAAAAAUUGCGAAGGCGGACCCGACCCAGUUCAGUAAAUUAUUUCAUCAUCACCCUAAAAAACGAGAAAAUUACAAAUACCUCCCGCCCUCACCUGGGACCAAUGGUCGGACCUGUUAAUGGUAUUUUUUAGGGUUUAAAUGACUCCAAAACCCAAACCCAACCCUCUCUCUCCGUUUCUCUGUCUGUCUCUCCCGCUCUCGGAUAUAGUAGGUAACCUCACUCUGUCUUUCCCUCUCAAACACUCCAUAUCUUUCUUCUAUACUUCAAUUCUGUCAAUCAUUUCUUUAUUUUUAUUCUCCCUUCUAGUGUAAAUGUACUAGCUUUAGCUGAAAUGCAACCACGUACUUGUUUGAUUUUUGUUUGAUUUUUGUUUGUGGGUCAUUUUGAGUUACACAUGAUUGAUAUUUUUUUUAAAUGGGGUUUGUUUGGUAGUGAGAAAUAUGGUUAGAUGUUGGAGAAUUACCUUUUUCCUGUUUGGUUUCUGAGAAAACCAAGGAAAUUGAGCAAAACUAGAGUGCAAAAUUGUUGAAUUUUUAGUAUGUGGGCAUUGAAAGUAACUGGAACUGAUGAUGCGUUCUCAAGUUCCUAGUUUGAUGUUCUAACACGACACCGGCUUGCAACUUUGUAUAUGAUAGGAUGGGGUCAUGGCUGUCUGAUUAUUUGAUACGUUUUGUCUAUGAAAAUUUAUGUCUUUACUGUGAAAUUAUUUGUCUUUUUGAUACUCUGAAUUUGGCUGUGUAUCAUGUAGGUUUUGUAUGCUAAAGGGUGGUGGGUUUUUUCCCAUCAUGCAUGCUGUAAAGGGUGUCUGGGUUGGCCAAACAUUUGCUUUAGCCAAGUGCAAUGAUUCUGGAGGGAAGAAGUCUCGGAUUCGGAGGUCGAAGGAGGAGAGGAAGGGAAUGGUGGAGUCCUUUAUAAAGACGUAAUAUGAUGGUUCCCCUUCAAUGAAGCGUAACUGUUUUAUUCUUUUGGUCUGAAGAUGAUUACUAAAAUUAUUGGAAUCAUUAGUUUGCCCUAUCUGUUCCCGAUGAAUGCUAUGAAAUUGCUUCUCUUGGAUGUCGUUCGCUAAAACUGAAAGACCGAGUGCUUGCUGAGAUGCACAUGCACUCACAUGCUCAUGGACACACACGUAUGCACUGAAUAAGUAACUUCCAAGAGCAGCAGUCUAUGACAUGGUAGAUGGGCUAUUUCUUGUUUUUCCUGGAAGUUUGAUUUAUUGUUGGUAAUAGGUUCAUAUAGUAUUUUCCAAACCAAACGAUAGCGAUUAGCUUCUUGAUAACACAAUGAUGACCCGGUCUAAAUAGAAAAUUGUUGUUUAUAUUAACCUUUUAAUAGUUAUCUUUCUUUUUUUAAUUCUCAUUGCAAAGUUCUUGGAGAAGUAGAUUUGGGCAUCCAUUCAUUUGGAAGACCUGCUUUCAGGUACCAGAAUUUAAACAAUGGGAAUUUUCCAUCUCUUAAUCUCACACACAAGGAAGUUGGUGGGUCGUUUUAUACUGUACGGGAGAUUGUUCGGGAGAUAAUCCAAGAAAAUAGAGUGCUGGGUCCUGGUAACUUGUCACCGGAAGAGCAGCAUAAUGAUCAAUUUGUGGAGCAGUACCCAUUGGGUACAAUUUCCACAGAACCUCAAGCUUCUCUAUCCACAUCUCCAAAUGGAAGUCCUGUACCAGAUCAGCAUGAUGAGGGCUCAAGUGAAGAGCAUUUAAUUUCUGAGCUUCAGGUUGAACCUGAACAGCAGGGAUUCGAUAAUGGGAGCCAUGUAAUUGUUAAGAAUGAAGAAGCCGAUAAACCAGAAGUUGUAGAGGUUCAAGAAACUGAACCUCUGGAAAUAGAGAAAAGAAUGGAAGAAGUGGCAGCAUCUGAUUCUAAAGUAACUCAAAUGGCAGAUGUAAUGGUAGAGACAUUUCCAUUGCCGCCUGUUACCAAGCCAGCUGGAAACUUGAAUGGAAAUUGCAGUAAUUUAAGGGAGAUAAAUGGGACUUGUGAAGAGAAAAAUGUUGAAAAGGUGCUCUUGGAACCAGAACAUGACCCAGGAAAUGGCAUUUCUUUGCCUGACAGAAUAACUUCCUUGAAUGAUAGCAGUUUGGCAGAUGAUAAAGAAGUGGAAAAGUCAGCAGUUCAAUUGUUGGAACAAAGCUCUGAUUUGGUGCGUGAACAAGAAGUGGAAAACUUUGCAGAUCUGGCAAUGGCAAGUUCGCAUGCAUCUGUCACCAAAGGAAGCAUUUUGCAGGAUGCUGAGGCUGACAUGGAUGUGAAGUUGAAGUCACCACAUGAUGACAAGACAAUUGCUGAGACUAAGGUGAGUUUUUUUCAAUACCACGUAUAAUUAUGUGGCCACUUUCUGCUGGAGGUGUGCACAGCAGAAAACAUAAACCACUAGCCCGCCUUCUUUUAUUUUAUUUCCCUUCCCUUUCCUUUCCUUUCCUUUCUGGGUUUUCUUUUUCAAGAUUCUUUCAACUUGCAUGGUGUGGUCGGCUGCUAAAAGGCAUUUAUGAUCUAGCAAGCUGCAACUGCUUUGCUAUUAUUUCUUCCCUUCCAGUGUAUUAAUUUAAUUCAUGUUCUUGGUUUAAUGCAAGGUGGAGCAAGAUAUAUAUAUUCAUGUAAAAGCUAAUUCCCUUAAUAUGCAAGAUGAUAUUUUUACUUGGAGGAAUGCACUGUACACAUAGGGUAGCAACUAUAAGCAUAAUAAUUUGCCAAUCGAAAAUGUGGGGGAGAAGUUGAGCAUGAAGCUAUUAAUGGCUCUCUUUUUUUCAGGUUGCUAGUGCUCAAAAUGCCAUGCAAACCAAAUCUUUGGAUAGCAAUGACGUCACUGUUAGUAUCUGUCCGUCAAUAGCCAAAGAAAUUGAGAUAAAAGAUAAAGUUGCAGUUCUACAUGGUCGUGCCUCUCAGAAAGGAAGCAGUCCAACACUAAACAGAAUUAAUCUGUAAGUAUAAGUCAUGACCAUACCUUUAAACUCAUUGCUUUGAUUUGCCAUCCGCUCUACGUCCUUCACUGGAGUAUUUCUAGAUGUUGGUGUAUUGAUUUAUCUUUUGCUUUGUUUCCAUGAGCAGUGAAUCGUGGGGAGCGGCAUCCAAGAAUCAAACAGAACCAGAAACUAACCCGCUUUGGGCCAUUUUUAAAUCGUUCUUGGCUGCCUUUGUGAAAUUUUGGUCAGAAUAAAUCCUUUAGUAGCGUAGCUAUAUUCUGUCUACAGUUUCUGCAGGGUAGAUUUAUACUUUACCUGUCACGCCAGUGCAUCUAGUUUUCCUGUCUAUAUCAAGAGUGAUUGUCACUGCUUGUUUUCUUCCCCUUCAUAUUUUUUUUUCCCUUCACCCACUUCACUAGACCAUUAUGAUCAUAAAAGCUUAGUGCAAUGGCUGGCAUCCCACUUAUGGGUUACUUGAAGAGAUGUGGUGGUUGAAAUUUCGUUGGUAAAAUAGUGGCAACACCCAUUAACCUCUGAGAGAAACCGUGUCAUCUUUAUGCUAGGUUGAUAUUUAUAGUUUUUAGCUGGAGUGAUACAAGAUUCGUGUUAGUAUCUCGAGACAGAAAAGAAGAGAUAAGGAUAAAGGGGAUAUGAUCGGUAGAGAGGACAUGCUUUUUUGUAUUUUUUGUUUUGAGAAUAUAAAAACUCACUUCAAAUUGUUUCAUUAACCAAACAUAAACAUAUUUCUGCUUUCUAUAUAUUUCUCACAAUUUUAGAAAUGAACGAUAUCUUACUAUUGAAUUAUAAAUUGUGCUUGAAACCUUGAUAAAACAGUUGUCUUUGCAACUUCAGUGGGCCUUCACAGCGUUGUUUUGAAGGCCUGGGCCUGUGCAUAAAUCUCCAAGGGCCGCCCAUAAGAUCAUAUCGUACAAAUCGAUUGUUAUCUCGAAUUUUUACAUGGAAGCAAUAAGCAUAAAAUAAUAAUAAUAAAUAAAUAUUGUUAUUAUAAAAUACUUUACAUGUCAAAUAUUUUUCAAUGUUUGACUUGAAAAAUAUUUUUAUAUGCAAAUAAUUUUCAAUGGUAAAGGUAAUGAAAUGAUAGAGAUGAUAAUAAAAAAGAAGAUGAUGGUAAGAAAAUGAUCGUGAGAAAAAAGGGGUCAUAUGAUGACAGUGGUAGAAGAGUUGGUAGUAACACAUGGCAGUAAUGGCGAGAUAAUUAUGGUCAUGGUGAAAAAAGAGAUGGUGAUAGCUAAAAUAAUUAGAUAAUAUUGUAAUUAGAUUAAUAUUUGUAAAAUAUUUUUAUAAAAUUUUAUGAGUUAAAAACAUUCCUUAACAGAUAAACUGACUAAUUGAAAGUUGACUAUAAAAUAUUUUUUAUUAAUUAAUUUUGAUGUAAAAUAUUGUUAUUAUUUCAAACAAUUGUAGGGCAUAUUUUAUUUUAUUUUGCAAAUCUCAUCUAGUCACAAUUUUUUCAGAUUCUCUAGUCUCUAACGCCUAAUCAGGGUUCGCAAAACUGGAUUAAAGGAUUAAGACUAAAGCAAUUUAAACUAAGAAGAUUAUUAAAAUAAAAAAUUGAAAAUAAAGAAAUUAUGUUGAAUUGAUCUCAAAAAAGCAAAAUCAAUUUUUCAUCUCCCCGCCACGGCUCCACCCUUAGCACUGCCGCAAGACCACCCUACCUUUCAUAAAACCAUCGUGGCCAUAAUCCAAUUGUAGUCCAACCACCAUGUAUUUAAAAUCCACGAUCCCUAUCACGAAAUAUAGCCAAAUCCAGCACACAGAAUAUAUCAACUUGCCACCUUCGUAACAGCACCAGUCACCACCACAACGCUCUUCCUCUCUUCAGAAUUAUCCAUCUCUACCGCACCUUCAACCAUCACAAGACUCUCUCCUUUCAAAGCCUUCUUUCUCUGCUUAACCUCUCUAGCUAGUCACCAAGUUAUCUUAAAUAAAAUUUGGUGAAAUCUAUCUUCUUAAUUAGGUCAGGUCGUGUAGUGCUGUACGUAAUAAUUAAUUAAAAGAUCCACAUUGCUUUGAGUUUUAGACCCAUCACAAGACGUGGAGCAUGAACGUGUAAUUAAUUCUAAACAAAAUGCAUCCACUUUUAGGGCAGCAUAGAUAAAAAUCAAAAGGAGAGGGGAGAAACACAAAUAAAAAGUGGGAUAUUUCUGUAUCAUAUAUUACAUAUAUAUAUAGCAGCAAGAAUCAUCCACUUCUUGGUUUCUUUGGAAAAGAUAAAAAUAUAUAAAAAUAGUAAAGAUAGAUAAUAUGUUUUACUAUACUUUAUUUUUAUUAAAAUAAAAAUACUUGUUUCAAAACUUUCCCAAGACAAAUUUAUUUUAUAUUAUAUCUAUGUUCCUCUUUAAUUCCUAGUACACGUACAACUAGGUCCCGUCUCGUCUUCCAUAUGAGAACAAAAGUAGGAAACUAUAUAAUAUACACGAACACGCUGUGUAUUCUGAAGGCUCAAUAAUUUCUUGAGAUUCAUGGGGCCUUGCUCGUUUAUUUAGGCAGAAGAAUCCAUCACCAUGCACCAAAUCCCAUCAUAGGAUUGUUAAGCAAGUCUAUUUGGUUUAACACAUGAGUUGUUUAUAUGUUUAGAAGAGUAUAUAUAUAAACAGUUUAUAUACAUAUAAACUAAAAUAAUUUCUUUUCUGAAUAAUCGAUCAUAAGAAUACACCACUAAAUCAGCAUAAUUUAUAUAUUUAGAAGAAUAAGUUUUUAAAAACAUCAAUUUCAUUAUUCAAACUUAAAAAAUCAAGUGAGAAAAAAGAAAAGAAAAACCUCCAUUACCACCUACCUAAAUACAUGCAUAAGCACACAGUUGAUCGAUCGGGAGACACUAGAUUUUAUGAUGUUUCAAUACCUCGUGCGUACUGCAUCACAAAAUUGAAUACCCAGAACCAACCUUAAUUAAGUCCGUAAUACAUGUCCACCAACUUAUGUGUAAUGUGUCUAUAUAUACAUAAAUAUAUCGUCUCCACCCAUAUGUGUUUUGUUUUAUAAGCAAAGGUCAUAAAGUCUAUGAAAGGUACAAACCACAGCCCAUAAGAACACGGGCAAACAAUCACAUUAUAUAUACCUCAAAAAGACCAAGAAAAAGAAAACAUAAACCUCGGCUCUAGUGAUCGAGAACUAAUAAAGAUCUAUCUCAUGUCCAAUUCUAUUUCUUAUUAAUUAUCAACAAUUCACUUCUUUAAAUUAUUAACUUUAUAUCCCUCGUAAAUUAAUAAAAUUAAAAUAUCAGCCCCCGAGCUUAAAAAAAACCAGAAAACUGAAAAUUUACGGAAAAGUGGAUUUUACUGUCUGGUAGGUGUACAGACGCUGUAGAGAUUUCAUGUCCAUUCACUGUCAAGCUAAAUGCGUCUAGUCCUUUCCCACCUAUAAACGAGUAAAUGCUUCGUGAAUCAAACAAAUGCUUUUACUUUCGAUUUCCUGACAAAACUUUCAAAAUUAGUUUGUUCUUCCUUAAUUACGUAAGUGCAUUUCCUGUCAACUGAUUUCAAUCUACUCUCUGGACUGUCCCUUCUAAACUUAUCGUGUCUAAGAAAACACAUUUUGUCUUGAAGUCGGCAUCACUGUUUUUAAUCCGGCCUGGUUGGCAAGUCGAUACUAGACCCGAUUGAUUUAAUCCUAACCAAGCUGAGUGUAAUAAAAAACUAACUUAAAGUUGAUUCAGUGAGGGGUUAACAUGAUCAUAAUCUUAAUGACAUUUCAAACACAAAAAAAAAUAUCAAAAUAAUACUGUUUCAAUUAACUUACUUUAUUUAUAACUCAAGUCCUAUGUCAUGUUAAUUCUCGGGCUAGAUUUAAUACAUUACAUGUAUUAUAAAGUUUACAACAUCACCAUGCAAUUUUCUUUUUAAUUAAUCAUGGUGUUCUUGGAUAAGCAAUUUUUCCACAUUGAUAUACUAUAUUUCUCUUUUCGGUCGAGUCUUGGACACACUUUACACUAGGACAAAUAUAUUUAUAUAAAAAAAUAUUUUUCAUAAUUUUAUUUAAAUUUAAAAAUAUAUUUGUUUGUCUUUUUUUUUUUAAAAUAGAUCUAAAAAAAUAACUAGUUAUUAGAUGUAACUAGUUAAGCACUAUAAAAUAUUUCAUUAAUUAGCAAACGUUUUCACCCAACUACCAAGUUUAUUGUUUUUUGAUAAAUAUGUCCCCACACAGUAAGGGUGGGGGGAAAUAAUUGUUGUCGAGAAAUUUGAUUUAGAGUUACAUCUCUUUAAAGCCACCGUUGGAACAUCGCUGUGUUCACUAAAGACUUUCUGGAGGUUAGGAGAUAUCCAUCCGUGAAUGGUUGGUGUUUUUCAAUCAUCUUCAAGGUCUUGUUAUUAAAUAUUAGCCUCUAUCAAUAUAUAUCUUUUGUUUUUAGUUAAUUAAUUCUUACAUCUUGGCAACAACUUGGUCGACGGAGGAGGUGGCGGAUCUUUCUUCACUGCAAUUGAUUUGAUCUUCGAAAUUCAUUGUAAAGGGCUUCCAUUCUGAUCACACUUAUCUUUUUUAAAAAUAAAAAAAAAUUGGUUGGAAUUCGUUGAACUAUUAAAAAUAUGUGUGUAACAUGACGUGCAGUCAUUUAAAAGUACUCUCGAGCACGUAUUUCUACAAUAACAUAAAAAAAUGACAGUAUCUUGAUGAUUUUAAAUCAAAUUAACAGCCACGAUGAGAUGUCGUGGGUAAUUUGCUUAAAAUAUGAUUAAAAGGGAUUUAUUCUCAAAGUGUAUUAUCUUAACUUUACUUCUGUGUGUCUAUUUCACGCGUUAGAAUUUGUAUUUCGUCUAAUAAGAGAAUAUUCAAGUUAAUUUCUAUAUAUAACGAAUAAUUAAUUUUUAAUUUUACAUGUUGGUUUUUUUUAUGUGAAAUUAUAUAUAUAUAUAUAUAUAUAUAUAUAUAUAUAUAUAUAUUAGUUUUUAAUUUAUUUAUUCUAUAUGAUCAGAUUGAUGGUUAUAUAUAUAUAUAAAGGAUUUUAUGUAUAAUUUGGAUAGCCCUCUCGAUAAAAAAGAAAAUGAAAACAGAAUUCAAGUCCUGUGUGUAGCGAAUUACUGAUUAAACUAAUAUAUAUAGGGGCCACAUAUUUAUUUGUCCCCAGACAAAUUAAAAAGUGCUAAAAUAUUUUGGUUAAAGGUACUAUUGCAUGAUAUCCCUCUUCCGUGAAUAUUCUUUUCUUCUCUUCUCCUUCUUUUCUUUAUUAAUUUUGAUAGAAAAUCCAAUCAACAAUUAAAGGUUCUUAAUUAGGGCCACGUGAACCAAAGCAAGAUUGCAAUCGGACAGCUGCAGCAUGGCCCGUUUCGAGCGAGCAGGCAAUCAACAACUCGAUCCGUAUUUGAUCAUUACUGUUUUUUUAACCGAUCGAUCCCUCUAUUUUUCCUUCUUCUAAUUAUACUGGCAUCAUAUGUUAAUCAGUCUCGGCUUAGCAGUGAUGGUAAUUAAUGGGUUUGUUUUAAAAAUAUAUAUUAUGAUCGUGCUUUUUCUAAAUAUGAAUAAUGUAUAAUUUGAAAUCCGAUCAAAAAAUAAUUUAGUUUCGAGAUGCCAGUGUUAUUUCAUAAUAUAUAUAUAUAUAUAUAUAUAUAUAUAUAUAUAUAUAUAUUUUUUUUUUUUUUUUUUUUUUUUUGAGUGUUAUUUCAUAAUAUAUAUAUAUAUAUAUAUAUAUAUAUAUAUAUAUAUAUAUAUAUCUCCGUCUCUGUUUUUUUAUAUAUAUAGAGAUAUAAUUAAAUCAGUACUGUCUUUAAAAAAGUGGAAAUUAAAGAGUAAUAUAUACUGUAGUAAAAAACAAAUCGCCUAUAGUACCCUUUAAGGCAGUCGAGAACACUAAUUAAUUAACCGGUUAAUUCCUCCCUCUUUGACUCCUCUCUUUACUGACUCCUCUGUUUCCUCUAUAACCAGUUAAGCAAACCCACAUUAGGACAAGGCUUAUUAAGAACUCUUCUUCAAAAGGGGCGGUUACGAAAUUAUGAAAAAGAAAAGGAAAACGGAAAGAAAGAAAAGCUUAAAUUUCUUAAGCAACACUUGACACAAGGAAUAAAGUAGCUGUUAAUUAUUAACUGAUCGGUAAGAUUUGGAGUGUUGUUGUCUUGAGAACUUGCAAAAAAGGAGCCUCCAGCAUCGAUCGUCGACCUUGCCUGUAGAGAUAUGUGCACUCAAUUAUGGUAAAAUGAUUGCACGUUUACCGAUAAUCAUCUUGUUAAGCAGCUCGAAUCCCAUUAAUUAGCAUAAAUUCACUGUAAGACAGCGUUGCAAUAGGGGGGGGUCAACAAGCGAGGAUUCAAUAAAAAAAACCACAAUACUUGGAGAUCAUUUUCUGGGUACUUUUUAUAUUUUCUCAAAGUAAGAUAAUAAUGCAGGGACGGCGCCAUGUGAGAUCAAUAUCUUUCAGGGUAAUUAAUUGGGGUGGUCAUGCAUGAGAACCCAGUCUGAAGAAAAGAUCAGAAUUCUAGCAAGAUAUUACAUAAAUUAACAGAUAAUAUAUAUUAAUCAGGUCAAACUCAAGUAACAUGUUUCCUUCGAAAGGACUUGUGGACACAACCUUUUUGAAGACUUGGGGGUUAGCUAGCUAGGCAGCGGUGAAAACCAAGAGCGAGCGAGGGAGACACUUCACGUGGAAAGAUUCAUUGUAUAAUGGGGUUUGGUAUUUGUUAAACCCAAUCCAAUCUUCCCCAUUUUUUAUACCAGAUAAGAUCUAGGUGGAUGGUUGUAUAUAUUCAAGACUCUAACAUGGAAUCCUAUGCUUCCAAUAUUGCAAUGCAAGAGAGGACCGAGAGGAAUAGAAAUACAGGGAGAGCUCGGCAGGCCAUGUUCUUGAUUACGCACGCACCUUUACUGAAAGUGAAAGACAUAGGAACAUUCUGCUGUGACUGGUUUGUCAUGGAAAUUAUUAAGAAAUACUAAACAUGAUCAAGCCAUUGAUGACAUCUAUCUACGUACCUUACAUGUACUAAUUAAUAGAUGCUAAUUAAUGUUCUUAUAAUUAGAUAUAUAAUCCAAUAUUGUAUUUUUUUUUUCUUUUUGUUAUUUCUAUUUUUUUCUUCUCGAGUGGUAUAUAUGUAUUACCAUCAUCUUUCAUACAUUAAAACUAAUUAAAUUAAUAUUGAUAUUAUAAUUAAAUUAAUGGGAUCUAAAGUUAAUUGACAAAGAUAAAAGUUCCCAUGUAUAAGUCUCAUAAUCUCAAUAUAAAUAGGUCCAUUUUAAAAAUAGAUUAAAAAAAUAAUUUUGAUGUAUGAAAACUCAAUAAGAUAAGACCAAAUUAAAAAAUAUAUAUAUACACAUCUAUGAUUAUGUUCAUAUUUCAGCGACUGUGUUCACGUCCUCUUAAGCGCGCGUGGAGUGGUUCGAGAGCAGCGUAGUUAACAACCUUUUGCUUCCAACGUAAAUGUCACGUUCCACAUGUCAUUCAAGAAAAGUAGAAGAAGGCAAUGCAUAUCGUCAAAAAGGGAAGUUAUUCUCUGUUUCUAAUCUUAACAAUCCAGCCCGCCAGAAGUGACACGUGUCCCGCUAAGAAAUCUUAGAUUUUUAUUACAGCAAUCCACAUCCGUGCUUAGCUAAACCAAUCAAAAUUGUAGCAACAUCCCAUGUAUUUUGGUUCCCAUUAAUUUGUCUUCAUUAAUUCAAUCAUUGGCUGUUAUUUUUAAAAAAAGUAAAAUAAAAAUUAACUACCUGAUGGAAGAAACUAUCAAAUUAAAUAUCUAUAAUUAAUAAAACAAAUUAAGUAAAGUAAAAAAGGUCAAUUCCUGGCUUAAUUAUGAAAAAGAAGAAAUAUAUAUGAUGAGAAAUUCAUUGGUGUACUGAAUAAUGGAUAUGUCAAAAUGGAAAUCAUUAACUUGAUAAUGCAAACCAGAGAAAAUUUUUAAUUAUCGCACUCAACCAUAUCUAAUUACUUUUUCAUGAUAAAUUAAAAAAAAUCACCUUUUAUUUUUAUGGAUUUAUCUAAUAUCUAGCAUUCUAGCUCACAAGAAGCUCAAGCAAUUCAGCUGAGUUCUUCACUGUUAAUUUUUUUUUUGUCGUUUUCCUUUAAUAUUUUUUUCUAAGGUAAACAAUCAAUCCUGUGUGGAUAAUAUUCAUCGAAAAUUAAGAAGAGAAAAACUUCGAAUUGAUAUAUAGCUCACUGGGAUGUAUAAAAUCGGUAAAUUUUAUUUAUUAAUAUUAAUUGAUAAUGAAUCGGUAAAUUUUAUUUAAAAAUGUUUUUUUUAAGAGAAGCAUAUAUUCUCGAAUCUGCAAUAUUCCAGAUCAGUAGAAUGUCCUCCAUGCCAAAGACUGAUAUGGAAUAGUUAUGAAAAGCUGGCCUAAUUAAUUUUUUUUUUUUUUUUACGGAAAAUAUAUCAUCGAUCAUCCAUGACAGGGCUACUAAGAUAGCUAUGGAAAGCUCUUGAUUUAUAUAUUUUUUUUGUCAAGUAUGAUAAGCACAGAUUAAUUAAAAAUGAUAUGGUAAACACUAAAUUGUAAUUAAAGUCUUGAUUAUUAUUAUUAUUAUUAUUAUUGUUCUAAGAGAGAUGAACUCUAUGAUCUGUAUACAUGUAGCUGGUUUAGAUCAAGAAAAAACAACUCAUCAACAGCAUCGAUGCUUGUAGAUGGAAAGGUAGUCGAUCUGUAGAAAGAUUCUGUGACCAGUCAGAUACAUCAGCUUAAGCUCUUGCUAGCUAUAUAUCUCAGUUUUAACGUCCAUGUCAUUUUCCCUGCAAGAUAUAUAUAGAAUACAAAAGAAUAGAACUAUUGAAAAGAAUCCAACGACCCUGCCUCUCUCUCUCUCUCUCUCUCCUCUCUCUCUCUCCCCCUCCCUCCCUCUCUCUCUCCCUCUCUCCCUCCCUCUCCCACACACACCCUUUUUUUUUUUUACCUUCCUAGACACGUCUUCGUGUUCUUUAUCUGCCUACAUAAAUAGAUUACAAAACCUUGACAAACCACACAUUUCUCUCUUAUUUUUUCUACCCCUUAACCUCCUCCUGUAAACAAGGAGAAAAACAUGUCUACCGAUCUUGAAUCACGCCAGGAUUUGCCAAGAAUUCAAGUUCGUGCCGUCAAGACUGAAACCCUACAAUCCUGCAGUGCUACGGAUGACAAAGAAACCAUAAUUAAGCAAGAAAACAGCGAAACUGACGACUGUCAAACGCCGAAAUCUGAAGAGCACAAGAUUCCUGCCGUUUUAAGCUGUCCACCGGCCCCGAGAAAACCAAGAAGGUCCUUUUCAUGCAAGAGAAAACUGACGGAACUCGAGUUCUUUGAGAUUGUGAACCGCGAAGAAGUAGAUUCGUUUUUUCAAUCAAGUUUUGAGCUUCUUCCGAAGAGAAGGUGCCCUUGCAUAUGAAAUGGUGAUCUGGUAUAUAUGUACUGGAAGGGUAUUUAUAAAAAAAAAUCUCCUUUUUAUUCUUUUGGUCUUUAUUCCAUUUUUUCCUUUUCUAAGUUCUUGUAUGUAUGUAUAAUUACACGCUUAAAUGCCACAGUAUGUGGGCUAAAAUCCAUGCUGUUAUAGGUCUGUAAUUCCACAAGACAUGGGAUCUGGAUCGUGGUUUUAAUUAUUAAUUGGUGCAUGAAUUAAUUAUUCAAAUUUAUUCAAGAUUUGUACACUAAUCAUCAAUUUGGAUCAAUCUUAUUAAUUCAUUUCGACUUUAAAUCUUGAUGAUUUUAUCAGUGUUUGUUAAUUAGGUCUGGUGCACUAUGAAUUUUAGCUGUUUAAGCGUUCUUGUACCAGUUAAAUCGUUAGCAAAUUUGAUGUGUUGAAAAGGGAUAUGGAUCAAGAUUUUGUUUCAUAUUUUUCUUUCGUUUAAACAAGAUUAGUGUGAGUUUUCAUGGGUUUGAUCACCCAUUAAUUUAUUAUUUGUUCUUAGGUGGUUAAGAUGGUUGAUUUGUUUCUGGUUUGGCAUGAAAACUUUCGAGUGAUUGACACGACUUCGGGAUUGAUAAACAUGAUUUCUUUAAGUGGAAGGGGGAGAGAGAGGAGGGAGAGUUGUGGUUAUCAAUGAACACGAAGAUAGAUAAUGUGAUCGAUAUGCUAUUGCUAUUAAUAUUGAAUGCGAUGUUUUUUGUCCUUUUUAUACGAAUUUCUUAAAUCAC